CCGGGGCACCCACCCCUUCUCCAAUCAGAGCGCACCUCCUCCUCUGCAUAAAUAAAGCUGCCGCACCAUCCCCAUCUCAUCACCAACCACCAAUCCAUUCCCCACCAGCACCUUCCGGCGAACCACCGCACCUCUCCCCGGCGAAGCAGCAGCGUCCGAUGGCCCCCAAGGCGGAGAAGAAGCCGGCUGCCGCGGAGAAGACUCCGGCGGCCGAGAAGACCACCGCGGGCAAGAAGCCCAAGGCCGAGAAGCGGCCGCCCAAGUCCAAGGAGGGCGGCGCCGACAAGAAGAAGAAGAAGGCCAAGAAGAGCGUGGAGACUUACAAGAUCUACAUCUUCAAGGUGCUGAAGCAGGUGCACCCGGACAUCGGCAUCUCCUCCAAGGCCAUGUCCAUCAUGAACUCCUUCAUCAACGACAUCUUCGAGAAGCUCGCCGGCGAGUCCGCCAAGCUCGCCCGCUACAACAAGAAGCCCACCAUCACGUCCCGGGAGAUCCAGACCUCCGUCCGCCUCGUCCUCCCCGGCGAGCUCGCCAAACACGCUGUCUCUGAGGGCACCAAGGCCGUCACCAAGUUCACCUCCUCUUAGAUAGCAUGUUCUCUGUCGUCCUGGUGGAUCGAUGUUUCUCUGUAAUGGUCAUCUGUUCGGACCAUGUUGGUCUUGUAAUUUGUGCUGGUUGUGUUGGAAGACAUUGUUUCAUUAUCUCGUGAAAUAGUAAUGGUCUUCUUUGAUCUGUCUCAUGGCUCUCUACAAUGUUCAGUUCUUACCAUGUUUCCUUCCGUUUCACUUGACAUAGUUCUCAUGCUGUAAAUUCUGUUUGUGUGAGUUUAUCUUUGUUUGGUCUCUUAUGCAACUUCCGUUCUGAUUUGUGAGUAUGGUCGUCUGUAAAAAUUGUGCAGACAACGACACUGAGCUUGCAGAGAUUUCUUUGUUCCAUUUCUUAAUUUCGGUGUUCAGCUAUCGCUUUACGAGGCUGGUGGCCAAGGGGAGGGUGCGUGCCGCGUCAGGAGCCGUGGCCGUGGUGGGAGAGUACAUGUUCAUGGUGAUGGCGCCGGGGGCCGGGGCCGUAGCGGCUGUGGCUAGAGGCGGCGUCAGCACCCCGUUCCAGUUAACUGACGAAAGUGUUGAUUUCUUCAGACAUAGACUCAGUUUCAGUCAGCGGAUAGACACAGCCAGGAUCGUCAAAAACGUUUCGGUCUGCUGGCUGAUACUGUUCGACGGCAAAAACACACGGUUUUCAGCACUUCAGUGUCAAGUUGUUCUGGAUUCAAGACCCACCACAUGUCACAUGUUCCAAGCUGCAGCCACCAUCGCCGCAUCCAUGACCGACGGCGAAGAAACACAGCAACUACGUUGCUUCAGACCACGAUCACAGAGGGUUGCUUCCAUUUUUACUGUCAACCCACGAGCACUGCCGCCAGUCCACGGAUGUCCUUACGCUGUUGGAUUUCUCCUCGUGUUCCAUUGCAAUUCUGUUUUGACCCUUUUGACAUAGUUUAGCAGGAUCUGUCUCUAUGUGGGAACAAAAAAUUCGGAUCUGACACUUUUACUGCUGCCACUCGAUUUGGCGGCAGGGUUUAACACACUACCGCCGCGGGCCAUGGUGGUAGGAUUUGGGUCAACUUAAACGGUGCCGUCUGCCCUGGCUGACGUCGAUGAGUGGCUACCACCGCACCCCAUGGCGGUAGGGUGGCGGUCAGGCAUUUCGACCCUUGGAGUUGCGGGCGGGACCCACCCACCCAUCAGCCCGUUCUUCCUCAUCUCAUCCUCGCGAAUAGAGGCGAGACGCGCCUCUCUCCUCCUCCCGACCCCACUCAAUCUCCCUCUUCCCUCGACCAUUUUUGCGGAUCUUUGGAGCGAAUCGAAGAGGCUGGUAAGCUCAUCUAGUCACUUUUCGCAGUAACUGUUAUGUUAUGAUCCAAAUUCAAGUAUAAAAAUAAAGGUUAACUUCAGACGAGCGAGCGAAGGGAGGCGCGUCGAUCAAUAUUGACCUAGGUCACCUGUGUUAUAUAUAUAUAUAUAUACGUUGUAAGCUGCUGCACUAGAUGAGUUGAUCAGUUGUAAAUCCCCAGCGUCUGCAACCUGCCUCGAUAUAGUGAAGAUCUGCUGGCUGAUGCCUGUGGUUUCCCCCUUCAUGUUGGAUGGGUUUUCCACGUUAAAUCUCGUGUCUCCUGCUUGUUUUUGUUAUUUGUCGUGUUGAUUUGCCUGUCGUAUCUUUAACAAGUGGUAACGGAACCUUGUUCCUGUCUACAGUUUCGACGACAUGGCAUCGAUGAAGUUCGAUAUUCCGCUGAUGGACUACGACAAGAGGUUUUCCUUGUGGCAAGUGAAGACGCGGGCUGUGCUGGCGUAUCCGAUCUGGACGAGGCGCUAGAUGGCUUCGACGAAAAAAGCACAGAAUGCAUGGACGGAUGAUGAGAAGCGCAGUGAUCAUAAGGCGAUGGCUUUAAUUCGUCUUCAUCUAUCUAACAAUAUUUUGCAAGAAGUGCUAGAGGAGAAAACUGUAGCAGCCCUUUGGCUCAAACUGGAGUCGAUCUGCAUGUCAAAGGAUAUGACCAGCAAGAUGCACAUGAAGAUGAAGUUGUUCACGCACAACUUGCAAGAAGGUGGUUCGGUGCUAAACCACUUGCUGAUGUUCAAGGAGAUCGUUUCUGCUUUACAGUUUAGGGACGCAAACUAUGAUGAUGAAGAUUUAUAUCUUCUGCUUUUAUGCUCUCUGCAUAGUUCCUUUUCAAAUUUCCGAGAUACCAUAUUAUAUAGCCGCGAUGAACUAACAAUUGCCGAAGUAUAUGAGGCCCUUCAACACUAAUAAAAGAUGAAAGAAAUGUUGCAAUAUGGGGACUCGUCUUCCAAGGUGAAGCUUUGCACGUAUGAAGCAGGUCCGAGCAGAAAAAGUACUACAACAAGAGAGAUAAAAGCAAGAAAAACAAAGGUCAUUCAAAGUCCUGGUUAUGAUGGGUGGUCGUGGCCGAGGGAUGCACGAAGGGAUUGCGCGUUUCUCUCGUACACGUACGCGCGUGGGUGCGAGGCGUUGGGCUCUAACUGAACACGAGUGAGGUGUUUGCCUAUUGAACCCAAGCGAUUGCACUGGCUACGCGUUACUGACCCCGAGCGAUCGAUCCAUCCCUGGCUAUUAACUGAACUCCAUCGAGCGAUUCCUUCUCUACUGCUGCUAACUGAAGCCGAUCGAACCUGCUGCCUCUUGACGAACAGUGAGUGUUGUUGGGGGUUAGAUGAAUAGUUCCUGGUGGGGGUUGGAUGAACAGGACCCCGUGGUAGUAGAGGCCGUUGCCGCUGGAUGAACAGGACACCGAUCGAGCCGGUUGGGGGUGGAUGAACAGGACUAGGGACCCCGUCGAGGGCUGGUCGAACAGUAGUCGGUAGAGGGCUGGAUGAACAGUAGUCAGUGGAGAGGUGGUUGAACAGUAGCCGGUGGAGGCUGAAUGAAUAGGAGCCCGUGGAUGAACACUAGCUGAUGGAGGCAGGAGGGAGACACUGUGGAUGAACAGUCAUAGGUGGAGGCUGGAGGAGGUCGGCGGUGGAUGAACAGUAGCCCGUGGAGGCUGGAGCGAGGCAAUAGACGAUGGAUGAAUAGUAGCCAGUGGAGUCCCGUUUUGUGGUAUGCCACACCCCUCCCAAUGAACAGGACCCCCGUUUCGACCGUAGAAGGUCGAAGAGAAGUCCGUUUCCUCCAUUUUGUGGUAUGCCACACCCCUCCCGAUCAACAGGACCCCGUUUCGACCAUAGAAGGGCGAAGAGAAGUCUGUUUCCUCUGUUUUGCGGUACGCCAGACCCCUCCCGGUGCACAGGAUCCUGUUUCGACCAUAGGCGGUCGAAUAGAAGGCCGUUUCCUCCGUUCUGCGGUACGCCAGGCCUCGUUUCGGCUGUUUCAUCAAAGCCGGUUGGCUCUCGAUGAACACGACACAUUCCGUUGCCUCCCGAUGAACACGACGAUGGGUUUCUCCGUUCUGACCCAGCCGGUUGGCUGCCGAUGAACAGGACGCCAUCGCUACUCUUUGCUGCCUAUCCAUGUACAUAAGCCCUGGCCGUACGUAUGUGCGAGUAGGUGUUCGAGACCCCGCCCGUAUGUACGUACGUGGCCGUAUUUACUUUCUUGCACUCUGGUUGUACGUACGUGUAUACGAUAUUGACGGGACUGCGUGGCAUGCUACGUCCGCGCGUCUACUACGACACGUGCCCUUCAUUACUCGGCCACGGUUCAUCGCUGCAGCCUGCAUCCAGACCGAUCGACCAGUAUGUACGUACACGUUCGCGAUCAGAAUGGCAACGCUACAUAUACUUCGACCAGGUGGGUCCCGACUGUCAGGGAGGAUAAGGAGGCACUUCCUUGCGUGCAAAGUUAUUGCUGGUGGGUCCCAGAUGUUAGGGGGAGAAUCAUUUUUUUGCCCGUAGUAUGGACACACUUCCUUGCAUGCGAAGAUGUAGCUGGUGGGUCCCAGCAGUCAGGGGGAAUGUUUUUUCACGAAAUACGGUGGCCCAUCUGGUGGGUCCCUGCUAUCAGGUGGAGAAAUAAUUAUUUUACGCGUAAUAAGGUUGCACUUCCUUGCUGUGAUGGACCCAGCUGCCAGACUCUCCAAGUAUAGUACUCUUUCGAUGGAAGUCGUUCCUUGACCACAUUGACCAUGCUGCGCCGAGAGCACCAAGGCGGUGGACGGCGGUGAGGCCUAGGAAGGGGACGACACGGAGCCGGGGAAGACACGGCAGUGGAUGCCCACGCGGAGAGGAGUAUAAGGGUUGACUAGUUCGGCUGUAGUGUGAGGUUGUCGUCGCCGCAGAAUAACAGGGGUUGUGGGUGAGUAGAGGGAUGGCCUGGCCAGAGGUUGGAGUAGAGUGGGGCGAUGAGGCCUACGCGGCAGUAGAUCCGGCCAUUGGAGACAGGAGCAGGCAACACGACCAGUGCUGGUUCGGGCGGCUGGAGCAAGAAGACCAGAGGUUGAAGAAGCACUACGUCCGUUGGAUGGACAUCAUAAGGUCACUGGAGCUAGAAUCUUUUAAUUAACUAAGUUGACAAAGCCCUCCGCCCAUGUCAAAUUAGUAGGCCCACAAGUCAGCCUCCCACCAUGAUGGGUCCCAGCUAGCAGGGGGAGUAUUCAUUUUUUUGUAUGUUGACCAUGCUGCGCCGAGUGCAUCCAAGGUGGUGGACGACGACGAGGCCUCAGACAGCAACGAGCCGGAGAUGGGAAGAUGCGGGAGUGGAGUCACAGGCAGAGAGGUGUACGAGGGUUAACUAGUUCUGGUGCAGCAUGGUUCGGCAAUCGGUGGAGAUGAACAUGAGGUGUGGAGGGGUGGAGGGAUGACCUGGCUGGUGGUGGGGUAGCGCUUCACAGCGAAGCAUGCUAAGUAGAGCUGCUAGCAGGAGGAGGCGGGAGCAGGUGGUCCCAACGAUGUUGGAGGAAGAAGACGAGAGAUUGAAGAUGGAUGCCGGUCAUUGGAUGUAAAUCCAACGGCUAUCGAUGUCAGAAUCAUUUGUUGACUUAGUUGACAAUGACUUGCGUUGGCUUCGACCUAUUGGCCCACAUUUUAGCCUCCAAAAAUGUGGCACAUAUUCAACCCAUUUUUUCAGAAUUUACAGUCCAUUUGAUCGUUUUUUAGAAUUACAAUCCAUUUGUUGUGCUGGGUGAACAAAUAACCUAUUGGCCCACAUAUUCUACAAAGAACUACUCACGCAUCAUCACAGAGGCACCAAUGGAAGUGGUGAACCCCUCCGUGAUGGUGUCUAGAUUGGAUCUGGUGGUUCUGGACUCUGCGACGGUUGGAAUUAAUUUUCGUCGACUCCCCUAGGGUUUCUGGAAUAUUGGGGUAUUUAUAGAGCAAAGAGGUGGUUCAUGGGGCACCCGAGGUGGGCACAACCCACCAGGGCGCGCCUGGGCCUCCUGGCGUGCCCUAGUCGGUGCUGCUGCCCUCGAGGCACCCCCGAUGUGUUUCCUUGGCCCACUGGAUGUCUUUUGGCCCAAAAAAAAUCCUCGCGAAGUUUUGCUGCAUUUGGACUCCGUUUGAUAUUGAUUUCCUGCAAUGUAAAAAAACAUGCAGAAAAUAGGAACUGACACUGGGCACUAUGUCAAUAGGUUAGUACCAAAAAAUAAUAUAAAAUGACUAUAAAAUGAUUGUAAAACAUCCAAGAAUGAUAAUAUAAUAGCAUGGAACAAUAACAAAUUUUAGAUACGUUGGAGACGUAUCAGCAUCCCCAAGCUUAAUUCCUGCUCGUCCUCGAGUAGGUAAAUGAUAAAAACAGAAUAUGAACUUUUAUAUGAUUCAAAGCUUAAUUCCUGCCUAACAUGUUCAUCAUAUUUCUUUUCUUUAUAGCAUGGACAUAUGAACUUUUAUAUGAUUCAAAGCAAUAAUCUAGUUUUGACAUGAAGACUCUAAUACUCAAGCAUACCAACAAGCAAGCAUGUCUUUCAAAAUAUCAACACUAAAGCAAGUUAUCCCUAGCCCAUUAUGCUCAAUCAUUGAUCCAUUCAUGAAACACACUCGAAUAUUAGCUACACCCAAUGCUCAAAUACGAUCAUAGUGCCCCUUACUUGGUGCUUUAUAAGAGAAGAUGUGGAAUCAAAUUCAAUUUUUUUGCAUAAGUAAAAGAAAGGCCCUUCACGGAGGGAAGUAGGGAUUUGUAGAGGUGCCAGAGCUCAAAGCUUAAAUUGAGGGAUAAAAAUAUUUUUGAGAGGCAUACUUUUCCCACCAACAAACAUGACUUAGAGAUAUCCAACAUUUUCCAUGCUAGAUACAUCAUAGGCGGUUACCAAACAUAAAAUAAAGUUUAUUCCUUUUUCCACCAUUACUUUCACUUUCCAUGGCUAACCGUAUCCAUAGGUGCCCUCCAUACCAACACUUUCCAAGGAAUUUAUUAUUUGACAACAUAAAGUAAAUUCAUUAUUCAUUUUGGGACUGGGCAUCCCUAAUACCUUUGCCGUACUAUCGUGCAAUGAUAAGUGAAUAGACACUCAUCGUGAGAAUAACACAUCUAGCAUGGAAAAUAUUGGUUACCCUUCACCGCCUUGCGAGCAGUAGAGCACACAAAAGAGAAAUUUAUUUUGAAAAUUAGAGAUGGCACAUGCAAAUUUGCUUAGAACGGCUGGGAAAUACCGCAUAUAGGUAGGUAUAGUGGACUCAUAUGGCAAAACUGGUUUAAAGGGUUUUGGAUGCACACGUAGUGAUCAUACGUAGUGCAAAAUGAAGGCUAGCAAAAAGAUUGAGAAGCGACCAACCAAAAAGCAAAAAAUCUCGUACCCAAGCAUUAAGCAUAAGUAACACCGAAUAAUGCACCACAAGUAGGAUAUAAAUUUCAUAGCAUAACUAUUGACUUUCGUGCUUGCAUAGGGAAUCACAAACCUUAACAUCAAUAUUCUUACUAAAGCACAUUUACUCAUUAACAUGACUCACAUAUCAUAUCGUCAUAUCUCAAAACCAUUACUAAGAAUCAAGUUUAUUUUGUCCAAUGAUCUUCAUGAAAGUUCUUAUUAUAUCCUCCUUGGACAUCUAUCACUUUGGGACUAUUUUCAUAUGUUGCUUUUGAUAAGCUCAAACAAAUAUAAGUGAAGAUCAUGAGCAUAAAAUUUUCUUUCUCUAAAAAUAACCUAAGUGAAGCAAGAGAGAAUUUCUUAAAAUUUUACUAACUCCCAAAUAAAUCUAAGUGAAGCAUGAGAGCAUAUCUUCAAAAAUCACAAAGCACACCGUGCUCAAAAAGAUAUAAGUGAAGCACUAGAGCAAAUCCAUGGCUCUAGAAAUUUAAGUGAAGCAUAGGAGCAAGCAUAGCAUAAUUUUUGGCUCUCUCAAAAAGGUGUGUUCAGCAAGGAUUCAACACUUAAAACACAAAGCAAAACAAGCAAAGACCCAUAUCAUACAAGAGUCUCCAAGCAAAACUCAUAGUAUGUGACGAAUAAAAAUAUAGUUUCGAGUAAAAUACCGAUGGUUGUUAGAAGAAAGCGGGGAUGCCACUCGGGGGCAUCCCCAAGCUUAGUUGCUUGCUACUUCUACGAAUAUUAUCUUGGGGUGCCUCGGGCAUCCCCAAGCUUAGCCUUUUGCUAAUCCUUAUUCCUUCAUCCAUCGUAAGAUCACGCAAAACUUGAAAACUUCAAUCACACAAAACUCAAACAAAACCUUCGUGAAAUCCGUUAGUAUAAGAAAACAAACCACUACUAUAAGUACUAUAGCAAACAUAUUAUUAUUUUGUUUUUCAUUAUAUCUACUGUAUUCCAACUUUCUAUGGCAAAAACUCAUCAAAGAAAACCAUAGAAUCAUCAAAACAAGCACAUAACGCAAAGAAAACAGCAUCUGUAAAAAACAGAACAGUCUGUAGCAAUCUGAAUAUUUCGAAUACUUCUGUAACUCCAUCAAUUCUGAAAUAAAUUUGUUCACAUGAGAAAUUUGUCUAUUAAUUUUCUUCAAAAAGAAUCAACUCAAAAUCUCUCUCUUAUAAAAAAUGACAAAUAAUCUCGUGAGCGCAAAAGUUUUUGUCUUUCAGCAAGAUCAAAUCAACUUUCACCCAAAUCUUCCCAAAGGCCUUGUUUGGCACAAACACUAAUUAAAACACAAAAAAACACAAUCAUAACAGUAGCAUAAUUGUGCUAACAAACAAGAACAGAAAGCAAAAAAGCAAAAAUAAAUUUUAUUCAUUGGGUUGCCUCUUUUACGCCCCUAGCUAGGCAUAACACGUAGGCUCUAAGUUUUAUCACCCUUGUCCAAUUCUUUGAUCGAACACUUAGGACUUUUCAAGGAUUUUGCAUAUAAAUUCUCAGCGGUAAUACUUCUAGGCACGAGAUUGAAAAACUUAUUUUCGCAAAAAAUGGUCUCUUAUGACUUCAAUAAAGUUGGGAUGGAUACUAAUCAUCUUAAGACCUCCUUUAUCAUUGCUAGAAGUUGCACCUUUGUUUUUAGUGACUUGAGUAGUCUUGCUAAUUUUCACGGGAGUAUUAGCGAAAGCAAAAGCCAUACCUAGAUUAGAAAAAAAUUCUUCCAGUUUAUCAAUCCUAAACAGGCUUUCUUCGAUUCUUUCAUGAAUUGUAGUUCCCUUUUCUAUUAGCAACUUAAAGACGUCUCCCGCUUUUGAACCAACCUUAGUAGCAUAACUUUGCAUUUUUCUAUCCAAGUUUUCAAUAUGUUCUGCGGUAAGCAUUUUCUUUUCCAUAGCAUCUAAUCUUUCCAUAACAUACCAGAGAGUCAAUAUUGUUUCAUUGAUCACGAGUGGUGGUGAACCCACUAAAUUUCCCAAAGCAUUGAAAGCAUCAAGAGAAGGACACAUCAAGAAAUUUCUACCGGUAAUCAUAUCAAGGACGAAUCUGUACCAAGUGGUGAUGCCCAUGUAAAAGCAACAAAUAAGAACAACGGUAGAUUGCUUACGGAUAGAUCUAUUAUGAGCAUUGCAAAUCCUAUACCAAGCAUCUUUUUAAUUUUCUCCUCCCCUUUGUUUAAAUUUGAGAACCUCGUUCUCGGGAGUGCAUGCAAUAGAAGAAGAAAAAUCCAUAACAACAAGAUUACACACGAAAAACAGAUCUGACGAGAAAACAGCGAACGAAAAAAGAGGGUGAAUAAAAACGGCAAUUUUUGUGAAGUGGGGGAGAGGAAAACAAGAGGCGAAUGGCAAAUGAUGUAAAUUGCGAGGAGAUGAGAUUUGUGAUUAGGAACCUGGUUGAUGUUGAAGAUCCUCCCCGGCAACGGCGCCAGAAAUUCGUUUUGAUGUCUGCUAGAAUUACGUCAGUAUUUCCCAAAAGAGGAAGGGAUGAUGCAGUUAAGUGAUGGUAGGUAUUUCCCUCAGUGAUGAGAUCAAGGUUAUCAAACCAGUAGGAGAACCUCCUCACACCACGUAAACAACACCUACACACAAAUAACAAAUACUCGCAACCCGAUGUGUUAAAGGGGUUGUCAAUCCCUUUCGGGUACGACGCCUCUAGAUGGGCAAAUAACAUGAGGUAAAAGUGGUAGAUAGGAUAAAUAGAUCGCGGAACAAAUAAAUUGCAGCAAAGUAUUUUUGUAUUUUUGGUUUAAUAGAUCUGAAAAUAAAUGCAAAGGAAAAUAGAUCGCAAAGUCAAAUAUGAUGAAAAGAGACCCGGGGGACGUAGGUUUCACUAGUGGCUUCUCUCGAGAAAAUAGCAAACGGUGGGAAAACAAUUACUGUUGGGAAAUUGAUAGAACUUCAAAUAAUCAUGAUGAUAUGUAGGCAAUGAUCAUUAUAUAGGCAUCACGUCCAAGAUUAGUAGACCGACUCCUGCCUACAUCUACUACUAUUACUCCACACAUCAACCGCUAUCCAACAUGCAUCUAGUGUAUUAAGUUCAUGAAGAAAUGGAGUAAUGCAAUAAGAACGAUAAAAUGAUGUAGACAAGAUCCGUUUAUCUAUUAUGUAGAUAUAGACCCCAUCUUGUUAUCCUUAGUAGCAACGAUACAUACGUGUCGGUUCCCCUUCUGUCACUGGGACCAAGCACCGUAAGAUCGAAACCACUACAAAACACCUCUUCCAAUUGCAAGAUAAAUAGAUAAAGUUGGCCAAACAAAACCCAAAUAUCGGAGAAGAAAUACGAGGCUAUAAGCAAUCAUGCAUAUAAGAGAUCAAAGAAGACUCAAAUAACUUUCAUGGAUAAAAACAUAGAUCUGAUCAUAAACUCAAAGUUCAUCGGAUCCCAACAAACACACCGCAAAAAGACUUACAUCAUAUGGAUCUUAAAGAUACCAUUGUAUUGAUAAUCAAGAGAGAGAGAGAGAGAGAGAGAGAGAGAGAAGAAGCCAUCUAGCUACUAACUACGGACCCGCAGGUCUACAAAUUACUACUCACGCAUCAUCGGAGAGGCACCAAUGGAAGUGGUGAACCCCUCCAUGAUGGUGUCUAGAUUGGAUCUGGUGGUUCUGGACUCUGUAGCGGCUGGAAUUGAUUUUCAUCGACCCCCUAGGGUUUCUGGAAUAUUAGGGUAUUUAUAGAGCGAAGAGGCGGUUCAUGGGGCACCCGAGGUGGGCACAACCCACCAAGGCGCGCCUGGGCCUCCUGGCAUGCCCUGGUGGGUGCUGCUCCCCUCGAGGCAGCCCCAGGUGCUUGCUUGGCCCACUGGAUGUCUUCUGGCCCAAAAAAAUCCUCGCGAAGUUUUGCUGCGUUUGGACUCCGUUUGAUAUUGAUUUCGUGUGAUGUAAAAAAACAUGCAGAAAACAUCAACUGGCACUAGGCACUAUGUCAAUAGGUUAGUACCAAAAAAUGAUAUAAAAUGACUAUAAAAUGAUUGUAAAACAUCUAAGAAUGAUAAUAUAACAACAUGGAACAAUAAUAAUUAUAGAUACGUUGGAGACGUAUUAGCGGUCCAAGGCCGGCGCUUGCGACCCGACGAGGAUGGCCGCGACGGCGUGGGGCACUGGUGCCGCGAAGCGUUCGAUGAACAUGCCACACAACUCUUCCCAGGAAGCCACCGAGGACUGCAACAAAGUGAGGAACCAAGUGCACGGCAUAUCUGUGAGAGACAUAGGGAGCCAAUUCGCCAUGCCCUUGUCAUCGCUGCCGGCUUCCCUGAUGGCCUCCGCGUACGCCUAGAUGAACUCCGCGGGGUCUGCCGUGCCAUUGAAUCGCGGCGGCACCCCUGGCCUGAACUUCGGCGGCCAUCGCACCCGCCACAAGGCGGGGACGAAGGCCGGUGACCCGUGGUGCCCUCAGAUGCACCUGGCUGCCCUUCGAGCAGGACGACGACCUCCAUGAAAGCGAGACGGCGAGAGGACUGGAAGGUGCAGCAGGCGAGGGAGAGAUCUUUCGACAUGCCCCUACCUGGCGUGCCAAAUGUCGGAUUCCAGGCUCCACUAACCAAAGAAAGGUUCGAACUCUGGGCGUGUUUGAAGAACUCAACCUUUCUAGCCGAUCGACUCGCUGCUCCCAUGGCCUAGCUCAAUGAACAAGAAAGGAAACAGACACACCAGUUUACCUAGGUUCGGGCCACCUUGCGGUGUAAAACCCUACUCCUACUUUAUGGUGGAUUAGCCCAGCGGGGGGCUGAGGAUGAACUAGUACAAGGGGAAGACCAACCUCAGGAGGCCUGUUCUUGUGGUGGUGGUAGCUUCAGGGAACUAUCUCUCUGGGACUUGACCCCUUGCUAUACGGUGGUGGCUAGGUUAUACUUAUAGUGGUCUCGGUCCUCUUCCCCCAAAACUUAGGCGGGAAGGGAUCCCAUAGUGGCCAAUUUGAAAGCGGACAAGUAGUACAUCUUAUCCUGACGAAAGGUGGUCUUCUCCUGCAAAGCUUAUGAUCAUGACCUCGUGGUGGGCUCGUCGAUGACAUCCAUCCCGCCGUUCUAGCGGUACUGAUCUUUUUGCAUGCAAACGGUAACCUUUGGUUGGUUCCUUGGGACUCUGCACCUGCGCUUGCCUCCUUAGCACUAAAGAGGAAACCUGCCAGUCUGCACCCACUGGCGCACGCCUGGCCUUGGUCAUCAUGGCUGGCGUCACCUAGGCCUCAUGAGGUGGGUGCUUGCAUAGAAAUCUCCGCUCCUCAGGAGGCCGCCUGGGAGGCCGCUCCUUCAGGACGUAUUGAUGUCAUCCGCCUCGUGAGGCUUGGCCUCUCACGAGGGUCUUGUCUUGUCGAUACUGAAGAUGGGCCAUACCAGGCCAUCAAUGAAGCCACGCCAUGGGCCGCAGGCAGGCAAGUCUCGGUACCUUGGUUCCCAGAAUGCCGACAGAUACUUACUGUUAAGAAUUACCUAUUUGUCUGAACUUAAAUAGCUACUUAAGCAUGUAGAUAGCUGGUCAUAUGUACUUCUAGGGUGCAGCAAAAUUCAUGUGUAAUUUACGUUCUAAUACCCUGUUUGUUUAAAUGGUUUGCUAUUAUCACUUUUAGCACUAGUAAUGUUUGCAUGUUCAUAGAGAGACAACUGUCCGGUUUAUAUGAGGGACAACGUUUUCUUUAUACAUAUAUAUACGUUGCUAGAAUCAUUUUGCUUACAUCAAAAAUUUUAUAGAUGUCUGUGUUGCUGGUAAACGGUACCGACUUGUUACUGUAAUACGUUGCCAAGAACUUGUUAGUUUUACUAGUUCAUGUGUAAUUAAAUAUGUUGCCAAAACUGGUUAGUUUUACUAGUUUGAUGUUAGUUUCUUAUGGCUCUUGCAACACAUUAUUUAUGAUUGCUAACAUUCAAGUUUGCAGGAUCCAACUGAAACUCCGUUGGCACAACAAGUAUGUUUUCAGAAACUUCCUUGUUUACCUGGUUUGCUGCUGUAACUUGUUGCUGUAAUCAUCUUACCAACUUCAACUUUUCAGGAUCCAAUUGGAAGUCCAAUUGCAUAGCAGGUACAUUUUCAAAAAUUUAUUUGUGCAACAGGUUUGCUGUUGUAACGUGCUGCUGUAAUUAUCUUACCAACUUCAAGUUUUCAGGAUCCAAUUGGAAGUCCAAUUGCACAGUAGGUACAUUUAAAAAAAUAUAUUGUUGUAACAGCUUUGCUGCUUUAACUUGUUGCUCUAAUCAAGUUACUGACUACUCAACUUUUCAGGAUCCAAGAGAAACUCCAAUGCCACAACAUGUUCCUUUUGCAAAACUUGUUUGUUUAACUGCUUUGCUGCUGCACCGGUUGCUAUAAUCACGUUACUGGCUACUCAACUUUACAGGAUCCAAGAAAAAGUCCAACGCCACAAUAGGUGCCUUUUGCAAAACGUGUUUGUUUAACUACUUUGCUGCUGCAACCAGUUACAAUGAUGUUAAUAACUACUUUUCAGCAUCCAAUCGAAGCUCUUUAAUUCCUUGUUUGUUUAACUGGUUUGCUGUUCUAACUCCCAUAUGAGAUGUUUUGCUAACUUCAACCUUUUGGAAUCCUAUCAGAACUUUAAUGGCAAAACAUGUUAGCCCGAGAUCAAAGAGUGAGGGCCCCAUGGACGUUGUAUCAUCUCACAGCAGUGGCACCGACCCAAUCAUGCAUCAUGAAUUGCCAACUACUGAUGCUCUAGAGGCUAAACUAUUGGUAGAAAGAGAUUCUGCUUCUACAUUUAGAGAUGAAGUUGACAUGUUGAGGAAGGAAACAUCACAAUCACAAGCAGUACUCAAGACAGCCAUUAAAUAUUUGGUGGAUUUCAAAAUGAAGCAAGCUGAGAUUGACCGCAUUGUUUUUCCAUCAUCAAAUAACCUUUGUGUUGUUCAUGUAAUCGAUCAAACCAUUUGUUUUAGAGAUCAUGUAAUAAUUGCUUUUUUGUUUGUAUUUUUUUAGCACGAGUCUGUAUUAAUUGACAAGACUCUGAGACAUUUCAUUUUGAUUGCUAUGCCAGACCUAAAAAUAUGCCAAUCGGGCUGAAUGUGCAUUCACCAAUAAUAGUACUAGUAUAGAUGGUGAGUGCCACGCAUCUGAAAGGGCCAAGAUGUUGUACUAGCUUUGCUAAAAAAAUGAUGCUCUUCUAGAAAAAAAAAGUACAGUGGCCUGGCUUAUGUAUGUUAGUUGAUAUUAUUGAUCCAUAUACUCUAAGUGUUUAUAUGUAUGUUAGUUUUGUACAUUAUUGGUCUAUUGACUCUAUAUUUUGCAUCUUGAGACAUCGGUUGUGUACAUAUCUAAAUGGGAGUACACUACAUGUUGCGUGUGCCAUACAUAUUACACUCGAGUUGGACAUAAAGUGGUUUGAAAUAUUCGAAUUCACCUUAAACUGGAUUCUACCUUCUGAAUUUGAGUAUCAACAUUUGUAUAUCAUAUUCAUAUACGAUAGUGGAAUACAUCUUUGUUGUGCUUUUGAAGAUAUAUAAAAAAACAUAGGAUGAUUUAUAAAGAUUUGUAUAAGAAUAGAAAAUGGAUUCGAAUUUAGUUGCUAGGGUAAACGUGAAUGCUUAUUGUCCCAAAAUUUGAAAGAAGCGGCAAAAUAUCCACUCCCACGUCGGCUACUCGAAGCCAGUGUUUGCGGAUGGAAAUUACUGUCCGCCCCUUACAUGGACAAUCCAUCGGCCCGAUUUCCACUUCUCUCAAUAGGGGUAGGUUAGUAACUUCAAUUAGACAUGACACGACCGCCUCUGAGCCCAUUCAGACACAGUGGGCGCCGAACAUGGGUGGAAAAACACAUUUGAUACAAGCUCGUCCGAAAGUCCUGUGCCUCUCUCUCCAUUUCCCCAUUCAUACACGAUGGGCGGCAAAACAAACUCGACUCGACCGAAAUUGAUGUAGGAAAAUAUUUUUAAUAGGGGCAGGUUUGUAACUUCAGUCAGACGAGACACAACCACCCUACCUGUCAGCCUUGUUCAUACACCAUGGGCACCAAAUACCCUCUCCUUACUCAAAAUCGCUCUGGGCAAAUAUUGGGGAGAUGCGAGAUUACCGUCCUAUCCCCAACCAACGAGACGUCCAAAUUUUAAAUUGGGGAUAAGUUCGUAACUUUCCCAUAUUUCAGACAAGCGCGUCCCAAAAACAUGGUUCCCCAUACCUCUCCCUUCAUUUUCCCAUUCAUACACCAUCUGCGCUAGAACACCAUCCCCUCACCAGCCUCCUCCAUCUGCCACCCCAUCCAUCGCCGCCGUCCUCCACCAUGCCAGAGCGCCUUCCAAGACCGCACCGUCCACUGCUAGAGAUGGACGUUUCUCAUCCACGGCGACGGACCAGGAGCCCUACAUCGCGUCCUCUCGCAUCAUCGGCGCUGUCGUCCUCCUUGUCGGGGCCGCUCCGACGACCUUCUCGUCCAUUGCAACGGGACUUAUCCCCCGAUGGACCCGUCUACCAUCGCAGAUCUGCUUCAAUGCCACCGACAGCCAUCGCACCGCCGAUGCCUACAUGGCGCCGCAAGAGAGGUGUUACUACUUCAUAUCUUUUUAGCUUUUUGAUCUUAACCAGAAAAUAGAUCGUCACUUGGUUACUAUACUAUCUUUUCUGCUCUUAGAAUUUAGUUCUUAGUUCGAAGCAAACAAUGGUUGCUAAGUAGCAUUUGUGCAGUUUGCAGCUUCAAAUCUGCCAAGGCACAAUCAUAAUAGAGUUUAAUUGAUCAUGCUUAGGGUUUCCCCCCUUUUAUGAUCACUAUACGAUCAACCUACGUGCUUCGUGUAAUAAUAGCACUGCUCCACCCAUCAAGCUAAACAAGCUUAGUUGUUCAAAUAUGAAUAUCAUAUUAUUAAAACAGAGUCGUUUAAUUGGUCAGCUAAAUGUUCCUAAUUUAGUUUCGAAAAUGCAUGUACACCGCUGGGGUGUGGAUCUACAGGGUGCCCACGGUGGGUCGUGGCCCACCCUAGGAUUUUGGGUCGACCCACACCCCGAUUCCCCUCUGUUUUGCUGCACUUCCGAUCUCUACUCGCCCCCAGCCGUCUGCCUCGCUGGCGACUUGCCGUCCCUAGACGGCAUGACCCUAGGAGGAGACGCCGGACUAACAAGAGGUCAGGAGCCGCUCACCCAACAGCAUCACCGCUGCCCCGGCGCGCCGCCGUGCCUACCUUCCCAGUCCGUUUAGGGCUCAGGCAUGCAACACUCACUAAGACAACCCGAUUUAUCCUGAGAUAUGUCCGCAACACUCAGCAGCCACUCCCCAUCACCCAUUUUCUAAUUGAUUCAUUACUCAUUAGGUAGGACUGUCAUUAGGGUUUGUUGUGUACUGAGUGCUACCUACACUUAAUGGUUUAGAUAUUUCAGUACUCUUUAGUACCUGUAAAGUUCACAGGGUUUCAAAAUUUCGGCCCUAGGAACAGACACUAGUCAUGUUUGAUUGUUUGUCAUAGUGACAUUGACCCAGAUUACUUAUGCAGGCCAGGUUUGUUGACAAUUUUACUUGUCUUUCUUACUCAUUCGAUAUAAUAUCCAAUUAUUCACGCCGAUUAGUUGCAAACAAUAAGUGCUAGACCAACUUCUUGAUUCAGAUUUUAGACGGUCUCUUACUGCAGUUACAAUUCUGCAUACUUGUCCUAGUAAGCUCACAAGUAGUGAUUGACUCACGACCUCUAUGCUUGCCUUAUCAUAUUUGUUGUCAAUAUUCUUUUAGGGUGGACCACCCUAUUUCAAAAUACUGGAACCACAUACAUGAGUGAAUAGUAUUUCUCUGUGUGAUCUCUUUCAUCAUGUGUGGGCAACGAACACUACAUUGUAUACAAAGAAAGUGUCAUAUCCACCUUUUCCACAGACUAUGAUCUUUAACAUGGAAUACAACCUGCCUACUUGUUUUGUGUCGCACUACCAGCACUCCACCCUUGAAGCUAAACAUUAUGUCACUCAUAAUUCCUUAGUUUAUUUGUUCAAAUACAAAUUUGAUAUGAUUCUAAUGUUCCUACUUCAGUUUUGAAAUGUGUGUCCGCCUGUUAUGGAGACAUAAGAGGUUUGUAUUUCUGUGUGUGGUCUGUUCAGCACAGUUGGGGGAUGAACUUUGUAUACGCACGAGUUUGUAGGGAGACACUCUUCGAGUUGAAUUUGCAAUGCAUUCCAUAAUAAUCUAACUACUUUUUAUGUUUUCAUGAAUCUCAGAUACUGAACAACAUCAUAAUGAUUAUGAGCUUAUGCGCAUAAAUAGAAUAAAGCAAAACAAUGCCAUGGCUGUCAAACUUGGCAUUAAGGGACUGAAAUCAAGUCUAGAUGCAAUGCAAUGCAAACGCUCUCCACCUACAGAUUCAUGCUCAGAAUAUGAUCCUAACAAUGAUUCUGAGCUAGAGGGAGACCUAAGUCAAUUUAGCUCCCUAGUGGAGGAGUCAUAGGCAGAUGCCCUAUAUUAUUCACCCAUCAAGGUGCUUGCUCUAACUUUCCAAGGUUAUAUUGGUCGCACAUAUCUUGCAACUGAUGCUUUGCAUUGGUUCUACUUUGUUGCACUACCAUUAGCUUAGUUUACACAUCGUGUAUGUGAAUACGCCCUGCCUAUCCAUUUUCAGUACAUAUUCCAUCUAUCAUCAUACCAUAUUUAUCCAUUCAAAUGUUGUUCUUGUGUAUCCGACGUUCAAAAGGAAGAGGGCGAUUGCUGAUCGCGGAGGAGCAUGAACAAAGUAUUUGGAAAAGGUAGUGACACCUGAUAAAUCAAAUAGCCCAAUAGGUGUAGUUGCAAUAUCACCAGACCCAGAAAAUAUGGCCACAACUCUAGCAGACUCUAGCCCUACUACACUAGCCAUCUCUGAUGCCCCAACUUAGCAGCACCCAACUGCAACAAACAGUAUGCUGAUACCAGUUGACAUAGCACCAGCUCUAUGAUGCAAAACCCCCAUUCCGGCAAAGAGUACACCAAAUCCAGUUCCCAAAUCCCUUUUUGAACGAGAGAGAGAGAGCCCCAAUUGCAGCAAAUAGGACCCUUGUUCCACUUCUUCGCAGUUUAGAAGACCAAGCUUAUAUUGUUGUCAGGAAUUUUGUGCGCAUCUUUCCUUCAUGGAAAGAUUAUACCACAGACACAGAACAAUUUCCAAUCUUCCUCCGCAACUUAUGCGUAAGUAAUGUACUAACUUUGUUCAUGGUAAUUACUGCAUAUGUUUUUGCUGACAGAAGACACAUUCUUUUAAAUAGGCGAGGACCAAACUGGAUAGUCAAGAUGAGCAAGGGUUGGUUGCGCUUUUCAAGCACUCGUUGAUGAACUAUCGUUCCUACCUAAGGCAAGUGCACUUCGAUGGCAAGCAUCUAAAUGAAAUUUCUAUAAAGUCUCUAGUGCUACAUUUAUUAGACAGUGACUGGAAUAAUCUUGUUACACAUUGGUAUCGUCUACAGCGUAAGGUACUGUAUGUGAUAUCACAUCACAAUCUGAACUACAUUUUUGCAUGUGCCUUACCGUCUCACUUGUAUGAAAAAUGUUUGCAGAAGAACAUUCAUUCUCAAGGGACCAUAGAAUCUCGCAACUAUACUGCCCACUGCAUUGCUCUUGUGAGUACCUCUUGCCCUGUAUGACCAUACUUAUUUUCAUAGUUGGUUGAUUAUGUAGCAUCACUGCACAUGUUAGCCUCGUUAUCCUCCAUUUGGUGGACAUUAUAAGUUUUGAAUCGACUCUUACAUAGAUUUAGAAUCAAACCAAUGCUUUUGAAGAGGUAUAGCUCUGUAGUCCUCUUGUAAGGACAAAACGUCUUCUAUCACUGUACUUGCAUUAACAGCUACUCCCUCUGUCCCAUAAUAUAAGAGUGUUUACACCAGUGUACAAAACACUCUUAUAUUAUGGGAAGGAGGGAUUGGUUCAUUGUGUAGCAUUCUGCAUCUUAUCUCCCUCGCCCACCAUUUACUAAAAAAUAGCAGAUCUAUAUAUAAUCUUACCAAAAAGUUGAAUACACAGACAAUGUCAGUGCAGAAGUGCAACCCAUUGCUCUUGUCAGUACAUUUUGUCCUGUAAUGCUUGUACUUACAGGGAUUGGUAGUUGAUUAUGUAGCAUCAAUCUGCAUCUUAUCCUCAUUAUACUCUAUCCCUUCUAGUAUCAUAUCUAUAAUUACUCUCUACAAAAUGUAGAGUACAGACAAUGCUUAUGAAGAACAUUAUGUGCUGAAAUUCUUGAGUUAUCCUUCCCUGGACAUGGAGAAGAGCAUUAUAAAGCCGGUGUUAAGUGUUAAUGCAAGUCAGUCCUUCUAAAGCCUUUAUCCCCAACUGCUGUUUAAUUUGCUCAUACUCCCUAUUGCCACCUAUUGUUUAGUUUGUUGUUUCUAUCAAAAUGCAUGUUCACAACAACCGUAAGUUCUAAGUUUUAGUUGUAAAACCAAAUUCCUUAUUCAUACUAUGCACAUUACUCAAUACUCCCUAUAUGUAUAAUCUAGUGUGUGGUGAAGCAGCCCACCUUUGCACCUUGUCAUCUCCUGUUUUAUCUUACUGAUGUGGCCGAUGAUAUGAACAACAUGCCAUGCACAUUAACCAAAAUAGAUACAAUGAUUGUCUUUGCCCUUCAUCUAUGCUUGUUUUUUUGACAUGGUAAUCCAGUAGUGUGGUGAAGCUCCCCACAUUAUGAACAAUGUCAAAUUAUGCUAUUGAUAUUUUAAACUGACUCUUUAUUUUCUAAUUUGAAAUUGGAUGGAAUUGACAGCAUAGUUACCAUCUUUGUUUAUACACGUGCAAAACCUGUCAUCUCUUUGCUUGUUUCAGGGUGAUAUGCCUGAUGGCAUGCACAAGUCUGGUGAAGGCUUGAGACAAACCCAACAACCAAUAUAUAUUCUAGCAAAGAAGGCAAAAUAUCUUGAAGAUAGCGAGACAACCCCAAAGUCAUGUAUCAAUGCAGUGUUCAAGUUACUUGAGACUAGCAGUCAGAUAAGCUCACAGAAUUUGCUGUCUGAAUCAGUUCGACUUCUUCAGUCUCAAGUUCAAGUAGAAAGGCAUUCUGCAACUCAACUUCGACUUGAAGUCCAAUCUAAGGAAGACCGCAGAGAACACGAAUGAGAACCUCAUUGCUAAACAACUGCACCUGGAAGUUAUGACCGACAUGCUAGGCAGGUCUCACAGCCUUGCUUGGCAGCUUGUGCAACAGCUCCCAUGCAAGGCUAAUCUUUGUUGAAUUUUCUUGGAAUCGGUCUUGUUUCAGUACUAUUUUGUUAUGUGCAAUGGCGCCCAGUUUUUGUAAUAUGCUUCUUCGUUGCGCUUUAUGUGAAAAAGGCGAAAAUCUGAUGUAGUCGACCGGCCUGAAACUUUCUCCUCUAACGAGCCUGCAUUUUAGCGGGCCACAAUUGGGCCGAUCCACAACUUUCUUGGGCCUGAAAGGCCAUUGGGGGCCCUUCACACUUUGUGCCAUGCCCACAACUUACACGGGCCUACAUUUGGCCUAAUGAUUAGUUGGACCUUUAGUGGACCGACCGCUUAGUUGGGCCCAUGUAGCUUCGGGCCAUUAAAAGGUUGAAUAUUCUGCUGGCCUGUUAAGGCCGAGAAGAUGCCAUGAGCCUUUAGUAGGCCGAAAUGCGUGUUGGGCCCCAAUUUUCUAUAGUCAUCAACGGGCCUUUAGCAGGCUGAAAUGUAGACCUGGCCAUUAUUGACCCACUUGUUGGACGGGCCAUUACCAGGCUGAAACAUAUCUCGUGCCUUAGUGGGCUCACUGAUAUCAUGGGCCUUUAAGAGGCCAAAAGCUUAGUAGAGGCAUCACCGGGCCAAAUUAUACGAUAGGCCUUUAACAGGCCCAAAGUCACAUUGGGCUAAACUGUUGCCACCUUGAUCACGAAUGGUUAGUGGGCUGGAUGUCCCGUCGGACCAUAUAUGGCCCAUGGGCAACAUGGGCCAUUCUCAUGCCGAAAGACACAUGGGGCUGAAAUGGGCCCAUGUCUACAUCGGGCCUUUAACAGGCCGAAGUGUCACUGGGUCAUAAUUGGGCCCAAAUACUCGAUGAACAAUUAAUGGGGCAGAUCUGGCUUUGGGCCGUAAAUGGGCCAUGUUUAAGCAGACUGUUAGUGGGCUGGCCCACUAGUACCUUAGUAAAUACCGCUGGCCUUUAACUGGGCCGGCCUUUUAACCUAUAUGGGCCUCUACUAGGCCCUGCCACGUGUCGACAUAUCAUAGGCACGUCUCCUCCAUUGGAUGGACAACAUCUGGCCCAUCGAGGAGCCGACACGUGUUUCCUCCGGCCAAUGAUGAUUUUACACAUGGAAAAUCCCCAUUGAUCAGGGCUCUUAACGGGUUAUCAGAUCCAAACCGGAACCCGGUAGCUUAACAUCGACCCGUUAUGGUGGAUUCCACGUGCCGGUUACCCUUGAUGAAAGCACUUCCAUGACACGUCAUUUAUUGUCAUGGAAGUGAACACUUCCGUGAUGAUAAUUUUGGUAUUGUCAUGGAACACUUCUACGACAGCACACGCAUGACAGAAAACCUGACCUACUGUGACAAACACGUAUUAUCACAGAAGUGAUUUUUUUUGUAGUGUGAAGUCAUCAUUGCCAAAACAUUAAUGCUUUAUGUAAAAGUGGCAACCUCACUUAUGCUUAAACGAUCAGUAUGACAUAUGACAAAUUUUCUCAUUUGGCUCUAAGUCAACAUACUCAUAUAUAGAUGAUUAUGUUAACACCCAUUGCUUGAUAGUUGCUAGAAUUGGUUGUGCAUGUUUGGCAUAUUCUAUUUGCUAUCUUAUCGUGUGAGCAUGUUGCGAUGCAUAUUUCUCAUUUAAGGGCAUCCAAUUGUGGUUUGAUUGAUUUGGUUUUAUUUGGCCAAUUGGUUGUGCAAGAAUGCCUAAGUACCUUCUCUAGCUAUACAUCUCAACUUGUCUCAAAUUCAUUCUUGCUAUAUCACAAAACUUGAACAAGUUCCUAUCGGACCCUUCGGGCGAGGAGCACUCGGAGCCACCGAUCUGAUUAGGGCUAACCUCCAAAAUCUUCUAAACAUAUUUCAGUUAGACCAAACCACUCCUAUUCGGUCACACCGAUUGCAUUUAUGCUGAUCCAAACUUUCAUCCCGGUAAGACCGAUAUGAAAAUCUUGACGUCGCUGAUGCUCUCUGUCACUGGCAGUUAUGCAUCUCGGUGAGACCGAUUUCUUUCGUCCGAUACUACGGACAUCACAUGGGUAUAUAUAUCAUGUGGACCUUACAUUGAAAAUUUAUUCAAUCGUUUUGCUCCCGCACCCCGUUGCUGCCAUCACCUGUAGUCUCUAGAUGAUCGUCCUUAUCUCCAAUGCGCCUUCGCCGUUGGAACCCAUCGUUGUCAACGGGAAUCUCCACCACUGUUGCCGCUGUAGCGGAUCUCCACCAAGUUAGGGUGAGAUUCGACCGCUAGUGCUUCUGUUUUUGAUUCCAUGCACUAGUGAUUUGCGCCCGCAACUUUGGCACAGAUUGAAAUUUCCUAUCCACCAUUGAUUCCAUAGAAGUAGGUUUGAGCAAAAAAUUUAGGGUUAGUUUGCGCAGAACUUACCUCAGAGCGACUGACUUGAACCAACUGAGAGUCAUCGAUUUGGCCUCAACCCUUGCACUUAGUACGUUUCGGUGUAAUUGAAAAGAAUUAAUCAGUGAUACCGAGUUAGUAUUUCUGCUGUAUCAUAUGCACUUUGGUGAAACCAGGAUUCACCUCAGUCUGACCGAAAUGUGAAACGCUAGUUUUAGUUUCAGCUUUGAUGCUUCCAAAAAUUUCAAAUUGGUAAUUCCAAAUGCUUCAUGUGAAAACCUGAAACUAAAAUUUGAAAUCAAGUUCUUUCAAAAAUGGUCGUGUUUUGUGAUGCUCAUCUACUCCACUCAAUCUAUUCUACUUCACAGGGUCUAUUGUCAGUAUGUCAGACACCAGUGAUAGUCAGAACAGGUCAGCAAAGGCUAGUGUUGAUUUGGAUGCAUGCUCUAGUCCAGAGGAAAGCUAUGAUGAACGAGAAAGGAGUUCUCCUAGCUUGCCAAAGGUAGCCACCAAGGCCAGAAAGAAGAGGGAUUCUGAUGUGGAAGAUGGAGACUACAUGCCAAAUGAGUUCACUUCCAAGAAGAAGAAUGUUGUCUGUGUCAAGGAGUAUGGCAAUGCUCAAAAGAAAAGGCCCAGGAAAUUCUUAAAGAUUGCUACUACUAGCUCAAAGCCAUGCCAAGGCAAGUCUAUGGCCAAAGUGGUUGGAAAGAAAAGAGAGAGAGAGAAGAAGACUGCCCAUGUGGUGUUCGAGCCCACAUCCACGAGGAGGGAGGAUGGACCAAUUGUUGAUGAGCCACCUCCCAAGCAACAAAAAUUGAUGGCAGAUGUUAUGCCCAAGUUGGCUUCUACCAACUUCAAGACAACUGUUGCCCCCAAGCCUAAGGGGAAGACCACAAGAAAUAUUUCAGUUGCUGAGAAGAAUAAGGCCCAAGUGCCUGAGAGAGCUAUAGAUGUUGUUGGCGAUGAUGACGAGCCCAUAGUGCUAAAGAAGUUGAGAGCCAGACUACCUGAGGAUGAUGAUACACAUCAUGUUGCUGAGAACAUGAAGGAGAGUAAGAUAAAGGCCCGAGAAAGUGGAGAGACUCUGAUCCAUACUCAGUGAGGAGGAGGACUGAUGUGGACUAUCGCUUCUACACUAAGGAGCAACAGGACUUCUAUGAGAUAGUGCUUCUCGAGAAGAAGCCAGUGGUAAGUGACUUGAGAUGAGUAGACUAGAAGUUCAUUGACAAGAUUAAAGAUCACUUUCCUCAUGUUCAUGAAGGCUUCAGAAUGGUUGGUGUUGAUAAGUUCAUAGGUAAGAAGUUGGCUUCAUGGAAUGAUGAGAUGAUCAUGCAAUUCUACUCAACUGCUCACUUCUACCCCAAUGGCAGAAUUGUAUGGAUGACCGAGGGAGCCAGAUAUCAGCCCAGUGUUGUUGAAUGGGCUGGAUUACUAGGUCUUCGUGAGGCUGAUGAUGAUGGCAUUAAUGUCUAUGCCAAGACCAAGAUGGAUCACAACUCUAUGAAGAACAUGUACACUGAAAUUCCCAAGAAGUACUUAGAGUCUCACAAGCUUGGAUCCAUAUAUCAUUUGUGGCUGGCCUAGCUACCUCCAGCACCAUCAUGAGGCACACUUUGAUGCCAACAUCUGGAUAUGAGAAGAUGAUCAAACGCCACUCUAUCAACAUGCUGCAUCACAUUGAUGAGCACCGGAAGUUUAAGGUGAUGGAUAUCAUUAUGGGAACUAUCAAGAGGAUUGCUGUAGAUUAGAAACGGCCAUGUGGUUUUGCUCCACACGUUCAGUUGCUUAUUAUCUCCAAGGUUGGUAACAAGACAUAUCUACUUAAUCAUGAGCAUUUGCUGCUACAGCCGGAGUUUGAGAACAACACUGUCACAAUGGAUCCUUCCCAUCCCACCUCGGCUGCAGCACAGGAAGAGAUAAAGGCAAAAGGCAAGGCUGCUAGGAAUGCAGAGCCUAUGCUACCACCACCCCCUUCCUCAAGACCAAGACUGACCAGAUGAACUAUCUUCUUCGAGCUACUCAGAGGACUGAGAAGAGCUUGAAAAACAUAGUGAAGAACCAGGAGAGCUUCGAGAGGAUCAUUGAGACUAAAUUCCAUGAUCUUGAUGUCAAGGUCACAGAGAUAUAGACCAUUGUUGAGAGUCUGAAGAAGGAAGUGGACAAAGUGAGAGUACAUUCUAGUAGUGAUGACGAGCACCAUGGCACAUGACUUCCCACUACUACCCAGUCCCAGACCAUGCCUAGGUCAGCAGUCAUGAUAGUCACCUCCAGAGCCACAGUUUUAGCUCCAGCUGUUGCACCUACAGUUAUUCCAUUAGUUCCUCUAGUGGUCUCUACACCACCACCCGAGUAGACAUCGGCCAAUAUCUUCACAAACACACUUCUCUCUACUCCGACAACGUCUACACACAUCGGUGCUGCAAGUCAGAGGACUUCACCACCAGGAGAUGCAGGAGAUCGAGCCCAGAGCUACAUUUAGCUCUUUACUCCUUUGAACUUUUUGGUACUUGUUGCCAAAGGGGCAGAAUUAGCAUAAAUCAUUAGGGAUGACACACACACACACACACACACACACACACACACACAGAGAGAGAGAGAGAGAGAGAGAGAGAGAGAGAGAGAGUUCUUGCCUUUUCUUGUUUGGUUUUCAUGCUACUUCAUGAUACUUUUGUUUGAUGCUUGUAUGAGACUACAUUACUUUGUGCUUGAUCAUACCGUACUUUGAUGUUAUGCUUGCUUAUAUAUGUAUUCAUAUGCUCCUUGUAUGAUCAUUCACUUGAUUGCUUGGUGAUGAGUGCUUACUACAUUGCAAUCAUAUCAUACGAGCGCUCCACCAAGAUGUAUGUGACAUGGACGAGUUGCCCAUGAUCCUAAUCGAUUAUGCAUUUGCAUUCAAAUGCAAAUUUUUAACAAUGCACAAAUUUAGGGGAGCUCUUACUUACCAAAUACUUCUCAAAGCGACAAUGCAUUUCAUUAAUAUAUCAUUUGUCAAACCUUUGAUCUAUAUGUUGUAAUUAAUUACCAAAAAGGGGGGACUGAAAGUGCAGCUAAUCCCUGGGUGGUUUUGGUAAUCAAUAAUAACAUAUAAGUCAUUGAACUAAUGCCUUCUCAAGAUAAGAUUUAAGAAGUUCAAUAUUGGCAUGGCAAGGACUAGUGGUUGUGGACCCCUCAAAACGGUAAGCACAUAGAAUUGGCAAAGCUUCAAGACUCUACAUUUUUUGUUAAGCACAAGAAGAGAUAGGAAAGCCAAUACUAUUAAAACGGGAUGAGGUUUUGAUGAUGAGUUUGUUGCUCAAGUGCUUAGAGAUAUUGCUCCAAAACCCUCAACCACAUUCUCCAAAUCACUUAUGUCCAAACCCUAAAGUUUAAUCUUGGUCCCACCAAAAAGCUCUAUCCCAGACUCACCGUUGAUCACAUACACUACCAGAGCCAAACCCUAACAUUUCUGUUAUACCGAUAUGGAUCUCGGUCUCACUAAGAUGGCGUGACCAAAAUUUUGUAAUGAAAUCGCUUCACUUCGGAAUCACCGAGUUGAAACGAUUGGAAUUACCGAGAUGAGGCUCCGCCCUAGCCAUUGCGCUUCGAUCGGUCUGAGUUGUUCUCUUCGGUCUCACCGAGAUGUCCAACGUUCAAAUCUUUUGCAUAGGUCGGUCCCACCGAGAAUUGCUUCAGUGUCACCGAGUUGAGUCAAAAGGUUGUAAUGGUUAGAUCUUUGGGUGAAGCCUAUAUAUACCCCUUCACCCCACCUACUCUCCAAGAGAGCCAUCAGAAUGAAACACAACUUCCACCAUUCAAUUUCUGAGAGAGAACCACCUACUCAUGUGUUGAGAUCAAGCCACUUGAUUCUAAUCAUUUGAAUCUUGAUUUCUAGGCUUCCAAAAGUUUCUUUCCACUCAAAUCCUUCUCCUACCAUAGCCAAAUAUGUGAGAGAGUGAUUGAGUGUUGGGGAUACUACUUUUGAAGCACAAGAGCAAGGAGUUCAUCAUCAACUACACAUCUAUUGCCUUUUGGUGUCACUUGGGAGCCUCCAAGAUCUUGUGAAGUCGAACCAAGGAGUUUGUAAGGGCAAGGAGAUCGCCUACUUCGUGAAGAUCUACCCCGAGUGAGGCUAGUACUUCAUGGACGUAAGCCAUGAUGGAAUGCACAAGGUUGCUUCUUCGUGGACCCUUCAUGGGUGGAGCCCUCCAUGGACUCGCGCAACCAUUACCCUCCAUGGGUUGAAGUCUCCAUCAACGUGGACGUACGACAGCACCACCUAUCAGAACCACGCAAAAAAUCACCAUGUCUUCAUUGCGUUUUAUUUCUCCGAUCCCUCCUUUACGCUCAUAUGCAAGGUCUUUUAUUUUUGCUGCUCAACUCUUAGACUUGCAUGUGUAGGGUGUUGCUUGACUUGGUAUAAUUGCUAAAAAUUGCCUACAAUUAAAAUUGGGAAAAAUAAGUUUUUAUUUGGUCAAGUAAUCUAAUCGCCCCCCUCUAGACAUACUUCUGAUCCUACAAGUAUAUAGGUCCUUCUUCUACAUAUAUGUUGUACAUAAUGUUGUCUUACAUUACUUUUACCACAGGUGGACCUUAUAUGUUCAGGCCCUGUUCCUUUGACUCGAUUACGAAGAAUCACUGUCCUGGGAAUCAAAAUCAAAAAAUAACUGACCUCUACCCAGGAAUCACCUAGAAUCAACCCACAAUCACAGCGCAAUCUAGAAUCGUGGAAACUUGGUGAUUCUCGCAAGUCUGGCCAGCCCCUCAAAAUGAAAUGUUUCAGUUUCAAGUAAUAUUCCUAUUACACAACUCUAUUUAUGGCCAGAAUGCCACUCGGGCAGCCCAACCGAGCAAGGGCCCAAUCGAGGGAUUCGCAAUGUGCAACUUCUUGAGCUUGCGUUGGUUUUUCCCUUGAAAAGGAAAGGGUGAUGCAACAAAGUACAGAUAAGUAUUUCCCUCGGUUAAGAACCAACCAAGGUAUCAAUCAAGUAGGAGGAACACACAAGUCCCCAAUGAUUGGACCUACACAAACAAACAAGUACUUGCACCCAACGCGAAAAAGGGGUUGUCAAUCCCUUCAGGUUAUUUGCAAGGAUGAGAUCUGAUAGAGAUAGGCAUAAAAGAUAAAUAAAAGCGCAAAAUAAUGUAAUGGUAAAUAAGUUGCAGCAAGGUAUUUUUGUGUUUUUGAUUUUAUAGAUAUGAAAAUAAUAUGAUAAAAAUAGGCCCCCGGGCCAUAGUUUUCACUAUAGGCUUCUCUCUUGAAAGAAAGCAUACAGUGGGUAAACAAAUUACUGUUGAGCAAUUGAUAAAAAAGCGCAAAGUUGUGACAAUAUCUAAGGCAAUGAUCAUGCAUAUAGUCAUCAUGUCCGUGACAAGUAGACCAACUCCUGCAUGCAUCUACUACUAUUACUCCACACAUUGACCGCUAUCCAGCAUGCAUCUAGUGUAUUAAGUUAACAAGAACGGAAUAAUGCCUUAAGCAAGAUGACAUAAUGUAGAGGGAUAGAUCCAAUCAAUAUGAAUAAAUCCCACCUUUUUAUCCUUAGUGGCAACAAUAGAAAUACAUGUCAUGUCUCCUUCUAUCACUGGGUAUGAGCACCGCAAGAUUGAACCCACUACAAAGCACCUCUCCCAUUGCAAGAAAAAUCAAUCUAGUUGGCAAGACCAAAUCAAUAGACCAGAGAGAAAUACAAAGCUAUCUUAAUCAUGCAUAAAAGAGUUUGAUACGUCUCCAACAUAUCUAUAAUUUUUGAUGUAUUCAUGCCAUGUUUAUAAUAUUUUUACAUGAUUUUGGUAUGAUUUGGUUAGAACUAACCCGGACUGACGCAGUUUUCAGCAGAACUAUUGUGGUGUUGUUUUUGUGCAAAAAUAGAAGUUCUCGGAAUGCGCUGAAAAUCUACGGAGAUUUUUUCUAAAAAAUAUAAAAAAUAUUGAACGAAGAGUUACCGGAGGGGAGUCCCGUGGGCCCCACGAGGGUGGAGGGCGCAACCCCCCUAGGGCGCGCCCCCUACCUCGUGGACUCCCUGUGGGCCCCCCUGACUUCUUCUCGAUGCCAACCUCUCCUAUAAAUCCCCAAACCUCCAGAACAUAACCUAGAUCGGGAGUUCCACCGCCGCAAGCCUCUAUAGCCACCAAAAACCAAUCGAGACCCUAUUCCGGUACCCUGUCAGAGGAGGGAUCCAUCACCGGUGGCCAUCUUCAUCAUCCCGGCACUCUCCAUGAUGAGGAGGGAGUAGUUCACCCUCGGGGCUGAGGGUAUGUACCAGUAGCUAUGUGUCUGAUCUCUCUCUCUCUCUCGUGUUCUUGAUAUGGCAUGAUUUUGAUGUACUGCUAGCUUUGCUAUUAUAGUUGGAUCUUAUGAUGCUUCUCCCCCUCUAUCCUCUUGUGAUGAAUUGAGUUUUCCCUUUGAAGUUAUCUUAUUGGAUUGAGUCUUUAAGGAUUUGAGAACACUUGAUGUAUGUCUUGCGUGGGAUACUCGUGGUGACAAUGGGGUAUUCUAUUGAUUCACUUGAUGUAUGUUUUGGUGAUCAACUUGCGGGUUCCAUGACCUUGGGAAUCUAUGCAUAGGGGUUGGCACACGUUUUCGUCUUGACUCUCCGAUAGAAACUUUGGGGCACUCUAUGAAGUUCUUUGUGUUGGUUUGAAUAGAUGAAUCUGAGAUUGUGUGAUGCAUAUCGUAUAAUCAUACCCACGGAUACUUGAGGUGACAUUGGAGUAUCUAGGUGACAUUAGGGUUUUGGUUAAUGUGUGUCUUAAGGUGUUAUUUUACUACGAACUCUAGGGCUGGUUGUGACACUUAUAGGAAUAGCCCAAUGGAUUGAUCGGAAAUAAUAACUUUGAGGUGGUUUCGUACCCUACAAUAAUCUCUUGGUUUGUUCUCCGCUAUAGUGACUUUGGAGUGACUCUUUAUUAUAUUGCAUGUUGAGGGAUUGUUAUAUGAUCUAAUUAUGUUAUCAUUGUUGAGAGAACUUGCGCUAGUGAAAGUAUGAACCUUAGGCCUUGUUUCAAAGCAUUGCAAUACCGUUUUCGCUCACUUUUACAACUUGUUACCUUGCUAUUCAGAUUACAAAAACCUAUAUCUACCAUCCAUAUUGCACUUGUAUCACCAUCUCUUCACCGAACUAGAGCACCUAUACAAUUUACCAUUGUAUUGGGUGUGUUGAGGACACAAGAGACUCUUUGCUAUUUGGUUGUAGGGUUGUUUGAGAGAGACUAUCUUCAUCCUACACCUCCCACAGAUUGAUAAACCUUAGGUCAUCCACUUGAGGGAAAUUUUCUAUUGUUGUACAAACCUCUGCACUCGGAGGCCCAACAAUGUCUACAAGAAGAAGGUUGCGUAGUAGGCAUCAAGCUCUUUUUUGGCGCCAUUGUCGGGGAGGUUAGUGCUUGAAGGUAUAUCUUUAGAUCUUGCAAUUGAGUCUUUUAGUUUCUUAUUUUAUCACUAGUUUAGUCUAUAAAAGAAAACUACAAAAAAAGGAAUUGAGGGCACCUCAUAUGCUUCAUCUUUUUAAUGUCUUUCAUGAAAAUAAGGAUUCCGAUAAUUGUGCCAAAGUGUUAGAAGAAGAAUGCAUUAAAAGGUUUGUCAUAAAAUAUUUGAAUGAUGAGCAUGAUUGCAAUGUUGUUAGUAUGAAUUCCUUGAAUAUCCAUGAUGCUAAUGAUAUGCAAAGCCACAAGCUUGGGGAUGCUAUGUUUGAUGAAGAUGAUAUUUUUAGUCCCCCAAGUUUUGAUGAGCAAAUUUAUUAUGAUGAUAGCAUGCCUCCUAUUUAUGAUGAUUAUAUUGAUGAAAGUGGGUUUGGAAGAGUGUCAACUUUAGGAAGUAAUGAUCCCACUAUUUUGGAGGGUGUUGAAUCUUAUUGUGAUAAUUAUGAAAGUGGAUUUGGAGAGGUCAUGACUUUAUUUAGUGAUGAAUCCACUAUUUCAGAAGAGGUUCCAAUUGAUUAUGAGAACAAAGUUGGUAUCUAUGAUGAUUAUUGUGAUGACAUGUAUGCUAUAAAGAAUAAUGAUAACUAUGAAAUCUGUCAUCUUGAUUUUAAUUUUCAAUUGGAUUAUGCCUCACAUGAUAGUUAUUUUGUUGAGUUUGCUCCCACUACUAUGAAUGAGAAAUUGUUUCCUUAUGUGGAGAGUAGUAAAAUUUCUAUGCUUGUGGCUCAUGAAAAGAAUGCUUUAUGUGAUGGUUAUAUUGUUGAAUUCAUUCAUGAUGCUACUGAAAAUUAUUAUGAGGUUGGAAUAUAUGCUUGUAGGAAUUGCAAUAAUAUCAAGUUUCCUCUCCAUGUGGUGAAAAUCUUGCAGUUAUGCUUGUUUUGCCUUCCUAUGCUAGUUGAUUCUUGUUCCCAUAAGUUGUUUGCUCACAAAAUCCCUAGGCAUAGGAAGUGGGUUAGACUUAAAUGCGCUAGUCAUAUGCUUCAUGAUGCUCCUAUUAUGUUUCUAUUUUUCUCUUUAAUGUGAGCAUCAUUGAAAUCAUCAUGCCUAGCUAGAAAGGCAUUAAAGAAAAGUGCUUGUUGGGAGACAACCCAAUAUUUACCCCUACUAUUUUUGUGUGUCCAGAUGAUUAAGCUACUAUAGUAAUCAUGUAUAAUAGCUUUUGUUUCAAUAAAGUGCCAAGUAAGACCUUUGGGAUAGCUUAUGGUGAUAGUUGUGUUGAUCCUGCUGAAAAUCAGAAACUUUUGCGCCCAGUAAAUUAGUUUUAAUAAUUCACAAAAACCUGAUUUUGACCUGAUUCUUUUUGCUAUAGAUUGGUGCACAAAUUUCUUAGGUGAAUCUAAUUUUUUCCGAAUUUGUAGAGUUACAGAAGUAUUCUAGAGUUACAGAUUACUACAGACUGUUCUGUUUUUAAUGAAUUCUGUUUUCUAUGUGUUAUUUGCUUAUUUUGAUGAAUCUAUGAGUAGUAUCGGAGGCUAUAAACCAUAUAGAAGUUGGAAUACAGUAGAUAUUACACCAAUAUGAAUUUAGAAUGAGUUCACAUGCAGCGACCACGAUCCCAAUGGACCAAAGUCUGUGCUGAAGUGUCAUCCCUGGAUUGGUAAUGCUGACACACAUAGUACUUGAGGAUUUAUAAUAGAGUUCAAUCACAUACUUAUUACAUCGAGUCCCCAUAAAGAGUAUGAUUAAAAAAAAUGGCGGAAGGCCAUCUAAACUAAAUAACUGCAGAAGCUUCGUAGGUGAAUGAGUCCAUCAACUCCAACGGCAUAGCUGAGUGCAAGACAACGACCUAUCGCACCUUAUUCGUCAUCUGAGUAGUCUGCAACAUGAAAUGUUGCACCCGUGUAGGUCAGCACAUUGAAUAUACUAGCAGCGUUACACUGUAAAGCAAUGAAAUGCAAGAACUAUAUCUACAUGCAAUAUUUAGCUGGUGGAGGCUCUAAGUUUAGGAUUUUGCAUAAAGCUAGUUUUCCCUACAACAAAGGAAUUAAAUUAUUUAAACUACUCCCAAGUUGUACCAAUAUUUGAGAAGGUUCCCCCAACUCAAAUCCCAAUUAAGUAUCAUCAUAAAACCCAAUUCUAAUUAAUUAAUGAGUGAUGAGAUCAACAAUAAUAUCCAAUUCCAGAUACUCAAGAUGUCCAUAACCGGGGACAAGACUAACCAUGAUUAGUUUAUACACUCUGCAAAGGUUGUGCACUUUUCCCCAGAAGACUCGACCGCAUCCAUGAUCGGAAGAUCGAGACAUAGUCUUUCUGAAGCAUUAACUCUCUACUCCGGCCAGACCGGUACACCUACUUUCCCCUACAUCUGCUAGUCCACCUCUUCGAGAGCUCAUACAACUUAUUCAACUAUGCCAGAGCCCAUAAUGGCUUGUGGCUGCACACGGAAGUUUCUAGGCAUGAAAUAUCAUAUGAUCCCUUUGAGACUGGGUGGCGAACCGAGGAAAAAUCACACAGAUACCCUGGGAUUUCCCUUAAUGGACAACACUGGUUCCCCAAGUGCCCCAACCAAUCCACCCAGAUGUGUAUUAAAGUUGCCACCUUAAUGUUAUCCAAUAUUAAUAACUCUCAUAACUUCCAUGUGAAUAACUAUCCAAUCCCCGUCUACGAUCAUGGCUAAGCAAUAAUUGAGCAUAACAUAUAUUCCUAUGGUGAUCAAAAGGUAUUAGGUUCCUACCUCAUAAUACUACAAUCAAACCACAUGUUCCCAAUCCUACUCAUGCCAAAAUUUGAGGAGCAAUACUAAUGCAUAGUAAAACUGGGUAUAGAAUGGUAUGAUCAAAGUGUAUCUUGCCUUGCUGACGAUCUGCAAACUCUAGAGAUUCGUACUAACAAGCUUCGCACUCCAGGUAAUCUAGCAUAGACAAACAUUAGCAUACAUAAGCAAUCACUCAACCAAAACAACGAGAAAUCAAGAAAAGAUCCAAAUUAAACACAAAACAAGCAAACGACUAAACUAAGAAGAAAACAAAACCUAACAACAUUAUUUUCACGUGGAUUAGAUCUUGACAGUAGGACACAUGAUUAGCUACGAUUUGCAAAAGAAACAACUCAAACGGAGUUACGAAACUCAAAAUACGAACAAAACAAGAUCAACUAAACUCAAAUUUUAAAUUGUCAAAAUCAUGUUCAAGUUGGUUAACUGGAAAGAAGAGAUCAAAACAAAGAUUAAGGCGCUGGUUUCAUCUAAUUUGGACAAACGAGCAAAAAGUGACGCUAGUUUUAAGAUCAGGGGCUAAAUCGUGAUAAAACUAUUUGCGGAUAGGUCCCUGGCCGAAAAUGAAACUAAAAAGAAAAAAAAUCUACCGUGCGAACAUUUGUUAACAGGACUAAAUGAACGAAACCGUUUGUUAAAAUGAACUAACGAGUGAACGUUUACUAAAUAAACAAAAACUAAAACUAAAAGCCGAUCUAACCUAAACCAAAAAAACAAACCGGAAAAACCGAAUGGUUUUAUAUUGUUUAGCUGGGGUUGACCGAUGGCGAUAUCUGGCGAGCGGCAGCGGGAUUUUGGGGGCGGCGGCAGGGCGGUGGCAGCUGUGGGCGGCGGUGGCGGUUACAGUGCGGUGGCGACGGCACGGCGGCGCGGGCGGAGGGCUGCAGUGGCGGGGCUGGCGAUGAGGGGUAGAGGGGGGAGGGUGUCGGCCCUUAUAAAGGGGCCCCGAGGCGGUGGCGCUACCCGGAGUCCUUCAGGACUUCGUUGGUGGCUCGGAGGCGGACUCCUCCGCGGAGGAAGGCGGCGGUGCUCGCGUGUGCCGGCUCGGCUUCGGCCCAGUUCGGUCCAGGAAAACUUCUUUUUUAAUAAUUUCGCCACGAAAGAAAAAUCCUAAAAAAAUAUAAAAAAUUCUAAAAAUUCCAGAAACAAUUUUCACCAUCCAAACCUAAUAUUUAGGACAAGAUGAACAUUUUUCUGGACUAAAAUGCAAUUUUAAAAAAUGCAUGUUUUCUCUAAUUCAAAUAAAAUAGCAAAUAAAAUACAAAUAAAAUAAUAAUUUGAUUUUAAAAUUUCUUCUCCAAUAUUUCUCUUUUGUUGAAGAAGUCAUAUCUUCUCUCAUUUAUUUUUAUUAUCAGAAAUAUUUGGAGAGAAAAUAUUAAAAUCAAAUUGAUCCUCUUUUCAAAUUUGAAACUAAUUCAAAUAUGAAAAUUUUGUGAAACUUCCAACUCUCUCCUUGGGUCCUUGAGUUGCUUAAGAUUUCUAGGAUCACGACCAAAAUGCAAUUAAAAUAUGAUACACAUACGAUGAUCUAUGUAUAACAUCCAAAUUGAAAAUUAGGAUGUUACAAACCUACCCCCUUAAGGUGAAUCUCGCCCUCGAGAUUCGGGUUGGUUAGCAAAAAGGUUUGGGUGGUCCUUGCGAAGAUCUUCUUCUCGCUCCCAGGUGGUUCCUCUUCAGUAUGGUGGCUCCACUGAACUUUGCAAAACUUGAUAACCUUGCCGCGAGUAACUCGACUAGAAAACUCGAGAAUCUUGACUGACUUCUCUUCAUAGGUCAGAUCACUAUCCAACUGAAUUGCUUUUAGUGGCACUGUAUCUGUCACAGGAAUGUCGGCCAUCUCUGCGUGGCACUUCUUCAACUGGGAAACGUGAAACACAUCGUGAACUCCUGACAAUCCCUCGGGUAAUUCCAACUUGUAUGCGACUUCUCCCGUGCGUUCCAAAAAUCUAUAUGGUCCCACAAAACAUGGUGCUAGCUUUCCCUUGACUCCAAAACGUUUAACUCCUUGAAGUGGGGACAUACGAAGAUAUGCUCUGUCUCCGACUUCGUAAGCUACCUUCUUGCAUUUAGUAUUCACAUAACUCUUCUGCCUGGACUGGGCUACCUUGAGUCGGUAUCGUAUUAACUUAACCUUCUCCUCAGACUCUCUGAUUAAGUAUGGUCCAAACAAUUUUUGAUCUCCAACUUCAUCCAAUGAUAAUGGUGUCCUGCCCAUCCUUCCGUACAAAGCUUCGAAAGGGGUCAUCUUCAAACUAUCUUGCUAACUAUUGUUAUAGGAGAACUCUGCAUAGGGAAAAUUGUCAUCCCAACUAGAUCCAUAAUCUAGCGCACAAGCUCUCAACAUGUCCUUUAGAAUCUGAUUGACUCUCUCGGUCUGUCCAUCUGUUUGUGGAUGAAAGGCAGUGCUAAACUCUAGCCUGGUACCCAAAGUUUCGUGCAACUGAUUCCAAAACUUUGAAGUAAGCUGUGUUCCUCUAUCUGAUACAAUGGUCCUCGGAACUCCAUGCAAACAUACGAUCCUGGUCAUGUAUAUCUUUGCCAACUUAGCACUUGUAUAAGUUGUCUUCACAGGGAUGAAAUGAACUACUUUCGUCAAACAAUCUACUACAACCCAGAUAGAGUCAUAGCCUGAACGAGUCCUGGGUAAUCCAGUGAUAAAAUCCAUGCCAAGCUUAUCCCACUUCUAUUCGGGUAUCGGCAACGCCUGUAGCAAUCCUGCUGGUUUCUGAUGUUCUGCCUUAACUCUCUGACAUACAUCACAUACUGCUACAUACUCGGCAUAUCCUUCUUCAUUCCUGUCCACCAGAAACUUUCCUUUAAAUCCAGAUACAUCUUAGUGUUGCCUGGGUGAAUCGAGUAAGGCGAAUCAUGAGCCUCCUGGAGAAUCAACUUCCUGAUCUCAUGGUUAUUAGGCACAUAAGUACGAUCGUCAAACCAUAAAGUGUCGUGUUCAUCCUCAUGAAAUCCCUUAGCCUUUCCUUUACUCAUCCUUUCCUUUAUCUCAGAAAUCUCCUUGUCCGUCUUCUGGGCUUCUCUGAUCUUACCCAACAAAGUGGACUGAAUUUCCAAUGCUGCAACAUAACCUCUCAGAACUACCUCCAAGCAUAGUGAUAACCCACAAGUGUAGGGGAUCGCAACAGCUUUCGAGGGUGAAGUACAACCCAAAUUUAUUGAUUCGACACAAGGGGAGCCAAAGAAUAUUCUUGAGUAUUAGCAGUUGAGUUGUCAAUUCAACCACACCUGGAUGACUUAGUAUCUGCAGCAAGGUAUUUAGUAGCAAAGUAGUAUGAUAAUAAUGGUAACAGUAGCAAAAGUAAAGAUAAACGUUUUUGGGUUUUUGUAGCAGUUGUAACAGUAACAACGGAAAAGUAAAUAAGCAAAGAACAAUAUGUGAAAAGCUCGUAGGCAAUGGAUCAGUGAUGGAUAAUUAUGCCGGAUGCGAUUCCUUAUGUAAUAGCUAUAACAUAGGGUGACACAGAACUAGCUCCAGUUCAUCAAUGUAAUGUAGGCAUGUAUUCCGUAAAUAGUCAUAUGUGCUUAUGGAAAAGAACUUGCAUGACAUCUUUUGUCCUACCCUCCCAUGGCAGCGGGCCUCCUUCUAAUAGAGAACCGGACCAAAGCAUUAACACAUAAUGAAUACAUGAACUCCUCAAACUACGGUCAUCACCGAGAAGUAUCCCGAUUAUUGUCACUUCGGGGUUGUCGGAUCAUAACACAUAAUAUGUGACUAUAGACUUGCAAGAUAGGAUCAAGAACACACAUAUAUUCAUGAAAACAUAAUAGGUUCAGAUCUGAAAUCAUGGCACUCGGGCCCUAGUGACAAGCAUUAAGCAUAGCAAAGUCAUAGCAACAUCAAUCUCAGAACAUAGUGGAUACUAGGGAUCAAACCCUAACAAAACUAACUUGAUUACAUGGUAAAGCUCAUCCAACCCAUCACCGUCCAGCAAGCCUACGAUGGAAUUACUCACUCACGGCGGUGAGCAUCAUGAAAUUGGUGAUGGAGGAUGGUUGAUGAUGACGACGGCGACGAAUCCCCCUCUCUGGAGCCCCGAACAGACUCCAGAUCAGCCCUCCCGAGAGAGAUUAGGGCUUUGCGGCGGCUCCGUGUCGUAAAACGCGAUGAAACUUUCUAUCUGAUUUUUUUCUCCCCGAGACGGAAGAUAUAGAGUUGGAGUUGAGGUCGGUGGAGGUCCAGGGGGCACGAGAUAGGGGGGCGUGCCCCCUGUCUCGUGGACAGGCCCUGGGUCCCAUGGUGUAUUUCUUCCACCCAGAAAUUCUUAUUAAUUCCAAAAAGUGUCUCCGUGGAUUUUCAGGACAUUCCGAGAACUUUUCUUUUCUACACAUAAAACAACAUCAUGGCGGUUCUGCUGAAAACAACAUCAGUUCGGGUUAGUUUCAUUCAAAUCAUGCAAGUUAGAGUCCAAAACAAGGGCAAAAGUGUUUGGAAAAGUAGAUAUGUUGGAGACGUAUCAACUCCCCCAAGCUUAAACCUUUGCUUGUCCUCAAGCAAUUCAGUUGAUAAACUGAAAGUGAUAAAGAAAAACUUCUACAAACUCUGUUUGCUCUUGUUGUUGUAAACAUGAAAAGCCAGCAUUCAAGUUUUAGUAAAUAUUAUGAACUAACCAUACUCACAAUAACACUUAGGUCUCACAAUUACUCAUAUCAAUAACAUAAUCAGCUAGCGAGCCAUAAUAAUAAAACUCGGAUGACAACACUUUCUCAAAACAAUCAUAACAUGAUAUAACAAAAUGGUAUCUUGCUAGCCCUUUCCGAGACCGCAAAACAUAAAUGCAGAGCACCUUUAAAGAUCAAGGACUGACUAAACAUUGUAAUUCAUGGUAAAAGAGAUCCAGUCGAGUCAUAUCCAAUAUGAACCAAUAGAAAUGAAUGCAAAUGACAGCGUGCUCUCCAGUGAGUGCUUUUAAUAAGAAGGGUGAUGACUCAACAUAAAAGUAAAUAGAUAAGCCCUUCACAGAGGGAAGCAGGGAUUUGUAGAGGUGCCAGAGCUCGAUUUUAAUUGAAUAACAUUUUGGGUGGCAUACUUUCACUGUCAAUGCAACAACUAUGAGAUGGCUAUAUCUUCCAUACUACAUGCAUUAUAGGCAGUUCCCACGCAGAAUGGUAAAAGUUUAUACUCCCCCAACCACCAACAAGCAUCAAUCCAUGGCUUGCUCGAAACAACGAGUGCCUCCAACUAACAACAAUCCUGGGGGAGUUUUGUUUAAUUAUUUUGAUUUGCUUUGAUCUUUUUGGAUCAUGGGACUGGGCAUCCCGGUUACCGGCCCUUUCUCGUGAAUGAGGAGCGAAGUCCACUCCUCGUGAGAAUAACCCACCUAGCAUGGAAUAUAUAGGCAGCCCUAGUUGUAACAUGAGCUACUCGAGCAUACAAAAUAGAAUUUCAUUUGAAGGUUUGGAGUUUGGCACAUACAAAUUUACUUGGAACGGUAGGUAAAUACCGCAUAUAGGAAGGUAUAGUGGACUCAUAUGGAACAACUUUGGGGUUUAAGGAGUUUGGAUGCACAAGCAGUAUUCCCGCUUAGUACAUGUGAAGGCUAGCAAAUGACUAGGAAGCGACCAACUGAGAGAGCGAUAACAAUCAUGAACAUGCAUUAAAAUUAAUUCACACCGAAUACAAGCAUGAGUAGGAUAUAAUCCACCAUGAACAUAAAUAUCAUGAAGGCUAUGUUGAUUUGUUUCAACUACAUGCGUGAACAUGUGCCAAGUCGAGUCACUCAAUUCAUUCAAAGGAGGAUACCAUCCCAUCAUACCACAUCAUAAUCAUUCUAAUAGCAUGUUGGCAUGCAACGUAAACUAUUAUAACUCAUAGCUAAUCAAGCAUGGCAUAAGCAACUAUAAUCUCUAAAUGUCAUUGCAAAUAUGUUUACUUCAUAAUAAGCUGACUCAGAAAUGAUGAACUCAUCAUACUUACAAAAACAAGAGAGGUCGAGUUCAUACCAGCUUUUCUCAUCCCAAUAAGUCCAUCAUAUAUCGUCCUUAUUGCCUUUCACUUGCACGAACGAACGAUGUGUAUAAUAAUAAGAGUGCACGUGCAUUGGACUAAGCUGGAAUCUAUAAGCAUUCAAAUCAAAAGAGAAGACAAAUAAUAUGGUAUAGUAUGUAUAUAUAGUAUACCCGUGAUCACCUCCCGAGUGAUCACGGCUCGAUAGUAUAGCAAGGCAGACUGACAAGAAUGUAGGACCACUAAUGAUAAACUAGCAUCCUAUACUAAGCAUUCAGGAUUGCGGGUAAGGUAUCAACAACUGUAGCAACAAUGAUGGGCUAUGCAACAUAAUAGGAUUAACCGAACAGUAACAUGCUACACUACUCUAAUGCAAGUAGUAGAGAGAAGAAUAGGCGAUNNNNNNNNNNNNNNNNNNNNNNNNNNNNNNNNNNNNNNNNNNNNNNNNNNNNNNNNNNNNNNNNNNNNNNNNNNNNNNNNNNNNNNNNNNNNNNNNNNNNNNNNNNNNNNNNNNNNNNNNNNNNNNNNNNNNNNNNNNNNNNNNNNNNNNNNNNNNNNNNNNNNNNNNNNNNNNNNNNNNNNNNNNNNNNNNNNNNNNNNNNNNNNNNNNNNNNNNNNNNNNNNNNNNNNNNNNNNNNNNNNNNNNNNNNNNNNNNNNNNNNNNNNNNNNNNNNNNNNNNNNNNNNNNNNNNNNNNNNNNNNNNNNNNNNNNNNNNNNNNNNNNNNNNNNNNNNNNNNNNNNNNNNNNNNCAGAAAAUUAAAAUUUUUCCUACGGUUUCACCAAGAUCCAUCUAUGAGUUCAUCUAAGCAACGAGCCAAGGGAGUGAGUUUGCAUCUACAUACCACUUGUAGAUCGCGUACGGAAGCGUUAGAUGAAGCGGUGAUGAUGGAGUCGUACUCGCCGUGAUUCAGAUCACCGGAGAUCCUAGCGCCGAACGGACGGCACCUCCGCGUUCAACACACGUACGGAGAGUGUGACGUCUCCUCCUUCUUGAUCCAGCAAGGGGGAAGGAGAGGUUGAUGAUGAUGGCUCCAGCAGCAGCACAACGGCGUGGUGGUGGUGGAACAGCAGCACUCCGGCAGGGCUUCGCCAAGCACGUAACGGAGGAGGAAGAGGUGUAGCAGGGGGAGGGGGCGCCAGGACUUCAGGGUGCGUCUGCCCCUUUCCCCCCUCCCUUUAUAUAGGCCCCCAGGAGGGGCGUCGGCCCUGGGAGAUUCAAUCUCCCAAGGGGGCGGCGGCCAAGGGGGGAGGAGUGCCCCCUAAGGCAUGUGGUGCGCCCCCACCCUAGGGUUUCAACCCUAGGCGCAGGGGGUGGGCCUAGGGGGGAGCACCAGCCCACUAUGGGCUGGCUCCCCUCCCACUUCAGCCCAUGGGGCCCUCCGGGAUGGGUGGCCCCACCCGGUGGACCCCCGGGACCGCUCCGGUGGUCCCGGUACAAUACCGGGUGACCUCGAAACUUUCCCGAUGGCCGAAAUACCACUUCCUAUAUAUAAUUCUUUACCUCCGGACCACUCCGAAACUCCUCGUGACGUCCGGGAUCUCAUCCGGGGACUCCGAACAACAUUCGGUAUACUACAUACUCAUAUUCAUACAACCCUAGCGUCACCGAACCUUAAGUGUGUAGACCCUACGGGUUCGGGAGACACGUAGACAUGACCGAGACGGCUCUCGGGAAAUAACCAACAGCGGGAUCUGGAUACCCAUGUUGGCUCCCACAUGCUCCUCGAUGAUCUCAUCGGAUGAACCACGAUGUCGAGGAUUCGAACAACCCCGUAUACAAUUCCCUUUGUCAAUCGGUUCGUUACAUGCCCGAGACUCGAUCGUCGGUAUCCCAAUACCUCGUUCAGUCUCGUUACUGGCAAGUCACUUUACUCGUACCGUAAUGCAUGAUCCCGUGACCAAACACUUGGUCAAUUUGAGCUCAUUAUGAUGAUGCAUUACCGAGUGGGCCCAGAGAUACCUCUCCGUCAUACGGAGUGACAAAUCCCAGUCUCGAUCCGUGUCAACCCAACAGACACUUUCGGAGAUACCUGUAGUGCACCUUUAUAGUCACCCAGUUACGUUGUGACGUUUGGUACACCCAAAGCACUCUUACGGUAUCCGGGAGUUACACGAUCUCAUGGUCUAAGGAAGAGAUACUUGACAUUGAAAAAGCUCUACCAGAACGAACUACACGAUCUUGUGCUAUGCUUAGGAUUGGGUCUCGUCCAUCACAUCAUUCUCCUAAUGAUGUGAUCCCGUUGUCAAUGACAUCUAAUGUCCAUAGUCAGAAACCAUGACUAUCUGUCGACCAACGAGCUAGUCAACUAGAGGCUCACUAGGGACAUGUUAUGGUCUAUGUAUUCACACGUGUAUUACGAUUUCCGGAUAAUAUAGUUAUAGCAUGAAUAAAAGACAAUUAUCAUGAACAAGGAAAUAUAAUAAUAACUCUUUUAUUAUUGCCUCUAGGGCAUAUUUCCAACAGUCUCCCACUUGCACUAGAGUCAAUAAUCUAGUUACAUUAUGAUGAAUCGAACACCCAUAGAGUUCUGGUGUUGAUCAUGUUUUGCUCGCGAGAGAGGUUUAGUCAACGGAUCUGCGACAUUCAGAUUCAUAUGUACUUUGCAAAUAUCUAUGUCUCCAUCUUAAACAUUUUCGCGGAUGGAGUUGAAACGACGCUUGAUGUGCCUGGUCUUCUUGUGAAACCUAGGCUCCUUGGCAAGGGCAAUAGCUCCAGUGUUGUCACAGAAGAGUUUGAUUGGCCCCGACGCAUUGGGUAUGACUCCUAGGUCGGUGAUGAACUCCUUCACCCAAAUAGCUUCAUGCGCUGCCUCCGAGGCUGCCAUGUACUCCGCUUCACAUGUAGAUCCCGCCACGACGCUCUGCUUGCAGCUGCACCAGCUUACUGCUCCACCAUUCAACAUAUACACGUAUCCAGUUUGUGACUUAGAGUCAUCCAGAUCUGUGUCGAAGCUAGCGUCGACGUAACCCUUUACGGCGAGCUCUUCGUCACCUCCAUAAACGAGAAACAUGUCAUUUGUCCUUUUCAGGUACUUCAGGAUAUUCUUGACCGCUGUCCAGUGUUCCUUGCCGGGAUUACUUUGGUACCUUCCUACCAAACUUACGGCAAGGUUUACAUCAGGUCUGGUACACAGCAUGGCAUACAUAAUAGAUCCUAUGGCUGAGGCAUAGGGGAUGACGCUCAUCUCUUCUCUAUCUUUUGCCGUGGUCGGGCAUUGAGCUGAGCUCAAUCUCACACCCUGCAAUACAGGCAAGAACCCCUUCUUGGACUGAUCCAUUUUGAACUUCUUCAAAAUCUUAUCAAGGUAUGUGCUUUGUGAAAGACCUAUGAGGCGUCUUGAUCUAUCCCUAUAGAUCUUGAUGCCUAAUAAGUAAGCAGCUUCUCCAAGAUCCUUCAUUGAAAAACACUUAUUCAAGUAGGCCUUAAUGCUGUCCAAGAAUUCUAUAUUAUUUCCCAUCAAAAGUAUGUCAUCUACAUAUAAUAUGAGAAAUGCUACAGAGCUCCCACUCACUUUCUUGUAAACGCAGGCUUCUCCAUAAGUCUGCAUAAACCCAAACGCUUUGAUCAUCUCAUCAAAGCGAAUGUUCCAACUCCGAGAUGCUUGCACCAGCCCAUAAAUGGAUCGCUGGAGCUUGCAUACUUUGUUAGCGUUCUUAGGAUCGACAAAACCUUCCGGCUGCAUCAUAUACAGCUCUUCCUUAAGAUAACCGUUAAGGAAUGCUGUUUUGACGUCCAUCUGCCAUAUCUCAUAAUCAUAGUAUGCGGCAAUUGCUAACAUGAUUCGGACGGACUUAAGCUUCGCUACGGGAGAGAAAGUCUCAUCGUAGUCAAUCCCUUGAACUUGCCGAUAACCCUUAGCGACAAGUCGAGCUUUAUAGAUGGUAAUAUUACCAUCCACGUCUGUCUUCUUCUUAAAGAUCCAUUUGUUUUCUAUCGCUCGCCGAUCACCGGGCAAGUCAGUCAAAGUCCAUACUUUGUUCUCAUACAUGGAUUCUAUGUCGGAUUUCAUGGCUUCUAGCCAUUUGUUGGAAUCUGGGCCCGCCAUCGCUUCUUCAUAGUUCGAAGGUUCACCAUUGUCUAACAACAUGAUUUCCAGGACAGGGUUGUCGUACCAUUCUGGUGCGGAACGUGUCCUUGUGGACCUACGAAGUUCAGUAGCAACUUGAUCCGAAGUACCUUGAUCAUCAUCAUUAAUUUCCUCUUCAGUUGGUGUAGGCAUCACAGGAACAUUUUCCUGCGCUGCACUACUAUCCUGUUCAAGAGGUAGUACUUCAUCGAGUUCUACUUUCCUCCCACUUAUUUCUUUCGAGAGAAACUCCUUUUCCAGAAAGGAUCCGUUCUUGGCAACAAAGAUCUUGCCCUCGGAUCUUAAGUAGAAGGUAUACCCAAUGGUUUCCUUAGGGUAUCCUAUGAAGACGCAUUUUUCCGACUUGGGUUCGAGCUUUUCAGGUUGAAGUUUCUUGACAUAAGCAUCGCAUCCCAAAACUUUUAGAAACGACAGCUUAGGUUUCUUCCCAAACCAUAAUUCAUACGGUGUCGUCUCAACGGAUUUAGACGGUGCCCUAUUUAAAGUGAAUGUAGCUGUCUCUAGAGCGUAUCCCCAAAAUGAUAGCGGUAAAUCGGUAAGAGACAUCAUAGACCGCACCAUAUCCAAUAGAGUGCGAUUACGACGUUCGGACACACCGUUUCGCUGAGGUGUUCCAGGCGGCGUGAGUUGUGAAACGAUUCCACAUUUUCUUAAGUGUGUACUAAAUUCGUGACUUAAAUAUUCUCCUCCACGAUCUGAUCGUAAGAAUUUUAUCUUUCGGUCACGUUGAUUCUCUACUUCAUUCUGAAAUUCCUUGAACUUUUCAAAGGUCUCAGACUUGUGUUUCAUCAAGUAGACAUACCCAUAUCUACUCAAGUCAUCAGUGAGAGUGAGAACAUAACGAUAUCCUCCGCGAGCCUCAACGCUCAUUGGACCGCACACAUCGGUAUGUAUGAUUUCCAAUAAGUUGGUUGCUCGGUCCAUUGUUUCGGAGAACGGAGUCUUGGUCAUCUUGCCCAUGAGGCAUGGUUCGCAUGUGUCAAAUGAUUCAUAAUCGAGAGACUCCAAAAGUCCAUCAGCAUGGAGCUUCUUCAUGCGCUUGACACCAAUGUGACCAAGGCGGCAGUGCCACAAGUAUGUGGGACUAUCGUUAUCAACUUUACAUCUUUUGGUAUUCACGCUAUGAAUAUGUGUAACAUUACGCUCGAGAUUCAUUAAGAAUAAACCAUUGACCAUAGGGGCAUGACCAUAAAACAUAUCUCUCAUAUAAAUAGAACAACCAUUAUUCUCGGAUUUAAAUGAGUAGCCAUCUCGUAUCAAACGAGAUCCAGAUACAAUGUUCAUGCUCAAACUUGGCACCAAAUAACAAUUAUUAAGGUUUAUAACUAAUCCCGUAGGUAAAUGUAGAGGUAGCGUGCCGGCGGCGAUCACAUCGACCUUGGAACCAUUCCCAACGUGCAUCAUCACCUCGUCCUUCGCCAGUCUCUGCUUAUUCCACAACUCCUGUUGUGAGUUACAAAUAUGAGCAACGGCACCGGUAUCAAAUACCCAGGAGUUACUACGAGUACUGGUAAGGUACACAUCAAUUACAUGUAUAUCAAAUAUACCUUUAGUGUUUCUGGCCUUCUUAUCCGCUAAGUAUUUGGGGCAGUUCCGCUUCCAGUGACCCUUCCCCUUGCAAUAAAAGCACUCAGUCUCAGGCUUGGGUCCAUUCUUUGACUUCUUCCCGGCAACUGGCUUACCGGGCGCGGCAACAUCUUUGCCGUCCUUCUUGAAGUUCUUCUUACCCUUGCCCUUUUUGAACUUAGUGGUCUUAUUGACCAUCAACACUUGAUGCUCUUUCUUGAUUUCAACCUCUGCUGACUUCAGCAUUGAAAAUACUUCAAGAAUGGUCUUCACCAUCCCCUGCAUAUUGUAGUUCAUCACAAAGCUCUUGUAGCUUGGUGGGAGCGACUGAAGGAUUCUGUCAAUGACCACCUCAUCCGGGAGGUUAAUGUCCAGCUGGGACAGGCGGUUGUGUAACCCAGACAUUUUGAGUAUAUGCUCACUGACAGAACUGUUUUCCUCCAUCUUACAACUAUAGAACUUGUCGGAGACUUCAUAUCUCUCGACCCGGGCAUGAGCUUGGAAAACUAGUUUCAGCUCCUCGAACAUCUCAUAUGCUCCGUGUUGCUCAAAACGCUUUUGGAGCCCCGGUUCUAAGAUGUAAAGCAUGCCGCACUGAACAAGGGAGUAAUCAUCAGUACGUGUCUGCCAAACGUUCAAAUUGUCUUGCAGUGCUGGGAGAGCAGGUGGGUCACCUAAUGGUGCUUCUAGGACAUAUUGUUUCUUGGCAGCUAUGAGGAUGAUCCUCAGGUUCCGGACCCAGUCUGUAUAGUUGCUGCCAUCAUCUUUCAGCUUGGUUUUCUCUAGGAACGCGUUGAAGUUCAUGUUGACAUGAGUGUUGGCCAUUUGAUCUACAAGACAUAUUUUGCAAAAAGUUUUAGACUAAGUUCAUUAUAAUUAAGUUCAUCCAAUCAAAUUAUUUAAUGAACUCCCACUCAGAUUUGACAUCCCCUUAGUCAUCUAAGUGUUACACGAUCCGAGUCGACUAGGCCGUGUCCGAUCAUCACGUGAGACGGACUAGUCAUCGUCGGUGAACAUUCUCAUGUUGAUCGUAUCUUCCAUACGACUCGUGUUCGACCUUUCGGUCUCCGUGUUCCGAGGCCAUGUCUGUACAUGCUAGGCUCGUCAAGUUAACCCUAAGUGUUUUGCAUGUGUAAAACUGUCUUACACCCGUUGUAUGUGAACGUAAGGAUCUAUCACACCCGAUCAUCACGUGGUGCUUCGAAACGACGAACUUUAGCAACGGUGCACAGUUAGGGGAGAACACUUCUUGAAAUUGUUGUAAGGGAUCAUCUUAUUUACUACCGUCGUUCUAAGUAAACAAGAUGCAUAAAACAUAAUAAACAUCACAUGCAAUUAUAUAAAGUAGUGACAUGAUAUGGCCAAUAUCAUAUAGCUCCUUUGAUCUUCAUCUUCGGGGCUCCAUGAUCAUCUUGUCACCGGCAUGACACCAUGAUCUCCAUCAUCAUGAUCUCCAUCAUCGUGUCUUCAUGAAGUUGUCACGCCAACGACUACUUCUACUUAUAUGACUAACGCGUUUAGUAAUAAAGUAAAGUAGUUUACAUGGCGUUCUUCAAUGACACACAGGUCAUACAAAAAUAAAGACAAGUCCUAUGGCUCCUGCCGGUUGUCAUACUCAUCGACAUGCAAGUCGUGAUUCCUAUUACAAGAACAUGAUCUCAUACAUCACAAUAUAUCAUUCAUCAUUCAUCACAACUUCUGGCCAUAUCACAUCACAUGACAAUUGCUGCAAAAACAAGUUAGACGUCCUCUAAUUGUUGUUGUAUCUUUUACGUGGCUGCAAUUGGGUUCUAGCAAGAACGUUUUCUUACCUACAAAUAACCACAACGUGAUUUUGUCAACUUCUAUUUACCCUUCAUAAGGACCCUUUUCAUCGAAUCUGCUUCAACUAAAGUGGGAGAGACAGACACCCGCCAGCCACCUUAUGCAACUAGUGCAUGUUAGUCGGUGGAACCGGUCUCACGUAAGCGUACGUGUAAGGUUGGUCCGGGCCGCUUCAUCCCACAAUACCGCUGAAGCAAGAUAAGACUAGUAGCGGCAAGCAAGUUGACAAGAUCUACGCCCACAACAAAAUUGUGUUCUACUCGUGCAAUAGAGAACUACGCAUAGACCUAGCUCAUGAUGCCACUGUUGGGGAACGUUGCAGAAAAUUAAAAAUUUUCCUACGGUUUCACCAAGAUCCAUCUAUGAGUUCAUCUAAGAAACGAGCCAAGGGAGUGAGUUUGCAUCUACAUACCACUUGUAGAUCGCGUACGGAAGCAUUAGAUGAAGCGGUGAUGAUAGAGUCGUACUCGUCGUGAUUCAGAUCACCGGAGAUCCUAGCGCCGAACGGAUGGCACCUCCGCGUUCAACACACGUACGGAGUGUGUGACGUCUCUUCCUUCUUGAUCCAGCAAGGGGGAAGGAGAGGUUGAUGAUGAUGGCUCCAGCAGCAGCACAACGGCGUGGUGGUGGUGGAACAGCAGCACUCCGGCAGGGCUUCGCCAAGCACGUGAUGGAGGAGGAAGAGGUGUAGCAGGGGGAGGGGGCGCCAGGACUUCAGGGUGCGGCUGCCCCUUUCCCCCCUCCCUUUAUAUAGGCCCCCAGGGGGGGCGCCGGCCCUGGGAGAUUCAAUCUCCCAAGGGGGCGGCGGCCAAGGGGGGAGGAGUGCCCCCCAAGGCAUGUGGUGCGCCCCUCCACCCUAGGGUUUCAACCCUAGGUGCAGGGGGUGGGCCUAGGGGGGCGCACCAGCACACUAUGGGCUGGCUCCCCUCCCACUUCAGCCCAUGAAGCCCUCCGGGAUGGGUGGCCCCACCCGGUGGACCCCCGGGACCGCUCCGGUGGUCCCGGUACAAUACCGGGUGACCCCGAAACUUUCCCGAUGGCCGAAAUACCACUUCUUAUAUAUAAUUCUUUACCUCCGGACCAUUCCGAAACUCCUCGUGACGUCCGGGAUCUCAUUCGGGGACUUCGAACAACAUUCGAUAUACUGCAUACUCAUAUUCAUACAACCCUAGCGUCACCGAACCUUAAGUGUGUAGACCCUACGGGUUCGGGAGACACGUAGACAUGACCGAGACGGCUCUCGGGCAAUAACCAACAGCGGGAUCUGGAUACCCAUGUUGGCUCCCACAUGCUCCUCGAUGAUCUCAUCGGAUGAACCACGAUGUCGAGGAUUCGAACAACCCCGUAUACAAUUCCCUUUGUCAAUCGGUACGUUACAUGCCCGAGACUCGAUCGUCGGUAUCCCAAUACCUCGUUCAGUCUCGUUACCGGCAAGUCACUUUACUCAUACCGUAAUGCAUGAUCCUGUGACCAAACACUUGGUCACUCUGAGCUCAUUAUGAUGAUGCAUUACCGACUGGGCCCAGAGAUACCUCUUCGUCAUACAGAGUGACAAAUCCCAGUCUCGAUCCGUGUCAACCCAACAGACACUUUCGGAGAUACCUGUAGUGCACCUUUAUAGUCACCCAGUUACGUUGUGACGUUUGGUACACCCAAAGCACUCUUACGGUAUCCGGGAGUUACACGAUCUCAUGGUCUAAGGAAGAGAUACUUGACAUUGAAAAAGCUCUAGCAAAACGAACUACACGAUCUUGUGCUAUGCUUAGGAUUGGGUCUCGUCCAUCACAUCAUUCUCCUAAUGAUGUGAUCCCGUUGUCAAUGACAUCUAAUGUCCAUAGUCAGAAACCAUGACUAUCUGUCGACCAACGAGCUAGUCAACUAGAGGCUCCCUUGGGACAUGUUAUGGUCUAUGUAUUCACACGUGUAUUACGAUUUCCGGAUAAUACAGUUAUAGCAUGAAUAAAAGACAAUUAUCAUGAACAAGGAAAUAUAAUAAUAACUCUUUUAUUAUUGCCUCUAGGGCAUAUUUCCAACAGGGGGGGCUUGCCUGGUUGCUCUGGCAAGAAGGAGGGGUCAUCAACUCCGUAGUCGAACUGGGCAGCAACAACGUCGGUCUCGUAGUCUAUCGGAGAGAAGAGGGGGAAGAAAUAAUGAAUACAAUGCAAACAUAAGCAUGACGAUGCAUGACAUGACAAGUAACGGCACUCGGUGUGCCCUAACGCGGUAGUAGGUGGUACCGGCGAAAGGGGAAACAUCCGGGAAAGUAUCCCUGGGGUUUCGCGGUUUCGGACAAAUGAAUCAGAGGUGAAAUGUUGUAGGUUCACUAUGCUAGGGAUGCGUGGCGGACGAACGAGCUGCGUAUUCGGAUUCGUCUCGUCGUUCUGAGCAACUGUCCUGUACAAAGUUUUUCCAUCCGAGUUACAGAUUAUUUUAUAUUAAUUUUCAAAGUUUUACUCAUUUUCUGAAAUUAAUUUAAAUCUAAAAUAGAAGUGAAAUUACUAUGGGUACAUAGAAGUGUACCCACAUAUGUGCUACUAAGUCUGACAUGUGGGGCAGGGGCUGAGUCAGCCCAGUCAACUGUUGACUGGUCAACAAAGUCAAAGGGGCCUAGGAGGUCCCACCUGUCACCGACUAAGAGUGCCGAGUCAGCAGAGUUGACUAGUCAACUGGGUCCAGCGGGACCCAGUAGUUAGUGACUGUUUAUAAUAACAGGUUUUAUAUAAUUUAUUUAAACAAAUUAGUAUGUGGGUCGGGUUAUCAGUGACUACUCUAAUAACAAUGUUUAUUUUUUCUAACUAGCCUAAUUAGAGGCAGGGGCCACACGUCAGUGGGGGUUUAGUGGUUAAUCCCUGCGGGGUCCAUUUGUCGGUGGCCCACGGGGUGUUUCGAACGGCCGGCGUGCGCCGGUGACCAAACCGAUGGCGGCGACACGCCAGAGUGCAUCGAAAAAACGCACACCAAGCACCAUUUUGGAUGCGGCCAGAUGCGUUCGAACGCACGCAGCGGCGCGUCUCGAACGGGGGCUCUGCCUCGUCCGGAUAUGGUCGAGAACGACGACGGCGAUGAACUGAGGUGGCGGAAUCGAGCACAGGGGGAGAGGGGUUUCAUGGCGGAGCUCACAGUGGAGCCGUAGGGCGUGGCAGCAAGCUCGAGGGAGGCUCAGGGUGGCCGGAGUCGGCGGCGGCGUACGGCGGCACGAGGAGGAAGCCGAGCACUGGGCGACGUCGCAGGGGCGUCUUGACUCGUACGUGUGGUCGGGGCGAGGAAGUGGUCGACGACGAGGCGUGUGACGGGGCGGUCCGACGCGGCGAGGGCGGCGAAGGGGGUUGGCGAGGUCACCGACGGGAGGUAGGAGGCAGACGGGGCGAUGUGCUGCCCUGCUUGAGCGUGCAUGUGUCAUGUGUGUGUGUGGGAGGGAGGCGGCGUGGUUGGGGGCGGCGAGGCGCCGACGGGGAAGUGCUCCGGCGCGUAGUGGUGGCAAAGACAGGCGGAGCGGGAUCAAACAGAGGGAGGAGAGGCGUGCGAGGGGGUGUCGGGCACGAGGCGUUUUGCCUCUGGGUGUGCAGAGCGCGAGGGAUGGCGAGGGGAGUGAGGGGGUCGAGUGGGAGGAGUGGGGAGGUCGCUAGGGUUAGGUCUCAGGGGUGUGGGGGGCCAUAUAGGCCAAGGCUGGGCCGGCGCGCGUAUUGGCCUGCUAGGCCAAACGGCCCGGGGAGAGGGGGGGACUUUUUCUAUUUUUUGCAUUCCUUUUUCUAUUUUUCUACUUCUGUUUUAAUUCUAGUUUCUUUUAUGUUUAGUAUUAUAAACUAUAAAAAUAGUCUCUAAGUUAGCAUUACUAAAUAUAAUACUGCCACUACAAUUUGGGUACCCCAACUGAAAAAUAAUUUAACAUUUUACAAAUUAUAAGAGUCUUUUAAUAAUUGUUUUGCUGCUAUUUUAUUUAUUUUAAAGCAUUGAAGCAUUUUAUAACAAUGUGGUUUCUUCACCAUAUUUACUUAUGAAUUAUUUGGCUCGCACCGGACAUUUUAGUUUUAACAUUCGAAAACUUUUAUUGUUUGUUUGAUUUAGAAUUUGAAUCUGAACCGGUUUCGAACUAACGCGAGAUUAGCAAUAGAAAUCGGGAUGACAUGGCAUCAUGAGCAGAGGUUCGCUGUAGCUUAAAUAUCCGGGCGUCACAAUUCUCCUCCAACAAGAAUUCUCGUCCCGAGAUUUAAGUGGUAGGUUAAGGGGGAAAGAUUUGGUUACAAAAUUCUAACGAGUCUUCUCGGCCUUGGUUGCUCGUUUUGAAGAGGUCGAUCCAUCUAUCUAUUACAUAAUUAAGACAAGAGACAAAUAAGACACCACAAUCUUCCACAUACGCUAAAAUAAUUUAGGCCGUUGAUCGAUAAUAUUUACGGCCGAGAUUAAAUGAUAUUACGUUACAUGGCAAAAGUUAUGUUUGAACUGACACGUAUAAGGUGCAUAACUUUUUUUUGUAAAGAAAAGAUGAAUUUGCGUUGACAUGUGCACACACGUAUGGACGAUGGCAAAAAAAGUUUACGUCCAAAGCCAGCACGUACCAGAAUAAAUUUUUUUUCAAGAAAUCCAUGUCCUACUAGGACACGUACAUAAGACAGAUUUAGUUACAGAAAAAGCACAUAUAAAAAAGGAAUUCUAUGUUCAAAAAAAUAAAAAAAGUAUUCUGACUAACAAUGAGUCAUGUUUGACACGCCCAAAAAAUUGUCUAUCAUAGGCAUCUACGGAACCAGAUCAAGUCAUAGAUAUCCUUCCUUCUUCAACCUCUAUUCAUCUCAUCGAGUAAAUUGCACAGAAGUGCCACAGUUGGGGCAUUGAAAGCAGAUUGGUAUCAAGAUUGGUAAUUUUUUCGUGUCAGUAUCAACUUUAGGGCGAGACGUUGCAAAAAAAGUUAAAACUGUUGUUUAUAUGUAUUGACAGGGAAACUAAUCGGUUGGGCCCGCCUGUCAGGUACCGACGUGGCAUGUUUUUUGCAGAAAACUCCCUUUCUUUGUACGUAAUCACAUAAAUGCCCAAUUAUUUCGCCUGUAAGAGCCUUUUUUUUCCGUUCAUAAUUUCCACCACGAUUUGGACUCGUUUGAGAAUUUGCAUCGGUUUGAACAAAUAAAUAAAACAAACCAAAAUUGAAUCCCGCGCAGGAUUCGCCGACCCGUGGUUAAGCAGAGCAGUGCGCUAGCCACCCGGCCACGGCAACGCACGCGACGUACAGCAGGCUAGAGCCUUUUUAUACUAGCCCGAAGACGUUGGGCCGGCGGUUGGCCCAGCGAGGCUGCACACUGGUUUAUUGUUUUUUUAAUCAUGAAUAUUAAUACAUAUAUUUUUUGCGAUUACAUAUCUAUAGUACCUAAAUAGUUCAUCCCCACUACUUGAUUUUUCUUGACAUGCAAGCUACCCACAUCAGCAAUCACAUGCAGCCAUCCAACUCAGCAAACCUGCCACUUCAGCAAAAAGAAUUCCACGGAAAAAAUCAUGGGAUUUAAUUAUUCACACAUCGGUUCCUCUUCAACUUCUGAAACUGACAAGAUAGUUUAUCUACACUUUAAGAGCCAAAGACACCCUGUUUUAUUCUCAGCUCCCCACCGUAUCUACUUCUCUGCGGUCUGUACGUCUCAUAUUCUUCUCUUCAUUCAGAAAUUUUGAAGCCUCCAUUGAAGAAGGGCAGCAGCUACGAGCUCAUGCUGCCCCACUCGAUGGAAGACGACCCAGCCCCAACACCCUCUCCUAGGUCUGGCUGCCCUGGCCUCUAGCUUCUCUGACGGCCUGAAUUUUCGCUGCAGAAAUGGGGCCGUUGUUCCAUUCCCGACCCUAGGACUCUACACACCGUUCCUCUACAAAGGAGCGAGGGCCUCGCCUAGAUCCAGUUGUGUGGCUGCGCCGUGGAAUCACACUUCUUCCGAUUAAUUUGAUGACCGCGCCAAGAAUCCGCGACCACGACCACUGCGUCCCGGCGCGGUGCCAAAUUCGGCCAAUUCCACGGCGCCACUUUUUCUUCCCAUGUAUCAAUUCCCAGAAGGGGGCCUAUGAAUAUGUCUUUCUGCUUCCAUGCCUCUGCUGCGAAGGGGGAAGGGUUAAGGCAGAUGAUGGACUCUGUUUUCCAACAUCACCCGAUGCACCGCCGCUUACACCAUCGCUCUCCUCUACUAAGGUUCGUACACCGUCUCUGAUAUACAAGUUGCUAUCUGUCGAUUUGCUUGCUAAACGUGGGACCUUCUGUUCUUGUGCGCAGGACGAAAAGGUCAUCGCAUUUCAGUACAUCAAUCCCUCGGCGUUCAGGAUGGCGUAUUGCUUCUGUUCAUUGCGUGGAAGUGGAACAGUUGGCCAGCAUCACGAGAAUUGGUCUUAACAAGCUUCCGUAUGGUCCCUAUUUGGGAUUGAGCGAUGACAUACAUACGGCCUAUUUGUGUCUGGUUUUUUUUUAAGACGAUUCAAAUCUGUUGUCCAUUGAUUUCUUGGAUGGUGUGGGAAAAAGACACAUCAUUUCAUUUGGAUUUUAUUUUACCAUUUGUGCCUCUGCCCCGCACACCUUGAACACUCUCAGUCCAGGCUAACAACACUUAGUGCUCCAGAUGGAUUUCACUAUGAGUCUCUUUCACUUGGAUAUAAGAUAGUGUAUACCAUUUUAGAUUAUACAAUGUGAUUUUGAUUUAUUUUUUUGUACACCAUCAGCCCACCAUCCAUCCAUGGGUGCAGCUCCAACAUCGGCGAACUUGAGGUCACCGGGCACCGGUCAGAAGAGGUGAGACCCGGAAAAUAACUUCAACUUAUUUGCACGAUUCAAUCUUUAGACUAGAAGUAAUUUCAAAAUUGAGGGGAAAAUACAGUGAGUUUAUCUUUCGUAAAUGCAAAAUAGUGAGGAUCUUUGAAGAAACUAAAACAUCGAAACUCAGGGCAGACUAGAUCGAGUCCAUUCAGAUCACAGCACAUAUUAUUUCAUUUGAUUCUAACCUAUCCUAUGUACACUAUCAACACCAAUCAGGGCCCUUUUGCUGUGUGUUUAUUUGUGCUAUAAUCAAAGUACUCUAUGAUCUUCAGAGAACUAACUCUUAGUGAAAUUGAUUCUGACAUAUCAUAUAUAGACUGCCAGCACCAAUCAGCACACUAAUUUACUGGUUGUUUAUUUGUGCUAUAAAAGUAGUACUCUGAUCUUCAGAGUUCCAACUAUGCAAGAAAGUAAGCAUUUGUCUGUAACACUUGACCUUGGUAAACUAAAACAUCCAAACAACGGAAAGAUUAUUAUCAAUAAGAAACUUCAGAAAUUUUCUUCCGGUUAUGAUAAUAUUUUCUAAUUAAUUCACACCCAUGUUUUCCUUAAAAAUAUGGAUGCCAGUUCCUUUCUUAAUUCUUUUCUGGUUUACUGGUUUUCUUCUUUCGAUUUUGAGCGAUUAUGUUUACACAAGGUCUUAUAUUGUUGUGUUAUGCUUAUCUUGCAACUAUUAUAUUUAUUUUGUACAUAUUUGUUGAGCCCUAUUUUCAUGUCCACUAAUAAGAAAGUCAAAUUUAUCAGCACUAACCGUGUUUACUUCUCCAUUUCCCGAUUCUAGGAUCUUGCUACCACGGCCGGACAAAGCAACUAGGUAGACCAAGGUAUCUCUCCAAGUAAACUAACCCAUUUCUAUUUCCCAAUUUUCUUCUAGAUGUGCAAACGUUCACUCGGUCUUAUUGAAACUCGGUUCUAAUGCUAUUGGCUGGCUCAUAAUUGUGUUAUUUCCUAUAACCUUUCCCUGCCUAACAUACUUCAUGCAAGUAUGGUAUUAGGACACAAGGGUGUCAAACUGCACAUGUUUUGUGCUGAUGGAUAUAAGAUCUUAGCUCUUUUUGGUGCAAUUAUUCUCUCGAAGUUGUGUACAUUAAUAUUUUUACUAUGGCCUUUAUCAUCACAGCCAUAUUCUGUAUGCCCUAAUUUAUGAAAGCAUUCAUUCAUUUUGUUUUGAGUGAUUCGCAUCAGUACUUUCUUUUAUCAAUUGAGUGUUCUUUUAAUACGAUUCUUCUAAGACAUCAAUGUCAACCUUUCUGUGCUGAUAUGUGUCACUCCGAUAAUUUUCACACUACAUGUUUUCAUUUGUGUAUCCUUCUAUAUCAGUGUUAAGUUCCGCCGCAACGCGCGGGAUAUCCUCUAGUUAGUAUUAUUAAGUGUCAAGCACCAGACUAGAAUACAGGCAUGGCCCAAAUUUAAUGUGUCUGCGCUGAGGACCACAACCAUGCACAAUUACUAUGUAUCCUAAUUAUAUUAUUCAAAUACACAACUUUAAUAAAAAUAUGCCCAACACACAGAAUUUUAUUUGAGUUACUCGCAUAUUGAUUGUAUUUUUUUAAAAUGCACUGUUACUUAAAAAGUUGACAACAUGUAUAAAAAAUAAAUGUGUAAUCAUAAUAAAUUUUAGAAAUGCCUUAAAACUAUUCAACUUUUAUUAAAAAAAUCGACCUGUCUCUUGAAUUGCAAGAAUGAUUUACAUAAUAAGUUUUUAACACAUGCUGAACAUUUCUUGAAAUACAAAUAAUUCACCAUGUAUUAAGAAAAUGUUCACCAUAAUGCUCUUGAAACUCAUCGUGUAUUAAGAAAAUGCUCAACAUAAAUUACAAAAAAAAUCACCGCACAUUAAGUAAACUUUUCUUCAUAUCUUAAGAAAAUAUUCCAACAUAUAUUACAAAAAUAUUCAAUUUGCAUUCAAAAUAUGUUCAACGUUCAUAUUAUAAGAAAAGUGUUCAGCGUUUCUAAAGAAAAGUUCAUCGUGCAUUAAAAAUGUUCACUGUAAAUUAAGAAAUUAUGUAAUCAUAAUAUUCAUGAAAAUCAUCGUGUAUUAAGAAAAUGUUCACCAUAAAUUACGAAAAUUUCACCGCGCAUUAUGCAAAUUUUCACCAUAUACUAAAACCCGUCAUAAAAAAUAUUCAGUAAAUAUGUUAAAAAUCCAGGAGAAAACCAACUAGUGAAUGAAAAAGAAAGAAAGAAAAAGCAAAGAAGGAAAACCUAAAAUAAGCCAAAACUAGAAACAAAAAAAUAAAGCAUAAUGAGUAAGAAAAAUGAAACAUAAAGAAAUCUGGGCAAUGAAUGAGCCCCAGCACGCGCGCCAGGUAGGUGCGAAACCAAAAAAAAUUGCAGGCCUCGGUGGGCCGGCCCAGCGUUGCUGAGCUAGUAUAAAAAGACCUCGCCUGCUUUAUGCGAAAUCACUAAUUAAGGAGUACUCCUUGCGGAGAUCACUCCAACUUCCCCAGGUUGCGACAAGUGGCGUGCUGCUUGUGCGCCACUUGUCGCAACCUGGGAGUUUUCCCUUUUUUCGUAGAUCUGUUUAUUCAAAAUGUUUUAUCUCUUAAACCGUGCGUCUAAAUCUCGAACCGCUUUCGCCAUUGGAUUCCUCGCGUCGAGAUCUUCAAAAUUAGAUCCCAUGUUGAUAGGUUUUGACGAACUUUUUUUCCAGAGAAAAACCGACGAAAAAACCGAACCGGGAACACGGAUUUUUUUCCCUUUCCGAAAGAGGCACGCCCCGUGCCUCUCACGAAAGCACAAUCGUGCAUCUGGCGGAAGCAAAACCGUGCCUCUCGCGAAAGAAAAAAAACAGAAAACACGUUUUUUCCCUUUCCGACAAAAGGCACGCCCGUGCCUCUGGCGAAAGCGCAACCGUGCCUCUAGCGAAAGCAAAACCGUGCCUCUCGCGAAAGAAAAAAAAAAUAGAAAACACAUUUUUUCUUUUCCGAAAGAGGCACGCCCGUGCCUCUCGCGAAAGCACAACCGUGACUCUGGAGGAAGCAAAACCGUGCCUCUCACGAAAGAAAAUAAACAGAAAACGUGUUUUUUUCUUUUCCGAAAGAGGCACGCCCGUGCCUCUCGUGAAAGCACAACCGUGCCUCUGGCGGAAGCAAAACCGUGCCUUUCGCGAAAGAAAAAAAAUACAGAAAACGCGUUUUUUUCCUUUCCGAAAGAGGCACGCCCGUGCCUCUCGCGAAAAAAAAUUGCAUUUUUUUGCGCAAAAAAAUUAUUUUUCUUUGAUUUUUUUUGAUCGAAAAGCUAGGGAAGACCGGUAGAAAACCAAAACGUCAAAAAAAAACCCGAAAAAAAACUUUUAAAAAGCCGAAAACGCAUGCGUAAAAAUAAAAAAAUAAAAUCCAGAGGGAGUAUCCAGAGCGCGACACGUGGCGAAUGGCUGUGAGCGUGCCAAGUGGCGCUGAUCGUUGCGAGGCUCCCGAAGGAGCACUCGUUAAUUAGUUGCUCCCUGCUUUAUGUCGCGAGCGAUGCUCUGGCGGGGUGGCUAGCAUGCGGCGCUGCGGAACAGCAAGUCGGCGGUUCAAAUCCUGCACGGGAUUUAAUUUUGGUUUGUUUUAUUUGUUCCAAAUUUUUAAACGAGUCCAAAUCGGUGGUGGAAAUUACGAACGAAAAAAGGCUCUUAUAGGAGCUUUUUUCCCCGAAAUAAUUGGGCAUUUAUGGGAUUACGUACAAAGCAAGGGGUUUUUCUGUAAAAAAACAUGCCACAAUAGCACCCGACAAGCGGGCCCAACCGGUCAGUUUUCCUGUCAAUACGUAUAAACAGUAGUUUUAGCCUUUUUUGUAACCUGCGCGGGAUUUAAUUUUGGUUUGUUUUAUUUGUUUGUUCAAACCGACGCAAAUUUUCAAACGAUAAUUUUGGUUUGUUUUAUUUGUUCGUUCAAACCGACGCAAAUUUUCAAACGAGUCCAAAUCGGUGGUGGAAAUUACGAACGAAAAAAAGGCUCUUAUAGGAGUUUUUUUUUGAAAUAAUUGGGCAUNNNNNNNNNNNNNNNNNNNNNNNNNNNNNNNNNNNNNNNNNNNNNNNNNNNNNNNNNNNNNNNNNNNNNNNNNNNNNNNNNNNNNNNNNNNNNNNNNNNNNNNNNNNNNNNNNNNNNNNNNNNNNNNNNNNNNNNNNNNNNNNNNNNNNNNNNNNNNNNNNNNNNNNNNNNNNNNNNNNNNNNNNNNNNNNNNNNNNNNNNNNNNNNNNNNNNNNNNNNNNNNNNNNNNNNGUCAAUAUGUAUAAACAGUAGUUUUAGCCUUUUUUGCAACCUGCGCAGGAUUUAAUUUUGGUUUGUUUUAUUUGUUCGUUCAAACCGACGCAAAUUUUCAAACGAGUCCAAAUCGGUGGUGGAAAUUACGAACAAAAAAAAGGCUCUUAUAGGAGAUUUUUUUCCCUGAAAUAAUUGGGCAUUUAUGGGAUUACGUACAAAGCAAGGGGUUUUUCUGUAAAAAACAUGCCACAUCAGCACCCGACAGGCGGGCCCAACCGGUCAGAUUUCCUGUCAAUACGUAUAAAAGUAGUUUUAGCCUUUUUUGCAACCUCUCGCCCCAAAAUUGAUACUGCCACGUAAAAAUUAUCAAUCUGCUUCCAAUGUCCGAAUUGCGGUACUUCUUUGUAAUUUACUCCAUCUCAUCUCAUCUCAUAAAAAAGAACUCCACCGAUCUCUCAGCCAGGUUACAAUAGGUGGUAAGGAAACAACCAGCAGGUGCUCAGGACUCACACGAGCACCUAAUUGGGCUCCUAGCACAAGAACCCGCUGAUCUCCCAAUUAUAACAGAGGCUUGCCUUCAAUUCUCACAAACGUGAUCUGAUAAAAAUCAGGGACGCCUCUCCGCUGGAAACCAGCGCGGGAGCAAAGAACCCUAGGCUCACCUAGGGAGAGAAAACAACCUGUGUCACAGGUACGAAUACGUUACAGGGCCAGCACUAACAGUGUGGGAAGUUGUCCCCGCAUCGGUCCGUCCGCUGCGUGACGGUUCUAGGUCCCUCCAGUGACUGAGGAGCAGGUUCCGGCGAGUCCGGACGCGUUUCAAUCUCUCCAGCUCAAAUUUCCCUCACACAAUCACACAUCUUUCCACUUCCAAUCCAAAUCUUUCUCUCACCAGAUCCAGUUAGUUGCUGCUUCCCAGCAAACCUGGUUCUUCUUUUCCAAAUCCAAGAGACGAGCGACCUAGUUUCCACCUGACAAAGCUCUAAAAAAUCUCGAUUCCCCGAUCCCACUAACUCAGCCACCAAAUAAAUCUUCCGCGUUGUAACUAGGGGGCGCGAUUGAACCCUUCUGAAGCCCUAGUUGGGAGGAGUCCGGCGGCGGAGAAUCGGCGGAGGUGGGUGUUGCAGGAGGCGGCGCCCACAGGAGGCGGUGAUCUGUACCAGCGGUACUCUGCACCAGAGGCACUUUUUAAGCAAGGAUCCCAGGUUCAAGAUGGAAGGAGUUGAGAGGAAACUGAAGACAUUGCAACUUUCUAAAGCUGAAAGGAAAGGGGUUAAACUAAGUAAACGAAGCACGGGUUCCUCUCUCAAUGCGAAAGCACAAGCAGUCGGGAAAUUGAUGUCAAACAGACCAGCUAGAGUGGAUUCCUUGGUGAGUACUCUUGGCUGGAUUUGGUGCCCCUUCAGAGGAAUAGAGUGUAAAGAUUUAGGGAUGAACAUAUUCCUGUUUACCUUCAGAGAAGAAGGGGGGAAGAUGAAAGCUCUAACCAGUGGCCCCGAUGUUUAAUAAAUCCCUGCUGGUGUUAGAAGAUUUCAAACCCAACAAAACACUAGAGGAGUAUCAAUUCAAAUCCCGAUUUGGGUUAGAGCAGAUGGAAUCCCGAUGGGCAUGAUGGACAGGGAAAAUGGGGAGGCCAUCGGAAAGGAAAUUGGCGAGGUCAUUGAUGUGGAUGUUGAUGAGAAUGAGAUGGCGACUGGGGAAUUCAUGAGAAUAAAGGUCAAGUUAGAUAUUACUAAACCUCUUAUGAGAGGGAUAACAAUUAUAGUAGAUGAUGAUGAGGAGGAAGAAGAGGAAGUUGAAGAUAGAGAAUUGCUAGAGGAUGUGGAUGAAUUGCAAAACAAGAAGAAAAAGGAGCGUGUUGUAUCUUUUAAAUACGAGUUCUUGCCUGAUUUCUGUUAUGCUUGUGGUGUAAUUGGCCACCAAGACAGGUACUGCGUAGCUCUAGUCAAAGCAAGGAAAGGUGAUUAUGGACCAUGGAUGAAAGCAGAGAUCGUGAAGCGGAAUUCUAGCGAUGAGGAGAAGAGUAGGAGUUCAAAUGACAGAGCGGGCUUCUGGACAAACAAUAGUGAAGGGGGCCGAGGAAGUAAGAAAGGCAGUGAUGCUAUCUCAUGGAAGAAAAGCUCGACAAGCCAAGAAGGAGAGGUAAGAGCUAAAGCAAAUGAGGAAAAGGAAGUUACCAGCCCCAUGAAAAUUGGAAAUGGAGUUACUGAACAACGAGUAAAAGGGAAGAUACUUGACUUUAAUGAAGAAACACAGGAUAAACUCCUGAAGGAGAAGAUGGAAACCUUUGCGGACAAGCGAAAUAAUGAAGGAAAUAAACAAGAAGCAAUGGUUGUUGACAAAGGAGCAGCAAAAGAGCAGGGUGAGAAUAGGGCAGGAACUGACAUGGGACAACCAAAAGGAGAGAAUGCACAACAUGAAGCAGCUGAAUUGUUAAGUAAGGAUAUAACCAGGAAGGUAGAGAAAGAAGCAGGGGUGGCACAAAGAGACUAUGGAAAAUGUGCAAGUGAGGACAAUGCUCAGGAGAGUAGGAAGAAGAGCAAGAAAGUAACCAUCAAGAGGCAAGAACGGACAAAGAGCGCCCAGGAACAAACCAAGUUGAUCCCAGACUCAAGGAAGCAUGGUACGGACUACAUGGAGAUAGAUGAUACACUAGAACCAGGGAAAAAGCAAGUAUGGAGGUGAUGAUAGCUGAAACAACUACUGGAGAGGAAAAAGGAACAAGUACGGUUGAAGAGCCUAAACUUGACUUGAAAGCGGGAUUGGCGGACCAAUCCCACAGGGCCCAAUGAGGAUAACGACCUGGAACUGUCGGGGGUUGGGGAACGGCCUGGCAGUGAGAGGGCUUCUGGAUCUACAGAAGUGGGAGGACCCCGACAUUCUCUUCCUGUCGGAAACAAAGCUAGACAGGAAGCGAAUGGAGAGUUUUAAAUGGAAGCUAGGUAUGAGCAAUAUGAUCGCAAGGAGUUGUGAAGGGAAAAGCGGAGGUUUGGCUUUAUUGUGGAAGAAAGAUGUCAAUAUUGAGCUUCGUAGCCUCUCAAGAUACCACAUAGAUGUGGAAGUUAUUGAGGGAGACGAAUUCAGAUGGCGGUUUACUGGGAUUUAUGGGGAACCAGCAAGCCAAAGGAAAAAUGUGACAUGGAGAUUGCUAAACAUCUUGAAUCAACAGCUGAGACUACCGUGGCUAUGUGCCGGGGAUUUUAACGAAGUACUAUAUACCCAUGAGAAAAGGGGUGGGCCUGAUAGACCACAAGCAGCAAUGGAGAGAUUUAGGUUAGCACUAGCUGAAUGUGGCCUCAGAGAUUUAGGAUACACAGAGAUAAAUUCACGUGGCGAAAUCACAGUCACAUAGCCAGCAAAUACAUCAAGGAAAGGUUGGAUAGAGCAGUCGACAAUCAAGACUGGUGCAACAAGUUCACUUCGUACAAAGUUGUAAAUGGGGAUCUGAGACAUUCAGACCAUCGCCCAAUCACCAUCUGGUUAGAGGGUAAAAAUAAUCAAGCUAUGGCAAGAAAUCAUGAGAAGAGUUUCAGAUUUGAAGCAAGGUGGAUACAAGAAGAGGGCUGUGAGGAAGUGAUAAAAAAUGCAUGGAUUGCAGCUGGCCGACAAGGAGAAAACAACACUUCAGGAAAAUUACAAGUAGUGGCUCGAGAACUAAAAGACUGGGACACCAAUGUUUUGGGUGAACUAGAUAAGAGGAUCAAAGAGCUUAAAACUGAACUGGAAGUGGUAAGAAGAGGGACAUAAAUCAAGAAAAGGUGUCUCGGGAGCAUUUUCUAAAAGAGAAACUAGAAAGACUAGAGAGCCAGAAGGAUAUAUAUUGGAGGCAGCGAGCGCAUGUCAAAUGGCUUGAAUACGGGGAUAAGAACACCGCCUUUUUUCACGCCUUUGCUUCAGAGAGAAAAAGGAGAAACAAUAUAAGCAAAUUAAAAAGAGAGGAUGGUAGUUGGGUGGAGGGCGAAGAACGACUAAAAGAUCAUAUCGCAGGUUAUUUUUACAACUUAUUUACCUCAACUACAGACCAAAACAAUGAUGCCAUCUUACAGACGAUCACUCCAAAAGUCCACCAAGGCAUGAAUGAAGCUCUGUGUGCGGAAUACACGGAGGAGGAAGUAAGAAGAGCUCUUUUCAGCAUUGGAGAUCUAAAAGCACCAGGGCCUGAUGGAAUGCCAGCAAAUUUUUUCAAGAGAUUUUGGGAUAUUGUGGGAAGCCAAGUAACAAGAGAGGUGUUGCAUGUUCUGAAUGGUGGAGAUAUGCCAGAAGGUUGGAACAACACGACAAUUGUGCUGAUCCCCAAGACAACAAGAACAGAAAGCGUGAAGGAUUUAAGACCCAUAAGUCUCUGCAACGUCUUAUAUAAAGUGGUAUCAAAGGUAAUUGCAAACAGACUCAAACUUGUCUUACCUGACAUCAUCUCUCCAAAUCAAAGCGCAUUUGUACCAGGCCGAAUGAUUUCCGAUAACAUUUUGCUUGCUUAUGAAUUAACACACUUUAUUAAAAGAAGAAGAUCUGGACCAAAAGGUGUUGCUGCAUUAAAACUGGACAUGAGCAAAGCAUAUGAUAGAGUAGAAUGGAAGUUUCUUGAAGACAUGAUGAUAAAACUAGGAUUUAGAAGGGUCUGGGUCCAGCUGAUAAUGAAGUGCAUAACUAGUGUAAAAUACCAAAUUAAGGUAAACCAGGGCAAAACUGAUGUGAUCGUACCUCAGAGGGGACUACGCCAAGGAGAUCCUUUAUCCCCAUACCUGUUUUUGUUUUGCGCUGAAGGUUUCUCUGCAAUGUUGAAUGAAGCUGAAGCAAAUGGAAGGCUCAGAGGCAUAAGAAUAUGCAGAAAUGCCCUUAGUGUUAGCCACCUCCUCUUUGGGGACGACUCAUUAUUGUUAAUGGAGGCAAGUGAGGGAGCAGCACAAGAGAUAAACAGGAUAUUAAGUACAUAUGAACAGUGCUCACGGCAAAUGAUAAACAAGGACAAAUCAUCAAUAUUCUUUAGCAAAAACACGGAUGAGGGACGGAAAAACAAUAUGAAGAGGAUCAUGGGCAUCAAUGUGGAGGGCUUAACCGGAAAAUACUUAGGCCUUCCUACAUAUAUUGGUAAAGGAAAAGCAAAGAAUUUUAGCUAUAUUCGAGAGAAGGUCUGGAAAAAGAUACAGGGAUGGAAGGAGAAAUUGUUGUCAAAAGCAGGGAAAGAAAUAUUGAUAAAAGCUGCAGCACAGACAAUUCCAGUGUAUGCAAUGGGGUGCUUGGACCCGACCAAGACCUUCUGUGACGACCUGAGUGCUCUCACAGGACGCUAUUGGUGGAGCCAAAUGGACAAGACCAAUAAAAUCCACUGGAUUAGUUGGGAAAAGCUAUCAAAGCCGAAAACAGAUGGAGGUUUGGGUUUUCGGAAUCUGCACUAUUUCAAUCUAGCUAUGUUGGCUAGACAAGCAUGAAGAAUCCUACAGAACCCCCAUUCCUUGUGCUCCCAAGUGCUGGCUGCCAGAUAUUUCCCAAAUGGAUCAUUGCUUGAGGCUAUCCCUUGUGCAGGUAUUUCCUAUACUUGGCGAAGCAUAAUAAAAGGCAUACAAUUGCUGAAGAAAGGGAUAAUAUGGAGAGUGGGAAACGGGGAAAGGAUCAAAAUAUGGACUGAUCAGUGGAUUCCUAGAGGAAGCACAAGGAGGCCCAAUACACCAAAAGGUAACCAUCUGGUGGACAAAGUAGCUGAUUUGAUCAACCCGAUAACAAACCAAUGGGAUAUGCAGCUCGUACAACAGACCUUCUCGGCUGAGGAUGCAAACCUCAUCAUGCGAAUACCCAUUCAAGAAGAUACAGGUGAUUUCAUCGCAUGACAUUAUGAUAAAAAAGGAUCAUUUUCUGUUAAAUCAACUUAUAAGGUGGCUGUAGAUAGUGCAGCUAGAGAUUCUGUAUCAGGGCUAACUUCUUCUUCCACUGCAGAAGAGGAAAUCUCAAACUUCAAAUGGAAGAAGUUAUGGGCGAUCCCUCUACCAAACAAAGUACUGCACUUCUUAUGGAGAGUUGCAACGUACAACCUUCCCUUGCGAAUGAAACUUCAUGGAAAAGGUAUUCUUGUUGAUACUAGGUGCCCUCUUUGUUAUAGAUUGGAUGAGGAUGGAGGCCACCUCUUUUUUAAAUGCAAAAAAGUUAAAAGUCUCUGGAGAGCGUCCCAACUUGAACACAUCAGACUAAAGCUAGUCGAAUGUCAUGACCCAAAGGAAGUUUUCGAAAACAUUUUCACUUUAACAAAAACCGAGUGCUUGAAAGUUUGCUUACUUUUAUGGUUAUGGUGGCAUGAAAGAAAUAAAGCUAAUAAGGAUGAACCCACUAGAAGUAUACAGGAAGUAUCAUCCUCAAUUGACUAUCAUCUGAACAUGUGCAUGAAGGACAAGACGAAGGCGGAAGAGAUGAGCAAGCAAGAGGAACAUAAGUGGAAGCCACCUCCGAUGGGAAUUCUCAAGAUAAACACAGAUGGAUCCUUUAUUGAAGAUACACAAUCAGGAGGCUGGGGUUUCACCAUCAGGAAUGACCAAGGAACGCUCCUGGCGGCAGGUGCAGGGAAACUGAGUCAUGUCUCCAGUCCAUUGCAUGCUGAAGCUUUGGCCCUUCAGCAAGCAACUAUUACUGCUACUCAUUUGGGCUGCCAACAAGUGAUAUUUGAAACAGAUUCCACAACACUGAAGGAAGCAAUAGCAAGUAGCAACUAUGAUCUUUCAGCUUUAGGCACUUUGUUUACAGAUGUGAAGUUUAAGAUGUAUGUAGGUCUGAAUGUUGUAAGUGUGGAUUAUUGUAGCCGUGAUUGUAAUAAAGCAGCACAUAUAUUAGCUGCGAGUGGAGUCUGUAUGGAGAGUGGCUGCUAUGCGACCUGGCUUGGCCACUUUCCGCAACCUGUACUAGACGCUGUUGCUGGUGAUAUGGCCAGCGAGUAAUCGUAAUAGAAUUCUGUCUUUAAAAAAAAAGAAUACGUUACAGGGCCCAGAAGCCGCAAGCAGGCAAAAAAUGAAAAAGCAGCCAGCCAGCAAAGGAGGUGGACGCCAACCGCGGCGGUGGUGAAGGUAAUCCUACAGCCGAAGCAGCCAGCCGGGAAAUGAAGUGGACGCCGGCGGUGGCGUCGACGAAGGUAACCCUGCAGCCGUCUCAUUCACAUCGUACACAUGCGUCGUCGUAGCAUGCAACCAGGCACGAGCGGUUCCAUGUUAUGUUAUACCUGAAAUCUUAAAAGUGCACGCUCACUUUUUCGUAGGAACGGGCGGCCGGGCUGGUUACUUACAUGUGUGUCUUUUUUUGUCAGCUAGUGAAUGUUUUUUGUUAGCAUUAAAUGCGUACAGACUAGUUCUGAAAACAGAUUCACGCACAUUUAUUUUGGCCACUUCAAUUUUUAAAAAGUCGUAUCUUUUAAACCACACGUCGGAAUUCAGAUCCGUCUUCACCGUUGGAUUCAUCGCGACGAGAUCUUCGAAACUAGAUCCCGCAUGGAUAUGUUUCGACGAAAUUUUUUUGAUGCCAACUUUGGCGCUGUAUUGUGCAACUUCAGUACUGCUUUGUGCAACUUUAGUACUGCAUGGUGCAAUUUUUUUCAAACCCAGUUUUUUGAAGCUGCAUCCUCAGUAGUUGUCGUUGCACACAUAGUAGUCCUAGUUGGCACAUACAUGGCCACAUAGUUGCAUAAUCUGGUCCGCAUAGUCGCAUAUGAAUUAUCAUAGCUUGUAAUGUAGUCUAGUUGCACACACAUUGAUGUUUAGUUGGCUUGUAACGUAGUCUAGUUACGCACACAUUGAUGUUUAGUUGGCAGGAAGACUAGUUGCACACACAUAUGCUUAGUUGGCUUGUAAUAUAGUCUAGUUGCACAUACAUUGAUGUUUAGUUGGCAGGACACUAGUUGCACAAGCAUUAAUAUUUAGUUGGCAGGACUAGUUACACACACACAUAUACUCAGUUGGCACGGCAAUGUAGUCUAGUUGCAUAAUGCAGUACUAUAGUUGCACCAUAUAGCACCAAAGUUGGCAUCAAAAAAAAUUCGUCGAAACAUACCCAUAUGGGAUCUAGUUUCGAAGAUCUCGUCGCGAUGAACCCAAAGGUGAAAACGGAUCUGAAUUCCAACGUGUGGUUUAAAAGAUAUGACUUUUUAAAGAUUUAAGAGACGAAAAUAAAUGUGUUUCACGGACCCGUCUAUACGCAUUUGCUAUACGCAUUUAAUGCUAAUAAAAACACCCAUUAACUAACAGAAAAAGACACACAAUAGAUAAUUGCUAUUUAUAAAUUAUUAGAGGACCAAAACUUGCAAUUUUGGACCGGCCGCUCGCAAAGUAUAGUGAGCAGCCGGCCGCUCGCUAGACCGGUCCUAUGUUAUAACCGUUAUGCUCAAGUCAGGAUAGAGUGCACACGUGUUGGGCUAUCUUAGUGGACGAUGCAUGCCUAAUGCUCUUUAUCUACAAAUUCUCGAAAAAAAAACAAAUUUUUUUGUUCAGGUACAUCGUUUAAUUGAUGAAAAAAUACAACCUAAUUUAUCUAUGAUCAAAGUUGAAGAUAUAAUAAAUAUGAACGCAUGUCAGUUCUCAGCCAUGGGAAUUUUUUUGGUAGAGAGGGGUGUCUGAACCAUGGAGUUCAAAUAUAAAAUUUAUCCAUAAAGGUGAACAUCAACUAAAAAUUCAAAAAAGAAACUACCCAAAUUCGAUACAAACAUCUGGUGACGUGCGUAUAUGUCUAUACAUGGAAAUAACAAAGACAAGAAACAAUCAUAUCCUGCUACGACACGUACAUCUGAUCACAUGUCAAGGGAAACAUCCAUAGCAAUUUUAAUCUCAAAGAAAUCAAAAUGCUUAAAUAUGCUAUUACAUAUUUUUUAUGUUCGGGGAUUUUUUUAAGAAUCAUUUCAUAUAUUCUAGAGUUUUAUGCUUUCUAUUCCUAUUUUGUUAUGUGAAAGAAUCUGUAUAUUCAUAUAAAUAGAAUGGCAUUACUUCAUUAUGUUGGAAUAAAAGUUAUAUAGUAUUUACUAUUUAUUUAUACCCAUCCCAAAAACUACAUUUUUGCAUUGUAAAAAAUUAUAGAAUUAUAUGACAACGUUAAAAAUAUAGAAUAUCUAUCCCAUGUACAAGCUGGCCCAGAUUGAUUUGGCAAGGCAACCUAAUCGAGCCCACAAGAUUGUUAUAUCUAAACAAUGAGCCACACAGAGACUCAUCCAUACUCCUGUACGGGCUCCGUGAGCUAGACUAAGUCAAAACCCAAGAAUCACUACACAAUUCACUUAUGCACACUUGGGAAUGAAAUAUUAUGCAUGGACGUCGUCUGGCAGACAAAAGCUCGGAUGGCAAUCUAUCCAACAAUGAUGAUCAUAUGGCCAAAAGAAAGGCAAGACAGAAUGAUUCAUCCAAUACACGCCCACAAUGCUCUAAGCAAAUUUAUUUAUAUUUUGUAUUUAGAAAAACAACAAAUGAGAAUUUAAGACAAAGAAAAAGUCAAGAUUUAUAAAUUCAUAAAACUUCUAUGCUGCAAGGUUUGUCCCAAGUAACGUUGAUCGGUUGAUGAGUUGUGGCGGGAUUACAGUAGGAAAUAUUCUCCAGAACUGUUGAUUACAACUAGGUACAUCUAUAAGAAAUGAAACUAUGUUCUGUAAAAACUGAUAACAAAAUAUUUAAAAACUAUAUAUACAUUAGUGUCCGAACAAUUAGUAAAGAAUUAUGCAUCAUAAACGAUGUCUCAACUUACCAACUUGCAUCAACCAUUAAUCAAAUAAGAGUGCGAGAAAAAACAUCACUUAGAGAAGAAUCUGUAUGCAUCAACUAACAAAUACAAGUAGGAACAGGGUCAAAAAGUUACGUAUGUGCAACAAAAUAUUCAUAAUUAUAAGUUUAAAUUUCAACAGGAUAAUGUUAUUAAAAAGAUAGACAUUGAUAUAUCACUAAAAAAGGAAAACUGAAAGAAUAGUACAUGAUUUCAAUGUUGAAAUUGAGACCUCAAUGUCUUCCUUCUUUUGUCUUCACUCAGAAAGGUCGUUCAACACAACCUUAUAAACCUUUAAAAAAAUCUUUUGAAUUUAGUAUAAUAUUUUCUUUACUAUGGAUGACAUACCAAUGGCCAUGUAGUUGGUAAAUCUAGCCGCGCAAAUGCGCGGGUCACACUUCUAGUUACGUUGAUGUCUUCAUUCCUCUGCUUCAGGUCAUCAUGAUGAAGUCGGCAUCCUUUCUUCGGGAACUCCAUCGUACUUACGAAAGAAUAAAGGGGUGGGUAUUCCGGGAGAACGGACCUCCUCAAGGUUGACUAUCUAGUCGAUAACAUCGGGGAAGGUGGCGGAAAGUAACUCUCGAAUUGGAACUUAAGAAAACACUGAGAGCAAGUAAGACGGUGCAAUAUGAAGUUUCGAGCGGAUAGGCAAUCGUUCAUUGCCUGAAACAGAGCAUGAAAGGGGUUCAGAGCAAUGGCAAUAAGUAUUGUGUCUGAUACCAGAAUAGAUCACCUCUAGGAAGGUGACCCAUGAAUACAUACGAGUCAAGNNNNNNNNNNNNNNNNNNNNNNNNNNNNNNNNNNNNNNNNNNNNNNNNNNNNNNNNNNNNNNNNNNNNNNNNNNNNNNNNNNNNNNNNNNNNNNNNNNNNNNNNNNNNNNNNNNNNNNNNNNNNNNNNNNNNNNNNNNNNNNNNNNNNNNNNNNNNNNNNNNNNNNNNNNNNNNNNNNNNNNNNNNNNNNNNNNNNNNNNNNNNNNNNNNNNNNNNNNNNNNNNNNNNNNNNNNNNNNNNNNNNNNNNNNNNNNNNNNNNNNNNNNNNNNNNNNNNNNNNNNNNNNNNNNNNNNNNNNNNNNNNNNNNNNNNNNNNNNNNNNNNNNNNNNNNNNNNNNNNNNNNNNNNNNNNNNNNNNNNNNNNNNNNNNNGGAACUGUGGGUUAUGGGCCCACCACGUGGGUUAAAAGUAGGAAGGGCACUAACAUCUUGCACGGUCCUGAUAGCAAGACAAGUCAGAGAAUAGCCCGUUAGUUAUGUCAGCAACAACAUCGGUACCAAGGGCAAGGGACGAAGAGAACCUUUUUCCUGCUCGUAGAACGAGGCGGACCAAUAGGCAAAGUUCUCGUCCAUUGGUGGUUACCGAAAUGUCAUCAGCAAUAGUAACAGGGUCUUACUGACAGAGUUGUACAACGAGGUGCUUGCCUAAGCAGGGAAUUAUCACUGCUCAGUUACAUAGAUUACAAGAAAGUUUAAACAAAGCAAUGGAAAGGAAAAUGUGUUUAAACACGUAUUUUAGGGGUAUAUCCUUCCCAAGGACAAGCAGAGCACGACAUCCACAACAUGAUAGAAAGUAGAAACCAUUUAGGUAAGGGGGGAAUAAUUUCAUGGCAUUACCCAUACAACAGUGUUUGGAUAAUUGAUAAAGAAAAUUUAGCAUUGCUUCAACUGUUCUUAUUGAAGAUCGGAGUACCACAGACAUGCUUCGAGAUAGCAUUGACAUGGUCUUCAAGCAAGGUCGGACUUUGGAUACACGAAGGAUCCAUCAGGAACAACUUAUGGAAUAAGUCUUACAAUUUCCUCAUGGAAGAACGACUAACCUUGCGAAAAAGGAAACUAUAACAAUAGGUCCCGCGGUCAGGUGUGCUAGGCAUGACAUCAUCUUACCGGGUUACAUAACGACCAAUGCUAUAAUUCUUGGUAAUAUGUUUCCAACCAUCGUAUCUAACUGAGAUGUUGAUCUGAGUGGUGUCAGGGUACCUCAGACUCGGGAUUCCUGAGAAGAAAAAGGUGUGACACAAAUUGACGAGAUGACAUUGUAAGAUUCUUGGGAAAUGAACUAUGGAAGCGAGUUCUGAACAAGAGUUCAUUAUUAAAUCAAGGAGAGAACAAGGAUGUGGCUGAUGGACUCAGCGACAACUCAUCGAGGUUUUCAAAAAGAUGGAUUUCCACAAUCAUGUGAAGGAGGUAACAUUUUUUAGCUCAAAUGACAUAAUGAUGUAUGCUCGAGGGAAACCCACACAAUUAAACAUUGGUUGAAAGGUGCGCCCGAAAUACGGGCAUAGGUAGCAUGAUCAAUGUUAGAAUGGUGAUUCAAUGACCAACAGUCUAAGAGCGAACUGUCGAUUGUUAACUUCAAAGCAAUAGGGUUGCUAGAAGUACAGAACUCAAGCAGCAUCGUUAGCAUAUUGGUAUCCUUGUUAAAAACAACACGAGGACCAAGGAAGAAUGGUGAUGGUGAGAAGUAUCAUAAUACCGAGAAUUUCUAAGAGGUGGAGCAAUCCCCACAACAUUCUUCAUAGAAAAGACAGUAAUACUUCAAGGCAGAAGACAACACUAGCUGGAGAGAAAGUUGUAUUUAUAAUGUGGACAAGUUCGUGAUGAAAGGAAGUCAAGGGUGUUGUCGAUGCUAAUAAAAAUCAUCGAGGGCAAGGAGGGUAUUUCUCAUCAUGAACACAGUUGGCAUCUUGGUAGAAGUCAAAGUGUUGAAGGUGAUCUGACACAUUUGCCGGGAGGUUUCAAGAGGAUGCAAUCAAACAACAAUGGCAACAAGCAAGGAAAUGACGAAGUGGCAAAUUACAGGAUCAAUAUAUAAGAGGCAAGCUCGGAACCAAAGUUGCCUUUCAAGACAAGCAACAUGAUGUUGAAAGCUCGACGUAAGUCGUGCUCACACACUGAAGAAUUCAUGCACCAAAGAAGGAUGAGUUAGCACAGUUAAAGAUAGCAAGACCAGGAUGCAGUCGAUAAUCUAGGAAUGACCAGAUUGGGUUCAGAAUUUCUGAGUAAAAAUACUAGGGGUAUUUGAUUUGUAGUGGGGAAUAAUUUCACUAGUCGGUGUCCUCGGUUGAAAACUAUCCAGAACCCGUAGAGUGAUUACGACAAGGAAAUCCAUUACUUCAACAAAGUUAGUAAGAUGUGGUGCAAUGGCCAGACAUCUUCGAGAUAAUAGGGGGUAAUACUCGAAGGUAGAACAAGAUAGAAGUAGAACCGGGUCAUUGACCUGUGACAGUAGAUACUUCAACCUUGCCAAAAAUAGACAAGGCACUAGAAUGAAUGCCCAUCAGAUAUAUCAGAUCAGGACCAUAACUGUAAGGAAUCAAUUCAAGAAUAGCGAAAGAAUCAUACAACUGGAUAAUCAUUUUGCAAGAAGCUUCCGAGACGGCCUACAUCAUUUUCAAGGGCAUGAACACAAAGUUCAAGGUCGACUCCCACUUCUUUAAUGCAUAACAUUUCAAUCACCUCUCGCUUUGAUAAAACUGUAGUGUUGGAAUUUUAUUUGGUAGAUCACCGGAAGAGUAUGACUUGUGAAAACUUUCGGGUUCUCACGGAUUAGGGGAAGGCAUAGGUUCAAACCAUCGGGCAUCUUAGUAACAUAUACCACAAGUUUCAAAAGUAAAUACACAAGCUCGAAAGCAGAGCAUGGUUGGCCAAGCAGAGGAUACAAUUUACCAAAGGAAUUAUGUAUUAGGGGGAGGACUCACAAGGUGAUUGAAUAUGAAGGACACUGUCGGAUAGCAAUCCAACAAUGGAUCGGGCGAUCCACAACGGAGCCGAUGUGAGUAUCGGUACUCACUCAGAGGAAGAAGAAUGCAGAUGCAUCAGAUUCAAGGAUCACCUGAUUAGUCUGAUGCUUAAAUAGAAGAAAUUAUGGUUUCCAAACGAAGGAUGAGAAGCAGACGCUCUGAUCAAGGAUGGAUAAGUUGAAAACACUUAGUUGGACAAUCAAUAAAAGUUUGAAUUGCCGAGAACCAACUCAUGUCCGGAAUGACGUCUGAGUCGGAAAGAUAAUUUUAAAAAUGAUAACUUGAUGAAUGCGUGCGUACGCACAUAUUGAAUCAAUAACCUCAAAAUGACUAAGACAAGGGAUGUUAUCGAGGACUACUAGUCAUAUGGAAUUAACCAUAACGCAAGCAGGCAAGAAUUUCAAGAAUAACAGGCUGCAGAGGAUUUUCGAAAGAUCGAAAAGUAUUCCGAAGAAUUUUGUGAGACACAUGAACAAUUGAGAAGAACGGAUCCUUGAUAAAUGUGAAAAAAAAUGUAAGGGUUUUCAUGCGAAAUAAAACUGCAAGACAAUAAACUCAAAGGAUUCUUGGGACAACGGAGAAUAGUUCAAGGCAUCUUGUAACAACAAGAGCGACGAGAAAUGAUCAUGAGAAUGACAAGUGCAUGCAGAUAACCAUAGGGAUAUAUCGGUGGCAGUGAAUUGCAAAGGCGAUGAGCACCAGGGUCUCGGGAAAAUAUCGAGGGAUACCCUCAGAAUCUUCUGACGAAGCAGGUGAUCUUUCGGAAUGAGGGCUCUUUGGGAGAAAUAGUUACGAGAACCUAGAGUUAGAGUUAGCAAAAUCAUUUAACCUGAAUAGAGGAGAGAUCGGAGUCCUAGAGUAAAGGACGAGGAGUAAAAGAUCCUAAUACCACCCAAAUGGCGACGUGGGCCCGUAAGACUCACAGCCAUGUUAGUAAAAGUUUUGUAGUGACUAGACUCGACUUCGGCCAAGGAGUGUGGAAGGGGGGUUCCUACAGGCAGUCGGCUCUGAUACCAACUUGUGACGUCCCCAAUUUAAUCAUACACUAAUCAUGCAUGCAAAUAUGUACGAUCAAGACCCGGGACUCAUGGGAAGAUAUCACAACACAACUCUAAAAGUAAAAUAAGCCAUACAAGCAUCAUAUUACAAGCCAGGGUCCUCGAGGGAUCGAAUACAAAUGCUCAAACAUAAAUGAGUCAGGGGAAGCAACAAUAUCUGAGUACAGACAUAAGUUAAACAAGUUGCCAUAAGAUGGCUAGCACAAACUGGGAUACAGAUCGAAAGAGGCGUAGGCCUCCUGCCUGGGAUCCUCUUAAACUACUCUUGGUCGUCGUCAGUGGCCUGCACAUAGUAGUAGGCACCUCCAUUGUAGUAGGAGUCAUUUUUUACGGUGGCGUCUGGUUCCUGGGCUCCAACAUCUGGUUGUGACGUCCGGGAAGAAGAAGAAAAGGGGAAAAAGAGGGAGCAAAGCAACCGUGAGUACUCAUCCAAAGUACUCGCAAGCAAGGAUCUACACUACAUAUGCAUGGGUAUAUGUGUAAAGAGGCAAUAUCGGUGGACUGAACUGCAAAAUGCCAGAAUAAGAGGGGGAUAGCUAGUCCUAUCGAAGACUACGCUUCUGGCAGCCUCCGUCUUGCAGCAUGUAGAAGAGAGUAGACUGAAGUUCUCCAAGUAGCAUCACAUAGCAUAAUCCUACCCGACGAUCCUCCCCUCGCUGCCAUGUGGGAAAGCGAUCACCGGGAUGUCUGGGUGUGUUUAUUAAGUAUCCUGUUCUAGUUGUCAUAAGGUCAAGGUACAACUCCAAGUCGUCCUGUUAUCGAAGAUCACGGCUAUUCGAAUAGAUAAACUUCCCUGCAGGCGUGCACCACAUUACCCGACACGCUCGAUCCCUCUGGUCGGGCACACUUUCCUGGGUCAUGUACGGCCUCGGGAGAUCAACACGUCGCAACCCUAGCUUGGCCUAACAGAGAGGUCAGCACGUCGAUCUAAAUCCUAUGCACGCAGGGGUCUAGGCCCAUCGCCCAUUGCACACAUGCACGUUGCGAACGCGGCCGGAGAGCAGACCUAGCCUCCCUUUUACAAGGGCAGGCGUUCCAGUCCAACCCGGUGCGCGCCGCUCAGUCGCUGACGUCUAGAAGGCUUCGGCUGAUACCAUGACGCCGGUUGCCCAUAUCUUGUCCCACGUGGUGGUUAGUGCGUAUAAGGUCAACGACCCAACUCAGAUCAAAUACCAAGAUCUCGUUAAUCGUGUUAAUUGAUAUAACCGCAGACGCCGACCAGGGCCAGGCCCACUUGUCUCCUAGGUGGUCUCAACCUGCCCUAUCGCUCCACCACAAAGUAAAAGUCGGGGGCCAUCGGGAACCCAGGCCCACCUCUACCAGGAUGGAGCCACCUAUCCUUCCAUCCCCCUCAUCGGAAUCAACCGCGGGUACUCAACGAGCCGACCCGACUUUAGUCACCAACUGUAUAGUAUGUAUAUAUAGUAUAUACCUGUGAUCACCUCCCGAUAGUAUAGCAAGGAAGACUAACAAGAAUGUAGGGCCACUAAUGAUAAACUAGCAUCCUAUACUAAGCAUUUAGGAUUGCGGGUAAGGCAUGAACAACUGUAGCAACAAUGACAGGCUAUGCAACAGAAUAGGAUUAACCGAACAGUAACAUGCUACACUACUCUAAUGCAAGCAGUAGAGAGAAGAAUAGGCGAUAUCUGGUGAUGGGGGGGGGCUUGCCUGCUUGCUCUGGCAAGAAGGAGGGGUCGUCAACUCCGUAGUCGAGUUGGGCAGCAGCAGCGUCGGUCUCAUAGUCUACUGGAGAGAAGAGGGGGAAGAAACAAUGAAUACAAUGCAAACAUAAGCAUGACGAUGCAUGACAUGACAAGUAACGGCACUCGGUGUGCCCUAACACGGUAGUAGGUGGUACCGGCGAAAGGGGGAAACAUCCGGGAAAGUAUCCUCGGGGUUUCGCGGUUUCGGGACCGGAGGUGAAAUGUUGCAGGUUCGCUAUGCUAGGGAAGUGUGGCGGUGGAACAGGCUAUUCGGAUUCAUCUUGUCGUUCUGAGCAACUUUCAUGUACAAAGUUUUUCCAUCUGAGUUACAGAUUAUUUUAUAUUAAUCUUCAAAGUUUUACUCAUUUUCUGAAUUUAAUUUAAAUCUAAAAUAAACGUGAAAUUACUAUAGGUACACAGAAGUGUGCCCACAUAUGUGCUACUAAGUCUGACAUGUGGGGCCAAGGGCUGAGUCAGCCCAGUCGACUGGUCAACAAAGUCAAAGGGGCCUAGGGGGUCCCACCUGUCACCAACUAGGAGUGCCCAGUCAGCAAAGUUGACUAGUCAACUGGGUCAAGCGGGACCCAGUAGUCAGUGAAUGUUUAUAAUAAUAGGUUUUAUAAAAUUUAUUUAAACAAAUUAGUAUGUGGGUCGGUGUCGUGGAAUUAUCACGUCAGAUGUCCUAGUGUGAGGACUUAGUCGUGGAGCCAGAGUGACUAGGUUAGCUUAGAGGGGUUAAACCGGACAAAGGAAACGGGGAGUUUAUACUGGUUCGGUCCCUUGCGGUGAAGAUAAAAGCCUACGAUCCAGUUGUGGUGUUUUUGAUGGGGUCUCGAUCACCAGGGAGCAAAUACGCUUUGCCUAGUUCUCGAGUUGUUGUUUCCUGUCCCUGAACCGCCGCCAGGUCGUCCCUUUAUAUACACAGGUUGACGCCCGGAUGGUCUACAGAAUCCCGAGGCUGACUUAUACAAGUGUCCGGCUCGGUUUCUUCCUUUCCCUAACUUACAACACAAAUUACACAUAUCAAGGCAGUUUAUAUACGUCGGCCCUAAUCCACCAUUGGGCUCUGGGCCUCUAAACUUCUGUAGUAAAGCGCCAUAGUCUUCGUCUUCAUGGCCUUCUGUACAGAUGACUCCUUGUGAGUAUAAUCCGGCCCCUCCUGGGCGGUUUAUACUCAGUAGUCAUAUCCCCAACAUUAGGCCCCAAAUUGGUUUGAACUUGUUCAUGUCAAUCUUCAUCUUAGAGAAAUUCUGAUUUGAACAUCUUCGUGUUGGCCUUGUGAACCGCAGUGACGUCAUCUUUUGGAAUCACCAUAAACCUCCAUGACGUCAUCUGUGUAAAAACCCAUAAAUACUUCCCUUUAUUAAUUAAUCUCCGAAGACCGAGGCGAUAGUUGUCCCCAUUCUCCGUUUUGGGCUCCUCGAUUCCCACGCCUGCCUACUUGUCCAUUUGCCUUAUAAAUAGAACCGGGCGGUCUUUUUCUUUUCCCCUUCUGUGCCUCUUCGCCUCUUCUUCCUCCUCGUGAUGCCCGAGCCCUAAAGCUCCGCCGCCGCCCUCGACCUUCAAGCUCUGCAUCACCACUGGUCGCUGCAUCGACCUGAACGUACCAGAGAAACGCGACACUUCUCCGCCGCUCCUGUGAAGCCGAUAAGCCUUCCUUCUUCAACCCUAGAUCUGCAUUAGGGUUUCACGCCUUCGUCGGUGUUCAUCAGUGUUCGUAGGUGUUCGUUGCUUUCCCUUACUGUCCCGUCGUAUCUUGAUGAACUUGACAUCUUCCCCACGCGGCCGAAGCUAUUGUUUUAUUUUUCCUCACCAUAGCAUCCCUUCGUCCAUGAACAGAUCCCAUCUAGACCUUUGCUUGCUGUGCUGCUGUCGCCAUUUUAGGGCUUUGAUAUUUUUCCUUUUCCUGAACUGCGCUAGAUCCAUAAUUAUAACUUUAGCCUGUGAAACCUGUUUCUGUAUCACUUAGCAAUUUUCAGAUCUGUUUCUUCCAUACCACUGUAGGCGGUUUAACCUCUAGAAAAUGAUAAUCCGCCAGGCACCAUUAUCCCUCACUUAAACCGCCAACUUUACCUGAACAUCAGUAUCCGGUUUAACGUGCACAUAUGCUCUGAUUGACUCUUUCCCCCGGCCUGACGCCAGUUUAUACAUAUCAAUCUUGAACUGUGAACCGGCGUUUGAACUUCUUUUACAGCUUGUCAUAAAAAAUGGCCAAACAGUUCUCCUCUUGCAAUUAGGUUCCCUCCCGGGUUACGGAAGAGCAACUGACUGGGUAUGUUCUGACUGGCGCUUUAGCAAACCAAGAAACCAUCCAUUGGAGAGUCCCGGGUACUGAAAAUCCUCCUGAACCUCAAGAUGGAGAAGUAGUUGUGUUUGUACAUCAUCUGGACCGAGGGUUUAGCCCUCCCGGAUCAAAAAAAUUCCGUGAUGUACUUGCCAGCUUCCAACUCCACCCUCAAGACAUUGGACCGAACUCUGUGUCCAACCUUUGCAAUUUCCAAGUAUUUUGUGAGGCUUACCUGCAAGAAGAACCGACCGUUGAAUAUUUCAGAGAUUUCUUUCACUUGAACCACCGUACUGAGUUUACCGCCAACCCCAAUACUGAACUUGGCGGUGUGUCGAUUCAAAAAAGGAAAGAAGUCAAUUUUCCUCAUGCCACACAUCACACCCACCCCAAGGAUUGGAAUCAGACUUGGUUUUACUGCCGGAAUACUAGUCCUGAUGAUGAAAAUCCUCUUUCGGGUUAUCAUGGUCACCGGCUCAGUAAUGAACAUCCACUGCCUUAACGGCUUACUGCCAGGGAGCGAUCGAAAUAUGCACCACAGAUUUCUAAGAUCUGGUCGUAUUAAGACCAAGGUCACAAAGAGGCCAGCAAAGAAGAGAACCGCCGUGUCCCCUGAUCCGGCCCAAGAUGUUGAUGACUCGGAAUCAGAGGUAGAACUUGAUUCCCUUGGCUCAUUUUUCAUGCACCUUAUGGACAAUGAUCAUUAUCAGGAUGAUGCGGAAGCCAGCCGUGCUGACCAUGUAGAGGUAAUUUCCCUUUCUUCCGAUUCAGAUCAUGUGCCGGUACAAAAACUCCGUCGCACAAUCCGGAAAGUAAAACGUUCACAUCCACUCGCUUAUUUGGAUCCACACUUUUCUUUAAAGACACAGCAACAUGAAGCUCAUCGCACAACCCGGCAUAGUGGCCAACAAGUUACCUCCUCCGGUUUACCAGAUACCCGGUUCGAAAACGCCGACCAGAGGUCUCUUGUACUUCUAAUAUUUGUUAUCCCAAGGAGGGUUACUUCCGACAACCGCUUAAUCUGUUUGAUUCAAAUUAUCAAGGAACUUCCAAUUCAUCCUCUGGCGAUUCAUCAACCACACAGAUGCCUCCACUCAAGACCGUUCCUGGGUAAGUAUGAUAAACUUUAUUUUUAUUCCUUGCUCUGGUUUAUUGUACUGAUCUAUGUAUCUUAUUCUUUUCAGUGCCAAAGCCAGACUUAGCAAGAAAGCCCAGCUGGCUAUACCAACUGAUGAUAAUUUGGCUACUGAACCGGAGAGGACCUCAGAAGCUCUUGUAAAAAAUGCUGACAUUACUCUGGAUGAUCCGGUACCGCAGGGUCAAGAUACUUUCGUUGAUCCGCCAGAAGCUAACCCAACUAGUCAUCAUGCUGAUCCUCCAAGCCCGACUGCCGAUCUACCAAGCCCAGCUGCCGGUCCACCAAGCCCAGCUACCGAUCCACUGAGCCAAGACAAGAUUGUUGAUGGCACGACAGAUGAUGUAGUAAUUACGGUGUUGGUCACACUACCCCUGGCAAUCCUGUCACUUUAUCAAAGCACAGUGCCAAGGAAGAAUUCUCUGUUGUGGACAAGGGCAAGUGGAAAACAGACUUAUCCAGCUGUGCUCACCUCAGUGCUCAGGAACUCCACUCUGGAUAUCUAAACCGCCUGUAUACAAGUCAUGAUUAUGAGGCCGGUUUAGUCAACUUGAUGAAGGAGCGCUAUGAGGUAAUUCAUGUUUGAAUGUUUUCAUAAAUUGUUCUUCCUUUUGCUUUAUAUCCACUCCAGUGUAGCCCCCAAGGGCCGGUUUAUCUCUUCAAGAUGAACCGGGACUUUGAUAAGAAAGACUUCAACUGUGUAGCCCCCAAGGGCCGGUUUAUCUCUUCAAGAUGAACUGGUACUUCCUGUUGUAAAGCUUAUCCUUGUUGAAUUUCUUCACAUCCUAUUUAUCUGAUCAAUUAAGCAUUAGCCCCCAAGUGCCAAGAUUAAUACUUGUAUUGAGCCUUGGGACUUAAAAUAGCAGUUAAGAAGAAGCAAUCCGCAUUAGCCCCCAACUGCCAAGUGUAUAACUUGUUAUGUGCUUGGGACUUCGAAAAAGUAUUACCAAUUGAACAUCUGUCUUUUGCAGGCUGACUUAACCAACAAGGAUUCUCAAAUCACCGAUCUCCAGGAAAACAUCAAGUCCCAGCAAGCCAAAACCUCCUAAGCCAAAGAUGAAUUGAAGGGCGCUUUAACAUACAUGGAACAAUUGAAGGAUGACUUCAAAAACGAGUGGGCAGGCUGGGAGACUGAAAAAGCCACUUUACUAAAACGGGCGGAGGAUGCUGAAGCGGCACUUAAACUGGUGGCGGAAGAACUGAGUGGCUUAAAGCGGCAAAUCAAUGCUAUGACUUCUACUGUCUUUGGUAAGUACUCUUGUUCGGCUUUUCUUAAACAUCUUUGACACUGCCGGUUUAACAGCAAUUUCUUAAACUGUUGCAGGUAGUCGUGUUGCUCAUCUUGGCUCGGAUAUGUGGAAAAAUUGAAGGCUGCCUAUACGUUGAUAAAGCAAUUAUAUACCGGUGCUCAAUGGGUCAUCUGCUCCGCCUCGUACAACAAACCGCCACAAUAUUGAUCAAGGACACAUUGGCCAAAUUAUCCAUGACACCUGCCAGCUAAAAGAGAUGAAGAGAUCUGUUGCUAGGGCUGGCGCUUUAUCUGCACUGACUCGGGCUAAGGCUUGGAUAGCUGAUCUUGAUCCGGAAGAUAUUGGAAGUGGCUAUCCUAGCCAAAAAGAAGACGGGUCGAAAUUUGACAAUGCUGCCCUUAAAGCUUUGACAAAAGAGAUGCGCCCACUUGCAAGUAGAUUGGCCGAAGAAACUGACUUGUCUUUCCACCGGUCCAUCUAUGAUGCAGACAAAAAAUGGAUCGAUGCAUCGGUUUAUGAAGCCCAAAAUCUAAUCCCACCAAUCCGUAAGCACACUUAUGCCCCGGACGUUAAACCGUCAGAUCUUAUAAGCAAUGAAGCUAUCUUCCGAGCUUUGUCUGGAAUUGACUGGGCAACCAUUGACUUCUAGCCGGUGGAUGGGGAGGAGGAGGGUGAACCGGCGCAAGAUGAUCCAUCAACUUCACGUCAACCUGGUGAUGAAUCAUAAUCCGGCCGCCGGCUUUAUUUCCGCAGAUUGCAUCCUGUGCUACAAACAGUUAUUCUUUUGGGCAUCAAAGCGCCUUGUAAUAGGCUAGUUGAAAUACUUUGAUCUGCUGCCAUCAUGCACUGCUACAUGACACUAUUUAAUCUGCCAUGAUUGUUGCUAUGCUUGCUUAUGUGCCUUAGUAAUUUCAUGCAAUCCUUGUUUUUGCACAUAAAAAAUUGUCCUGGCGGUUUACCGCCGGACGGGUCAUAAUGCCCAAUAUAAAGCAUGGUUUAUAACCAAGGCUGCAAGAAUAUCAAAAUAUGAAAUAGAUCAUACCUGUGAUAUUGAAUCAUGUCGUUGGUUUACCAACUUGAUUGUAGUAAGGGUGAUAACCCAAAUCUUGAGUGUUGAUAACUCCCACCAUGAUGUGCUGGUGUAUAAUAAGCCAUGUCGGGUUAUGAUAAACACCGGAUGAUCAUCCUAGCGACGCAUAGUCAAUGCCAGACCGGGUUAACAAUCACCGGUUUAUAAUUGAAUGUGGUAUAACAACUUGUAGCUGAAAGCCAAGCCGGGUUAACAAACACCGGGUUAAUUUGAUGAAUUUAUAGUCAUGCUGGGUCAAUAUACGCCAGUUCAACAUAAAACCUUAUUGAGGGAGUCCCGAAUUAGGGGGUGUCCGGAUGACCGGACUAUAACCUUUGGCCGGACUCCUGGACUAUGAAGAUACAAGAUUGAAGACUUCGUCCCAUGUCCGGAUGGGACUUUCCUUGGCGUGGAAGGCAAGCUGGGCGAUACGAUAUGUAGAUCUCCUCCCAUUGUAACCGACUCUGUGUAACCCUAGCCCUCUCCGGUGUCUAUAAACCGGAGAGUUUUAGUCCGUAGGACGAACAACAAUCAUACCAUAGGCUAGCUUCUAGGGUUUAGCCUCUCUGAUCUCGUGGUAGAUCUACUCUUGUACUACCCAUAUCAUCAAUAUUAAUCAAGUAGGAGUAGGGUUUUACCUCCAUCGAGAGGGCCCUAACCUGGGUAAAAACAUCGUGUCCCUUGUCUCCUGUUACCAUCCGCCUAGACGCAUAGUUCGGGACCCCCUACCCGAGAUCCGUCGAUUUUGACACCGACAUUGGUGCUUUCAUUGAGAGUUCCUCUGUGUCGUCACCUUUAGGCCCGAUGGCUCCUCCGAUCAUCAACAACGACACGGUCCAGGGUGAGAUUUUUCUCCCCGGACAGAUCUUCGUAUUCGGCGGCUUUGCACUGCGGGCCAAUUCACUUGGCCAUCUCGAGCAGAUCGAAAGCUACGCCCCUGGUCAUCAGGUCAGUCUGAACUACAUGGUUGACAUCCACGGAGACUUGAUCUUCGACGGAUUCGAGCCACGGCCGAGCGUGCCGCACUGUCACGAUGGGCAUGAUCUAGCUCUGUCGCCGGACAGUGCCCAAAGGGCCGCUCCGGUGUCCGCUCUGACCCUUAGCUCAGAGCCGACUGCGCCGAUCGAGGAUGGGUGGCUGGACACCGCCUCGGGGGCCGCAAUCUCCACGGUGAUCGAGCCGAACACCAGUCUUGUCCUUCGCGAAGCUCGCAACUCCAAGGUGCCGGACUCCUUUCCGGAUUCCGAGCCUUCCGCACCCCUGCCGAUCGAACCCGAUUGGGCGCCGAUCAUGGAGUUCACCGCCGCGGACAUCUUUCAGCACUCGCCCUUUGGCGACAUUCUAAAUUCACUACAGUCUCUCUCUUUAUCAGGAGAGCCCUGGCCGGAUUAUGGUCAGCAAGGUUGGGAUGCGGACGAUGAAGAAAUUCGAAGCCCACCCACCACCCACUUCAUAGCCACUGUCGAUGAUUUAACCAACAUGCUCGACUUCGACUCCGAAGACAUCGAUGGUAUGGACGACGAUGCAGGAGACAAACAGGAAUCAGCGCCUAUAGGGCACUGGACAACCACCUCAUCUCACAAUGUAUACAUGGUGGACACACCUAAAAGAAACGACGACAAGGAACAGAGGGACGCAACGAGGGAUCAUUCCCUCGAAAAGCAAUCAAAGCGGCGGCGUAAGCAACGCACCAAACCCCACCUCGACAGAGACCCAGCCAUAGAGCAGGGCGAACCGGCGGACAAUGAACAUGCCAUCGAGCAACUUGGGUAAACAAACCGAACAACCCGCCCCCGGUGAAGAUGAUAGUCCGGACGACCUCACGCCGGACAAGUUGCUGGAGCAGAAGAACCUCCACAAAAGGCUUGUCGCCACUGCGCGUAGCCUGAAAAAGCAGAAGCGGAGGCUCAAAACAGCGGAAGAUGCACUCAAAAUUAGAUGGGGCAAAGUACUCAACACCGCAGACAAAUACGACGACAGUCGCCACACAAAGAGCUACCCGAAGCAAAAAUUACUACCGGAAUUCCAUGAGGAGGCCUUAGAGCCCCCGCAAUCAAAAAAUAAAGAAGAUACCCGGUCGGAUAAACAACCCCAUGGCCAGCAUAGAGUGGCAAGGGGCGCCACACUAAAGCCGGCACGCGAUACGCACAAGGAUUCGCAUCAAAAAGACGGCCCAGCCAGAUCUAUCUACGGGCCAAGAAAGCAAGCUCUAGUAAGCAAUGUAAUGUAACAAGUAUCUGAACAUCACGGCACACCCAAAUAUAGGGGUGUCGCACACCCCCUAUGUUUCACCGAUGAGGUGCUGGAACAUGAAUUUCCAGCGGGAUUCAAGCCCGUAAACAUAGAGGCAUAUGACGGAACAACAGACCCUGGUGUCUGGAUUGAGGACUAUAUCCUCCACAUACACAUGGCUAGAGGAGAUGACCUCCACGCCAUAAAAUAUUUACCCCUCAAGCUCAAAGGGCCAGCCCGGCAUUGGCUUAAAAGCCUUCCCGAAAACACCAUAGGAAGUUUGGAAGAGCUCGAGGAUGCUUUUCGGGAAAAUUUUCAAGGGACCUAUGUCCGACCUCCGGAUGCAGACGAUCUAAGUCAUAUAACUCAACAACCUGGAGAGUCAGCCCGGAAACUCUGGAACAGAUUUCUUACUAAAAAGAACCAGAUAGUCGACUGUCUGGACGCCGAAGCCUUAGCAGCUUUCAAGCACAGCGUCCGAGACGAAUGGCUCGCCAGACACCUCGGCCAAGAAAAGUCAAUAACAAUGGCCGCAUUAACAAGCCUCAUGACCCGCUUUUGCACGGGAGAAGAUAGCUGGUUGGCAAGGAACAGCACCAGCGAUCCAAGUACAUCCCAAUCUAGGGAUGGAAACGGGAAACCGUGACGUAGCAAGGACCAGCGCUGGACCAAGGGAAGCAACCCGAAGAGCACGACAGUCAACGCCGGAUUCAAAAGCUCUCGGCAGAAUCAGAAAAAGCCGCCCACCAAGGAUAAUAGGGACGAGCUAUCCAACCUCAGCAAAAUCUUGGACAAAAUAUGCCAAAUCCACAAUACUCCCGGGAGGCCUACAAACCACACCCACGGAGAUUGUUGGGUCUUCAAGCAAUCCGGCAAACUUAACGCGAACACAAGGGGCUCGACAUACCAAGCGAGGACGACGACGAACCCCACAAGGAGAGCACCGGAGAACAAAAGAAGUUCCCGCAAGAAGUAAAAACAAUAAAUUCACUUCACGUGACAAAAGGGAAAAACAGAGUGGCGCCUAUGGAGUUACGUGCCAUACGGCCUGUCCCAGAGGAGUCCCACCACUGGUUGUUACAACCAGUCACCUUCUAUCAUCAGGAUUACUCUAGAAGUAUCCGGAACGUAGGCUGGACUGCCUUGGUAUUAGAUCCGAUAAUUGACGGACUCCACUUUACACAAGUCCUAAUGGACGGCGACAGCGAUCUAAACCUGCUAUACCAGGACACAAUCCGCAAAAUGGGGAUAAACCCAACAAUAAUUCGCCAUGGCAACACUUCCUUUCAAGGGGUAACGCCAGGCCCAGAUACCCAUUAUACGGGUUCCCUCUUGUUAGAAGUUAUGUUCGGCUCCCCCGACAACUUACAAAGCGAAAAGCUAACCUUCCACAUCGCCCCAUUCAUAAGUAGCUAUCAAGCACUGCUGGGACGUGAAGCUUUCGCUCGCUUUAACGCAAUACCGCAUUAUGCAUCCCUUAAACUUAAAAUGCCCAGUCCACGAGGCAUCAUCUCAUUAAUGGGGAAUAUCGAGUGUUCCUCGAGCGCGGAAGAUGGUGCGGCUGCCUUGAUAGCCGCACACUAAACUAGCUUUACUAGUUAAAGCAGCUAAAUAGGUCGUUCAAGACUCCGGACAUGGCUAGAUGAGUCCGGCGUAAACAUACAAAGGCUUACUAGCCGCAUACCCCUGUAGAAGGGGCUCCGAGCAUUUACACCAAGAGACAAUAAAACUCAAUUCUACCCAUCUUCUGAAUUAUACUUUGUUUAUUUAAUAUAACAUAGAUUUUUCGCACGAUUGUUUUCAAAUAAGUUCCUCUCUUUUACAGAUGAACACCGUGCUAUACCCGUCUAGGAUACGGCUCAACGGAGACACAGGCGCAGACAUGCAGUAGGGACCCAUUCCAAGGAUUCUUUUCAGAUUAAGACCCUGCGUAAACCUUUUUUACUGUCUCUUGUUGAUAACAUCCCCCAGUUUUUUGUUAUAACCAAGGAGGAGGCUGGCGUCUUGGCAUGUGGCCAUGCCAGAAUUCUGCGCGUACCUGGACACCAGGGGCUUCUUACCAAGGGCUUUUGUUCAGCCCGUUUUCAUAAAGACCGAAUACCUUAGGGAAUGUUCGGCGUCGCGAGUUUGGCCUUAUAUGCAUCAGCUCCGAAUCAUGUCUUUGGUAAAAUGUUGGGUUUGCCCGGCUCCUGUGUUUUGCUGCCUUACGUUCCGCUCUAUCGGUUAAGGUGGCACCAGGAGAACUACUGCGAUUGUGCCCCGGUUCGGCCAGGCGAGCACCUCAGUAGAGAAAGCCGAAAACUGACUGUCAUGAUAUAGCGUGAGACUGGUCAACCACUCGAUGACUUGCUGGAAUCUUUAGGAUUCCUCCGCAUUAACGAAGGGUCGUUUCCCAGUCAGGCACACACGCGCCCCGAAUUCGGGUGAGCGCGGUGCCCCUAGGGGCUAUAUAGUAGCCCCACUGUCAAACUCCUAUGGCUAAGUGAAAGUGAUAAAGCAUUAUAGUCUGGUUGCCUAGUUCGCUGCGCUAUCACCACCUUUAUAGGACCAAGACGUUGGAUCAAGUGUGAAAAUGCGUCUUCUGCGAACACCCCCGCAUUAUAUGCGUGGGGGCUGAAGCCAACGACUGCCAUCUUUCAGGUUAUAUACACAUAUACAUUAACGGUCGCACAGGAGGUAUUCUAAUUCUUGAAAGCACAAGUAUAAAAAGCUUUUAUAGUCCAUCGAAACAUUGUUUUACAAUAAUACACGUUAUUCAAACAUAACAUCCUUCGAGCACUGCGUCUCUAUUAGACGAGCGCCCUGUAGAACUUCCUCAAAAUAGUGCUCGAUGGGUACUCGGCUUCCAUCCGAAUCUUGGGAUGCAACAACACUGGCCCUCAUCUCCGCCCAGUAUGUCUUGACAUGGGCAAGAGCCAUCUGUGCACCCUCUAUGCACGCUGACCUCUUCAUUGCAUCAAUAUGCGGCACUGCACCAAGGAACUGCUGCACCAAGCUAAAAUAACUCUUCGGCUCGGGCCUUUUCGGCCACAGAUGACACACGACCUGCUUCAUGGCGAGUCCGGAUAACCUGUUCAGCUCCGCCCAUGCGGCCAAACGAUCGGCUACCGAAAGUGGGCGCUCUGGACUGUGGAACUGCGACCAAAAAAGUUCUUCCACUUCGUGGUCAUUUCGAUCCCGGAAGUGGGCACUCGCCGCCAAGUCCAGAUAAGUGUUCGCCGCACUCCACUUCCGGUCCAACGGAGCAUACUUAGGAUCCCCGAACUUCAUCCGCAGCAUAUAGGGCUUUCCAGCCGUGAUAUCUCCAGCCUGACGUAGCUCCUCCUUCAUCGCUCUCAUCGCAGAGCGAGUAUCCUUGGCCUCGGCAGUGACCUUUUCUAGGUCCUUCUGUGCCACCCUAUCUUCUUUUUCAAGAAGCUUGCAGCGGUCGGUAGCAUUCUUCAAUUUUAUAGCCAUCUCGGCCAUUUCCUUCUUGCUCUGGUAGUGAGCAGCCUGUUCCGCUUUUAGCUCUUCAGCCGCCUUUAAGGCAGCCGCAUCGCUUUUCCUGGCCCGCUCCUUGGCUCGGGAAAGUUCUGCCCGAAGGCUCUCCAUGGCAGCGGCACCAUCUGCAUUAAGCACACAUGUUAUAAGGUACAGGCAUCAAGCUCCUCUUACCAGAUGUCUUCGGAGACAUUACAUACCUUGUGCCUCGUCCAGCCGCUCGUUGACAAGCGCGAUGUCGGCAUCUGCCACGUCAAGUUGCCGCUUUAGCUCGGCAAAUUCAUCAGUCCGGCUAGCCACCGAACACUUCGCCACCUACAUAGGAAAGGCGACAUAUUAUACCUGGGAUUAUGAUCCUCUGCGCGCCAUCAUUGUUGACAACGCAUAGAGUCUCAGGGGCUACUAUCUAUACAGGGCGCAUUUUAUAUAUGCGGAUCUGUCAAAAGGUACAUCAUUUCGCGUACCUCAAAACCUGUCAGUAAACUCCUGACGGCCUCGUACAAUCCGCUUUCCGCGGAUGAAAUCCUUCUAACCACCGUAUUCAUCAACACACGGUGUUCUUCUGAGAUAGACGCUCGCCCGAGCAGAUCCUUCAGCUCCUCCGACUGUGCACCGGACGGUGCCGGACUCGUCCGAAGACCUUUUUCAAAGGCCGGAUUCGAAGAAACCCUCCGAGACGACACCUCGGGGUCACCCACCUCGCAAGACGGUACAACUGGGGGAGGCGUUCCGCUCUCCAUCAUCUCCGGACGAAGAUCCCCUGAAGAUGAGCUCUGCUGAGAAGGGUUGAGAUCGGAACUACAAGGUAAAAUUUUGGUUUUCUUCCUCAGAAAUAAAACAGGGAUGUCUCUCAUUUUAAACCCCUCUCUUUACUUACGGCUCGGUGGAGAGUUGAUCCCCUUGGGGGCGCAAUGCGGCCGAGGCACCCUCCGGCGCCGGACCCUCUGACGAAGAUUUCUUCCCCAGCUUUGAGGCCAUCGCCUCCGGGUGUUCAGAGGCGGUCCUCUUCUUUCCCUGGUUAGAGGAAUUCUCGAUUCCUCCUUUCCUGACAGCCUCCUUCGCGGAGGUGGUAGCUUCUUUGUUCCCCUCUUCGCCUUCUUCCAAAGGCGCAACCUCCAGCAUCCUGGUUAACACGGGAUCCGGUGUGGUCUCAGGGAGGGAGGCCGGACACCUGAUAAGCUUUGCUUUCGCUAUCCACUCCUGUUUAAAGGAUAGCUCUUUUAAGGGCAAUUUUAUGAUAAAUAUACGGAUAACGUCUCUGGGUACGGGGCUACUUACUUGAGUGUCCGGGCGAUUGUAGCUCAGACCUGCAUCCUCGGACGAGUACGGACACGUUGCUUGUGAUCCGAAGAACAAUUUAUACAUCUCCAUGGGCGUCGCGCCCAUAAAAUGUUGGAGGGCUUGCGGUCCUUCCGGAUUAAAUUCCCACAGGCGGAGGGGGCGACGUUUGCAGGGCAGGAUGCGGCGAAUCAACAUAACCUGCAUCACUAUGGCCAGAUUGAUAUCUCUUUCUAGGAGAUCUCAAAUGUGGCCAUGCAACAAGGGCACGUCCUUGGACGGCCCCCAGUUAAGCCCUUUAUUGACCCAUGAUGCUAGCUGUGGUGGGGGACCCGAGCGAAAGGCAGGUGGCGCCACCCAUUUGGUGCCCCUAGGAGCUGUGAUAUAAAAUCACUCUUGUUGCCAGGAGCCGAACUCCUCUUGAAAAGAGCCCUCUGGCCAUGGAGCGUCGGCAAUCUUGCUUAUAACAGCACCUCUGCACUCCGCGUGCUACCCCUCGAUCAUCUUCGGCUCUACUUUGAAGGUUUUGAGCCAUAAUCCGAAGUGAGGAGUAAUAUGGAGGAAGGCCUCGCACACGACAAUGAACGAUGAGAUAUGGAGGAUGGACUCCAGAGCUAAGUUGUGAAAUUCCAGCCCGUAGAAAACAUGAGCCCCCUCACGAAGGGGUCAAUCGGGAAGCCUAGCCCCCGAAGGAAGUGAGACGCGAACACCACGCUCUCACCGGGCUUGGGAGUGGGAAUGAACUGCCCUUGAGUAGGUAGCCUAUGAAAGAUUUCGCCGGUUAGAUACCUGGCGUCUCUUAACUUUAACACGUCUUCUUCCAUAACAGAGGAAGGCAUCCACCGGCCUUGAAGGUCGGAGCCGGACAUCGUCAAAGGUCCGAAGCGCUUGAAUCUGGAUCUUUGGGUGUUGGAACUCAAGGCGAGAGGCAGAUUGGAUUGGGAUUGAAAGAAAGGAGUCGAGCCUUGGUCUCUUUAUAAAGAGGUUGAAUACCAAGAGCCCUCCCCGUGACUGUUUGGGACUCGCUUUCGAUUAAAGAGAUAUACCAAUGGCACGGUUGGGUUACCCACGCCCGUAUUGAUGAGAAUCCCGGAAUAAGGGGACAUGAUCUCUGCUUUGACAAGACGUGCCAAGGAAACCGCCUCGCUAAACGCGCUGAGGUGGGACAGUCAAACGAAUAAAGGCUUGGCCGUGGCAUGAUGUCACGCUGCGGAAUACGUCAGCAUAUUAGAUUUGUACAAAUAUUAUUCUCUCUAUGGUGGUAUGUGGAACUUAUUUUGCAGAGCCGGACACUAUCCUUAUGUUCAACAUCUUCUAUGAAGUAUUCGUAGGAGGAACCCGCCUUGCAAUGCCGAAGACAAUUUGCGCGCCGGACUCGUCAUCAUUGAAGCCUGGUUCAGGGGCUACUGAGGGAGUCCCGGAUUAGGGGGUGUCCGGAUGACCGGACUAUAACCUUUGGCCGGACUCCUGGACUAUGAAGAUACAAGAUUGAAGACUUCGUCCCGUGUCCGGAUGGGACUUUCCUUGGCGUGGAAGGCAAGCUUGGCGAUACGAUAUGUAGAUCCCCUCCCAUUGUAACCGACUCUGUGUAACCCUAGCCCUCUCCGCUGUCUAUAUAAACCGGAGAGUUUUAGUCCGUGGGACGAACAACAAUCAUACCAUAGUCUAGCUUCUAGGGUUUAGCCUCUCUGAUCUCGUGGUAGAUCUACUCUUCUACUACCCAUAUCAUCAAUAUUAAUCAAGCAGGAGUAGGGUUUUACCUCCAUCGAGAGGGCCCGAACCUGGGUAAAAACAUCGUGUCCCUUGUCUCCUGUUACCAUCCGCCUAGACGCAUAGUUCGGGACCCCCUACCCGAGAUCCGCCGGUUUUGAUACCGACACUUAUCAAAAGAGAAAAAAAUCUUGACAAAGGCAAAUAAAAUCUUGUAGUCGAGGCUUUUCAAGGGCUGCCAGGCCCAAAUACGAGGCUUUUCAUGGGCUGCCAGGCCGCUGAGUUAAACCAUUUCGCAAAGCCUUUUAAGAUGGGCCUCCAAUUAACCAAUCGUCAUUUUAACUUUGACAAGUUCAGGGUCUGUGUAAGAUUGACUUGUCAAACGUUCGGCGGGUCAUACCAGGAUUACCUGGAAGGAGUGGCUUACUUGAUGAAGGCAGGUUAACCCGGGGUUUUAUGUGAAUACACCUAACUUCCAAGCCUGGCUCGAUAGCCUAUUACAAGGGUCCUUUCAAACUCUUUGUUGCUUUGCACAAAGAGCCCCCAAGUAACUUUGUGAGCUGUGCUCAAUGGGUGCCUAUGUUUGAGCUGUCUGAGCAACAAGAAUCUCUUUGGCCCCUUGGGUGUGAAGCUCCCAAGCUUUGUUGCGGCGUGAUAGCCGGAUUAAUAGGUAGAACUCCGCUUUGUCAGGUGAAGCCCCCAUGUAAUCAAGAAAUAUGGGGAAAAACAGCAGAGGCCUUGCUUAUAGCAAGGAUGCCAAUUUAUUAUAUUGAUCAUAAUAUAUAAAUUGUCAAAAUAUGUACAUAAGAGGAGCCUAUGGCUCAGGUGUAGUAAGGCCGAAGAUGAGCGAUGUUCCACGGCCGACGGGUCUCCUCCUCCGAUUUGCGUGAGUCUUUGUGCUCUCAAACAUCGAUGAGGUAGGAUGAUCCAUUGUGCAGAUUCUUGCUGACCACAUAGGGCCCUUCCCAAGGUGGGGAUAACUUGUGCAUAUCAGUCUGAUCCUGGAUAAGCCGGAGCACUAAGUUGCCUUCUUGAAAGGUUCUUGUUUUAACCCGGCGGCUGUGAUAACGCUGCAAGUCUUGCUAAUAAACCGCCGAACGAGCUAACGCCAUGUCCCGUUUUUCAUCUAACAGGUCCAGUGCUUCUUGACACGCUUGCUCGUUGUCCGCUUCAACGUAAUUGGCAACCCGGGGCGAGUCAUGAUGAAUAUCAUUUGGGAGUACCGCCUCUGCCCCGUAAACCAUGAAGAAAGGUGUAUAACCCGUAGAUCGAUUGGGGUGGUGUUUAUGCUCCAUAACAUAGAAGGUAAUUCCUCCACCCAACAAACCGGUGUCCUCUUCAAAGGAACCAUAAGCCGUGGCUUGAUACCCUUCAAGAUUUCCUGAUUAGCUCUCUCAGCUUGUCCAUUAGACUCGGGGUGGGCCACUGAUGAAACAUCAAGCCGGAUGUGCUCUCUUUGACAAAAAUCCUCCAUCUCACCUUUGGAAAGAUUUGUGCCAUUAUCUGUGAUGAUGCUGUGUGGAAAACCAAAACAGAAGAUCACCUUCUUUAGGAAUUGAACCACCGUGGCUGCAUCACACUUGCUCCGCUUCAACCCAUUUAGUGAACUUAUCAACCGCCACCAAUAGGUGGGUCUUCUUAUCUUUGGACCGUUUAAAAGGUCCUACCAUAUCAAGCCCCCAAGUAGCAAACGGCCAAGUGAUUGGAAUCAUUCUUAGCUCUUGAGCCGGAACAUGAGCUCGGCGUGAAAACUUCUGACAAGCGUCGCACCGUUUCACCAAGUCCUCAGCAUCAGCAUGAGCCAUCGGCCAAUAGAAGCCAUGACGAAAAGCUUUAGCAACCAAGGACUUUGAACCGGUGUGGUGACCACAGUCUCCUUCGUGGAUUUCAUGCAGAAUCUCACGGCCUUCUUCAGGGGAAACAUAGCGAUGUAACACACCCGAGACACUGCAGUGGUGUAACUCGCCAUUGUGAAUAACCAUGGACUUGGACCGCCGGAUUAUCUGUCUGGCCAAAACAUCAUCUUCUGGUAACUCUCCCCAGUUCAUAUACGCCAAAUAUGGAACCGUCCAACCGGAAUAAUACGCAGAGCGGCCACCAAUUGAGACUCCGGAUCAGGAAUAGCCAGGUCCUCCUCUGUAGCCAACUUAACUGACGGGUUAUGCAAGACAUCCAGAAAGGUAUUGGGCGGCACCGGUUUACAUUGAGAUCCCAGCCGGCUCAAAGCAUCCGCUGCUUCAUUUUUGCGCCAAUUAAUGUGCUCAACUUGGUAACCCUUGAAGUGACCAGCAACAAUAUCCACCUCUCGUCAGUAAGCCACCAUGAGUGGAUCCUUAGAAUCCCAAGUACCUGAAACUUGCUGAGCCACCAGAUCAGAGUCCCCGAAGCAUCGUACCCGGCUUACGUUCAUUUCCUUAGCCACUCGAAGACCAUGGAGCAAGGCCUUGUACUCAGCUGCAUUGUUAGUACAAGGAAACAUUAAGCGGAGAUCAUAACGAAUUUUAUCACCUCAAGGGGAAGUAAGGACAACUCCAGCCCCCGAGCCCUCCAAUUGCCCAGACCCAUCGAAGUGGAUAGUCCAGUAUGUGUUAUCCGGUUUGUCCUCCGGUGCCUGCAACUCUGUCCAGUCAUUGAUGAAGUCCACAAGGGCCUGGGAUUUGAUAGCUAUCUGAGGCAUGUAUUUCAACCCGUGUGGUCCAAGCUCAGUAGCCCACUUAGCAAUCCGGCCAAUUGCCUCCCUGUUCUGAAUUAUAUCUCCCAAAGGAGUGAAAUUGACCACCGUGAUGGGAUGGCCCUGAAAGUAUUGCUUAAGCUUUCGACUUGCCAUGAAAACCCCAUACACAAGCUUCUGCCAAUGCGGAUAUCUUUGCUUUGACUCGAUGAGCACCUCGCUGAUAUAGUAAACUGGCCUUUGAACCAGAUAUUCCUUCCCAGCCUCUUUGGGCUCAACCACAAUAGCCACGCUGACGGCCCGGGCAUUAGCAGCUACAUAUAGCAACAGUGGCUCCUUAUCGACUGGAGCAGCAAGAACUGGCGGUUCAGCUAACUGCUUCUUCAAGUCCUCAAACGCUGCAUCAACAGCGUUACUCCAGACAAAAGUGCAUGUAUUCUUCAACAUCUGAUACAGAGGGAUUGCCUUCUCUCCCAAACGGCUAAUAAACCGGCUCAGGGCCGCAAUACGACCUGCCACACGUUGAACAUCAUUGAUACAUGCCGGUUUAGCCAGAGACAUAAUAGCCUUGAUCUUUUCUGGAUUAGCUUCAAUGCCCCUGUUAGACACCAGAAAACCUAAGAGCUUGCCUGCAGGAACACCAAAGACGCACUUGGCCGGAUUGAGCAUCAUCUUAUAAACCCGAAGAUUGUCAAAGGUCUCCUUCAAGUCAUCUAUCAGUGUCUCCUUCUUUCUGGACUUGACCACAAUAUCAUCCACAUAAGCAUGAACAUUGCGCCCAAUUUGAGUAUGAAGACAAUUCUGCACACAUCGCUGAUAAGUCACCUGGGCACUCUUGAGCCCAAAGGGCAUAGACACAUAGCAGAAGGCUCCAAAGGGAGUUAUAAAAGCUUUUUUCUCCUGGUCCUUAACUGCCAUCUUGAUCUGAUGAUAACCAGAAUAAGCAUCUAAGAAACUCAAACGCUCACAACCCGCCGUAGCAUCAAUGAUCUGAUCAAUACGAGGGAGAGCAAAAGGAUCAGCCAGACAAGCUUUGUUCAAGUCCGUGUAAUCCACAGACAUGCGCCAAGUGCCAUUCUUCCGAAGCACCAGUACCGGAUUAGCCAGCCACUCCGGAUGAAAAACCUCAAUGAUAAACCCUGCUGCCAAAAGCCGGGCUACCUCCUCACCAAUAGCCUUGCGCCUUUCUUCAUUGAAGCGGCAAAGAAAUUGCUUUAUCGGUUUAAACUUGGCCAGAACACCAAAGAUGCACUUGGCCGGAUUGAGCAUCAUCUUAUAAACCCGAAAAUUGUCAAAGGUCUCCUUCAAGUCAUCUAUCAGUGUCUCCUUCUUUUCGGACUUGACCACAAUAUCAUCCACAUAAGCAUGAACAUUGCGCCCAAUUUGAGUAUGAAGACAAUUCUGCACACAUCGCUGAUAAGUCGCCUGGGCACUCUUGAGCCCAAAGGGCAUAGACACAUAGCAAAAGGCUCCAAAGGGAGUUAUAAAAGCUUUUUUCUCCUGGUCCUUAACUGCCAUCUUGAUCUGAUGAUAACCAGAAUAAGCAUCUAAGAAACUCAAACGCUCACAACCCGCCAUAGCAUCAAUGAUCUGAUCAAUACGAGGAAGAGCAAAAGGAUCAGCUAGACAAGCUUUGUUCAAGUCCGUGUAAUCCACAGACAUGCGCCAAGUGCCAUUCUUCUGAAGCACCAGUACCGGAUUAGCCAGCCACUCCGGAUGAAAAACGUCAAUGAUAAACCCUGCUGCCAAAAGCCGAGCUACCUCCUCACCAAUAGCCUUGCGCCUUUCUUCAUUGAAGAGGCGAAGACAUUGCUUUAUCGGUUUAAACUUGGGAUCAAUAUUGAGAUUGUGCUCAGCGAGUUCCCUCGAUACACCUGGCAUGUCAGAAGGCUUCCAUGCAAAGAUGUCCCGGUUCUCAUGGAUGAACUCGAUGAGCGCGCUUUCCUGUUUCGGAUCCAGAUUAGUGAUGAUACUAAACUGCUUGGAUGAAUCGCCAGGAACAAAAUCAACCAGCUUAGUCUCAUCAGCCGGUUUAAACUUCAGGGUCGGGUCAUGCUCUGUGGUGGGCUUCUUCAGAGGAGUCAUAUCUGUCGGAUCAACAUUGUCCUUGUAGAAAUUCAACUCUUCUGCCGCACAAACCGAUUCAGCAUAAGCCGCAUCACCCUCUUCGCAGUCCAAAGCGAUCUUACGACUCCCAUGUACCGUAAUGGUCCCCUUAUGACCCGGCAUUUUGAGCUGUAGAUAAACAUAACAGGGCCUCGCCAUGAACCUUGCAUAAGCCAGCCGUCCAAAUAGGGCAUGAUAUGGGCUCUGGAUUUUCACCACUUCAAAAGUUAAGGUUUCUGACCUAGAAUCACAGUCAUCUCCAAACACAACCUCCAGAGCUAUCUUACCAACUGGGUACACCAAUUUACUUGGUACCACCCCGUGAAAAAUAGUGUUUGAUGGUUUAAGAUUCUUAUCCGUCAAUCCCAUGCGACGGAAGGUCUCGUAAUACAGAAUGUUGAUACUGCUCCCUCCAUCCAUGAGUACCUUGGUGAACUUAUAACCCCCAACCUGAGGUGCCACCACCAAAGCCAGAUGACCCGGAUUAUCAACCCGGGGCAGAUGAUCCUCUCUGCUCCACACAAUGGGGUGCUCAAACCAACGCAAGUAACGAGGUACUGCCGGUUCAACAGCGUUAACUGCCCUUUUGUGAAGCUUCUGAUCGCGUUUGCACAAACUAGUGGUGAAAACAUGAUACUGCCCACUACUCAACUGCUUCGGAUGACUCUGAUAACCCGACUGUUGCUGAUUCCCUUGAUUAUUCUGCUGAUAAUAACCACCCUGGUUGUUCUGAUUCCCCUGAUUAUUUUGAAAACCUGAGCUUGAACCGCCUUCGCCAUAACCUGGCCCAUGAGAUCCAGGACCUGAACCGCCGGAUGGACCCUGAUCAUACCGGAAAAGAUCAGAGUUUUUGAACUAUCGCAUAAUGAAACAAUCCUUCCAGAGGUGCAUGGCUGGAACCUCCUUCGUCCCGUGCUUUGGGCAAGGCUGGUUCAACAGGCGCUCCAGAUUCAUACCUCCACCCCAUUGGGGUGGUUUAACCUUGCGAUGCUGAGCAUUACCCUGCAAAUUGGUGUUAGCCACAAAAUCUGAACCGUCCGCUUUACGCUUACCAUUGUUUCUGUGGCCUGUCGGAUUAGGCUACUGCCCCUUGGCGUUGCGGCCCUUCUUUCCCUUCCCCGGCUUUUCCUCGUCAGACUCGGGAUCCUUGGUACUAUUAGAGUCAGCAUACUUAACCAGAGCCCCCGUGAGGGUUCCCAUGUCAUUGCAGUGACGCUUGAGUCGUCCCAACUUUAACUUCAAAGGCUUAAACUUGCAAUUUCCCUCCAAUGUUAUAAUUGCUGAAUCUGCAUUGAUGCGGUCUGAUGAAUGUAAGAUCUCAGAAACCCGGCGCACCCAAUGGGUGGUCGAUUCGUUUUCUCCUUGAACACAAGCGGCCAGAUCCACAAUUGACAUCAGUUGCUUGCAUGUAUCCUUGAUGUUGCUGAUAAACCGACUCUUAGACUCUUCCCAUGACCUAAUAGAAUUAGGUGGUAACCUCUUUAGCCAAGUGCGAGUUGUUCCUUCUAGCAUCAUAGUGAAGUACUUAGCACACGCCACUCCAUCCACAUCCAACAUCUCCAUUGCCAUCUCAUAACUUUCAACCCAUGACUCGGGGUGCAAGUCAGCAAUGUAAUUGGGCACUUUCCAAGGGCCCUUGAAGUCCUUGGGAAACCGCACAUUGCGCAGGUCCAGUGUAAGACACGACACCCCCAAAGUAGUAAAACCGACUCCCGGCUCCAUUUUAGUAGUUGCAUGAACCGGCGUAAGUUGUCGCUCCAUAUCCUGCACAGUUAACCCGGCUCCUCGGCGCGCUCGUCCUUGGUCCACUAAAUCCUGUGCUUCAUUCCUUCCCCCUGCCGGGUUAGGCCUCAGUGGUGGAUUAUGGUUCCGUCCAAUGCUUGACACAGCCGGCUCCUCAACAUGCCUGUUGUAACUCCGGCUUGGGCGAGGGGUAGAGUGAAUCCUAUCCCGACUGUAUGAAUAAGCUUGUUGCCGAACCAUUGCUGUCUGGAGAAAAUCUCUAGCCCGUCGUGUCUCAACCGCCGCGGGGGAAUCACCUUCCAUUGGGAUAGCGGCCAAUCUCGUGGUCGCAUCAAUCAUAUUAUCCAAAGGGGUAGGAAAGUGCCCUAGUGGUGUUGGCAUGUACUGCGGCGGAUCAUGGUUCUGCUGAGGCGGGUCCAUCGUGCGCGGCUGAUCUGGCGCUCCUGUCCUGGGUGCUUCAACCCAGUUCACCACGGGCAGGUUACUGGUGCCCGCUCCUAGCGUAUUAAAUAGAUUCCUUGCUUCAUAAACCGGUGGCAGAUGAGACUGGUGCCUCCUCCUCAUCACCUCGUUUGAAGCGUUCUGAUCCAACAUAAGUCGAUAAGACUCUGCAUGAGCUUGCUGAGCUUGAGCAUUCAAAGCGGCCCGCUCCUCGGCCAUCCUGGUCUCCUCAGCAGCCAUGUCCUCCUUAGCUUGAGCUAUCUGAUCCCGCAACUUUCUGACCUCCGCAUUAUGCUCAUCCCGAUUAUCCGGAUUAACCUGUAUGGUCAACAAUGUUGCUAAAGUGUCCAACAAACCGGACAAGACUUGAGCUGGCAGGCGCGCGGGGCCUCCUGCCCUGGCUGCCGAUAUGGAAAUCAUCGCCGCCGCUGUUGAAGAUUGAGGCGCGAGCUGUGUGCCAGCCAUGAAGAUUGCAACCCGGUUUGUGUCACACCCUAGCUAGUUCAUGCAUUAGAGUGUUGCAUCAUGUCUAUUUUUCUCAACAGAAACUUGAAAUGGGGAUGACAGAACCCCCAGUCCCCUCUGAAACCAACUAGGGUUUACUAAAAAUAUUUUCAAUGAACCUGAAAUGCCCUUCUAAAAUGUCCAUCAUUUUUGUCUUGGUUCAGAACCUCUGCCAAAAGUGGUGCUCAAUUUUCUAGGUCAUUCUAAGGUUUUUGAAUUAAAUCAUAAGUAUUUGAGUUUGGGCAUUUAAAUUAUAUAAAUUAUUUUAAAUGCUCAAAUAACCCCAAACUAAAACGUUCCAUGUUGUAUAUAUUCCAGAUAGUGGCCAUGAGCAGUUUGGGGAAUUUUGGAGUUGUUUAGGUAUUUUUAGUAAGUCCACAAAGUUACAGAAUAAUUGAAAAAGAUAAAUAAGAGAGAGAGAGAGAGUGAACUAACCUGGCAGCCCGCCUAGCCAGCCCACCAGCCGGCCCAGCCCAGCAGCCGCUCCAGCGAGCUACUUGCCUUCGCCAGGCAGGCAGGCAGGUGCUCGACGGCGACGCCAGCGCGCGCCACGCAGCUGCCCGCCGCCCUGCUUCCUCCUCUCACCUCGCUGCUGGCCUGGACGACCUCCACGUCAUGCCCCGAACCCCGUGGACACACCCAUUCGCCCCCAGCUCCUCUCCCUCGCUCUCCCGCACCAUGGCCGACGCCACCGCAGCCGCACCGUCGUCGUAGUCGCGCUCUCCGUUGUCCUCGCGCCGCGCCACCGUGUCCAGGAGCUCCGCCGCCCUCCUCUCCUUCGAGCUAGUCGAGCCCCGAGCGCUCGCGUGCCCCGAAGCCACUGCACCGACCUUGCCAACUCUGCCGUCACCAGAGAUCCCCUUCGCCGUCGCCGCUGCACCAGCUCGUCCCCGACCGCGCCGUCUUGUUCCUCGAGAUCGUCGUGAGCCCAGCUACGUCUCCCCCCUUUCCUCUCUCGUUCUCGUGCACCACAGCGAGCGCACGGAGCUUCACCGCACGCACCACCGCCGAGCUCGUCGCCGACGUGUCUCCGGCCAACCACCGGCCACACCACCGUGUCCAACGCACUCACCGCACCUGCAGGAACCCGUAGCAUCACUCCAUGCGCCUCGCCGUGCCCCCUAGCAUCGAGUUCGACUUCACCCGAACUCCGGUGACCACCAACAUCGUCGCCGGCGCCGUUUCCGGCCACCCCGAGCUCAACCACCACCACCAAGAGCUGCGGCUUGCUCCCAGCUACCCGUAGAUGCCCUCCGCCGCUCAUUUAGUCGCCGGAAUGCACAAAGCCACUCUCGCCGCCGCGUUCGGCCUCGACGGCGGCUAAACACCGGUGAGUUGACCCCGCUGACCCCUCGUUUGACCACGGGUGGGCCCAGUUUGACCCCCCUGGGUCAAUGACAGGUGGGGCCCAGCCCUGUUAACUAUCAGGAUUAAUUUUAAUUAAUAUUUAGCUAAACUAAUUACACUGACACACGGGACCCACUAGUCAGGGUUGACCUGGACUGUUCCGUUGACCGCUGACGUCAUCCUGACAUAAUGCCGACGCAGUAAUUUAUUUACUAGAAUUAUUAUUACACAGGAAAUUCCAGUAAAUACCCUAAACUUUAAAAAAUCAUAGAAAUUAAUCUGUAACUCCAAAUGCAAAGUUUUAUAUAUGAAAAAUGAUCAGAAAAAUCCAAUCUAUCCAUCUAUACUAGUUUGAUGCAUGUUUAAGCAAGCUAACCUGAUGUUUAGAGCAGAACUAGAUAAAGCACUUAUAAGGGCCAUGUAUGAGUUUGAAACUUGAAUCUUUGAUUCAAAAUGGUUCAAACCCAUCUGAUCUUAGUUGCAUCAGCCCAACACACUCAUAUUGCCAUGUUUCAUGCAUGCAUCAUAUUGUUGCAUAUUGUUUGGUGAUGUUGUGUAUUGGUGCUCAUUGCGGCAGGUUCUGCCUCCGAGGAGUACCACGAUUACCCUAGCGAAGAUCAAUAUCAGUGCAUCGACCCAUCAGGCAAGCAACCAACCAUUUGAUCAUAUCGAUACAAUCCCAUGUUCUCGCUUCUGCUCUCUUUUAUUGCAUUAAGACAACGCGUUUCAAACUGCUGUGUGCUACGGUAGUUGAACCCAUUUCCUCUGCAUGACCUGUCAUUGCCACAGUAACUAGAUGAAAACCACUAGCAUGUGUAGGAGUUGAUUGAGCCAUAUGUAUGUGUUGUUCCUACCUUGCUAUGCCUGCUAUGCUUAGAGUCGUGUUAGGUCUGGUUCAUCUGGGUGAUGAGCUGGAGUGAAAUGAUCAUGCCGGUAAUAAGAGUGAUGCGGUGAACACAAUUUGGUAAAGGUAUCGAUGAGAGGCCAUGUAGGAGUACAUGGUGGGUUGUUUCAUUGAAGCCGACCUUAAGCACUGAGAUCUGUAUGUGUGAUUUAAGAUUCAGCUACUACCAUGCAUUGGGCCCUGAAAUAUGACCCCGCUCGACUUCUUAUUCACCCUAGCCCUCUGUCCAGGAGUUGCAAGUAGUUUCUGGUGUUUGUAGCUUACUGGAGGCCAUGGACAGCGCUGACCCGCGGGGUGGGCUGUGAUGCGGUAGGUACGUGGCAUGGUGUACCGGAUACCCGUUAGGUAUCUCGAGAACCCUGUACACAUCGUUCGGGGCCGUAUGGGAAACCUCGGCCGGACUCCCUGCGGAUGGAACCUGGAUAGGCGAUAAACCUAGACUAGAGACUUAGGUGUUUAGGUAGGUCGUGGUCUACACCCACGUCGGCUUUCGCUUGAAGUCUGCCGAGCACAUGUCGUGUGCAGACGCUAAGUGGUGGAAACAUGUAUGAAGAAGUACACCCCUGCAGGGUAACAUUAUCUAUUCGAAUAGCCGCGUCCGCGGUAAAGGACUACUUGGUUGCCUAUAUAGUUCAUAGACAAGUAAAUGGAUACUACUAAAAAUCUCAAGAUAAGCGUGAGUGCCGAGGAUGGCUCUUCCGUAGGAUGACGGAGGUGGAUCCUCGGUGGUGUAUUGAAGUGGUGAGUAGUGGACUCGUGUGCGCAAAACCAUUUCAAGUUGGUGUAUCGUAGGAUAGCUUAGCCAAGAGUCAAAGCUGGCUUGCUGCAAUAACCCCACCAACCCUUCUUGAUAAUGUGCAUGUAUGUAGGAUCUGAUGUAAGUCUUGCUGAGUACCUUUGUACUCAUGUUGCUUUAAUUUACAUUUUUCAGAAGACGCUGCAACCCCUUCUGAUGGGUUCUUCGUAGAAGUUGACAUCGAUGAGUAGACUGAGGCCCAGGUGGUGACCCUGAGCUUGUGAAGGACCACGUAGUAUAGCCAGGCUUUCCAAGCCUCUUUUAUUUUACUAGUUGUCUGUACUCAGACAAGUUACUUCCGAUGUUGUCUUGUAUGUCUGUAUGACUUGGAUGUGGGUCGUGUGACCCGUACUUGUGUGUAUGCUAUGUAUGGCUCUCUGAGCCCUUAAAUAAAGUACUUGUGCUGUAGAGUCAUGUUGUGAUGCCUUGUUGUAUUUGCACAUAUCGAGCAUAUUGUGUGUAUGAUUGAAAUGCUUGGUAUGUGUGGGAUCUGACUAUCUAGUUGUUUAUUCUUAGUAGCCUCUCUUACCGGGAAAUGUCUCCUAGUGUUUCCACUGAGCCUUGGUAGCUUGCUACUGCUCCGGAACACUUAGGCUGGCCGGCAUGUGUCCUUCUUCGUUCCUGUGUCUGUCCCUUCGGGGAAAUGUCACGCGAUGGAUACCGGAGUCCUGUUAGCCCGCUACAGCCCGGUUUACCGGAGUCCUGCUAGCCCAGUGCUACAGCCCGGAUUCACUUGCUGAUGACCGACACGUUCGAUGCUGGGUCAUGGAUGCCUGUCCCUGUAAGUCUGUGCCACUUUGGGUUUACGACUAGCCAUGUCAGCCCGGGCUCCUUACCAUAUGGAUGCUAGCGACACUAUCAUAUACGUGUGCUAAAAGGCGCAAACGGUCCCGGGCAAAGGUAAGACGACACCCGUGGGAAUAUCGUGCGUGAGGCCGCAAAGUGAUAUGAGGUGUUACAUGCUAGAUCGAUGUGGCAUCGAGUCGGGGUCCUGACAGCGUUGGCAUCAGAGCCGGACUGCCUGUAGGUUCUCCAAGCCAAACUGGUCGAUGUUGAGUCUAGAAAUGCUUUAGUUAUAUGUAGGGGAAUUGAUUGUGGGAUGGUACGUAAGGCUCUUUUUACUCCUUUACCUCAUGGCAUUCUGAUCUGAGUCAGUCCAUUCUUCCACUGGGGGUUAGGAAUUAGGAUCUCUUCUCUCUAUCAGGUUCACGUGUUAUUAAUCAGUAGUACCUUAUAGGUUUGAUGGAUACAAGCCUAGUUCAGUUCUACCACCCCAUUAUGUUGUUAAGAUGGACCAGAACCUUGAUAUGAUGUUGUUGAGUGUCUAUGCUAUUCUUUGCAAAAUGUCUCAAAAUCCUUUUUGAGCAUUUACAGUCGUUAUGCUGUCCAAUUUCUGCUAGAAAUUCUAAUGUCUUGUGCUUAUCAUGCUCCAGAUGGCUUCCCGUCCUCAGAAUCAAGUGGUUCGUUUGACUCGAUGCCUAGAUGUACCCGGCCAUACUGCCAUGUUGGUCAGGGUAAUGACUGAGGCUGGAUACCGUUGGUAUCCUGAGUACACGGUCGAAGAGCAAUUCCGAGACUUUAAUCAAAGUCAAUAUUUUUGCACGGUGAGGAUAUUUCCAUCUUAUCCUGGAUCUACCGAGCCCCUCCACUACUCCUAUGGACUCGGGGUUACUAUUGAGAUGGCUGUGCAGGAUGCCGCCUACUCUAUGAUGACCAUCAUGCGAGUCAGGACUGGCCUAUUUCGGGACUCCGACUUCCGGUAUAUGCCAGCUUCACUUCCGGGAGCACAAGGGUAUCUCCAGGCUAUCUAUGCUGACUCCACUCAGGAGGACUCACUGACCCGCACCACUGCACAGUUGCUUGAAGACAAGGACCGUGAAAAUCGGGCCUUGAGACUAGAGCUUUUCAAUACCCGUGCUGAUCAUUGGGCCACUCUGACUUGGUUUGCACCAGCUGUGCAAGCUGGAUAUAUGGAUAUGCGAGAUCUCUAUCCUGUGAGAUCUGCUCUGCCAGACAUGAUGGAUUGGCGUGAUGUAGGAGGCAUCACCCCACCUCGUGGUCCCCGCAGGCCACCAUUUGUUGGUCCAAGACCUCAUCCUAGCCCCUAUGGUCCACAAGCUCCACGGGACCGACUGUUUCCGGAUGAUCACGUUGAGCUUCCAGGCUAUGGUGGUGACUUCUAUGAAGACUACUACGGAGCUGUCUGAGUUAGUAGUAGUAUCACUAGUAUCGUACUAGUUGUGUUGCGCACCAUCCUGCGUGACUCGUGGGAUAUGACUUAGCUUGUACCGCCUUCCGGAGGUGUAGAAAAAUAAUGUAUAGGAGCUUGGAAUGCGUCCGAUGAGAUGUAAUCCUCUUUUCACCGUAGUAGUACUUUGUUUGGUUCUGUACUAAACCUUGUAUGGUGUGUAUGAUGAUGGAAUAAAAGAAGCAGUUUCUGUAUCUACCAUGUCAUACGGAUGAUCAUCUUACAUUCCAAGUUAUCCAUUACAUUCUACAUUUCUAUGUCAAAAUCCUAUCAUCCUGGACUAAACCAUUGUUUUGUUUCCCUAGGAUGGUUAAUACCCGCACCAACCCUGCUCCCCCAGAGCAGGCCGAAGGCAGUAGAGUUGGGGGAACAAACCUGCCUCACCCUCCCUCUCUGGCCGAAGUUAUGCUGGAAGCUGAGAGAAACAAGCGGGAGACCAACCGUUUGUUGGAGCGCAUCGAGCAAAACACAGCACACCAUCAGAGGAAUAACUUGGUGUCACUCAGUGAUUUCAUCAAGUUACAUCCACCCACUUUCCACCACUCCGUCGAGCCCCUCGACGCUGAUGACUGGCUUCGCAGUAUUACUCACAAACUGCAUUCUGCGCUAGUAGCUGAGGCUGAUAAGGUCACCUUUGCUGCAUAUCAUCUCGAAGGCCCCGCCAGUCUCUGGUGGGAGAACUAUGAAGCUAUGCGCCCAGCGGGCCAUGUCACUACUUGGGCUGAAUUCAGCGAGGCUUUCCAUGAACAUCACAUUCCGGAGGGUCUCAUGGACCGUAAACGUGAGGAGUUCUGCAGUUUCACUCAAGGUCGACUCUCUGACGCUUACAGCAGGGAGUUCGGUAACCUAGCACGGUAUGCAACUGAGGAAGUUUCCACUGAUGCCAAGAAGCAAGCAAGGUUCCGCAAGGGACUUAGCCCUAAGCUUCGCCGCGACCUCCGUCUGCAUGAGUGCACAUCUUUUCAGAAGCUUGUUAACAAAGCCAUCAGUGCUGAGUCUGGUCAGACUGAUUAUGAAGCAACACGCAAGCAUGGCCGUGACAUGGGUUCCUCAUCCGGUGCUGGUCCUCAGAAGCGCCGCGUGUGGGUGCCUAACACUGCCCUGCCACCCAGGUUCACACCGAGGCCAUCCUUUCAGGCGCCUCGCCCCGGUCAACCGUUUGCACCAGCCAAGCCCUAUGGUGGUCCAACCAACAAUGCUCCUCCGCGUACCAGCUCUGUGACUUGCUUUAAGUGUGGGGAAUCGGGCCACUAUUUGCGCGAGUGCCCCCAGACCAACCCCAACCAGUCUGGAAAAGCUGUUGGCCGUGGCAAGCCAACAGGAAAAGUGUUCUACGCCAAGCCGGCCACCGCUGCACAUGGCCAUGUCAACUGUAUCUCCGCUGAAGAAGCUCAAGAGGAUCCCAGCGUCGUUCUCGGUACGCUCCUUGUUAACUGCCACCCGGCAUCUGUUCUUUUUGAUACUGGAGCAUCUCAUUCAUUUAUAUCCGAGAGCUAUGCUCGUCUGCAUAACGCCACAUUCUGUGAGAUGCCCACCUCUAUGGUAAUUCAAACCCCGAGAUCCAAAUGGCAAACUUCUAGAGUAAGCUAUGGGAAUGAAAUUCAAGUCGACAGACUUGUUUUUCUCGCAUCUUUGAUAGCUCUCAAAUCUUCGGAUAUUAAUAUCAUCUUGGGUAUGGACUGGAUGUCAUCCCAUCAUGCCAAGAUUGAUUGUUUCUCUAGGACUGUUCAACUCACACAUCCCUCGGGAAAGAUAGUCAAUAUCUUGACCCGAGUAGCCAAGCGACAGCUAUAUUCUCUUAACGCCAGUCCUUUGCCAGACCUCGAAGACGUUCCGGUAGUCCGUGACUUUCCGGAUGUCUUUCUAGAAGAAUUGCCAGGUGUUCCACCUGACAGAGAUGUCGAGUUCGUAAUAGAUCUCAUUCCAGGAACUGUCCCAAUUUCUAGAAGACCCUAUAAGAUGGCACCUUUUGAACUAGCCGAACUUAAGAAACAACUCGAUGAGUCCUUGAAAAAGGGUUUCAUCCGACCUAGUUCAUCUCCAUGGGCUUGCCCCGUCCUCUUCGUCAAGAAGAAGGAUGGUACGGACCGGAUGGUUGUAGAUUAUCGACCCGUCAACUUUGUCACAAUCAAGAACAAGUAUCCGCUCCCCAGGAUCAACGACUUGUAUGAUCAGCUCGCUGGAUCCUCAAUCUUCUCUAAAAUGGAUUUGAGGUUGGGCUACCAUCAAAUCAAAAUGAGGAACGGGGACAUUCCUAAAACGGCCUUUGUUACUCAUUAUGGCCAAUACGAGUAUACCGUCAUGUCCUUCGGAUUAACCAACGCCCCAGCCACCUUUUCUCGGUUAAUGAACUCAAUCUUCAUGGAAUAUUUGGAUAAAUUCGUCGUGGUUUACCUCGAUGAUAUACUCAUCUACUCCAAGAACGAGGAAGAACAUGCCGAACAUCUAAGGCUAGUGUUGAUGAAACUUCGAGAGCAUCGCCUUUAUGCCAAAUUUUCUAAGUGCGAAUUUUGGUUGCCAGAAGUGACCUAUCUAGGACAUGUAAUUUCUUGUAAGGGUAUUGCUGUUAACCCCAAGCGAGUUCAAGCCGUCCUUAAUUGGACUCCACCUGAAUCGGUCAAGCAAGUUCGGAGUUUCCUUGGCUUAGCGAGCUAUUGUCGCCGCUUUGUCGAGAACUUCUCCAAGGUUGCUAAACCUCUAACUGAACUCUUCAAGAAAGAUAAAAAGUUUGAGUGGACUCCACAAUGUGAGCACAGCUUCCAGGAACUGAAAAGACGCCUGACAUCUGCUCCCGUAUUGGUACCACCAGAUUUCUCUAAGGACUUUGUUAUCUAUUGCGACGCCUCGCGACAAGGACUAGGUUGCAUUCUUAUGCAAGAUCGUCACGUAAUUGCUUAUGCUUCACGGCAAUUGCACCCACAUGAGGAGAAUUAUCCUACUCAUGAUCUAGAGCUUGCAGCUGUAGUCUAUGCACUUAAAACCUGGCGACAUUACCUCCUCGGUAAUCGUUGCGAAAUCUUCACUGAUCACCAAAGUCUGAAGUACAUAUUCACCCAACCGGAUUUGAAUCUCAGGCAAAGACGUUGGGUCGAGUUGAUCAUAGAUUUCGACUUAGGGAUAACUUACACCCCAGGAAAGGCCAAUGUCAUGGCUGAUGCACUAAGUCGUAAAUCUUAUUGUAACAAUCUAAUGUUACAACAAAGUCAACCGCUUCUCCAUGAGGAAUUUCGGAAGCUUAAUCUUCACAUCGUUCCUCAAGGAUUUCUUUCCACCUUGGUGGCGAAACCUACUCUUACGGAUCAAAUCAUCGCUGCCCAAAAGCGAGAUAAAGGAAUAUCUAGGAUCAAGGAGAACAUUGCUAGCGGAGGUGCUAGAUGUUUCUCCACAAAUGAUCAUGGUGUUGUGUACUUUGAGAACCGUUUAGUGGUUCCCAAGAACCAGCAUCUACGGCAGUUGAUCCUUAAGGAGGCUCAUGAAUCUCCUCUCACCAUUCAUCCUGGUAGUACCAAGAUGUAUCAGGACCUACGCCAGAGGUUCUGGUGGACUAGGAUGAAGAGAGACAUUGCUCAGUUUGUUGCUAGUUGCGACGUCUGUCGUCGUGUAAAAGCAGAGCAUCAACGGCCUGCUGGCACCCUUCAAUCUUUAGCUAUUCCUGAAUGGAAAUGGGACAAAAUUGGUAUGGAUUUCAUUACCGGUUUUCCCACGACCAAGAGAGGGAAUAAUGCUAUCUUCGUCGUUAUCGAUCGUCUUUCCAAAGUGGCUCAUUUCUUACCUUUUCGCGAGAGUAUAACCGCUAGUCAACUAGCAGAUUUGUACAUCUCCUGGAUAGUAUCCCUCCAUGGUGUUCCACUGGAAAUUAACUCGGAUCGAGGAAGUCUCUUCACCUCUCGAUUUUGGGAAAGUUUCCAAAAUGCUAUGGGAACCCGCCUUUCCUUUAGCACUGCUUUUCACCCUCAAUCAAGUGGUCAAGUAGAACGUGUUAACCAGAUUCUAGAAGACAUGCUUCGAGCUUCUAUUAUCUCAUUCGGAAUGGAUUGGGAGAAAUGCCUUCCAUUUGCUGAAUUUGCUUAUAACAACAGCUACCAAUCUAGCUUGGGUAAAGCCCCUUUUGAAGUUCUCUAUGGACGAAGGUGUCGAACGCCUCUUAACUGGUCAGAAACCGGGGAAAGACAAUUCUUUGGCCCGGACAUGAUCCAGGAAGCAGAAGAGCAAGUUCGCAUUGUUCGUGAAAAGUUGAAAGCAGCCCAAUCUCGUCAAAAGAGUCAAUACGACCGAAAACAUAAGGCUAUGACUUUUGAGGUUGACGAGAAGGCUUACCUUCGGGUUACUCCUCUGAAGGGAACCCAUCGCUUCGGUAUCAAAGGCAAAUUGGCUCCUCGCUACAUUGGACCCUUUCGCAUUCUCGCUAAACGGGGAGAAGUUGCCUACCAAUUGGAACUACCUCCGCAUCUCUCCAGAGUCCACUAUGUCUUCCACGUUUCCCAACUCAGGCGUUGCUUCUCGGAUCCUAUCCGUGGAGUUGACCACGAAAUGCUUGAUCUUCAAGAUAACCUCACGUAUCGAGAGUACCCCGUUCGUAUCCUCGAUCAAGCCGAGCGUACCACUCGACAUCAUAAUAUCAAGUUUCUCAAGGUUCAAUGGUCGCACCAUUCUGAGAAGGAAGCAACUUGGGAAAGGGAGGAUCGUCUUCGACUUGAGUACCCUGCCUUCUUUCCGGAGGAACCUAAAUCUCGGGACGAGAUUCUUUUAAGUGGGGGUGAGUUGUCACACCCUAGCUAGUUCAUGCAUUAGAGUGUUGCAUCAUGUCUAUUUUUUUCAACAGAAACUUGAAAUGGGGAUGACAGAACCCCCAGCCCCCUCUGAAACCAACUAGGGUUUACUAAAAAUAUUUUCAAUGAACCUGAAAUGCCCUUCUAAAAUGUCCAUCAUUUUUGUCUUGGUUCAGAACCUCUGCCAAAAGUGGUGCUCAAUUUUCUAGGUCAUCCUAAGAUUUUUGAAUUAAAUCAUAAGUAUUUGAGUUUGGGCAUUUAAAUUAUAUAAAUUAUUUUAAAUGCUCAAAUAACCCCAAACUAAAACGUUCCAUGUUGUAUAUAUUCCAGAUAGUGGUCAUGAGCAGUUUGGGGAAUUUUGGAGUUGUUUAGGUAUUUUUAGUAAGUCCACAAAGUUACAGAAUAAUUAAAAAAGAUAAAUAAGAGAGAGAGAGAGAGUGAACUAACCUAGCAGCCCGCCUAGCCAGCCCGCCUAGCCGGCCCAGCCCAGCAGCCGCUCCAGCGAGCUGCUUGCCUUCGCCACGCAGGCAGGCAGGUGCUCGACGGCGACGCCAGCGCGCGCCACGCAGCUGCCCGCCGCCCUGCUUCCUCCUCUCACCUCGCUGCUGGCCUGGAUGACCUCCACGUCGUGCCCCGAACCCCGUGGACACACCCAUUCGCCCCCAGCUCCUCUCCCUUGCUCUCCCGCACCAUGGCCGACGCCACCGCAGCCGCACCAUCGUCGUUGUCGCGCUCUCCGUCGUCCUCGCGCCGCGCCACCGUGUCCAGGAGCUCCGCCGCCCUCCUCUACUUCGAGCUAGUCGAGCCCCGAAGCCACUGCACUGACCUCGCCGACUCCGCCGUCACCGGAGAUCCCCUUCGCCUUCACCGCCGCACCAGCUCAUCCCCGACCGCGCCGUCUGGUUCCUCGAGAUCGCCGUGAGCCCAGCUACCUCUCCCCCCUUUCCUCUCUCGUUCUCGUGCACCACAGCGAGCACACGGAGCUUCACCGCACGCACCGCCGCCGAGCUCGUCGCCGACGUGUCUCCGGCCAACCACCGGCCACACCACCAUGUCCAACGCACUCACCGCACCCGCAGGAACCCGUAGCAUCACUCCACGCGCCUCGCCGUGCCCCCUAGCAUCGAGUUCGACUUCACCCGAACUCCGGCAACCGCCAACGUCGUCGCCGGCGCCAUUUCCGGCCACCCCGAGCUCAACCACCACCACCAAGAGCUGUGGCUUGCUCCCAGCUACCCGUAGAUGCCCUCCGCCGCUCAUUUAGUCGUCGGAAUGCACAAAACCACUCUCGCCGCCGCGUUCGGCCUCGCUGGCGGCUAAACGCCAGUGAGUUGACCCUGCUGACCCCUCGUUUGACCAUGGGUGGGCCCAGUUUGACCCCCCUGGGUCAAUGACAGGUGGGGCCCAGCCCUGUUAACUAUCAGGAUUAGUUUUAAUUAAUAUUUAGCUAAACUAAAUACACUGACACACGGGACCCACUAGUCAGGGUUGACCUGGACUGUUCCGUCGCUGACGUCAUCCUGACGUAAUGCUGACGCAGUAAUUUAUUUACUGGAAUUAUUAUUACACAGGAAAUUCCAGUAAAUACCCUAAACUUUAAAAAAUCAUAGAAAUUAAUCUGUAACUCCAAAUGCAAAGUUUUAUAUAUGAAAAAUGAUCAGAAAAAUCCAAUCUAUCCAUCUGUACUGGUUUCAUGCAUGUUUAAGCAAGCUAACCUGAUGUUUAGAGCAGAACUAGAUAAAGCACUUAUAAGGGCCAUGUAUGAGUUUGAAACUUGAAUCUUGGAUUCAAAAUGGUUCAAACCCAUCUGAUCUUAGUUGCAUCAGCCCAACACACUCAUAUUGCCAUGUUUCAUGCAUGCAUCAUAUUGUUGCAUAUUGUUUGGUGAUGUUGUGUAUUGGUGCUCGUUGCGGCAGGUUCUGCCUCCGAGGAGUACCACGAUUACCCUAGCGAAGAUCAAUAUCAGUGCAUCGACCCAUCAGGCAAGCAACCAACCAUUUGAUCAUAUCGAUACAAUCCCAUGUUCUCGCUUCUGCUCUCUUUUAUUGCAUUAAGACAACGUGUUUCAAACUGUUGUGUGCUACGGUAGUUGAACCCAUUUCCUCUGCAUGACCUGUCAUUGCCACAGUAACUAGAUGAAACCCACUAGCAUGUGUAGGAGUUGAUUGAGCCAUAUGUAUGUGUUGUUCCUACCUUGCUAUGCCUGCUAUGCUUAGAGUCGUGUCAGGUCUGGUUCAUCUGGGCGAUGAGCUGGAGUGAAAUGAUCAUGCCGGUAAUAAGAGUGAUGCGGUGAACACGAUUUGGUAAAGGUAUCGAUGAGAGGCCAUGUAGGAGUACAUGGUGGGUUGUUUCAUUGAAGCCGACCUUAAGCACUGAGAUCUGUAUGUGUGAUUUAAGAUUCAGCUACUACCAUGCAUUGGGCCCUGAAAUAUGACCCCGCUCGACUUCUUAUUCACCCUAGCCCUCUGUCCAGGAGUUGCAAGUAGUUUCUGGUGUUUGUAGCUUACUGGAGGCCGUGGACAGCGCUGACCCGCGGGGUGGGCUAUGAUGCGGUAGGUAUGUGGCAUGGUGUACCGGAUACCCGUUAGGUAUCUCGGGAACCCUGUACACAUCGUUCGGGGCCGUAUGGGAAACCUCGGCCGGACUCCCUGCGGAUGGAACCUGGAUAGGCGAUAAACCUGGACUAGAGACUUACGUGUUUAGAUAGGUCGUGGUCUACACCCACGUCGGCUUUCGCUUGAAGUCUGCCGAGCACAUGUCGUGUGCAGACGCUAAGUGGUGGAAACAUGUAUGAAGAAGUACACCCCUGCAGGGUUAACAUUAUCUAUUCGAAUAGCCGCGUCCGCGGUAAAGGACUACUUGGUUGCCUAUACAGUUCAUAGACAAGUAAAUGGAUACUACUAAAAAUCUCAAGAUAAGCGUGAGUGCCGAGGAUGGCUCUUCCGUAGGAUGACGGAGGUGGAUCCUCGGUGGUGUAUUGAAGUGGUGAGUAGUGGACUCGUGUGCACAAAACCAUUUCAAGUUGGUGUAUCGUAGGAUAGCUUAGCCAAGAGUCAAAGCUGGCUUGCUGCAAUAACCCCACCAACCCUUCUUGAUAAUGUGCAUGUAUGUAGGAUCUGAUGUAAGUCUUGUUGAGUACCUUUGUACUCAUGUUGCUUUAAUUUACAUUUUUCAGAAGACGCUGCAACCCCUUCUGAUGGGUUCUUCGUAGAAGUUGACAUCGAUGAGUGGACUGAGGCCCAGGUGGUGACCCUGAGCUUGUGAAGGACCACGUAGUAUAGCCAGGCUUUCCAAGCCUCUUUUAUUUUACUAGUCGUCUGUACUCAGACAAGUUACUUCCGCUGUUGUCUUGUAUGUCUGUAUGACUUGGAUGUGGGUCGUGUGACCCGUACUUGUGUGUAUGCUAUGUAUGGCUCUCUGAGCCCUUAAAUAAAGUACUUGUAUUGUAGAGUCAUGUUGUGAUGCCUUGUUGUAUUUGCACAUAUCGAGCAUAUUGUGUGUAUGAUUGAAAUGCUUGGUAUGUGUGGGAUCUGACUAUCUAGUUGUUUAUUCUUAGUAGCCUCUCUUACCGGGAAAUGUCUCCUAGUGUUUCCACUGAGCCUUGGUAGCUUGCUACUGCUCCGGGACACUUAGGCUGGCCGGCAUGUGUCCUUCUUCGUUCCUGUGCCUGUCCCUUCGGGGAAAUGUCACACGAUGGAUACUGGAGUCCUGUUAGUUUGCUACAGCCCGGUUUACCGGAGUCCUGCUAGCCCAGUGCUACAGCCCGGAUUCACUUGCUGAUGACCGACACGUUCGAUGCUGGGUCAUGGAUGCCUGUCCCUGUAAGUCUGUGCCACUUUGGGUUUACGACUUGCCAUGUCAGCACGGGCUCCUUACCAUAUGGAUGGUAGCUCAGAUUCAGUACCAUGGAUGAAUCCUACGAACGCACGCUUCAUGGCGGGCUGAACCGGGCAGGCCUCACACGUUGAGCCGUCUCGACGAGGUCGGUGCAGAUGUCUGGCUCAGGGCCCGGUUCACCGAUCUUGCCGACGAAGACGUGAAUUCCUCCGAAGGGGACCCGGUACCCGUACUCGAUUGAGCAGGCGUCAGGGCCCCAGCCUGCAUUGUCGAUGUAGAGCUUGCCACGACGACUCUUGGUCAUCCGGCCCACUGCAAUCCCUUGAGCCCUUCGAACUUGCCCUCCAAGAACUUGAAACCGUCAUGCGAUAGCCCCAUGGUGGGCGCCAACUUCGUGGAAUUAUCACGUCAGAUGUCCUAGUGUGAGGACUUAGUCGUGGAGCCAUCGCGACUAGGUUAGCUUAGAGGGGUUAAACCGAAAAAAGGACACUGGGAGUUUAUACUGGUUUGGCCCCUUGCGGUGAAGGUAAAAUCCUACGAUCCAGUUGUGGUGUUUUUGAUGGGGUCUCGGUCACCAGGGAGCAAAUACGCUUUGCCUAGUUCUCGAGUUGUUGUUUCCUGUCCCUGAACCGCCCUUGGGUCGUCCCUUUAUAUACACAGCUUGACGCCCGGCCGGUCUACAGAAUCCCGAGGCCGACUUAUACAAGUGUCCGGCUCGGUUUCUUCCUUUCCCUAACUUACAACACAAGUUACACAUAUCAAGGCGGUUUAUAUACGUGGGCCCUAAUCCGCCAUUGGGCUCUGGGCCUCUAAACUUCUGUAGUAAAGUGCCAUCGUCUUCGUCUUCAUGGGCUUCUGUACAGAUGACUCCUUGUGAGUAUAAUCCGGCCCCUCCUGGGCGGUUUAUACUCAGUAGUCAUAUCUCCAACAGUCGGGUUGUCAGUGAGUACUCUAAUAACAAUGUUUAUUAUUUAUCUAACUAGCCUAAUUAGAGGCAGGGGCCACACGUUAGUGGGGGUUUAGUGGGUAAUCCACGCGGGGUCCACUUAUCGGUGGCCCACGGGGUGUUUCGAACGGUCGGCGUGCGAUGGUUACCAAACCAACAGCGGCGACACGCCAGAGUGCAUCAGAAAAACGCGCAUCGGGCACCAUUUUGGAUGCAGCCAGAUGCGUUCGAACGCACGCAGUAGAGCGUCUCGAACGGGGGCUCUGCCUCGACCGGAUAUGGUCGGGAACGGCGACGGCGAUGAACUGAGGCAGCAAAAUCGGGCACGGGGGGAGAGGGGUUUCAUGGCAGAGCUCAUAGUGGAGUCGUAGGGCGUGGCAGCAAGCUCGAGGGAGGCUCGGGGUGGCCGGAGUCGGUGGCGGUGUGCGGUGGCACGAGGAAUCCGAGUGCGGGGCGGCGUCGCAGGGGCGUCUUGACUCGUACGCGUCGUCGGGGCGAGGAAGUGGUCGAUGACAAGGCGUGUGAUGGGGCGGUCCGACGCGGCGAGGGCGGCGAAGGGGGUUGGCGAGGUCGCCGACGGGAGGUAGGAGGCAGACGGGGCGAUGUGCUGUCCUGCUUGAGCGUGGGUUUGUCGUGUGUGUGCGGGAGGGAGGCAGCGUGGUUGGGGGCGGCAAGGCACCAGCGGGGAAGAGCUCCGGCGCAUAGUGGUGGCGAAGACGGGUGGAGCGGGAGCGAACGAAGGGAGGAGAGGCGUGCGAAGGGGUGUCGGGCACGAGGCGUUUCGCCUCUGGGCGUGCGGCGGCACGAGGGAUGGCGAGGGGAGUGAGGGGGUCGAGUAGGAGGAGUGGGGAGGUCGCUAGGGUUAGGUCUCAGGGGUGUGGGGGGCAUAUAGGCCAAGGCUGGGCUGGCACGUGUAUUGGCCUGCUAGGCCAAACGGCCCGGGGAGAGGGGGGGACUUUUUCUAUUUUUUCAUUCCUUUUUCUAUUUUUCUACUUAUGUUUCAAUUCUAGUUUCUUUUAUGUUUAGUAUUAUAAACUAUAAAAAUAAUCUCUAAGUUAGCAUUACUAAAUAUAAUACUGCCACUACAAUUUGGGUACCCCAACUGAAAAAUAGUUUAACAUUUUAUAAAUUAUAAGAGGUUUUUAAUAAAAAAAUUUGCUGUUGUUUUAUUUAUUUUAAAGCAUUUAAGCAUUUUAUAACAAUGUGGUUUCUUCACCAUAUUUACUUAUGAAUUAUUUGGCUCGCACCGAACUUUUUAGUUUUAACAUUCGAAAACUUUUAUUGUUUGUUUCAUUUAGAAUUUGAAUCCGAACCGGUCUCGAACUAACACGAGAUUAGCAAUAGAAAUCGGGGUGACAUGGCAUCAUUAGCAGAGGUUCGAUGUAGCUUAAAUAUCCGGGCGGCCCAUUGCUCAAGAGGUAGCAAGAAGGAUUUUUGGCACCGUUGCCGGGGAGGUCUUCGCUCAAGUCAAUAUAUACCAAGUACCCAUCACAAACUCUUCUCCCUCGCAUUACAUUAUUUGCCAUUUGCCUCUCGUUUUCCUCUCCCCCACUUCUAAAACGAUUUUCAAAAACCUUUGCCUUUUCUUCGCCCCUCUUUCAUUCGAUCUUAUGUUUGCUUGUGUCUCCAUGUGCCUUCUAUGUGCUUGCACAUUUGCUUGCUAAAAAUCUAUUGAUAUGGAUCCACUUAAAGUGUUCUACUUGGAUCAUCUUUGAUCCUUAUGUGCUCGUGCUGAAACCCCGACUAGCCUAGUUGAUGGGAAAUCUUUAGAUGAGCAUGCUCAUUUUGUGCGUCACCGUUUGUCUGAAAAAGGGAGACUCUUAUGGGAUCAAAUAAACAGAUUGUUGUGCUAUGCUUGGAAUCUUUGUGAAAUUUAUGAUUUUACUUGUUGCUCUAAGAACCCUAAAAAACACCUUCCCUACCUAUGUGAGUUUAAUGAAAAUGAAAUCUUAUCUUCUUAUGCAAAGGGUGUUUAUAAUUACUAUAAUAUCAAACAAAUUUAAUAAUUUGUUGCUUUUAAGGGUUCUUAUGAAGUUGCUUCUUUGAUUGAAAAGUAUGAUAUUACACUCUACAAAUCUGAAAAUUUUGACAUACUUAAAUAUUGCUAUGAAAACUAUGCUCAUAAUGUCUAUGUCAAAGAAUUUAUUGAGAGAAUGACUAUUGCUUUGGAAGAAAAUAAUGAUAUGCAUGAAUCUAUAGAUAAUGAUUCCGAUUAUUUGAUUGAAAUAUCCCUUGAUGAACAUGAUGCUUGCUAUUCUUGUGGCCAUGAUGCCAAUAUUUAUGAAGAUGAAUUUGAUAUAGUUCCUUAUGUUAAACAUGAGAUCGUUGUUAUUGCACCCAUGCUUGGUAGUUCCUUCAAUAAAAAGCAUGAUUGCAAUGAUGUUACUAUAAAUUAUCUUAAUGUCAAUUGUGUUAAUGAUAUGCAAAACCUCAAGCUUGGGGAUGCAAGUUUUGCUAUGUCUACUAUUUGUUGCAAUGAUCAUGAUUGGGGUGAUUCUUCUUAUGAUCUUGAAAAUUUAUUUAAGCCCCAUGAUGAAUAUGAGAUUGAUAAUAAUGUUUGCAAUAAUAUUGAAAGUGGGUUUGGAAGGGUGUCAACUUUAGAUCCCACAUAUUUGGAGAAUGUUCAAUCUUAUGGUGUUUUUGAUAAAAGUGGGUUUGAAGAGGUCAUGACUUUAACUAUGCAUGCAUGUGGAUCAUGUUGAAAAUAUUUUAUCUGAUACCUAUUUUGUUGAAUUUUAUUAUGAUCCCACAUGUAAUUAUUACGAGAGAGGAAAAUAUGGUCAUAGAAAUUUUUAUCUUACUAAAUUACCUCCCAUCGUGUUGAGAUUGCUAUCGUCCAUUUCUUCUUCCUUGCAUAUACUAGUUUUUGCUUGCAUUGAAAAUUUGUUUGCUUAUAAUAUGCCUACGCAUAGGAAGUAUGUUGGACUUAGGUGUGUUUGUCACGUGUUUCAUGAUGCUCUCUUUGCGCUUCAAUUCUUGUCUUUCAUGUGAGCAUCAUUAAAAUUAUCAAUGCCUAGCUAAAAGGCUUUAACAAAAUGCGCUCGUUGGGAAACAACCCAAUAUUUUUAUUUGCUGUUAUUCAAUAAAUAAUUCAUCUAGCCUAUUUUUAGAUGUGGUUUUAUGUUUUAAUUAGUGUUUGUGCCAGGUAGAACCUUUGGAAAGACUUGGGUGAAGUCUUUAUGAUCUUGCUGUAAAAAACAGAAACUUUAGCGCUCACGAGAUUAGCUGCCAUUAUUUACUGGAGAGUGAUUUUAGGUUGAUUAUUUUUUCAGAUGAUUAAUAGACAAAUUCAUCACGUCCACCAAUUUAAUUCAGAAUUUUUGGAGUUGCAUAAGUAUUCUAAAGUUACAGAUUGCUACAGGCUGUUCUGUUUUUGACAAUUUCUGUUUUUCGUGUGUUGUUUGCUUAUUUUGAUGAACCUAUGGCUAGUAUCGGGGGGUAUGAACCAUAGAGAAGUUGGAAUACAGUAGGUUGAACACCAAUAUAAAUAAAUAAUGAGUUCAUUAAAUUAACUUAAGUAGUGGUUUUUCUUUCUUGCUCUGAUGGAGCUUAUGAGAUUUUCUGUUGAGUUUUGUGUUGUGAAGUUUUCAAGUUUUGGGUAAAUAUUUGAUGGAUUACGGAAUAAGGAGUGGCAAGAGCCUAAGCUUGGGGAUGCACAAGGCACCCCAAGAUAAAUUCAAGUACAACCAAAAGCCUAAGCUUGGGGAUGCCCCGGAAGGCAUCCCCUCUUUCGUCUUCGUCUAUCGGUAACUUUACUUGGGGCUAUAUUUUUAUUCACCACAUGAUAUGUGUUUUGCUUGGAGCAUCUUGUAUGACAUGAGUAUUUGCUUUUUAGUUUACCACAAUCAUCCUUGCUGUACACACCUUUUGGGAGAGACACACAUAAUUCAGAAUUUAUUAGAAUACUCUAUGUGCUUCACUUAUAUCUUUUGAGCUAGAUAAUUUUGCUCUAGUGCUUCACUUAUAUCUUUUUAGAGCACGACGGUGGUUUUAUUUUGUAGAAAUUAUUGAUCUCUCAUGCUUCACUUAUAUUAUUUUGAGAGUCUUUCAGAACAGCAUGGUAUUUGCUUUGGUCAUUAAAUUAGUCCUAAUAUGAUGGGCAUCCAAGUUGGGUAUAAUAAAAACUAUCAUAUAGAGUGCAUUAAACACUAUGAUCAAUUUGAUACUUGAUAAUUGUUUUGACAUAUAGAGGUGGUAAUAUUAGAGUCAUGCUAGUUGGGUAAUUAUGAAAUUGAGAAAUACUUGUGUUGAAGUUGGCAAGUCCCGUAGCAUGCAUGUAUGGUAAAAGUUGUCAAAUUUGUAGCAUGGGGUGCUCUUUGAUUGCCUUCCUUAUGUGUGGAGGUCGGGAUAGCGCGAUGGUUAACUCCUACCAACCCUUCCCCUAGGAGCAUGCGUAGUAGUACUUUGCUUCGAGGGCUAAUAAAUUUUGCAAUAAGUAUAUGAGUUCUUUAUGACUAAUGUGAGUCCAUGGAUUAUACGCACUCUCACCCUUCCACCAUUGCUAGCCUCUCUUGUGCCGCGCAACUUUCGCUGGUAUCAUAAACCUCCUUAUAUCUUACUCAAAACAGCCACCAUACCUACCUAUUAUGGCAUUUCCAUAGUGAAAGCACAAGUGCUCCCUAGGUGGUUUUGGUAAUUAAUGUUAAAGUAUCUCUUGUUGGACUAACACUUUUACCUAGCAUGUUUCAGACAAGUUCAACAGUGGAGUGGCCUGGACUAAAGGAUGUGGAACCCCUUCAAGAUGCUAAGGACAAAGGAUUGGCUCAAGCUUCAAGCUCAAGACUCUUAAUUUUAUAUUUUAGUGAUCAAAGAUCACAUUGAGUCUAUAGGAAAAGCCAAUACUAUCAAGGAGGGAUGAGGUGUUGCUUAAUGGCUUGCUUGCUCAAAGUGCUUAGUGAUAUGCUCCAAAACCCACAACUAGUUUCCCACAUCCACAUUUGUCCUAAACCUAAAAGUCUAACUUAUCCCCACCGAUUCUUUCUAUCCGGUGCCACCAAGUUCAGAUAUCAUAGCUACUGCCACAAACCCUAGGAAAAUCGGUCUCACCGACAGGGAUCUCGGUCUCACCGAGAUGGGAUUGUAAUCUCUCUGUGUAUGUCCAUUACCAAAAUCGGUCUCACCGAGUUUGAGCAAUUGGUCCUACCGAGAUUACAAUGCAAACUCUCUGGUUAACUUAUUACCAAAAUCGGUCCCACUGAGUUUGAGUAAUCCGUCCCACCGAGUUUGCGUGACCAACUCUCUAGUUAGCUUAUUACCAAAGUCGGUCUCACCGAGUUUGUGUAAUCGGUCUCACCAAGAUUACGUUAUGCCCUAACCCUAACCAUAUCGGUCCUACCGAGUUGCAUAUCAGUCCCACCGAAAAUCCUAACAGUCACAUUGUUUACUAAAUCGGUCUGACCGAGUUUGUUGAUUCGGUCCCACCGAGAUUGGUAAAUUGUGUGUAACGAUUAGAUUUUGUGUGGAGGCUAUAUAUACCCCUCCACCUCCUCUUCAUUCGUGGAGAGAGCCAUCAGAACGAACCUACACUUCCAACUUACCAUUUCUGAGAGAGAACCACCUACUCAUGUGUUGAGGCCAAGAUAUUCCAUUCCUACCAUAUGAAUCUUGAUCUCUAGCCUUCCCCAAGUUGCUUUCCACUCAAAUAUUCUUUCCACCAGAUCCAAAUCCUGUGAGAGAGAGUUGAGUGUUGGGGAGACUAUCGUUUGAAGCACAAGAGCAAGGAGUUCAUCAUCAACACACCAUUUGUUACUUCUUGGAGAGUGGUGUCUCCUAGAUUGGCUAGCUGUCACUUGGAAGCCUCCGACAGUAUUAUGGAGUUGAACCAAGGAGUUUGUAAGUGCAAGGAGAUCGCCUACUUCGUGAAGAUCUACCGCUAGUGAGGCAAGUCCUUCGUGGGCGACGGCCAUGGUGGGAUAGACAGGGUUGCCUCUUCGUGGACCCUUCGUGGGUGGAGCCCUCCGUGGACUCGUGCAACCGUUACCCUUCGUGGGUUGAAAUCUCCAUCAACGUGGAUGUACGAUAGCACCACCUAUCGGAACCACGGCUCAAAAAUCAACGUGUCUCCAAAUUGCGUUUGAAAUCUCCAAACCCUUCCCCUUUACAUUCUUGCAAGUUGCAUGCUUUACUUUCCGCUGCUCAUAUACUCUUUGCAUGCUUGCUUGAAUUGUGAAGAUUGCUUGACUUGUGCUAAGUUUGCCAAAAUCUGCCAAAGACUAAAAUUGGGAAAAGGCAUAGUCUUUAAUUGGUCUAGUAGUCUAAUCACCCCCCCCCCCUCUAGAAUUACUUCUUAGAGAUCCUACAAGUGGUAUCAGAGCUUUGGUCUCCAUUGCCUUGGUUUAAUCACCAUUGGAGGAAGAUGGAUGAGUCUACUUUGGGGGGUCUUAGACGUAGAGUGCCUAUACUUGAUGGAGAGUUUUUCAUGAGCGGAAAAAUGAGAUGCUUGUAAUUUUCAAUCAAUAUCAUUUGAACAAGUACAUUAGUCCUUGUGCACCUUAUGUUGAUCCUAUGCAUCCUACCCUUGAUGAGUCGAUUGACAUGAUUAGGAAUGUUAGAACUGUUGAUCUUAUCACUAGAGGCUUGCCUAGAAACUUGAUUGGAAAACUGCCUACUCUUGAGUGUGCCUACACUAUAUGGAAAUUUCUUGAGGAACGAUUUCCUAAUUACUCUUUGAAAAAUCUGGAUGAAAUUCUUCAUAAGUCUAUUGCCUUGAGUAAGAUGAAUUCCAAUGGUCCUAUGUUUAGUAAUCGUCUAUUUGAACUUACAAAUCUUAUGCGUGCCAAAGGAAAUGUCGGAAUUAUUAGCGAUAUUACUUCCGAAGCAACUAGACUUCAUAAAGGAGAUCAUUGUGAAACUCAUACUAAUGAAUCACCCUUACUAGGAAUUGAUCCACCACAUGACGAUCUUGAACAUGGAUACUAUGAUGAGGAUUAUGAUGAUGACUUUGAUCUUGAUGAUGCAAUGAGACACUUUGGUCUUAUGGCAAAUCUUCGGGGAUAUAUGGCAGGAGGAAAGGAAUGGGUUCUUGACAGUGGAUGUACCAAUCACAUGACCGGAGAUAAAGACAUGUUUCAUGAGCUUGCUGAAAAUGAUGGUCCUCGAAAGUAUGUCACCUUCGGUGACAACUCAAAGGGUAAGGUGGUUGGCCUCGGUAAGGUGGCCAUCUCACAUGACAGCUCCAUUCAGAAUGUUAUGCUCGUUGAAUCUCUUGGCUACAACUUACUCUCAGUAUCUAGACUUGCUGAUUUCGGUUUCAGUGUCCUAUUUAUUGAAGUAUAUUGCCAAGUGUUUUGUAGAGACAAUCAUAAAAUGGUCUUUACCGGUAUACGUAGAGGUGAUCUUUACAUUGUUGAAUUCACUAAAAAGGCUCAACCUAGAACUUGCUUCAUUGCUAAAUCCUCUAAAGGUUGGUUAUGGCAUAGACGACUAGGUCACGUUGGCAUGAGAAACCUUGACAAGCUUAUUAAAGGGAAUCAUAUCCUUGGUGUUAACGAUGUCAUAUUUGAGAAGGAUAGACUUUGCAGUGCUUGUCAAGCAGGUAAACAGGUUGGAGGAAGGCAUCCCGUGAAGAACAUCAUGACCACAAGGAGGCCACUUGAGCUACUUCACAUGGAUCUCUUUGGUCCCAACACUUACAAAAGUCUCGGUGGAAAUUCUUUUGGUCUAGUUAUAGUUGAUGAUUUUUUAAGAUUUACGUGGGUGUUCUUUCUCGAUGAUAAAUUGCAGGUCCAAAAGAUCUUCAAAAACUUCGCCAGGAAGGCUCAAAAUCAAUUUGAAGUGAAGAUCAAGAAGGUUCGCAGCGACAACGGAAUGGAGUUCAAGACGCAAUGUGGACACCUUUCUUGACGAAGAAGGGGUCUCACAUGAGUUCUCGGCUACGUACACACCUCAACAAAAUGGAGUUGUUGAGAGGAAGAACCGGACGCUCAUCGAAAUGGCAAGAACGAUGCUUGAUGAGUACAAGACGCCGAAGCACGUUUGGGCAGAAGCGGUUGAGACAGCUUUUCAUGCAACAAAUCGCUUGUAUCUUCACAAGCUACUCCGCAAGAUGGCAUACGAUCUUCUCACCGGUAACAAACCCCAAGUUGCAUACUUUCGAGUAUUCGGCUCAAAGUGCUACAUUCUUGAUAAGCAUCGUCGUUCUAAAUUUGCUCCCAAGUCUCAUGAAGGUUUCCUACUUGGUUAUGGCUCAAACUCUCGCACAUACUGUGUCUACAACAAUUUCACCCGAAAGGUUGAAGAGACGGUAGAUGUGAAGUUUGAUGAAUCUAACGGCUCGCAAGUAGAGCAAUUGCCAAUUGAUGUAGGAGACAAAGAUCCCUCGGAAGCGAUCAGGGACUUGUCUAUUGGCAAGAUUCGUCCAACGGAAGUGAAGGAGAGUACCUCGUCCGUCCAAGUGGAAGCUUCUACAUCACGACAAGGUGAACCAAGAGUUGAUACGGAAGCAUCCAUAAGUGGGACACACCAAGAUGAAGAAAACGAGGAAGUACACCAAGAACGUCAACAACCUCCUUCUCCACCAGGACAAGAGAACGACAACGCCAAUAAUGAAGAAGGGCAAGAAGAAGAAGAAGAUGAAGAAGAUGUUCAACCAAGACCCUAGAAAAAGCUUUCAUGAGUUCGAGCAAGAAUUGCUAAAGACCAUCCCGUCGAGCAAAUCUUCAAUGAUAUCCAAACCGGGAGAAUCACUCGCUCUAAAACUCGUUUAGCUAACUUUUGUGAACACUAUUCAUUCAUCUCUAGCAUUGAACCUAUGAAGGUCGAAGAAGCAUUGGAAGAUCCGGAUUGGAUAAAUGCUAUGCAUGAAGAGCUACACAACUUUGAGAGAAAUCAAGUUUGGACAUUGGUUGAGAAGCCCGACAACAACCACAACAUCAUCGGUACUAAAUGGGUGUUUCGCAACAAGCAAGAUGAAGAUGGACAAGUAGUUCACAACAAAGCACGUCUCAUUGCCCAAGGUUACACACAAGUCGAAGGUAUGGACUAUGGUGAGACUUAUGCUCCCGUUACUAGACUUGAGUCCAUUUCCAUCUUACUUGCCUAUGCUAAUCACCAUGAUAUCACAUUGUACCAAAUGGACAUUAAAAGUGCUUUUCUAAAUGGUGAAAUAGAGGAGGAAGUUUAUGUUAAACAACCUCCCAGCUUUAUUAAUCCUAAGAAACCCAAUCAUGUCUACAAACUUCGCAAAGAUCUUUAUGGUCUUAAACAAGCCCCUAGAGCUUGGUAUAAAUGCUUAACCAAGUUCCUUACUAAAAAAGGCUUUGAAAUUGGAAAAAUUGAUUCUACACUUUUUACUAAAAGGGUUAAUGGAGAAUUAUUUGUAUGCCAAAUUUAUGUUGAUGAUAUUAUAUUUGGAUCAACUAACCCUCAUUUUAGUGAGAAGUUUGGAAAGCUAAUGUCGGAGAAGUUUGAGAUGUAAUGAUGAGUGAACUCAAAUUCUUUCUUGGGUUGCAAAUCAAGCAAACUAAGGAAGGUACUUUUGUCUCUCAAACGAAGUACACUAAGGACUUAUUCAAGAAGUUCAAUAUGCAAGAAUGCAAAGGUAUGACUACACCCAUGCCUACUAGUGGACAUCUUGAUUUGACCAAAGAUGGUGAACCGGUUGAUCAAAAGGUUUAUCGCUCUAUGAUUGGUUCAUUGUUAUACCUAUGUGCUUCACGUCCCGAUAUUAUGCUAAGUGUGUGCAUGUGUGCAAGAUAUCAAGCCGCACCUAAAGAAUGUCAUCUUAAGGCCGUGAAAAGGAUAGUGAGAUAUUUAAUUCAUACGUCAAAUUUUGGCAUUUGGUAUCCUAAGAGGGCCUCUUUCAAUCUUGUUGGCUACUCUGACUCGGACUAUGCCGGAGACAAGGUUGAUAGAAAGUCCACUUCGGGUACUUGUCAAUUCCUUGGUAGAUCUCUUGUGUCUUGGUCUUCCAAGAAACAAAACUCGGUAUCCUUAUCCACCGCCGAAGCGGAAUACAUUGGCGCUGGUUCAUGUUGUGCUCAAUUACUUUGGAUGACCCAAACUCUUAAAGAUUAUGGGAUAUAUGUGAAACAUGUUCCAUUACUUUGUGACAAUGAAAGUGCUAUCAAAAUUGCUCAUAAUCCUGUGCAACAUUCUUGAACAAAGCAUAUUGAAGUUCGUCAUCAUUUCAUUCGAGAUCAUGUUGCUAAGGGUGACAUUAAUCUCAAGCAUGUUCGCACCGACAAGCAAUUAGCAGAUAUUUUCACUAAACCACUUGAUGAGAAAGUGUUUUGCGGGUUAAGAGGUGAAUUGAACAUCAUUGAUGCUUCAAAAUUGGAGUAGAAACUCCAUUGGAUACAUGCAAGACAUGAGCUCAUGACUAAUCCUUGAUAUUUCUCGUAUGAUGAUAAUCUUAUGUCAUGGAUAUAUUUGCAUCUUGCAUGUCAUCUAACUUUUGUAGGAAUUUGGAGGAAUCUAAAUCUAUGAUAUUGCAACACACUCACAUAUUGAGCAAUCUCAACAUCUCCAAAGGUUCUACAUAAUGGUGGUUGAAGACAAGGAAGCAAAAUUCAUACACACAUAUCCUUUGACAAAUUCUAUGUUGAAAUUUGUUAUUUUGGAUACACAAGUGCUCUUCCUUGCAAGAACUAACUCAUGUAGGUAGAUGAACUCAAAUUCCAAGUGGUGCUCCCAACUCUUGAUGAGCUACAUCAACCUUGAGCAACCCACACAAGUUCAACUGCAUGAUCAACAUCACCACCCAAGGUAUGUCAUUCCAUCUUAGAGAAGCUUUACUCCAAGACAUGAGUUAAAGCAACUCGACAAUAUGUGAAUACAUCAAGAUGCUUAAACGAUAAAUGGUAACCCCAUUAUGAGCUUAAACGAUGAGUAUGACCCAUGGUCAAGUGAUCUCACUUGACUCCUAAGUCAAUAUACUCUAACAUAGGUGACUUUGUCGCCGACCAUCUCUAGAUGAAGUUCUCUUGUGUUCUUUUCUGUGCUCUUGCAUUUGUCUCAUGCAUAUUUGUUUCUCCUUCUUUCAAAAAAAACUUCAUCUAGAUUUCUUUUACAGUUUCUUCUUGUUUACUGUUUGUUCUGCAUUUCCUGCAUCCAAUUCAUUGCAAAUCCUUGUGAGAUCUUACUAGUCUAGUGAGCUGAGGUGACAAGUGUUUUCUCUGCGGUGAACUCGGUCACACCGAUUUGUUGUUUUCGGUCCAACCGAAUCCUUUCGGUGCAACCGAAGCAUACCACUCGGUGCCAUCGACUUCACAACAGGAAAAAUAUUUUGCCACUUAUUCUUAUUUCUUUAGAUCCAGCUCCACUCAAUGAAUCUUGUCCUCUACAAGCAUCACAUUUUUAUCAGUGCUUUGCACUGUGACUCAAGGACCAAACCCAUUCACGACAAAUUCCAGAAGGCCCUUCUUGGAAAUUGAUGUCAAAGGGGGAGAGAGAGAUCACAUCAAAGCUUAUCACUUCCAAAGGGAGAGAAAGUAUCACUUCCACAGGGGGGAGAAAGAUCUCCAGGGGAGAGAAUACUCAAGAAGAGAGUAAUCCUUAAGGAUCCCAGAUGCUUUGUGUUCAAGAGGAGAGAUGUCACAUGUCUUCUUGAGGGGAAAGACAUGUUCUUAUGUGCCUAUUUGCAUGUUUUCCUGUUCCCUAUCUUCUCCCAGUAUCCCAUGCUAGAUUCAGGGGGAGCAAGACAUCUAAGGGAAAGAAAUUCCUUACAUUCAUUGCACAUAUUUACCUUUGGGGGCAUGUCUAUGUGGUACUUAGUACUCACUCUCUACAUGUCAUCCCAGUCUUGGUAUUCUUGUGGUUUCUUCUAUUUGCUUUGGCUAGUAGGUAUAUCUGUGUUAUCUAACCUUGUUUACGCAGGUUCAUUCCAUCCUAAGCCAACUCAAGACCACAAGGUAAGUAUAUGCAUCACAGUCAUGUGUAUGAGGAAUUCUUGCUGAUGUACAUAUUGUUUGCAAGGACUCAUGAACAUGAAGGUACAUUUCCCACAUACACAUCUGUUGCUAUCUUUUGCCCUGAUGCAUAUGGCCAAGAUACAUGUAACACAUUGCUUACUCUGUCAUGUUCAUGCAUUCACAUGCUUCUAUAUUCCAUAUUCACAUGAGUGCAUACAUGUAGGGGGAGCCUAUGCUUGUUACAUGUCUUUCCAAAGCUUUACUUGCUAUUCUCUAUAUUCUUAUCUAAAGCUUUGAUGUAUGUUGUCAUCAAUUACCAAAAAGGGGGAGAUUGAAAGCACAAGUGGUCCCUAGGUGGUUUUGGUAAUUAAUGUUAACAUAUCUCUUGUUGGACUAAGACUUUUACCUAGCAUGUUUCAGACAAGUUCAACAGUGGAGUGGCAUGGACUAAAGGAUGUGGAACCCCUUCAAGAUGCUAAGGACAAAGGAUUGGCUCAAGCUUCAAGCUCAAGACUCUUCAUUUUAUAUUUUAGUGAUCCAAGAUCACAUUGAGUCUAUAGGAAAAGCCAAUAUCAAGGAGGGAUGAGGUGUUGCUUAAUGGCUUGCUUGCUCAAAGUGCUUAGUGAUAUGCUCCAAAACCCACAACUACUUUCCCACAUCCACAUUUGUCCUAAAGCUAAAAGUCUAACUCGGCCCCACCAAUUAUUUCUAUCCGGCGCCAUCGAGUUCAGAUGUCAUAGCCACUGCCACAAACCCUAGGAAAAUCGGUCUCACCGACAGGGAUCUCGAUCUCACCGAGAUGGGAUUGUAAUCUCUCUGUGUAUGUCCAUUACCAAAAUCGGUCUCACCGAGUUUGAGCAAUCAGUCCUACCGAGAUUACAAUGCAAACUCUCUAGUUAACUUAUUACCAAAAUCGGUCCCAUCGAGUUUGAGUAAUCGGUCCCACCGAGUUUGCCUGACCAACUCUCUGGUUAGCUUAUUACCAAAGUCGGUCUCACCGAGUUUGUGUAAUCGGUCUCACCGAGACUACGUUAUGCCCUAACCCUAACCACAUCGGUCCUACCGAGUUGCAUAUCAGUCCCACCGAAAAUCCUAACGGUCACAAUGUUUACUAAAUCGGUCUGACCGAGUUUGUUGAUUCGGUCCCACCGAGAUUGCUAAAUUGUGUGUAACGGUUAGAUUUGUGUGGAGGCUAUAUAUACCCCUCCACCUCCUCUUCAUUCGUGGAGAGAGCCAUCAGAACGAACCUACACUUCCAACUUACCAUUUCUGAGAGAGAACCACCUACUCAUGUGUUGAGGCCAAUAUAUUCCAUUCCUACCAUAUGAAUCUUGAUCUCUAGCCUUCCCCAAGUUGCUUUCCACUCAAAUCUUCUUUCCACCAGAUCCAAAUCCUGUGAGAGAGAGUUGAGUGUUGGGGAGACUAUCAUUUGAAGCACAAGAGCAAGGAGUUCAUCAUCAACACACCAUUUGUUACUUCUUGGAGAGUGGUGUCUCCUAGAUUGGCUAGGUGUCACUUGGGAGCCUCCGACAAGAUUGUGGAGUUGGACCAAGGAGUUUGUAAGGGCAAGCAGAUCGCCUACUUCGUGAAGAUCUACCGCUAGUGAGGCAAGUCCUUCGUGGGCGACGGCCAUGGUGGGAUAGACAAGGUUGCUUCUUCGUGGACCCUUCAUGGGUGGAGCCCUCCGUGGACUCGUGCAACCGUUACCCUUCGUGGGUUGAAGUCUCCAUCAACGUGGAUGUACGAUAGCACCACCUAUCGGAACCACGGCUCAAAAAUCACCGUGUCUCCAAAUUGUGUUUGAAAUCUCCAAACCCUUCCCCUUUACAUUCUUGCAAGUUGCAUGCUUUACUUUCCGCUGAUCAUAUACUCUUUGCAUGCUUGCUUGAAUUGUGAAGAUUGCUUGACUUGUGCUAAGUUUGCUAAAAUCUGCCAAAGACUAAAAUUGGGAAAAGGCAUAGUCUUUAAUUGGUCAAGUAGUCUAAUCACCCCCCCCCCUCUAGACUUACUUCUUCGAGAUCCUACACAUAGCCAUUCGGUGAUAUAUUUCCAUGCAACUUUCCACCGUUCUGUUUAUUAUGACACUUUCCACCAUUGUCAUGUUGCUUUCUCAUGAUCAUGUAGUUGACAUCGUAUUUGUGGCAAAGCCACCUUCAUAAUUCUUUCAUACAUGUCACUCUUGAUUCAUUGCAUAUCCCGGUACACCACCGGAGGCAUUCACAUAGAGUCAUAUUUUGUUCUAAGUGUUGAGUUGUAAUUCUUGAGUUGUAAUCCAAUAAAAGUGUGAUGAUCUUCAUUAUUAGAGCAUUGUCCCAAGUGAGGAAAGGAUGAUGGAGACUAUGAUUCCCCCACAAGUCGGGAUGAGACUUUGGACUUUACAAAAAAAAUAGAAGAGGCCAAAGAAGCCCAAAUAAAAAAAGAGGCCAAAGAAGCCCACCAAAAUUAAAAAAAUGAGAGAAAAGAGAGAAGGGACAAUGUUACUAUCCUUUUUCCACACUUGUGCUUCAAAGUAGCACCAUGAUCUUCAUGAUAGAGAGUCUUAUAUGUUGUCACUUUCAUAUACUAGUGGGAAUUUUUCAUUAUAGAACUUGGCUUGUAUAUUCCAAUUAUGGGCUUCCUCAAAAUGCCCUAGGUCUUCCUGAGCAAGCGAGUUGGAUGCACACCCACUUAGUUUCUUUUGUUGAGCUUCCAUACAUUUAUAUCUCUAGUGCAUCCAUUGCAUGGAAAUCUCUACUCACUUAGAUUGAUAUCUAUUAAUGGGCAUCUCCAUAGCCCGUUGAUGUGCCUAGUCAAUGUGAGACUUUCUCCUUUUUUGUCUUCUCCACACAACCUCCAUCAUCAUAUUCUAUUCCACCCAUAGUGCUAUAUCCAUGGCUUACGCUCAUGUAUUGCGUGAGAGUUAAAAAAAGCUGAAGCACGUUAAAAAGUAUGAACCAAUUGCUUGGCUCAAACUGGGGUUGUGCAUGAUGUGACUAUUUUGUGUGACAAAAAUGAAGCAUAGCCUAACUAUAUGAUUUUGUAGGGAUAAGCAUUCUUUGGCUAUGUUAUUUUGAUAAGACAUGAUUACCUGUUAGUAUGCUUGAAGUAUUACUAUGUUUAUGUCAAUAUGAACUUUUAUUUUGAAUCAUUUGGAUCUGAACAUUCAUGCCACAAUAAAUAAAAUUACAUUGAGAAAUAUGCUAGGUAGAAUUCCACAUCAAAAGUUCUGUUUUUAUCAUUUACCUACUCGAGGACGAGCAGGAAUUAAGCUUGGGGAUGCUUGAUACGUCACCAAUGUAUCUAUAAUUUUUGGUUGUUCCAUGCUAUCAUAUUACCUGUUUUGGAGGUUUCAUGGGCUUUACUAAACACUUUUAUAUAAUUUUUGGGACCAACCUACUAACCGGAGGCCCAGCCCGAAUUGCUGGUUUUUUUGCCUAUUUCAGUGUUUCGAAGAAAAGGAAUAUCAAACGAAAUGAAACCUUCGGGAGCAAAAUUUUUGGAACAAACGCAAUCCAGGAGACUUGGAGUGGACAUCAAGAAGCCGCCAAGGCGGCCACAAGGGUGCAAGGUGCGCCCUAGGGGGGUGGGCGCGCCCCCCACCCUCGUGGGCCCCUCGUGGCUCCCCUGACCGACUUCCUUCGCCUAUAUAUAUCUACGUACCCUGAAAACAUCCAGGAGCACCAUAAAACCCUAUUUCCACCACUGUAACCUUCUGUUCCCAGGAGAUCCCAUCUUGGAGCCUUUUCCGGCGCUCUGGUGGAGGGGGAAUCGAUCACGGAGGGCUUCUACAUCAGCGCCAAAGCCUCUCCGAUGAGUUGUGAGUAGUUUACCACAGACCUUCGGGUCCAUAGUUAUUAGCUAGAUGGCUUCUUCUCUCUCUUUGAAUCUCAAUACAAUGUUCUCCUCGAUCUUCUUGGAGAUCUAUUUGACGUAACUCUUUUUGUGGUGUGUUUGUCGAGAUCCGAUGAAUUGUGGGUUUAUGAUCAAGUUUAUCUAUGAGAAAUAUUUGAAUCUCCUCUGAGUCCUUUUAUGUAUGAUUGGUUAUCUUUUCAAGUCUCUUCGAAUUGUCAGUUUGGUUUGGCCUACUAGAUUGAUCUUUCUUGCAAUGGGACAAGUGCUUAGCUUUGGGUUCAAUCUUGCGGUGUCCUUUCCAAGUGACAGCAGGGGCAGUAAGGCACGUAUUGUAUUGUUGCCAUCGAGGAUAAAAAGAUGGGGUUUAUAUCAUAUUGCUUGAGUUUAUCCCUCUACAUCAUGUCAUCUUGCCUAAUGCAUUACUCUGUUCUUAUGAACUUAAUACUCUAGAUGCAUGCUGGAUAGCAGUCGAUGUGUGGAGUAAUAGUACUAGAUGCAGGCAGGAGUCGAUCUACUUGUUGCGGACAUGAUGCCUACAUACAUGAUCAUGCCAAGAUAUUCUCAUAACUAUGCACUUUUGUAUCAAUUGCUCGACAGUAAUUUGUUCACCCACCGUAAUACUUAUGCUAUCUUGAGAGAAGCCACUAGUGAAACCUAUGGCCCCCGGGUCUAUUUUCCAUCAUAUAAGUCUCCGAUCUACUUUAUUUUGCAAUCUUUACUUUUCAAUCUACAUCAUAAAAAUACCAAAAAUAUUUAUCUUAUCUUAUUAUCUCUAUCAGAUCUCACUUUCGCAAGUGGCCAUGAAGGGAUUGACAGCCCCUUUAUCGCGUUGGUUGCGAGGCUCUUGUUUGUUUGUGUAGGUACGAGGGACUUAAAGUGUAGCCUCCUACUGGACUGAUACCUUGGUUCUCAAAACUGAGGGAAAUACUUACGCUACUUUGCUGCAUCACCCUUUCCUCUUCAAGGGAAAAACCAACCCAUGCUCAAGAGGUAGCAGGUCAUUCUGUCAUAGACCUAACUAAUUAACAAAUAUAAUUAACUAAGUUUGGUUGAUUAGGUUAAUUAACCUGAUUAAUUAAGUUAAUUAAUUAAUUAAUGUUUUUAAUUAUUAUUAUAUUUACAUUUUCAUUUCUUUUAGAAAAAACAGGGGGCUGGGCCCCGUGUGGCAGUGGCCCAGUCGGACCACACACGCACGCACACAUACACAGCCGUGGUCAUGGCCAUGGCUGGCGGCAGCAGCAGGCAACGGCAAGGGACAGCACCGGCGCCUGCGCGGCUGCUGGGUGGUGGCCGGCGCGGCGGGAGCUCCGCUGGGCGCACGCGGGAGGAGGUGCUACAGGGGGCGGCAACGACGAGCGAGGCGAGCGACGGCUUGGGCGGAGCAGAUCCGCGGCAGGGAUCGGGCGGCAGCGGCCACGCGUGGCCAUGGGCGCGUGCGGGGGCGAGGGUGCGGGGCCGCGACGCGGUCAGGCCCCGGCGAGCACGUGCUCGCCGCGGGAGCGGGCGCAUGUCGAAGAGAAGAGGGAGGAGGCCGGGGCCUCCCUGGCGAUGGAGGGAAGCUAGGGCGGCGAGGUCUGUUGGCGGCCGUUGAGGAGGAUGACGUGGACGGCCCAGCGAGGGGUCGGGGAGGCGUGGGGCGUCGGGGGCAGGUGAACCAAGGCAGCACCGGGCGGCAGCGUCGAGGCGGCUCCGGCGAGCGUCGACGGGGUACAGGAGGGCGCGGUCNNNNNNNNNNNNNNNNNNNNNNNNNNNNNNNNNNNNNNNNNNNNNNNNNNNNNNNNNNNNNNNNNNNNNNNNNNNNNNNNNNNNNNNNNNNNNNNNNNNNNNNNNNNNNNNNNNNNNNNNNNNNNNNNNNNNNNNNNNNNNNNNNNNNNNNNNNNNNNNNNNNNNNNNNNNNNNNNNNNNNNNNNNNNNNNNNNNNNNNNNNNNNNNNNNNNNNNNNNNNNNNNNNNNNNNNNNNNNNNNNNNNNNNNNNNNNNNNNNNNNNNNNNNNNNNNNNNNNNNNNNNNNGUCGAGCCCCGAUCUGGAUUGAGGGGGAAGGGAGAGCGAGCAACAUGGGGACAGUGGGGGAGAUCGAGGGGAGUGGGGGAAAAGUGGAUCGGGGGAGGGCUAGGGUUUUGGGCGAUGGCCUAAUAGGCCAGGGGCAUGCGGGUGGGCCGGAUGGUGGCCAGCUCGGCCGAGAGGCCCAUGGGAGGGGGGUUCUUGCCUUUUUCUUAUUUUGUUUUGUUUUUCUUUUAAAAACAUUUCUGUUUUCUUUUAUUUUAAGGCACUUAAACAAUUUGCAAAAAGAAGAUUUCUGCACCGGUAUUUUCUAUAAAUUAUUUUUUGUAGUCUGAACACUUUAGUUUUACAUUUUGAAAACUUUAAAUUUUGACUUUGUUUUAAAACUGAAUUUGAACCGGUUUCAAACCAACGCGAGUUGAACAACAGUAAUCGUGGUGACGUUUCAUCAUGAACAGGAGAUCACUGUAGCUUAAUUAUCCGGGCAUCACAAUUCUCCCCCACUACAAGAAAUCUCGUCCCAAGAUUUAGGAGGUAGAAGGAAACAAAGCGGGGUAUUCUUCACGAAGACAAUCCUCGCGUUCCCGAGUGGCUUCGUCCUCAGAGUGAUGCGACCACUGGACCUUGUGGAACUUGAUCGCCUUCUGACGUGUGCGGCGUUCAGCUUGGUCGAGUAUGCAGACCGGAUGCUCUUUAUAGGCGAGGUCCUAUUGCAACUCGAUCACUUCAUGAUCCAUUGCUCGGAUUGGGUCCUUGAAGCCGCGCAUGGAGUUGUGACACGUUCAACACAUCGUGAACCUGAGAAAGGUUCGACGAAAGCUCCAGCUGGUAUGCCACUUUUCCACGCCUUUCAAGAAUAUUGAAUGGACCAAUAUAGCGAGGAGCUAGCUUGCCCUUGAUCUCGAAGCGGUGAGCACCCUUCAUUGGUGUGACUCGAAGAUAAGCCUUUUCGCCAGGUUGAUAGACCAUGUCCUUAUGUUGACGGUCAUACUGACUCUUUUGACGUGACUGAGCAGUCUUGAGAUUCUCGCUAAUGACGCGGACUUGUUCUUCGGCGUGUUGGAUAAUAUCUGGACCGAAGAGUGGACGUUCCCCAGUUUCUGACCAGUUCAGAGGGGUUCGACACUUUCGUCCAUAUAACACUUCAAAGGAGGCCAUCUUCAGACUAGCUUGACAGCUACUAUUAUAGGAGAACUCAGCAUACGGGAGAGAUUCCUCCCAUUUCUUGCCGAAGGAAAUAACACAAGCUCGAAGCAUGUCUUUGAGAACUUGGUUGACACGUUCAACUUGUCCCUGAGACUGAGGAUGAAAAGCAGUGUUGAAUGACAGAUGAGUUCCCAUAGCUUCUUGGUAACUUGCCCAGAAUCUUGAAGUGAAUAAGCUGCCAGGUCUGAGCUGAUUACCAGCGGAAUACCGUGAAGUGAAACAAUUCUGGACAUAUAGAGAGUUGCCAGCUGACUAGCAGUGAUUGUUUCUUUGAUGGCUAGAAAGUGUGCAACUUUAGAAAGCCGGUCAAUGACGACAAGAACAACAUCAUUACCUUUCUGUGAUUUGGGAAAUCUAGUGACGAAGUCCAUUUCAACAUGGUCCCAUUUCCAUUAAGGAAUAGAGAUAGGUUGCAGAGUUCCAGCAGGCCUUUGAUGUUCUGCUUUGAUACGACGGCAAAUGUCACAUUCAGCAACAUAGCAAGCAAUGGCUUGCUUCAUGUUUGACCACCAGAAUCUUUGACGAAUGUAUUGGUACAUCUUAGUGCUACUGGGAUGAAUAGACAACAAAGUGUCAUGAGCUUCUUCCAUAAACUCCUUAGUCAUAUCCAGGUUUUUCUCCUUACACGGCACCACUAGGCGUCCUUUGAAGUACAAAGUGCCAUCAUCAGCAACAGCGAAGAAUGAGGGCUUUCCUUCUGUGAGGUAGCGCUUAAUCUUGUGGGCUUGAGAGUCAUAUUUCUGCAGCUCCUUGAUGUUGUCCAUGAGAUCUGGUUUUGCAACCAGGGUAUUGAGAUAACCCUGGGGAACAACAUGGAGGUUCAUUUUGCGGCACUCUGGAGGAGGGGGAGCGAGUGCACCAGGAGGAACAAUAUGGAGGUUCAACUUUCUGAAUUCUUCAAUAAGCGAGGGCUGAACUUGGUGAACCUGGAGGUGGUUGCAAUAUGACUUGCGGCUCAAAGCAUCAGCCAUUACAUUAGCCUUGCCUGGGGUAUAGGAAAUACCGAAAUCAAAGUCUGCUACGAUCUCCAUCAUCUCUGCUGACGGAGGUUCAAAUCUGGCUGAGUAAACAGGUACUUCAGACUUUGGUGGUCGGUGAAGAUCUCACAACGAUUACCUAGAAGGUAAUGUCGCCACUGUUUCCGUGCAUGUAUGACAGCAGCAAGCUCGGGGUCAUGAACUGGGUAGUUCUCUUCGUGAGGGCGCAGUUGAUGAGAGGCAUAAGCAAUCGCUCUGCGCUCUUGCAUUAGAACACCGCCUAAUCCUUGACGUGAAGCGUUGCAGUAAAUGACGAAGUCCUUCUUAGUAUCAGGUGGAGCAAGCAUCGGGGCAGAAGUCAGUUUGUCUUUGAGUGCCUAGAAACUUUCCUGACACUUUUCUGUCCAAUCAAACUUGACGCCCUUGUGAAGCAGACCAGCCAGGGGCUUGGCAAUCUUGGAGAAGUUCUCGACAAAUCAACGACAAUAGCUGGCGAGCCCGAGAAAACUUCUGACUUGCUUGACAUUCUUCAGGGGAGUCCAAUCGAGAAUAGCCUGAACUCGCUCGGGGUUGACGGCAACACCAUCCUUGGAGAUGACAUGCCCAAGAUAGGUCACUUCAGGAAGCCAAAAUUCACAUUUAGAAUACUUUGCAUAGAGUUGAUGUUCUCGAAGCUUUUCCAGAACAAGUCGAAGGUGUUCAACAUGUUCUUCUUUAUUCUUGGAAUAUACAAGGAUAUCAUCCAGAUAAACCACGACAAACUUGCCGAGGUAUUCCAUGAAUAUAUAGUUCAUUAGGCGAGAGAAUGUCGCAGGAGCAUUGGUUAAACCGAAGGACAUGACAGUGUACUUGUAUGAACCAUAGCGAGUAACGAAUGCGGUCUUGGGUAUAUCCUCUUCACGAACCCGAAUCUGGUGGUAACCCAACCUCAAAUCAAGUUUAGAGAAUACUGAGGAACCAGCAAGUUGAUCAUAUAGAUCGUUGAUUCUGGGAAGCGGAUACUUGUUCUAAAUUGUUGCCUAGUUGAUAGGUCGGUAAUCUUGGACCAAACGAUUCGUACCAUCUUUCUUCUUGACAAAGAGAGAAGGUGCUCCCCAAGCAGAUGAACUAGGACGAAUGAAACCCUUGCUAAGAGAUUUGUCGAUUUCCUCCUUAAGCUCAAGGAGCUCAUGAGGCGGCAUCUUGUAGGGUCGCUUGGCAAUAGGAGUAGUACCCGGUUUCAAGUCUAUGAUGAAUUCGACCGCUCUAGCAGGGGGUAUUCCUGGAAGUUCUUCUGGGAAGACAUCUUUGAAAUCACGAACAACUAGAAGGUUCUCUAUUCCCUCAAGAGAUGAAGCAUUCAAUGCAUUCAAAACAUAUAUCUGGUUCUCGGCAUCCUGAGCUACUCGAGCUAAGUAUUCGACUGUCUGGCCAGAAUGGUGAGUGAGCUGGUAUGUCUUGGUAGCACAGUCGAUCUUAGCACUAUGGGCUGUCAGCCAGUGCAUACCAAGAAUGAUAUCUAUAUUUGAAGGUCCGAGCAUAAUGAGAGAAGCCGGAAAAAGUAGACCUCCAAUCUCGAUGUGGUUGUGAGGGCUUACCAUUGUGGUUUGCCACUUGGACCGUGGGGAUUGAACCAUUAGAGGAGUGGGUAAAUCUUCCAUGUAUAACUCAUGUGACUGUGCAAAUUGUUGGGACACAAAAGCAUGUGAUGCUCCUGAAUCAAAGAGAACAGAAGCUGGCACUGAAUUAACGCAAAGGGUACCCAACCGGAUUUUUGGGGACUCACGAGCUUCUUCAAUCUUGACAUGGUUGACUUGACCACCAGUCACCAUAGGCGACCUGGCACUGCAACUACUGGUAUGAUGGUUUCAAUGACCCUUCUUACGGUCAACAGGAUGACGUGAUGAAUUCUAUGGCUGACCCUGACGACAGUUGAAAGCACGGUGCCCUGGAUGUCCGCACUUGCGGCAUAAACCAUCAUUAUGUGGAGGAGCUACAACAUUGGACUGUCCACCCUGAAUUGUUAGCUGUCUCGGCGGGGGAGGCAAACGAGGUGCAACAUAAGACGGCCUUGGUAUUGGAGCAGGUCGGUGAUGAACAUUGUGUGGGGUCCAGACUUGACAUUUCUGAUUAGGCUGACUCGAGGAUGAGCCAACAUCUCGAGUACGCUUGAGCGACUCCUGGUACUCAGUAAGACCAGUUUCAGUUCAGAAAGCUUGGCUGACAAGCGUCGCAAAGUCUGCACAGUCAUGGGCAACAAGUGCGAGCUUUAUAUCGGGACGCAAUCCUUCACGGAAUUUCUCCUGCUUGCGAGCGUUAGUGUAGACGUCAUCCUCAGCAUAGCGUGAUAAUUCAAGGAAUUUCCUCUGAUAUUCAUCCACAGUCAUAGUGCCCUGUGAGAGUUUGCGGAACUCCUUCUUCUUCUGGUCCAUCAAACCUUGAGGAAUGUGUCAUGCACGGAAGGCUAACUGAAAUUCCUGCCAAGUUGUUAUAGUCUCUACAGGCAGCAUACCCCUGUGGCUUUCCCACCAUUGAGCAGCUGGACCUUUCAAGUGGAAAGUCGCAAAGGUGAUGUAACUGGCAGGGGGAACAUUAGCUGACUCCAUCUCAAACAGGAUGUCAUGAAGCCAAUCAUCAGCAUCCAUAGGAUUGGUGGAGUUGCGGAAAAUGGAUGGGUUGAGGCACACGAAUUCUUGCAGUGUUAUUGGGGCAGGCUGUUGAUGAGCAAUCUCGUUUGGAAACUGAGCCAUUACCCCAGUCAUGAACAGACGAUUCAGCUCUAACUGUUGCAUCAUUGCGGCAACAUAGGGUGGAGGUGGAGGAUCGCCAGCCAUCCUGCUAAAACAUCAGGAAGCAAUUUAACAGGGGGUGGAGCAGGUGUAAGGAGUCAUUCAUGAUGUAACUUGAACAAUGAGCAAAGGCACGGUAUGUACAAAGCAGUAGUCAUUAAAGACAUAUAGAUACAUAUAUAGAGCCAAAUACACGUUGUUAGUAGGAAUUCGAACAAGUGGAUCAUCCUAGACAUACUAGGCGGUACGCAUGCUCGCGAUGGAGGGAUACAACAACGAGACAUAGCAAAGGCUACAUCAUCACCGGAGAAAACCACUAGAGCAAGGAAUCUACAGGGGACGAUGUAGGGUGCCCUCGAUAAAAGGAUCCUGGGGCCCGUGAACAAUGUGAAGCAGAUCCUGUCUCCCAAUUCAAGAAAGGCGUACUACAAAUCUCGGGAUGGAUGUGAUCACAAGAUCCUAAGGUUGGAGUUAGCAAAAUCAUUUAACCCGAAUAGAAUAGAGAUUAGAGUCCCAGAGUAAAGACCGAGGAGUAAAAGAUCCUAAUACCACCCAAUGGCAACUUGGGCCCAUAAGCCACACAGCCAUGUUAGUAAAAUAGUUUUUCAAAGUCUAGACUCAACUUCGGCCAAGGAGUUGGGAAGGGGGUUCCUAUAGGCAGUCGGCUCUGAUACCAACUUGUGACGCCCCCGAUUCAAUCGUACACUAAUCAUACACGCAAAUAUGUACGAUCAAGAUCAGGGAGUCACGGGAAGAAAUCACAACACAACUCUAGACACAAAAUGGAAUAAUACAAGCUUCGUAUUACAAGCCAUGGGCCUCGAGGGCUCGAAUACAAAAGCUCGAUACACAAGCAAGUCAGCGGAAGCAACAAUAUCUGAGUACAGACCUAAGUUAAACAAGUUUUGCCUUAAGAAGUCUAGCACAAAAGCAACACGAUCGAAGAGGCAAGGCCUCCUGCCUGGGACCUCCUAACCACUCCUUGUCUUUGGCGGCCUCCAUGUAGUAGUAGUCGACGGGGGUGGCAUCUGGCUCCAAGGAUCCACCAUCCGAUUGCAUCAACCGAAAAGAAGAAAUAAGGGGUAAAAGGGGUAGCAGAGCAACCGUGGGUACUCAUCCAAAGUACUCGCAAGCAUCAGAUCUAUACUAAGUAUGCAUUGGUAUCAAAUGGAAGGUUUGUAUUUGUGGAUUGAACUGCAGAAUGCCAGAAUAGAGGGGGAAGGCCUAGCCUAUCAAAGACUAGCAUCUUCAAGCAGCUCCAAGCAUCUUGCAGCAUGUAGAAGAGUAAAGAAUAGCAUGUUUAUAUUUAACAAGCAUGUUGUAGAAACAACGCCUAGAGAUCCUUCCUUGACUCCCUGCAAGAAAGCAAUCCCGGAGCCACAUAUCCAAGUAUCCAUUUAUAGUUGUAUACGAUCAGGAUAUAAGUCUGAACGUCUGUUAUCGUGGACACGACUAUUAAUAGAUAAACUUCCCUGCAUGGGUGCACCAGGUUUUCCAACACGCUUGAUUACUUUGGUCGGACACACUUUUCUGGGUCAAUGCCCGACCUCGGAAGAUCAACACGUCGUAGCCCUACCUAGGCUCAGCAGAGAGGUCCCCGUUGGUCUACAUCCUAAGCACUCCGGGGUCUGGGCCCAUCGCCCGUUGCACUCCGGAUCGUUGCGUAUAGGGCAGGUCCAGGCUCCACCACUACAGGAUGGUGUCGGCACAACCAUGCUGCACUGCUGAACUGGACGUCUGACAAAGCUUCGGUUGAUACCACGACGCCGAGGCCCAUAACUGUUCUCAUGUGGUGGUUGGUGCGUAAAGGCCAGAGGCCAACUUAGAAAAAAUACCCAAACCAUAGUGUAUUAUUAGCUUGUGGAGACGAGUAGAGACUUGCGAUCAAAAGUGACCCCGUUGCCCCGUCUCGUGGACUUACGACAAGGGCCUAGAAUGCCCGACCGUGCCACGUAAUUAUCUUGCGGGUGCUCUUUGGGCCCGCCCAACUUUCACCAAGGUCUCAAGUAAAGUUAAUGUAACCGUGUGUCCAAACAUCAAGGGGAAACCCCGAGUAAUCACCCUCGGUGGAUUCCACUCGAUGUAAUCAUCAAGGUGAACGUAAGAGGAACCACCCUCGAGGUUCACACUUGAGGGGUUGCACGACAAAGUCAUAUCGGAAGUGGUUAAGGAGGAAUCACCCUCGAUGACCAUGACCAAAUAGCUACACUACAAAGAUCUCAUCAGGAGUGAUGUAUGAGGUACCACCCUCGGCACUUGAUGGUAACUCUGCAGAGUCGAGCAACAAAAAGGGUGUGAUGUGAUGUGAGGUGCCGGGCUCUGGUCGUCGAUCACGUUGAUCGAGUAGUCGAUGAUGAAGCAGGGCGACAAGGACAAGGUGGGGCUCACUGAUGGAUCACUAACCAACCUAUACUAAGCAGUUUAGGAUAAGUAGGUAAGGUACAAUAACAGGUUACUGUAGGAUCGAAAGUAUGUCUAGAGGGGGGGUGAUUAGACUACUUGACCAAAUAAAAAUCUAGCCUUUUCCCAAUUUUAGUUCUUGGCAGAUUUUAACAACUUAGCACAAGUCAAGCAAUCUUAACACAAUUCAAGCAAGCAUGCAAUGAGUAUAUAAGCAGCGGAAAGUAAAGCAUGCAACUUGCAAGAAUGUAAAGGGAGGGGUUUGCACAGUGCAAACGCAAUAGGAGACACGGAUGUUUUUGUCGUGGUUCCGAUAGGUGGUGCUAUCGUACAUCCACGUUGAUGGAGACUUCAACCCACGAAGGGUAACGGCUGCGCGAGUCCACGGAGGGCUCCACCCACGAAGGGUCCAUGAAGAAGCAACCUUGUCUAUCCCACCAUGGCCGUCGCCCACAAAGGACUUGCCUCACUAGGGUAGAUCUUCACAAAGUAGGCGGUCUCCUUGCCCUUACAAACUCCUUGGUUCAACUCCACAAUCCUGACGGAGGCUCCCAAGUGACACCUAACCAAUCUAGGAGACACCACUCUCCAAAAGGUAAUAGAUGGUGUGUUGAUGAUGAACUCCUUGCUCUUGUGCUUCAAAUGAUAGUCUCCCCAACACUCAACUCUCUCUCACACACAGGAUAUGGAUUUGGUGGAAAGAAUAUUUGAGUGGAAAGCAACUUGGGGAAGGCUAGAGAUCAAGAUUUAUGUGGUGGGAAUGGAAUAUCUUGAUCUCAACACAAGUGUAGGUGGUUCUCUCUCAGAAAAUGUAUGUUUGAAGUGUAGGCAUGUUCUGAUGGCCCUCUCCAUGAAUGAAGAGUGGGUGGAGGGGUAUAUAUAGCCUCCACACAAAAUCUAACCAUUACACACAACUUACCAAACUCGGUGGGACCGACUCGUGAAACUCGGUCCGACCGAUUUAGUUCAUAAUGUGACCAUUAGGUAUUUCGGUGGGACCGACAUGUCAACUCGGUGGGACCGAUAUCAUUAGGGUUAGGGCAUAACAUAAUCUCGGUGAGACCGAUUACACAAACUCGGUGAGACCGGUUUUGGUAAUAAGCUAACCAGAGAGUUGGUCAGGCAAACUCGGUGGGACCGAUUCGCUCAUCUCGGUUGGACCGAAAUGUUACUAAAGGGAAAUAGAGAGUUUGCAUUGCAAUCUCGGUGAGACUGAUCGCUCAUCUCGGUUUGACCGAAAUGUUACGAAGGAAAAUAGAGAGAUUACAAUCCCAUCUCGGUGAGACCGAGAUCCCUAUCGGUGAGACCGAAAAGACUAGGGUUUUUGGUAGUGGCUAUGUCAACUGAACUCGGUGGCGCCAGAUAGAAAGUUUCGGUGGGGCCGAGUUUGACUUUUGGUUUGGGACAUAUGUGGAUGUGAGAAAGUAGUUGAGGGCUUUGGAGCAUAUCACUAAGCACUCUGAGCAAGUAAGCCAUUAAGCAACACCUCAUCCCCUUAUAACAGUAUUGGCUUUCCUAUGGACUCAAUGUGAUCUUGGAUCACUAAAAGUAAAAUGUAGAGUCUUGUGCUUUGAGCUUGAGCCAAUCCUUUUGUCCUUAGCAUUUUGAGGGGUCCAUGUUUCUCAUCCAUGCCAUACCAAACAUUGAGCUUUCCUGAAAUAUUUAUCUUGAAAUAGCAUUAGCUCAAUGAGCUAUAUGUUGUUAGGAAUUACCAAAACCACCCAGGGAUAGUUGCACUUUCAAUCUCCCCCUUUUUGGUAAUUGAUGACAACAUAUAGAUCAAAGCUUCGACAAGUGAUAAUAAGAUUGAAAAACAUCGUCGCUUUGAGAAGUGUGUGAUAAGCAAGAGCUCCCCUAAAUUUGUGCAUUAUUUAAAAUUUUCUUUGGACUGCAAAUGCAAAGUGUGUUAGGAUCAUGGGUUACUCUUUCAUGUCACAUACAUCUUGGUGGAGCGCUCAAAAUGAUAGAAGGUAAAAGCAUGCACUCUUCACCAAGAAAGUGAAUGAUCAUAUAGGGAUAUAAGAGAUAAUAUCAUCCAACAAGCAUUAAGUGUAGCAUAUGAUUAAACACAUGAUCAAACAAGUAAACAAGUAGCUCACAAGCACACAAACAAGAAGUUCAACCAAAAUCAAGAGAGAUAAAAAGCAACACUCUCUCUUGAAGCCUAUGAUCUAUACAUUUUCUCCCCCUUUGGCAACAAGUGACCAAAAAGUUCAUAAAAAUGCAUAGUGCUAAAUGACUCUCAGGCUUGGUCUUCAUGUGGUGACGUAGAGAUGACUCCAAGGAUGAAAGCUUCUGUAGAUGUAACUGGAGCUGGUGGAGUGGCUGCUGGAGCUGGAGGUACUGAAGUCGUGGCUGCUGGUGCAGAUGUUGUAGCUCUUGUGUUUGUAAUAGGCUUCUUGUCAAGCAGGAUUGUCUCAUAAAAGUCUUGUUGUUCCUUAGUGUGAAACCUGUAGUCCACAGCAGUUCUCCUCCUGGCAGCAUAGGGGUCAACCUUUCUCCACUGCCUCAGUCCAGCAUCCUUCCUGAGUUUCAUGUUCUCAGCAACAGGAUGUGCAUCAUUGUGGUCAGGGAUCUUGGGCUUCAACUUUCUCAAAACAAGUGUAUCAUCUUCUUCAUCAUCAGCAGCUUCAGGGACUGGGGCCUUGUUCUUCUCCUCGGCAGGUAUACUUCUGGUGUUCCUCUUGGGUGCAGGCUUUUGAGCUGGAGCAGCAGCCUUUGGAGCAGCUUUAGGCUUAGAUGGGGCAGCCCCUGAUUUGAUAGCAUCUCCCAUAAGCUUCUGAGCUUUAGAUGCUGGUGCAGCAUCCUCUUCCUCUUCAUCUUCCUCAUCAGGAGAAUGCUUCUCAAAUUCUGCCAUUGGAUCAACUCUCUUGCACCAUCUCCCUCUCUUUCUUUCCUUCUUUUUCCCUUCUGCAGCAGCCUUUUUGGGUUCAGAUCCCAAAGUUUCUUGAGUGGAUGCUCUGACCUUUAACAAAGGAACUCUCUUUGCUAGAGCUUUUCUGUUCAUCCCUGGCUUUGUUGAAGCAGCAGUGCCGAAUUCUUUCUUCACCACUUUCUUCUUGGAAGUGGCCUCAUCCUCAGCUGCAAUGUAGUCCUCAUCCUCUGAAUCAAAUGUUCUCUUCUUCCUUGUUCUAGUAGCUGCCUUGGGCAAGUUACUAGGUGUGCUCUGGCUACCCUCAUCAUAGAUGCUGGAGGGACUAGUGCCCUCACUCAACUGAACCUGUUCCUCUGACUUGUUUUGACUAUCACUUCGAUCAGACAUCUUCAGACAAACAACUGUCAGCAGACCCUGUGAAUAGGUUGUAGAUGAGGUAGAGUAGAUGAGCAUCACAAAGUACAGAGGUUUUUGCAAAACAAUUGACUCAAAACUUAGUUUUAGUUUUCCACAGAAAGCAUUUCGGAGCUACCGAUUUGUAAACUCGGUGAUACCGAAGCAGCUUUUGGAACCUAAACUAGUGAACUCGGUCAGACCGAGUCACAGUUCGGUGGCACCGAGACUGCUAGGGUUUCACAAAGAAUCGAACUCGGUCACACCGAUUUGCAAUUAUCGGUCAGACCGAAAAUCACAUGUGUAAUGGCCUAAGCCAAAUCGGUGAGACUGAUUUCAACAACUCGGUCGGUCCGAGAUGAGUUCGGCGGAAACCUAAACCUAAAUUUUCAAAUCAAAUCUAACCUACUGGAUGUUUUAGCUGGACGGGAUGAUUUCAUACUUGGCAAGAAUCAUGGCAAUGCAAUGUGCUACGAAUUAGAGUUAAAGAAUAGCACAAAGUGUCAAGUUGAUACCCUAACUCGGGGGUGAACUUGCUACGACGGCAAUGGCAGGGCAGAUUGCCAUUGACAGCGGUGGAGACUAGCAACGGGAGGUCGCUGGCAGCGAGAAGACAAUCCGGGGACCCGGAGAGGCAGAGCAGGUUACACGUGGGUGAGAGGUUUCGGAAUUUUUUCCAAAAUUUGACCCGUCGGUAUAUAUAACCUGACCCUGUCGGUGUGACCGAGUGGAACAACUCGGUGGCACUGAGAUGCAAAACUGCGAGCAAUUACUGCAAUUCGGUGUGACCGAAAGGUUCUAAUCGGUUGCACCGAGAUGAAAACCUAGAUCAACUUAGUGAACUUGGUGUGACCGAAAUGGAUUUCUCGGUCAGAUCGAAAUGCACAAAGAGGUUUUGGAAGUUUAAGUCUAUGACAAAUCGGGGACUCUGAGUGCUCCUCACAUAGAGUGGUUUGAAUCUGACUUGAUCAAACUUUGUGAUGUAGCAUGAAUAGAUUUUGAGAUGAGAAAAGCAUAAAUAGCUAGAGAAGGUUCUUAGGCAUUCUUGUUCAUCCACUUGGUCAAAAGAAAAGGAAGCCAAUCAUACAAAACAACAAGUGGAUGUCCUCGAAUGAGUAAAAUAUGCAAACGACAUGCUCACACAAUAAAAUGGCAAAUGAAAUAUGUGACAAAACAUGCACAACCAAUUCUAGCAUCUAUCAGACAAUUGGCGAUGACUAGGUCAUCUAUAUAUGAGUAUAUUGACUUAGGAGUCAAAUGAGAACAUUUGAUCAUAGGUCAUACUCAUCGUUUAAGCACAAGUGGGGUUACCACUUUUACAUAAAGCAUUGUUGUGUUCACACCAUUAGAGUUGCUCUAGCUCAAUUCUUUAGAGUAACGCUCCCCUAGAUGUGAUAUCCCCCCUAAGAGGGAUGAACUAACCUUGGGUUUUGUCGAUGGUGACUUCAUGUAGGUGUUGAACAUGUGGAUGCUCAAUAUUGAUGUAGAUCAUUCGGAGCAAUCCAUUGGAGUGAGUUGCACUUUCAAUACCUACACGGGUUAGUCCCGCAAGGAACAAGCAAGGGUAUCCAUACACAUAGAGUGAUGCACACACAAGAUGAUGUCCAUGAAAGCAUUAUGUUACCUUGUUCCUCGUCUUACCAACAAGAGGGUUUGUGCUCCUUGGAUUAGUGCAAGAUAUGGAAGUUGUUUGCACUUGUCCUUGCCUUUUUGCUUGUGGUCUUGUGGUGGAAGAUCAUCUUGAGCUUGUGUUCCUUUGAAAGAAGUAGGAUCGUACUUCUCUUGUUGAGGAACAAACUUCGUCUUGGGGUAUUGAUAUUCUUCCCACUCAAAUCCAUUGGCAUUGAACUUUCGUUCAAAACCAACAACUUGAUUCUUCCGGUGCCUUCCUUGCUUGCGUACAAUCUCCUCAAAUUGCUUACUUCCGGCAAGUCUCUUGUAAACACCUUUCUCUAUAAUUCCCUUCAAUAAGCUAUUUUCUUGCUCAAGUGUAACUUGGCUAAGAGAAUCAUUAGUGGAAUCAAGAGAACUACUAGAAGCAACAAUAUUGGAUUUAGCAUGAUUAUUGUUACUACUAGAAGAAGAAUCUUUCUUGUUCUUGUUACUAGACUUGACUUGUGGCAUGUAAGUAGAUAAGAGUAAACGCUUGGCAAUGUAAGAAGAACUUUUCUUGCGAAGAUCAUCAUUGAUUGCCUUUAAAAACUCAUGCUCUUGCUCAAGGUUGAGCUUUUCAAAGCGUAACUUCUCAUGAGUCUUUAAAAGUUCUCGAUGAUCUUCCAAGAUAGUUUCAUGAGCUAACUUAAGAGUGUUUAGUUCUUUAGUUAGGCGCUCAAUCUUCUCCUUAUCAUUGACAUUCGUUUUAUCUUGAUUAGCAUGAUUAAUUGACGUUUCAUCAUAGUAUUCAUCACUAGAGUUGUCAACAAGUAAAUCAUCAUCACCUAACAAGUCAUCUUCAUCACUAUUGAAAUCAACAUACUCGGGUUGUGAUACCUUUGGGCCUUUAGCCAUGAAGCAUCUUCCAAUUCCUUCGUUUGGCGAGUCAAACAUGUUGUAGGAGUUGGUUGACACAAGUGCUAGACCGGCAACACCUUCAUCUUGAGUAUAUUUGGAGUCGGAGUGAUAGCUUAUCUCGGAGUGAUGGUCGGAGUCGGAGCCGGAUACCCAUUCACCAACAUGAGCUUGAUGUCUUCGUUUUGUGUAGCUCUUUGAUGAUUUGCCCUUCCUUUCCGAAUCCUUGCUUCUCUGGGAUGUUCUUCGUUCAUAACGAUCAUCUCUACUCUUCCUCUCUCUUGGUGGUGAUUCUUCUCUUCUACUUCUUCUUUUUGGAGAAUCUUCUCUUCUUUUGUAGGGAGUCGUACACUCAUUGGAAUAGUGUCCAGGUCUUCCGCAAUUGUAGCCAUUACGCUCACAACUAGAAGAUCUCUUGUCAUUGUAGGACCUUGACUUGGAACUUCUUUCCUUGCUUCUACUCUUGUAGAACUUGUUGAAGUUCUUCACCAUUAGGCUCAAUUCUUCAUUGAAGGUUUGUUUCUCACUUGAUGAUGCGGGAGCUUCACAUGAGGCUUUGUAAGCACCACUUGACUUGUUGUGGAGCUCUUCCUUAUCCUUGAGUGACAUCUCAUGAGCAACAAUUCUUCCAAUGACUUUCGUUGGCUUGAGAUCUUUGUAAUUGGGCAUCAUUUGGAUCAAUGUGCACAUGAUAUCAUAUUUUCCAUCCAAGGCUCUUAGGAUCUUCUUGAUGAUGAACUUAUCGGUCAUCUCUUCACUUCCUAAGCCGGCAAUCUCAUUUGUGAUGAGAGCAAGCCUAGAGUACAUUUCAGCGACACCUUCACCAUCCUUCCUUUUGAACUUGUCAAGUUGACUUUGAAGCACAUCCAAUUUGGAUUCCUUGACGGAGUCGGUACCUUCGUGCAUGUCAAUCAAAGUAUCCUAGAUUUCCUUUGCAUUCUCAAGACGGCUUAUUUUGUUGAAUUCUUCAGGGCAUAAUCCGUUAAAGAGAAUAUCAUAAGCUUGAGCAUUGUAUUGCAGCAUCUUCAACUCUUCCGCGGUAGCUUCACGGUUCGGUUCUCUCCCAUCAAAGAAUUCACCUUGCAAGCCAAUAUACGCAAUAUCCCAAACGGCGGGGAUAUGUCCAAGACUAUACAUUUUCAUCUUAUGCUUCCAACUAGGAAAAUUUGUACCAUCAAAGUAAGGACCUCUACGGUGAUAAUUUCCCUUGCUAGACGCCAUACUCUCCUAGAUUGUGAGACCAAGGCUAUGACCCCCAAAAGCUAUGGAAAUCAAAGCAAAUGGAGACCACAGCUCUGAUACCAAUUGUAGGAUUGAAAGUAUGUCUAGAGGGGGGUGAUUAGACUACUUGACCAAAUAAAAAUCUAGCCUUUCCCCAAUUUUAGUUCUUGGCAGAUUUUAACAACUUAGCACAAGUCAAGCAAUCUUAACACAAUUCAAGCAAGCAUGCAAUGAGUAUAUAAGCAGUGGAAAGUAAAGCAUGCAACUUGCAAGAAUGUAAAGGGAGGGGUUUGGAGAGUGCAAACGCAAUAGGAGACACGGAUGUUUUUGUCGUGGUUCCGAUAGGUGGUGCAAUCGUACAUCCACGUUGAUGGAGACUUCAACCAACGAAGGGUAACGGCUGCGCGAGUCCACGGAGGGAUCCACCCACGAAGGGUCCACAAAGAAGCAACCUUGUCUAUCCCACCAUGGCUGUCGCCCACGAAGGACUUGCCUCACUAGGGUAGAUCUUCACGAAGUAGGCGAUCUCCUUGCCCUUACAAAAUCCUUGGUUCAACUCCACAAUCUUGACGGAGGCUCCCAAGUGACACCUAACCAAUCUAGGAGACACCACUCUCCAAAAGGUACUUGAUGGUGUGUUGAUGAUGAACUCCUUGCUCUUGUGCUUCAAAUGAUAGUCUCCCCAACACUCAACUCUCUCUCACAGGAUAUGGAUUUGGUGGAAAGAAGAUUUGGGUGGAAAGCAACUUGGGGAAGGCUAGAGAUCAAGAUUUAUGUGGUAGGAAUGGAAUAUCUUGAUCUCAACACAAGUGUAGGUGGUUCUCUCUCAAAAAAUGUAUGUUGGAAGUGUAGGCAUAUUCUGAUGGCUCUCUCCACGAAUGAAGAGUGGGUGGAGGGGUAUAUAUAGCCUCCACACAAAAUCUAACCGUUACACACAACUUACCAAACUCGGUGGGACUGAAUCAUGAAACUCGGUCAGACCGAUUUAGUUCAUAAUGUGACCGUUAGGUAUUUCGGUGGGACCGACAUGUAAACUCGGUGGGACCGAUAUCAUUAGGGUUAGGGCAUAACAUAAUCUCGGUGAGACCGAUUACACAAACUCGGUGAGACCAAUUUUGGUAAUAAGCUAACCAGAGAGUUGGUCAGGUAAACCCGGUGGGACCGAUUCGCUCAUCUCAGUUGGACCGAAAUGUUACGAAAGCGAAACAGAGAGUUUGCAUUGCAAUAUCGGUGGGACUGAUCACUCAUCUCAGUUUGACCGAAAUGUUAUGAAGGGAAACAGAGAGAUUACAAUCCCAUCUCGGUGAGACCGAGAUCCCUAUCGGUGAGACCGAAAGGAUUAGGGUUUCUGGCAAUGGCUUUGUCAACUGAACUCGGUGGCGCCGGAUAGAAAGUUUCUGUGGGGCCGAGUUUGACUUUUGGUUUGGGACAUAUGUGGAUGUGAGAAAGUAGUUGAGGGCUUUGGAGCAUAUCACUAAGCACUUUGAGCAAGUAAGCCAUUAAGCAACACCUCAUCCCCUCUUAAUAGUAUUGGCUUUCCUAUGGACUCAAUGUGAUCUUGGAUCACUAAAAGUAAAAUGUAGAGUCUUGUGCUUGAGCUUGAGCCAAUCCUUUUGUCCUUAUCAUUUUGAUGGUUCCACGUUUCUCAUCCAUGCCAUGCCAAACAUUGAGCUUUCCUGAAAUAUUUAUCUUGAAAUAGCAUUAGCUCAAUGAGCUAUAUGUUGUUAGGAAUUACCAAAACCACCCAGGGAUAGUUGCACUUUCAGUUACAAAAGCAGGCUAUGCAUCAGAAUAGGAGCAAUCAAAUACAGUAGAAAAAUCUAAUGCAAGCAUGAGAGAAUAGAAUGGGCGAUAUCGGAAUGAUCAAAGGGGGGGCUUACCUGGAAGCUCUGCUGAAAGGGAAGAGGGUCGUCGGUGACGUAGUCGAUCACAGGGGCAUCAGUAGCGGUCUCGAGGUCUACCGGAGAGAAGAGGGGGAAGAAACAGUAAAUACACGCAAACAUAUACAUAACAUGAUUAUAAGCGGGGCUAGAGGUGUUCGAACGCGAUGCUAGGCAAUACUGGCGAAGGGGGAAAACAUUCAGGAAAGUCUUCCCGGUUCCGGACGUCUGUCAAACAGAUGAACCGGAGGGGAAAAGUUCAACGUUUGCUAUGCUAGGGACGUGUGGCGGACGAACGGACCGCGUGUUCAGAUUCGUCUCGCCGUUCUGAGCAACUUUCAUGUACAAAGCAUAAUCAUCCAAGUUACGGAUUAAUUUAACUUAUUUAUCAAAGUUAUAAAUGAUUUUCUAAUAUUAUUAUUACAAUAGCAUGAUGUGAGCAUGACAUCAGCAGCCAAUAGGGCGUUGACUGGGUCAAACUGACAUGUGGGGUCAUUCUGUCAUAGACCUAACUAAUUAACAGAUUUAAUUAACUAAGUUUGGUUGAUUAGGUUAACUAACCUGAUUAAUUAAGUUAAUUAAUUAAUGUUUUUAACUAUUAUUAUAUUUAUAUUUUCAUUUCUUUUAGAAAAAACAGGGGGCUGGGCCCCGUGUGGCAGUGGCCCAGUCGGACCACACACGCACGCACACAUACACAGUCGUGGUCGUGGCCAUGGUUGGCGGCAGCGGCAGGCCAUGGCAAGGGAUGGCGUCGGCGCCUGCGUGGCUGCUGGGUGGUGGCCGGCGCGGCAGGAGCUCCGACGGGCGCGCACACGGGAGGAGGUGCUGCAGGGGGCGGCAAUGGCGAGCGAGGCAAGCGGCGGCUUGGGCGGAGCAGAUCCACAGUAGGGGCCGGGCGGCAGCGGCCACGCACGGCCAUGGGCGCGUGCGGGGGCGAGGGUGCGGGGUCGCGGUGCGGUCAUGGCGCGGCUAGCAUGCGCUCGCCGCGGGAGCGGGUGCAGGUCGAAGAGAAGAGGGAGGAGGCCGGGGGCCUCACCGGCGAUGGAAGGAAGCGAGGGCGGCGAGGUCCGUUGGCGGCCGUUGAGGAGGAUGACAGGGACGGCCCGGCGACAGGGUCAGGGAGGCGUGGGGCGUCGGGGCAGGCAAACCGAGGCGGCACCGGGCAGCGGCGUCGAGGCGGCUCUGGCGAGCGUCGAUGGGGUACAGGAGGGCACGGUCGGAGCAACCCAGCGCCGGGAUUGUCCUCUGUCGGGCGGCGGGUGGCGGCGGGAGCUCGGCGGGUCGAGCCCCGAUCUGGAUCGAGGGGGAGGGAGAGCGAGCGACGUGGGGAGAGUGGGGGAGAUUGAGGGGAGUGGGGGAAAAGUGGAUUGGGGGCUAGGGUUUCGGGCGGUGGCCUAAUAGGCCAGGGGCAUGCAGGUGGGCCGGAUGGUGGCCAGCUGGGCCGAGAGGCCCAUGGGAGGGGUUUGUCUCGCCUUUUUCUUAUUUUGUUUUGUUUUUCUUUUAAAAACAUUUCUGUUUUCUUUUAUUUUAAGGCACUUAAACAAUUUGCAAAAAGAUGAUUUCUCCACCAGUAUUUUCUAUGAACUAUUUUUCAUAGUCUGAACACUUUAGUUUUACAUUUUGAAAACUUUAAAUUUUGACUUUGUUUUAAAACUGAAUUUGAACCGGUUUCAAACCAACGCGAGUUGAACAACAGUAAUCAUGGUUAUGUUUCAUCUGAACAGGAGAUCACUGUAGCUUAAUUAUCUGGGCGUCACAAAAAGUAUCAUCAUUAACCCAUCAUCAUAAUUAAUUAAAGUAACGUGAUGAGAUCAAACCAAUAAUUCAAGUACCAGAUACUCAAGAUGUCCAUAACCAGGGACACGGCUAACCAUGGUUAGUUUGUACACUCUGCAGAGGUUUGCGCACUUUUCCCCGCAAGACUCGACCACAUCCAUGAUCAGAUGAUCGAGACAUAGCCUUUCUGUAGCAUUAACUCUCUAAUCCGGGUAGACAGUACCACCUACAUCCCUCUACAUCUGCUAGUCUACCUCUGCAAGAGUUCACGCAACUUACUCAACUAUGCCAGAGCCCAUAAUGGCUUGUGGUUGCACACGGAAGUUUCUAGCAUGAAUAAUCUUAUGAUCCCUUUGAGCCUGGGUGGCAUUCCAUAGGAUAAUCACACGGUAACCUCGGGAUUUCCAAAAACAGGCAAAACUGGGUUCCCCAGGUGCCUCAACCAAUCCACUCAGAUGUGUAUUAAAGUUGCCGCCUUAAUAUUAUCCAUGAUUAAAAUAACUCUCAAACUUCCAUGUGUGAAUCACGAUCCAAUCCCCGUGUACGAGCAUGGCUAAGCAAUAAAAGCAAUACGUAUAUUCCUGGGGUGAUCAAAAGGUAUUAGGUUCCUACCUCAAACACUACAACCAAAACCACAAGUUCCCAAUCCUAAUCAUGCAAAUAUUUGAGGAGCAAAACUAAUGCAUAGUAAAAACUGGGUAUGAAAGAGUAUGAUCAAAGUAUAACUUGCCUUGCUAAUGAUCUGCAAACUCUAGAGAUUUGUAGUAACAAGCUUCGCACUUCGGGUAUUUUAGCACAAACAAACAAUAGCAUACAUAAGCAAUCACUCAAUCGAAACACGAGAAAAACCGAGAAAAGAUCCAAAUCGAACAUGAAAUAAGCAAAUGGCUUAAACUAACAAGAUUCAAAACCUAACAGCAAUAUUAACACGUGAAAUAGAUCUUAAUAGUAGGUACAUGUGAUUAGCUAUGAUUUGCAAAAAGAUUUAACUCAAACGGAGCAACGAAACUCAAAAUAUGAACGGAACAAGUUCGUUUACUAAUUUGUACUAAAGUCAAAUUUUACAGUAGCAAAAUCAUGUUCAAGUUGGUUAACUGGAAAUAGGGGUUCGAGAUGAAUAUUUUGGCGCUAGUUUCAUCUAAAUUGGAUAAAUGAGUAAAAAGUUAUACUAGUUUAAAGAUCAGGGGCUAAAUUGCGAUAAAAGUAAUCACAGAUAAGUCCCUGGCCGAAAAUAAACUAAAAAGAAAAAGACUAACGAACGAACGGUCGCUGUCUGAACUAAUCUGAUGAAUAACGUUUGUUAAAACGAACGAACAGAUGAACGUCCGCUAAUAAAAUAAACCGAUGAAAAACCGAUCUAAAACAGAACUGCAAAAACCUAAAAAAAUGGGCGGGGCAUCGGCUUUUACCGGUUAACCGGGCGAACCAGUCGGCGGCGGCGGGGCUCCGAUCUACGGCGGCGUCAAGCGGUGGCGGCGGUGCGGGGCUAGGGUAGUGGUGCAAGGCGGCAGCGGGGUUCGGUGGUUGCGGCGAGACGAGGAGAAGGCGACGGCCUCGGGCGGCUAUAAAAAGGGGCCGGGGGGCUUCCUUGGGCGAGGGGCCGGAGGAGUCCGGCGUCAGCACACACGUCGGGGUCGGUGCGACGGUGACGCGUGCGGGCGAUGGAGACCGACACCCGGUCGGGGGCGGUGCGGCGCUGGGCUGGGCUUGGCCCGCUCGGCUGGGCCGUUGGCCUAGUCCGGCGACGGGGAAUUUUUUUUAAAAUAAUUUUUGCCCGAAGAAACAAAUUUCCUAAUAAAAUAUAAAAAAUUCUAAAAAUGACAAAAACAAUUUUCACCGUCUAAAUAGAAUAUUUAGAACAAAGUGAACAUUUUUUCUGGCCUAAAAAUGCAUUUUUCAAAAAUGCAUAUUUUUCUAAUUCAAAUAAAAUACGAGAAAAUUUAUAAUUUGAUUUUAAAAUUCUUUCUCCAAUAUUUCUCUUAAUUUGAAGAUGUCAUAUUAUCUUCUCUCAUUUAUUUUAAUAUUUGAAAUAAUUAGAGAGAAAACUAUUUAAAAUUAAAUUGAUCCUAUCUUCAAAUUUGAAAUAAAUUCAAAUAUGAUGAUUUUGUGAAACCUCCAACUCUCUCCUUGGGUCCUUGAGUUGCUUAAGAUUUCUAGGAUCCCAAUCAAAUGCAAGAAUAAAUAUGAUAUGCAUAUGAUGAUCUAAGUAUAACAUCCAAAUUGAAAAUUGGGAUGUUACAGUUCUCUCUAACCGAGAUGGGGAAUAAUGGAUCACGAAGACUUCCUUUCUACAGUAUCCCUAUGCCUCUACGCUCACUUCACUCAUUUUGCUCCGUACGUAGUCACUUGUUGAAAUCUCUAGAAAGACAAAUACUCCGUAUUUGGAAACAGAGGGAGGCUUUUACUCCGUAUUUGGGAACAAAGGGAGUAUCACCAUAUGGAGGGAAGCUUGAAAUAUGAACAUGUCAAUGGGAGGGAGUAAGCCCCAUGCAUGCAUGCAUGCAUGCAACAUGCAACACCCACAUGUACACAUGGACGCACGCAACACUCACGCACCCAUGCGACAUACAGCACACGAUGCAACACACACGCUCACGCUCAAGUGCUCAACCUACUCCCUACGUCCGUGAAAGACUGUACAUUUAGAGAUUUACACAUUGACUAGGGCAUAAUUAACGCCCAAAAGUAGCAGACUUAUGUGUGCAUGCGACAAUUGAGAGAAGAAGAUUAAAUGAAGGUCAUUGCAUGCUGUAAUUAAGGAUGCACAUGUAACCUAUACCUAGAGCACAAGUUGGUGCAUUAGUCAAUUAAUAUCGAUUUAGAUUAAAGGCUAAAUGCAUUGGAAGUGUAGAUGUACUACACUCUUUGUCUUUUAGCCGAUGUACACUCUUUGUUGGAAGACCGAGAGAGCACACGUGCAUGCAAUCACAUACACAGCCAGGGUGGUUCGCGCUCAAGGGUUGGACUCUUGUCAUGCCUGCGUAAAGUUCUGUUUAACUGAUUUCUUUGCUCUGCCAACUGACAGGUGGGACCCAAAAACCAGGUGACAAAUUAACCAGUCAACAAAGUGCCACGUCGACUAUGUGGCGAGUCAAUAGGGUGCAAUACGGUGCUCUAUGAUGAGCUAGUGAUUGUAUAAUCACCGCAAAACUAUAUAUAGUGACCGUAAAGAGCGUAUUGUUACAUAUGUUGACCGCCAGUGUAUUUUUCUCAUUUCAAAUUGAGCCAUAUUAACCAGAAAGGACGCAGUAUGGACUAGUACUAGUACUGCUUUGAUGUGUCCCGUCAACUCGCCGAACAGGGAGAAGCUUGCUUGCUACGCCUCUUCCUCGCCCACACGCACGGUGGCUCACAGGACGAGGAGAGGGUUUUAACUACGAAGCCCUCUCCCUCUCCCUCUCCCUCGCCCUCGCCCUCACGGUGGACGUGCAAAAGUUCAAUCGGUGUCAGAUUGCCAGAAGCAUAUUGUACUGUAGUAUCAUCAUUGUUGGACCUUCCGAAGAGGCGAAGAGCCAAGUGCAAGGUUCACACGAGUAUGAACUGUUGAACCUCCCGAAGAGGCAAAGGGCAAAGUGCAAGGUUUUAUAGGAGUUGUCGUCCUAGUAGGAGUGUACUACAAUUAUAGUGAACGAUGCUACUGUAUGAUGCCACCAUGUCACCUAUAUCCGAAGCUAUGCCACCUUUUUUCUCAAAGAGCAUGUUGGAGCCCGUGCAACAACCACACAAGUUGCACAUACACAUAACACAUUUACUAGUGAUAAAUUCUAAAGGACAAAUGCCAGUAUGCCACACAAGUUGAUCUCCAAUUCAUGUGAUAAAUUUGUGCACGAGUAGUCUACAUAUAUUCACAGUGCUACCAUUCACAAUUUAACGUACUCCACUUACACGUUAUAGAUGGGCUACAUGUCCUCCUCCAAGUUCCAGUCCCAGGUGUUCUUCAUGGAUGGCACGAUCCAUAGCGGUGGGCAACGGGAAUCAUUGUCGCAGCUUUCUAGUCCGGUUCCACACAAUGGAGACUCAUCCAAGCUGAAGUGGCAUAAAUCAGAGAUAGCGUGUCCCAGCAUGUCGUUCAUUCGGCGGUGUGCACUAAAGACACAAGCAUGCUUCAUGAACGGUAGGCCUUUCGUGUCAUGCAUGGCAGGUGGCAUCCGCUUCACAAUGGGGUAGUUGUCCCCAAUGAAAAGCGAGUACUCUCCAAGAGUGUUCCUCGGCACCCAUGUAGCAUCACGGGGGGUCAAACUCGGCGCCGUUCAUCUGGUACACGCGGCAUCUAAGAUCUGGACAAAUGUUGACGUACAUAGUCAAGGUCCAUGCAUAAUAAUGUUGUGCUCAAAUAUGGCGGUCAGUAAUACUAGGCAGCAAAUAGUACUACUCCGGUAUAGAGGAAGUAAAAUAACCGACUUAUUAUAUAUAGCCACUCUUGGCUACAUGGAUGAGAUAGUAAGACAUGGAAAAACAAAAAUGGUGGUAGCUGGUGGGUUCAAGUCUUCAAGGGCCUAGCUAGCUAUAUGCGAAGCCCUCAAAAAAAGCUAGCUAUACGCGUCCUCCGAGGUAAAAAGUACUCCUACUAGUACUAGUAAGUAGUACAACAAUGAAAGAGAAGGCAAGAGGGUUAAAAAAAUGGAAUACCUGGGUAGAUGUUAACGGUCCGAUCGUGGUAGAUUGUGUGACCAUGUUGCACAUGAGUGGUACCAUGGGUAACGACUGCUAAGAUAGUUGAUCCCAAUAUGCCAAAGUCAGCUACAAGGUUCCAGGUUAGACCGAAUCACAGAUGCAAAUGCACAUCUAGGAUCGGCGAUCUUAUUUUGAUCAGGGGAUGACUGGUCCCUGCAAAAUAAUGGAGUACCGUUAGGGAUGCAAAUGAUGGUUUGUGCAUUCCGUUUGUAAUCUCCCGUACCGUAGGAUGGCAACCAGAUGAAACAAGUCCCCUGGCUUGUCACCGCGAAGAUGCGGCCUAGAUGGCGCAUGAUGUCUUCGAACGUGUAGGGGUACAAAUCUGUCGCCGCCAACAUGCGCCAGCCUCUGCCGUUACUGCCUCUUGCAUUGAUGGCAAUCCUUAUGUCGAACACCACAAUGAGAUAGUAAUCGCCAUAGCCUCGUCAUUUUGUCGAUGGGUCUGCAAUUGCUAUCUUCUUUAAUCUCAUGUAGGCAUCAUCAUACGUAUUCAAGCCCAGCCAGUCCGGAAGGCCGAUCCCAAUGGUGGAGAAGGGGUCUACGGGAACGGCCGCACUGAUGUGGAUGUUGUGCAAAAUGAUGGUGGUAUCCAGCCGGAGGUAUGAAAUCCAAUCUUCGCUGGCACCGACCCAGACCUAUAUAUAAGAUAGUGGGCAGCAGAGAAAUUACAAGAUGGAAACUAAGUACUACAUGAUCAAACUCCAUUACUGACCUGCUCAUCGGACAAAAUCCGACUACCUCUCAACGUCGGCAACUCUAGCGGAGUCAAUGUGCAACCAUGGCCAGGGAGCGGUGGACUGUUCAAAGGAUUGUCCCAUAGAAGAACCUUCUCCUCGAGGACACAUGGAAGACCAACAAGCAUGGCCUUUUCCAAAGCAUGUUUGAGCACCAUCUUGAAAAAGUUAGUGCAGGAAGCACCAAGUCUUGCGACGGUGAGGACGUCGGAGCGGCGUGCGACUUCUCCCAGAGGAUCAUCAUCCAAGGUCUCCCAGCCCCGACGAGGAGGAGAACCGCCUGUCGAAUCCAUGGGAGCAGCGAUGAACUGCCUCCUCUUCGGGGCGAGGGGAACUGGCAAGGAGGAGAUAAGAGCGUAGUAACCGUAGGGUCUCGUCCCUUCCAACUAUAGAUCGUUCCUUAGCGAAGGGGUGAGCCUAUUAUUUACUACUAGUACUAGCAUUAUGGGACGUUAUGGGAUUGCAUUAUACUAUAAAUAAUAGCACUAGUAAGAAAUUUUUGGCACUAGGUAGUAGUUUUUGGCAUGGAUUAAGAAUUUUUGGGUAUGUUUUUGAUAUUUUUUGUACACGCCAACUAGUGUCAAAAAACGUCUUACAUUAUGUGACAGAGGAGUACGUACUCGUACUAUAGCAGUACUAGUACUACUUUCUUAACUAGUAGUGCGAUGUACUGUACUUCUAGUAUAGUGCACCAGUUUUGAACUCUUGAAUCUCAGGGCCAAGGAGCUACAGUUGGAAGUGGAGGGUACUACUGUUCUCUAGAACCAUCAGUGUACUAUCAAUGCAGGGAAAGUACACCUGCGUAGUGGCCUAGUGGGUACUCUCGAUGCUCUAUUCAGCCGCUCCUCUCACAUAGUUGGCCUACUCAGCCGCUCCUCUCACGCACACACUAGCAUCCUGUUUAUCAGCGAUGGUUACUGCGGGGGUAGAACAUUUGAGUUAUUUGAUACAGCGAGACUAGGCUUUUCGCUUCCAUUUGUGGAGGUGUAAUGGAUCUCGUCGAACUUUGUUAGUAGUUCCAUCUUUAUGAAUGAGAUGAGGCAAAGCUUUUGCCUCCGUUUCGAAAGUAACACGUCAAGAGGAAUUUCUUUUAUAGAGCCGAUAAUGGAGUGAAGUCCAUGCAUGCAAUGCCACAAGCUAUAGAGUAGUAGUAGAGCACUUUACGUACAGAGCCAUAUUGCACAGUUCCCAAUGCCCCGCCAGGCUUUUCUGGCUCCUUGGGCUUAAUUGGGAGGCGCUAAUUUAAAUAUCCUACUAGCUGAUGAGGAAGCUGCAAGCGAGGUGCGGCUAGGGCGAGCACGCGAGUCACGAGAUGCUGGGAAGGAAAACCCGUUCACGUGGCUAGGCUAUCCAGUGCACCCAGAUUAUGGUGCCGCACAUCCGUUUGACUUCAAAACUCAAACUACAUGUGUAAAAUAUUGGCUCGUAGCGAAGUUACUAUUUUAAAAAAAGGUCGCCGUGCGUUUGGUCGGGAUCGAACCCACAAAACGAGGUAUACACUCCCACGACCACUACUAGUACUCGUUGGAGUACAAUGCAACCUAGAAUUGCCUUUUGUCGCUUGUAGUACAUUGUUCCUUACAAGAAACCCCUAAUAAUACAAGAAACCACUAAUAAUGCCAAGAAACUACUACCACCUGCAUACGUGGCAGACUUAAGAUAAGACUACCUUAUCAACCAUUGUACAUGCCCUUACCAACCAGCCCUACCAAGAAACGAUUACUCUACAAAGUGUCGUUAUAUGCACGUUUCAACCCAUGUUGCCCAUUAAGUCAACGCCUUCUAUUCGACCGGGCGUUAUGACUUAUGGGACCUACAUGUCAGUCUGCACAAAAAUCCCCGAGUGACCUCCUACCUCCGGCCCGUCCACCUAGUCAUCCUCGGCCAUGGGAUGCAGCUACCGCCGCCAGCAGAAAGCGAGGUCAAAACCACCGGCGGUGCGGAGCCCAUCUUGCGGCAGCUCGGAUGCCAGCUCCGCCCGGCGCUCGCGGUCGCUAGCUAGCCAAGAUAGCUCCGUCCAGCUGUUUGUCUGUAAGGUUUGCUAGCUAGAUUGGCAUGGCGGCGCGGCGGCUUGCUCAUGCGCACCGUGCUAAGGCCAGCCAUCUGGCUCGAGCGAAGGCCAGCACGGCGGCUUGCUCGCUCGUGUGUCACGCUCGGGCUAGCCUGCCAACCCGUGCGGAGGCCAGCAUGGCGUCCGGCCCGUCCGGCGGAGCGGCGGCCAACUCGCUCAUCACUGGCACCACCGACGAACACGCAUCAGUAUUGUUUGAAGUAAUGUUCAGGAAAAAUAAUGAUUUGAGGGGGAAUAACAGGAUAGAAGGUCAGAUGUGGGUCCCUCGUGUAAACGGUCAAACAAAAUGUGUUGGUUUAAGCCGCCUCGUCAGCACAGGCGUGUGGGCCAACCCUGUCAUAAAUGGGUUUAAACGAGCCUAAUCGGUACUAGGUAGUAGUUUUUGGCGUGGAUUAAGAAAUUUUGGGUAUGUUUUUGCUAUUUUUUGUAUAAUAGAUUCUUCCUAGGGUUGGUUGAAAGUGGUAGUUUUUUGUUAAAUACUCUACAUACUGUAAGUAGGAGUGAAAGUUAAGCUUUGGAAGCCAAUAAGCAAGGCUAGUUACAUAGUGCAUAUGUGUACAUGAUUGAAAGUAAAUAUCAACCAUGAGUGACUAAUAUCUUGAUGGAAAACUCGAAACUAUGGAAAUACUAGGAUUUUUUUUGCAUGGUUGGAAAUACUAGCAAUGUUCAUGUGUGUUGCAAUGGAUCAUAAUUAGAAUAAUACUUAUUCACAAACUUGAUACAAAACACUCUAAUUUUUAUAUACAUAUAUCACUAGAGAUAUAUUAUGUUUCAAUUAGAAUAUAUUCCUUGGGCUGUUUUAGUGAGGUCAGCGAGGGAUGUGGUUGGUUUUAAGAUACUAAUUAUGGGUUUUUCUGCAAAUUGGUAGACAAGUGGGAUGUUGGUGAGAAAAGGCAACAACUUACCUCACAGUCGUUAGAUGUAGAUCAAAUGGUCAGAAACGACGGAUGGCAGACACACCAUCAUCACCAACUUAGUCUUAUAUAGGAGUACUAGCAAGAUCCGUGCAUUGCACGGAACAUCAAGAUGCAUUUUUUAUAAAACACUUGUUGUGAUUGACCCAUGCGGGAGUAAUCCCAUGUGUAAAAACUAAUGAUAUCUCGAGAAAUAGGAGAUAAGGUGAAGAGGAGUGGGGCGUGGUGGUGAUUGGUGGUCAGACUAAGUGGAGGCAUGGGGAUUAACGACGCCAGCAGCGGCCACUAGGCCAGUUUGUUCCAGAGGCUUCCUUUCUUAAUUGCACAACAAUGAGGUUGUUGGAGAUAAGGAUGAACAAGGGAAGGCCUUGUCUGCAAAUGUGGAGAGGGGUGCGGGUAUCUUUUAGUUUAAUUUCCAUCUGUCAGAUAUAGAUCAGACGGUCUAUAUUGCAAGAUGGACGCGUACCAUCAUCACCAACUCGGUUUUUUAUAAGAGAAGAAAUAUAAGUAUGGAGAUACAAACGUAUUAUUGAUACUUGUUUCCGUAAACUAGCAUCUACAUUCUAUUCAACGCCUCAGCAUGUGGGGCCUUAGCACAAUGACUUCUCGACUGUGUAAAACAAAGGUUUUCCCAUCGCUAAUAAGGAGGGGGUGACGGCGGCGCGCUUUUUGGCUUGCUCUAGUCCUAGUAGUCAUACUAGGUGGUCUAAGCACGUGUAGAUUUAUUCUUUUUCACGUCUCGUGUUCGCCGUACUGCCACGACUGUUGAUGAAUAGACGGUAAGUUAUUCACGGGGAAACCCUUGUUGAGCGUGUUUGUGAGAGAGAGAGAGAGAGAAUGAUAUGUCUAGAGACUGAGGCAAUGAUAACAGAUUCUUUGUGUCUAUGUGUGUGGAGGAUGGAGAGAGACAUGUACAUGGGGCUUUGUGUUGUGUAACGUGGAGACACAUAUACAUAAUUAGAGAGUGAGUGUGUGAGAUACACAUGCGGACAUGGGGAGAGAUGAGGAUCCAGAUAAAUGGGUGUUUGUGCGUGUCUGUGUGUGUUUGUGCGCGUGUUUGUGUGUCGGAGGGAGUGUGUGUAUGUGGAGUAGAGAGACCACUAAUGAUGUAAACCUAGUAUAAGGGAAGGGGGAAUGGUAUGACAUGUGUAGUAGCGGGGUGGCAUGGGUGCGGGCGGGGGGAGUAGACUAUUUGGAAGAGACAUCGAGUGUGUGUGGGAGAGGGGUGUGAGAGCGAGCGAGAGAGAGAGAGAGAGAGAGAGAGAGAGAGAGAGAGAGGAAGAGAGGGGGCGAGACAGGGGUCGUUUGUGUCCAUAAAUGGUGUAUAGAUAGGGAGACAAUGUUGAUGUUGUUUGAAAUUGGCCUAUGUACGGAGAUGCAAGGGAAGCGAGUCAUCGUGUGUGUGAUAGGGACUUCAUGAGAGAUCUAGAAUAGAUGGUGUAGAGAACAAUGUGCGAGAUUGAGAACGAUGAUACAUUAGGGAGCUAUGGAAAGAGUCACGACAUAUAUGUAUACAGGGAAGGAGCUGGGGUGGGUCCUCAUGUGGGAGAGAUAGAAAGAGGAGAGUGGUGCACAAGGAGACAAAGUGUGCUUGUUUGUAGUGGGGGUGGUGUGUGAGGUGAGUGUGCGAGAACCACAUAACUAGGGAGAUAGAUGUUUGGUGGCGACGUUUUGUGUGUAUGGGAAAGAUACACUCUACAUAGUGCGUGUGCUUGGGAAAGAGAGGUGCCGGGAGACCUAGAGAGUGGGGGAAGAGAUGUGUGCAUGCACAAGAGACAAAGUGAUAGAGACCUAUAUUGGGGUCCGGACUUUAGAAGAGAGAAGGGUGUUAAUGUGCUCGUGUGUUGGUGUUUGGGGGAGAGAACGACUUCUUUGUGGGGGGGCGACGAGGGGGGAGGGGGUUGGCUUCAGAUAAAGAGUGAGGUGUCUAUAUUUGAGGGACUUUGGCGUAAUUGAGAUAUACAUGGUCAAUAGUGUGCGCACUCAUGGUUGAUCAAUUUGUUUCACAGUUUGGACUAUGUGAUAACGAUACUUUUGAACAUGCGUGAUAUACCUUGAUGUACCAGAAUUGCAAACCUAAGAUUGGAAUUUUGGAAUUCGACUCCGUCAUUAGCUUUUGUAAUUCAUUUAAAUGGAGGUACAUUUUUUAAGCCGGGAUUUCCUGAUUCAAAUUCAUAUAUCAAACCUAGAGAUAUACGCAUACAGGCAUGUUCAAACUUUAUAAUCAUCCACUUUAUUCAUACACAUACACAUUUUUGCUUUUGUCAUCAUAUUUAGGAUAAACACAUUUGGAAUUUUAUUUGAAUUGGACUGUAUGAUGGUAUUUGCUUGUACUAGCUCAAUGAUCCAUAUUUGAAUUGAAUGGACAAUCUAAGUUUCGAGUUGGAGACAUUGUGUGGCACCCCGGCUUAGAGCAACCAGUUUACCCUGCAUUGCCAGCCCAGAGAUCAAGUCUUCUGGCAAUACACAACAACAUGGUACACAAACAACCACUUUAUUGAUUCUAGCGGAUUACAUAGGUCUGAUAUUACAUCGAGAUUCGAGGCCAAGCGGCACACACGAUACUGUUGGAUAGUAUGUACAUUAUUUAAUGAACAUGAUGGGGCCUCGAUCACACGAGCUACGCGGCAGCGGAAGAACAACGAAGUGGAACUCCAUAGCACAGGGACACCAACAUGAACACGGCCUAGACAUGAGAUGCACUCUGAUGCGAACUGACUUAACUGAAAACCGGCAUAACACACCAGGUUAGUACAUUGAAUGUACUUGCAAGCUCACAACAAACAUAAGCACGAUGACAAACAAUAUCAUGAUAUUUAAUCAGAUUAAAACAAUGCAAAACUACUACCGAAGGUAAACAAACGUUUCAUGCAAUGAGUCCCACGGACUCGCUUAACAGAUGGUUACCUCGUAACCAAACGGUGACCAUACCUGGGUCACACCUGAAACCAAUCACUCAUGAACACCUCAAGUGUUCAUGCUUCGCCACGAACCGAUGCAUCACAACACUCACUUAGUUUACAAGAUUUAUUAGAAAGGUUGAUCCAUGGUGUGACUUACUCCCGAGUUAUGACCAUAACCGAGGACGCGGCUAUCGAUAGAUUAAUUAUACUCUGCAGAGGUAGCGCACUUUACCCACACUAUGGAACACUUGGCCUCGCAUUCCCAUUCGGGUGGACCAAAGCAUUCCGACGAAACCCUCCCUUUGUCAUGCACUCUCCCUGGCCACUCCGACCAACUCCCCAUCAGGCUAGGUCUUGGGUGGCCCCGUGUCUACCAAAGACACCAACGGCCACCAUCGUGGCAAAACGGUCCCAAACGGGGACAAGGUACCAUAAAAACAAAAAUGAGCACACAAGGUUAUGUCUGCCUACCGGGCCAGGGUAUGCACGCCCAUAACCUUCCCUCGCGGGAGGCACCGGUGAGAGCCACAACAAAGGACCGAAUCAAGACCUUCCCAUAAGGUAAAUGUGGUCGCACUGAAUUAAAACCCGAUUCAUUGGCACCAUCAUAUGAUCAACAUCGUAUUCAAGUUGAACUUAAUCAAGUUUAGCUUUGAUAAAAACUUUUUAUCAUCAACAUGAUAUAACCCAAAAAGAAUCAUGCAAGUACUCGUCAUACAAAGAAAAUAACUCAUAUUCAUGGAUCAAACUUAACAAUAUAUGCAUCUUGCAAUUCUUAGAACCAAAACUUUUCUAGUUGUAACUCAUUUUUAUUUAUCAAGCAAUAUUGUUGUUAGUUCUUUAUUUAAAUGAAACUAUCAUUUAAUAAAAUACUAACAUUAAUUUCCAUAGCAAUAUGUAUAGUGCAAAAUCUUACUCUACUUAACCAAACAAGUUCAUGCAUUCAACCAAAAAAUGAAACAAGCAUAUCAAGCAUAAUAAAGUAACUAGCAAUUAACCAAAGUUAUUUAUCAAAUUUUAAUUUCAAAUAACAACUCAUAUUCAAGUAGAAAAGCAUAGAUAUUGAAAUAACACCAUCCAAAUGCUGGUGUGGCUUGCCUUAGUGUAGAGGAGGAUCACACCCCUCUUGGUUUGCUUCAAGACAAGCUUCUCCUUCUGAAAAAGAAUUUAAACAACAAAAAUAUUUGUCAAAACACAUUCUGAAAAUCACCAGAAAUUCUAGGCAGCAAGGAAAAAAUCCACCUUCCGGUGUGCUGCUAGAGCUUUCUGAAACAAAGACAAUGCAAAAAGAAUCAAAUCAUUUAGACUUAUGGUUUAGAAAUGGUGGCUAGUCAAAGUUCAGUCAAAUUUCUGAAUAAUAUUUAAAUUAAAUAGAAAUCUUAGGGGGUGACGUCGAAGGCGUCAAACAGAAAUACGCCUCCACUCGUACUGCUUCAGGCGCGAGUGGUGAGAUCGACAGGUGGGUCACGUGCGUCAGGAGAGAGAGGGGUGCGAUAGAUCAGAGAGAGGCGGGCCUUCGCCGGAGCUCACGCCGGUGACGAGGGGGUUUGGGGCUUGGCUAGAGGGAUAGGAUUGAAGCGGGGCUCAAGGCACACCUUCCCGUACCCGUAGCUUGGCUUGGGGUGGACGGAGCUGCUCGUAGUUGAUCUCGCAAGCUACGGUGGCAGACGGGUUUCGCCGGAGUGGUUGAAUACGAUGGCUAGAGGCGGCUCCGAGGGCUCAGUGGUGUCCAUGCAGCACCAGCAGAUCCCCAAUGCCCCACCCAAGCAGUUGCUUGAGCUCGAGAGGCACCGGAGAGCGGCGACUGGACUGCGGGGAUCGCCGGAGACCUCUGGUCGGGGAAACGGCCAGAGGCCUGCCCGACCGAGCUUCUGCUCGUCUCCGUGUUUGUGGAGGUGGUGUGGAGUGGUGCUUGGCUAGAAAUUGAGGAGGAGAGCACUAUAUUUAGCCAGAGCAAGGGGGGAACGUGUCACCGCCGGAGCUCUCUGGACACGUGGCGAAAAGCAAUGAGAAGCUCCAAGGCGAGGGGGCAAAGGCUCAACGUCAAUGCAGGAGCUUGCCCACACUCGUGGAUGAGCACAGGAGGCGGUUGGGGAAGAGGACAAGCGCACGCGCGCACUAUUGCGUUUUGGCCGCGACGCGCCCGUGCUUGCUGCGGUGGCUCCGGCGUCGGCGAGCGCCAGGGAGCAGUCAAGGGUGAUGGGUCGAGCCUUGUGGCAUGGUGCGGCAGUCGGCGGCAAGCGCUGGAACGAGCACGCGCGAAACAGAGAGCAAGGCGCCAGCCAGAGCGCGUCGAGACGCUGCCAGGUGUCGUGUCCACGCGCGGUCACCAAGAUGGCAUGGUCAAAACGACGCCCAGGAGCGGCCAAACCUUGUCUACGCGCUCGACCGUGAAGCGUUUAGUCUAGGAGAGGUGAUGGUUCAUGCCCAGGCCAAUCAGACUUGACUCCACUAAGCUGACAAGUUUCUGUCCAGAAACUUGGUCGCCAAGUUUGGCCACCUUCUAGAAGGACAUUAGGGCUGAUCUCCUGGGGUUUAGGGCUUCUUAGGAGGGUGUUUAAGCUCAAGAAUGAUCAAGGUAAAUCUCAAGAAAAAUUGUACUUGUUGUACAAACUGGAGUUUUGGGUCAGAAUAGAAAUGAUUUUCUACAGCAAAAUAUUCCAAAAAGUGGUGCAAUAUUUUUGCAUGGGAAGGUGUGCUAAGGUGCUAAGAAUAUUUAGGAAUUACUCCCUCCGUAAACUAAUAUAAGAGCGUUUAGAAUACUAAAGUAGUGAUCUAAACGCUCUUAUAUUAGUUUACAGAGGGAGUAUCUCAUAUUUUCCCGAGCAAGAAAAAAUUGAGGUUGCUUUGGAGCACAAGUUUCUGAAGUGAGUUUCAGAGAGAGAAAUGAAUAUUUUUCUUUGAUGAAAAAUAUUCAUUUGAUUAUUUUGAGGAUUGAUCAGAGGAAUAAAGUAGAUAGGCCACUUGGGUGAAAGUCAAGGAUAUGCCCAAGUGACAAGUCCAUUUGAAAUGAUUUAAUCUCCAAUUCAACUCAGGGCAAAACCACGAUAAAAACCAAGUCCGGAAAAGAGAGAGAAGGCAAGUCCAAAAAAAGAGAGAAGGAAAAAUACAGGCUGUCACAAACCUCCCCCACUUAAGAUGAAUCUCGUCCUAGAGAUUCAGUUGCUUGGGAAAACCAUUUUGAGUAUGCAGUCCUUAAAAAUACCUCUCUUUCCCAGGUCGCUUCCUCCUGGGUGUGGUGCUCCCACUGAACCUUGUAAAACCUUAUUUCUUUGUUGCAGGUGACCCUUUCUGUCUGAUCCAAUAUUUUGAUUGGCUUUUCCUCAUAAGUAAAAUCCUUAGCCAAUUCUAUCUCUACCAUAUCAGUCCUUUUCUCCGGUGGCAAGAUACAUCUUGUUAGCUGUGAUACGUGAAACACGUUGUGUACUUCUGACAGUUCUAGUGGCAAUUCCAACUGAUAUGCAACCGUACCAACUCUGGCCACGAUGGGGAAUGGACUGAUAUAUCUGGGUGCCAAUUUUCCGCGAGUCUGGAACCUCUUGACUCCUUUCAUAGGGGUGACUUAGAGAUAUACGUGUUCUCCGGGUUCGAAGCUGAUCUGAUGAUGUUUGGCAUCAUAGUAGCUCUUUUGUCGAGAUUUGGCCAAUUGCAGUCUGUCACGGAUUUCCUUGACUUGCUUCUCCGCUUCAAGCAUUAAAUCAGUCCCGAAAAUGUGGUUGUCUCCGGUUUGAGACCAGUUCAAUGGAGUGCGACACCUUUGGCCAUACAAGGCUUCAUAGGGUGACAUCUUUAAGCUAGCCUGGAAACUGUUGUUGUAGGAAAACUCGGUGUAGGGCAGACAGUCUUCCCACUUGGUCCCUUGGGCCAAUGUACAUGCCCGGAGCAUAUCUUCAAGUAUUUGAUUUACUCGCUCAGUCUGUCCAUCUGUCUGAGGAUGAUAAGCCGUGCUAUAUUUCAAAGCGCUCCCCAAGGCUUGAUGUAGUCGGGACCAAAAUGCGGAGGUGAAGAGGGAUCCCCUGUCGGAGGUGAUCGUCUUGGGUACUCCAUGUAGACUGAUGAUUCUUGACACACACAGCUGUGCGAGUUGAUUUGCACAGUAUGUGAUCCGGAUAGGAAGAAAGUGUGCAAUCUUUGUUAAGGUGUCCACUAUGACCCAUAUUGCGUCGUUUCCUCGAUGAAACCUUGGUAGUCCGGUGAUGAAGUCCAUGCAGAUAUCAUCCCAUUUCCAUUGGGAUACUGGCAGAGGUUGGAGGAGUUCGGCGGGUUUUUGGUGUUCCACCUUUACCUUAUUGCAUACGUUGCAACACGCCACAAAGUAUGCGAUGUCUUUCUUCAUUCCAUCCCACCAAAAUACCUGACGAAGGUCCUCAUACAUUUUGGUACCACCGGGAUGAAUUGAGUGUGGUGCUUCAUGCACUUCUGCCAAUAUCUUCUUCUUCAGACUUUCUUGGUUAGGUACGCAGAGUCUUCCUCGGAACCUUAGCAAACCUUGCUGAUCCAUAGAGAAGUCUGGUGCACGCCCUUGGUGCAUCUUCUGAAUUGACAUCUUAUCAUUCGCUUGAGCACUACAGAUUUCUUCUUCGAGAGCAGGGCGACUUCCAAUAUAUUGGCAAGACGGGCGUCGGUGAUUACCAAAUUGAGCUGCAUGAUUUCUUCAUAAAGCUCAGGAGGCAAGGAAUCCAUUAGAGCAUUAAGGUUGGCUGGUUUGCGGCUGAGGGCGUCAGCCACCACAUUAGCUUUGUCUGGGUGAUAAUUUAUCCCGAGGUCAUAAUCCUUAACCAAUUCGAGCCAUCUUUGUCGUCGAAGGUUCAAAUCAGGCUGAGUGAAUAUAUACUUGAGACUCUUAUGAUCGGUGAAUAUCUGGCACUUCUUUCCAAUCAGGUAGUGUCUCCAGAUCUUCAAAGCGUGCACCACCGCGGCCAAUUCCAAAUCAUGAGUAGGGUAGUUUCCUUCGUGUUGCCGUAGUUGUCGAGACGCAUAUGCCACCACUUUGCCAUCUUGCAUGAGUACGCACCCCAGUCCUUUUUUGGAUGCGUCGCAGUAGACAUCAAAACUGCGGUAGAUGUCUGGAAGAGUCAAUACUGGUGCUGAUGUCAGCCUAAUUUUUAACUCGUUGAAACUCCGCUCGCAUUCCUUAGUCCAUAGGAACUUCUUAUCCUUCUUCAGAAGCUCAGUCAUAGGCUUGGCAAUCUUCGAGAAGCCUUCGAUAAAACGACGAUAAUAUCCGGCUACUCCAAGGAAACUCCGGAUUUCUGAGACUGUGGUGGGUGCGGACCAAUCAAGUACAUCCUUCACCUUGCUUGGGUCCACUGAGAUUCCUUCUGCCAAGAGGACAUGCCCGAGGAAUCCCACUUGUUGGAGCCAGAACUCACAUUUGCUAAAUUUGGCACAAAGCUGAUGGUCGUGAAGCCUUUGCAGAACUACUCACAGAUGCUCCUUGUGUUCGUCCUUGCUCUUGGAGUAAAUGAGGAUGUCAUCAAUGAAUACCACCACAAAUUUAUCCAAGAAGUCCAUAAACACCUUGUUCAUCAUAUGCAUAAAGAAUGCAGGAGCGUUGGUGAGGCCGAAGGACAUAAUGGUGUACUCAUAAAGACCGUAUCGAGUGGUAAACAUGGUCUUAGGAAUAUCUUCCUUCUUUAUCUUGAGUUGAUGAUAUCUAGUCCUCAAAUAAAUUUUUGAGAAUACUUUGGCCCCACUAAGUUGAUCAAAUAGAUCAUCGAUCCUCGGUAGUGGAUACUUGUUUUUGAUGGUGACAUCAUUCAGUUGUCGGUAGUCUACACACAUUCAUAGACUGCCAUCCUUUUUGUCCAUGAAGAUUGAUGGUGAUCCCCAUGGUGAAGAUCUUGGAUGAAUGUACCCUUUCUACAGCAUAUCAUCUAGUUGUUUCUUCAAUUCCACCAAUUCUGAGGAAGGCAUCCGAUAAUAUUUCUUAUGUAUCGGAGUGGUUGCAGGCACCAAAUCAAUUGCAAACUCCAAUCCUCGGUCUGGUGGCAUGCCUGGUAAUUCUUCAGGAAAGACGUCUGGAUACUCAUUGACCAUAGGAAUUAAUUCCACUUCUUCUGCCACUGCUGCGAAAACCAUAUCUUUUGUGGGUAUGCGCUUGCGGGCAUAAAAACUUGUGGUGCGACCUUCCAUAUUUUUCAGGGUAACUUCUCUGGUCGCACAGCUGAUGCAGACUUGAUAUUGAGUUAACCAAUUCAUGCCCAGAACGACGUCCAAUUUGUUGGAAUCGAUGAUUAUCAACGAGGUUGGAAACUUGACGCCCUUGAUGUCAAUUUCCAAAUUUCGGUAGACGAGAUUACUUCUGAGUAGGGAUCCCGGGGAUUGUACCAGCAUGUGCUUUCCCAAAAUCGAGCAAGUAAAGUUUUUUUGGGAAGCAAAACUCCACGAUAUGAAAGAGUGGGAAGCCCCAGAGUCAAAUAAAAUCACGGCGGGUAUGUCAUUAACAAGAAACAUACCAAUGACGACUUUCGGGUCCUCUUGAGCUUCGUCUACAGAGAUGUGAUGAAUUUGCCCUUGAAUCAUAUCUGGGGCAGAAUACGGCUCCAUGUAGUUGACUUGCGGCUGGAAGGGAGCUACAUGCUUGUUAUUCUUGGGACACUGUCUGGCGUAGUGUCCGGUUUGACCAUAGGUGAAACAUGAAUUGUUGCAUUGACAGUCUUCGUGCACCGAGCUGGUCACGACAUUCUUGACUUCUGUAGUAGUCUUGUUGACAUUCUACUGCCAAUUUUGUUUGUACUCCACCUGAGUCUGUUGCCAAGUACGAGCCUUUUGCACUGGUUGCAUAUCCUUCUUUAGCUUGAAUUUGCGCUUGUGGUCGUUAACAGCUGGCUUGUGGUCGUGUAGGAGCUUGUGUUCUCUUUUGGCGAUGAGGGCCUUGUUCACCAGCAUCAGGAAGUCUGGGAAAUCAAACAUGCUGAGAGUGCACCUGAGAUGCUGAUUCAGGCCUCCAAGGAACCGGUCGAUCUUUCGCUCUUCUGUGGCAACAUCGUGGAGGGAAUAGCGGGCCAAAUGGUUGAACUUGUUUAGGUACUCAUUGACGGUCAUGCUGCCUUGAGUGAGAGCGAGGAAUUCACGCUGCUUGAUUUUCAUAACUCCGGUGGGAAUAUGGUACUUGCGGAAUUGUUCCUUGAAUUUUGCCCAAGUAAUUUCUUCGUCUGCGGGCCAUAUUGCCUUGGCAUUAUCCCACCAAAUCGUGGCAGCUCCUUUGAGAUAAUGUGUUGCAAAGGGAACCUUGUCUCCUUCUUUAGUGCGAGCAAUCUCCAGUUUCCUCUCCAUAGUCCUUAGCCAGUCGUCGGCGUCCAAAGGAUCAGUAGCGUGGCUGAAACUGGGAGGCUUGGUUCGCUGAAAAUCUGACAGUUUGGAUUGAUGGCCAUUCUGGUUUCCAUUCUGCCCAACCAUAACUUGCACACUCUUCGGGAUUUCCAAUAGGUCAUUGCUCCUUCUUUCUUCAAACAUUCGUAGGAUCUGAUCGGUGGAAGGAGGAUGUGGUGGUGGCGGCAGAGGUGGCUGGCACGGCUCGGGGGAAUGUCCCGCCUGUCUUCCGGAACGACGAACAGGGACAUCCUCACAAGCUUGGUUGCUGCUGCCUCCACGCGUCAUCCUAUUUUUUUCGUUUUCCCAAUACAUAGCAACCAUGAUGAGAAAAUUCCAAAAUGGGGGCAAAAGCCAAUGACAAAUCCCGGAAGAAAACAACGAAUGGAAACCAAGGCGAAUAAAAAGUUCCAACAUAAUUAUACAUAGUCCCAAUCAUGAAAGUAAACAUCACAGCGAGUCUACUACCCUCGUACAUGAAAGUACGCAUCAUGACAAGUGCGAUUACAGCCAUACAUCAUGCUCAUGACUACAGCGAUACUCUAACGGUCUACUGCUCGGUCGGUGCUGCUGCAGGCUCGUCUCCUGAGCCGGACCCUGAUCCUGAACUGAUAACAGAGACCUCCAGGUCAAGAGGGACGCGACGAUGCUGCCUUGAGGGAUCUCCCUCAGGGGCAGGCGGUGGAUGGGAUCUGAGCAUAGGAGCAGCAGGAGUAGCGACAAGGGAAGACCAUGCAGCAUGAGCGCUGCAAGGGUUCACCGUCAGAGGGUUAACGGUACCCUGCGAGGUCGUCGGGGGAACGGAGGUGGAAGAAACUGGAGCAUAAGUAUAGAUGACAGCAGUAAGAGGGUCCCUCAUACGAGCAGCUGCGAGAGCGGUGCGAGCACGUGAAAGCUCCCAAGCUAACUCAUAGUUCAUGAGAUAACUAGCGGUGAUGUAGCGAGAAAGGUGGCUAGUGGGACGGUCGCACGCCGGAUUAAUCAAAGGAAAACGGAUACACCCAUUCUCGUGCAGAGAUGGGUAGAAGAACAGACCAGGGUGGGUAUGCAUGCGGACCUCGUUGUAGUGCAAGUCUACAAGAGCCUCGAGAGCAGCAAACUAAACCGCCUGGGAUGGCGUAGAAGCAAGACCACCCUUAGUCGAAUGAGUGUAAGCGCCGAAAGGUGAACUAUGGUGUAGAGUGACCUCAGCAUAAUACUCUACAAUGCACUGGCCAGAUGCUCGUGAUACACCCGAUACUCUGGAUCAGCACCCUCUGGGUAGAGUCGUCGCCACAUGUUUUGAAGCAGAUGCGGCGAUGUGUACGGAGCUGGCUCAGGAUGGUACAAGAUCGAUACUGGUGCCAUCUACACUCACAAACCAUUCUGUUAGUAAUAACCAAUAAACAUGCAUGCAAUGCAACAAUCGGCACUCAAACGAAGCUAUCUACCGUUUCACUAACGCACUAACGGUCUAGCGUGUCCUGCAAUCAGCGCGGCUCUGAUACCAAGUGUUGUGGCACCCCGGCUCAGAGCAACCUGUUUACCCUGCAUUGCCAGCCCAGAGAUCAAGUCUUCUGGCAAUACACAACAACAUGGUAUAGAAACAACCGCUUUAUUGAUGCUAGCGGAUUACAUAGGUCUGAUAUUACAUCAAGAUUCGAGGCCAAUCGGCACACAUGGUACUGCUGGACAUUAUGUACAUUAUUUAAUGAACAUGAUGGGGCCUCGAUCACACGAGCUACAUGGCAGCGGAAGAACGACGAAGUGGAACUCCAUAGCACAGGGACACCGACAUGAACACGGCCUAGACAUGAGAUGCGCUCCGGUGCGAACUGACUUGCCUGAAAACUGGCAUAACACGCCAGGUCAGUACAUUGAAUGUACUUGCAAGCUCACAACAUACAUAAGCACGAUGACAAACAAUAUCAUGGUAUUUAAUCAGAUUAAAACAAUGCAAAACUACUACCGAAGGAAAAUAAAUGUUUCAUGCAUUGAGUCCCACGGACUCGCUUACCAGACGGUUACCUCGUAACCAAACGGUGACCAUACCUGGGUCACACCUGAAACCAAUCACUCAUGAACACCUCAAGUGUUCAUGCUUCGCCACAAACUGAUGCAUCACAGCACUCACUUAGUUUGCAAGAUUUAUUAGAAAGGUUGAUCCAUGGUGUGACUUACUCCCGAGUUAUGCCCAUAACCGAGGACACGGCUAUCGAUAGAUUAAUUACACUUUGCAGAGGUAGCGCACUUUACCCACACUACAGAAUACCUGUCCUCGCAUUCCCAUUCGGGUGGACCAAAGCAUUCCGAUGAAACCCUCCCUUUGUCAUGCACUCUCCCCGGCCACUCCGACCAACUCCCCCUCAGGGCUAGGUCUUGGGUGGCCCCGUCUCUACCAAAGACACCAACGGCCACCGUCGUGGCAAAACGGUCCCAAACGGGGACAAGGUACCAUAAAAACAAAAAUGAGCACACAAGGUUAUGUCUGCCUACCGGGCCAGGGUAUGCACGCCCAUAACCUUCCCUCGCGGGAGGCACCGGUGAGAGCCACAACAAAGGACCGAAUCAAGACCUUCCCACAAGGUAAAUGAGGCCGCACUGAAUUAAAACCUGAUUCGGUGGCACCAUGAUGUGAUCAACAUCGUAUUCAAGUUGAACUUAAUCAAGUUUAGCUUUGAUAAAAACUUUUUAUCAUCAACAUGAUAUAACCCAAAAAGAAUCAUACAACUACUCGUCAUAGAAAGCAAACAACUAAUAUUCAUGGAUCAAACUUAACAAUAUAUGCAUCUUGCAAUUCUUAAAACCAAAACUUUUCUGGUUAUAACUCAUUUUUAUUUAUCAAGCGAUAUCGUUGUUAGUUCUUUAUUUAAAUGAAACUAUCAUUUAAUAAAAUACUAACAUUAAUUUCCAUAGCAAUACGUAUAGUGCAAAAUCUUACUCUACUUAACCAAACAAGUUCAUGCAUUCAACCAGUAAAUGAAACAAGCAUAUCAAGCAUAAUAAAGCAACUAGCAAUUAACCAAAGUUAUUUAUCAAAUUUUAAUUUCAAAUAAGAACUCAUAUUCAAGUAGAAAAUCAUAGAUAUUGGAAUAACACCAUCCAAAUGCUGGUGUGGCUUGCCUUAGUGUAGAGGAGGAUCACACCCAUCUUGGUUUGCUUCAAGACAAGCUUCUCCUUCUAAAAAAGAAUUUAAACCACAAAAAUAUUUGUCAAAACACAUUCUGAAAAUCACCAGAAAUUCUAGGCAACAAGGAAAAAUCCACCUUCUGGUGUGCUGCUAGAGCUUUCUGAAACAAAUACAAUGCAAAAAGAAUCAAAUCAUUUGGACUUAUGGUUUAGAAAUGGUGGCUAGUCAAUGUUUAGUCAAAUUUCUGAAUAAUAUUUGAAUUAAACAGAAAUCCUGGGGGAGACGUCGAAGGUGUAAAAUAGAAAUACGCCUCCACUCGUACUGCUUCGGGCGCGAGUGGUGAGACCGACAGGUGGGUCACGCGCGUCAAGAGAGAGAGAGGGGGUGCGCAAGAUCAGAGAUAGGCGGGCCUUCGCCGGAGCUCACGCCGGCGACGAGGGGGUUUGGGGCUAGGCUAGAGGGAUAGGAUUGAAGCGGGGCUCGAGGCGCACCUGCCCAUACCCGUAGCUUUCCUUGGGGUGGACGGAGCUGCUCGCAGUUGAGCUCGCAAGCUAUGGUGGCGAACGGGUUUCACUGGAGUGGUUGAAGACGACGGCUAGAGGCGGCUCCGAGGGCUCAGUGGUGUCCAAGCAGCACCAACAGAUCCCCAAUGCCCCACCCAAGCAGCUACUUGAGCUUGAGAGGCACCGGAGAGCGGUAGCUGGACUGCAGGGAUUGCCGGAGUCCUCUGGUCGGGGCGACGGCUAGAGGCCUGCCCGACCGAGCUUCUACUCAUCUACGUGUUCAUGGAGGUGGUGUGGAGUGGUGCUUGGCGAGAAAUCGAGGAGGGGAGCGCUAUAUAUAGCCGGAGCAAGGGGGGAAACAUGUUGCUGCCGAAGCUCUCUGGACACGCGGCGAACGGCGACGAGAAGCUUCAAGGCGAGGGGGCAAAGUCUCAGUGUCAAUGCAGGAGCUUGCCCACGCUCGUGGACGAGCACAUGAGGCGGUUGGGGAAGAGGACAAGAGCACACGCGCACUAUGGCGUUUUGGCCGCGACGCGCCCGUGCUUGCUGCGGCGGCUCCGACGUAGGCGAGCGCCAGGGAGCGCUCAAGGGUGAUGGGUCGGGGCUAGUGGCGUGGUGUGGCAGUCGGCGGCGAGUGCUGGAACGAGCACACAUGAAACAGAGAGCAAGGCGCCAGCCAGAGCGCGUUGAGACGCUGCCAGCAUCGUGUCCACGCGUGGUCACCAAGCUGGCAUGGUCAAAACGACGCCCAGGAGCGGCCAAACCUUGUCUACGCGCUCAAGCGUGCAGUGUUUAGUCUAGGAGAGGUGAUGGUUCAUGCCCAGGCCGACCAAACUUGACUCCACUAAGAUGACAAGUUUCUGUAUAGAAACUUGGUCACCAAGUUUGGCCACCUUCUAGAAGGCCAUUAGGGCUGAUCUCCUAGGGUUUAGGUUUCUUAGGAGGGUGUUAAAGAUCAAGAAAGAUCAAGGCUAAAAGGUCAAGAAAAAUUGUACUUGUUGUACAAACUGAAGUUUUGGGUUAGAAUAGAAAUGAUUUUCUACAACAAAAUAUUCCAAAAAGUGGUGCAAUAUUUUUGCAUGGGAAGGUGUGCCAAGGUGCUAAGAAUAUUUAGAAAUUAUCUCAGUUUUUCCAUAGCAAGAAAAUUUGAGGUUGCUUUGGAGCACAAGUUUCUGAAGUGAGUUUCAGAGAGAGAAAUGAAUAUUUACUUUGAUGAAAAAUAUUCAUUUGAUUAUUUUGAGGAUUGAUCAGAGGAAUAAAGUAGAUAGGCCACUUGGGUGAAAGUCAAGGAUAUGCCCAAGUGACAAGUCCAUUUGAAAUGAUUCAAACUCCAAUUCAACUCAGGGCAAAGCCACGAUAAAAAUCAAGUCCGGAAAAGAGAGAGAAGGCAAGUCCGGAAAAAGAGAGAAGUCAAAAUCCAGGCUGUCACACAUUGAUUUUCAAAACUUGCACUUUCUUUGCGUGCAAAACAAACAAAUUCUCGGCCAUGAUAUCAUAGUCGGCCGUACAAGAGCAGAAUAUAAUUCCAGGCACCAAAAGCUUUCAAACUUCCCGCUCACAUCGAAAUAUCUUGCGCCUGAAAGUUUAGCCCUGCGAUAUUUCUGUUUUACCCCUGCCACUUGAACGAAAAAGGGCUGCUUUGGUAACUGAUACGUCUCCAACAUAUCUAUAAUUUAUGAAGUAUUCAUGCUAUUAUAUAAUCCAUCUAGGAUGUUUUAUAAGCAUUUAUAUGCUAUUUUAUAUGAUUUUGGGACUAACCUAUUAACCUAGAGCCCAGUGCCAGUUUCUGUUUUUUCCUUAUUUUUGACUUUCAUAGAAAAGGAAUACCAAACGGAGUCCAAUUGGCGUGCCAAUUUUUGACAAAUUUUUAUGGACCAAAAGAAGCCCCUGGAGUGCAAGAGUUGGGCCAGAAGAGUCCCGGGCUGCCCACGAGGGUGCCCCCCUAGGGAGCACCCCCCUGUCUCGUGGACAGCCCGGAGACCCCCCUGACGUGAGACCUACGCCAAAAAUUCCUAUAAAUACUAAAACCUAUAGAAAAUAACCUAGAUCGGGAGUUCCGCCGCUGCAAGCCUCUGUAGCCACCAAAAACCUCUCGGGACCCUAUUCCGGCACCCUGCCGAAGGGGUAUCCCUCACUGGUGGCCAUCUUCAUCAUCCUGAUGCUCUCCAUGACGAGGAGGGAGUAGUUCACCCUCGGGGCUGAGGGUAUGUACCAGUAGCUAUGUGUUUGAUCUCUCUCUCUCUCUCUCUCUCGUGUUCUUGAGAUGGUAUGAUCUUGAUGUACCGCGAGCUUUUCUAUUAUAGUUGGAUCUUAUGAUGUUUCUCCCCCUCUACUCUCUUGUAAUGGAUUGAGUUUUCCCUUUGAAGUUAUCUUAUCGGAUUGAGUCUUUAAGGAUUUGAGAACACUUGAUGUAUGUCUUGCCGUGCUUAUCUGUGGUGACAAUGGGAUAUACACGUGAUCUAUUUGAUGUAUGUUUUGGUGAUCAACUUGCGGGUACAAUGAACUUAUGCAUAGGGGUUAGCACACGUUUUCGUCUUGACUCUUCGGUAGAAACUUUGGGGCACUCUUUGAAGUACUUUGUGUUGGUUGAAUAGAUGAAUCUGAGAUUGUGUGAUGCAUAUCGUAUAAUCAUGCCCAUGGAUACUUGAGGUGACAUUGGAGUAUGUAGGUGACAUUAGGGUUUUGGUUGAUUUGUGUCUUAAGGUGUUAUUCUAGUACGAACUCUAUGAUAGAUCGAACGAAAAGAAUAGCUUCGUGUUAUUUUACUACAGACUCUUGAAUAGAUCGAUCAGAAAGGAUAACUUUGAGGUGGUUUCGUACCCUACAAUAAUCUCUUCUUUGUUCUCCGCUAUUACUGACUUUGGAGUGACUCUUUUUUACAUGUUGAGGGAUAGUUAUAUGAUCCAGUUAUGUUAUUAUUGUUGAGAGAACUUGCACUAGUGAAAGUAUGAACCCUAGGCCUUGUUUCCUAGCAUUGCAAUACCGUUUACACUCACUUUUAUCAUUAGUUACCUUGCUGUUUUUAUAAUUUCAGAUUACAAAACCUAUAUCUACCUUCCAUAUUGCACUUGUAUCACCAUCUCUUCGCCGAACUAGUGCACCUAUACAAUUCACCAUUGUAUUGGGUGUGUUGGGGACACAAGAGACUCUUUAUUAUUUGGUUGCAGGGUUGCUUGAGAGAGACCAUCUUUAUCCUACGCCUCCCACGGAUUGAUAAACCUUAGGUCAUCUACUUGAGGGAAAUUUGCUACUGUCCUACAAACCUCUGCACUUGGAGGCCCAACAACGUCUACAAGAAGAAGGUUGUGUAGUAGACAUCAAGCUCUUUUCUGGCGCCGUUGCCGGGGAGGUGAGUGCUUGAAGGUAUAUCUUUAGAUCUUGCAAUCGAAUCUUUUUGUUUCUUGUUUUAUCACUAGUUUAAUCUAUAAAAGAAAACUACAAAAAAUGGAAUUGAGUUUAUCUCAUACGCUUCAUCUUUUUAAUAUCUUUAGUGAGAAUGAUGGUAAGGAAAAUUGUGCUCAAGUGCUAUAAGAAGAAGUCUAUAAAAUGUUUGGCAUGAAAUCUUUUAAUGAUGAGCAUGAUUGCAAUGUUAUUAGUAUGAAUUCCUUGAAUAUCCAUGAUGAUAAUGAUAUGCAAAGCCACAAGCUUGGGGCUGCUAUGUUUGAUGAAUAUGAUAUUUUUGUCCCCCAAGUUUUGAUGAGCAAAUUUAUUAUGAUGAAAGCAUGCCUCCUAUUUAUGAUGAUUAUAUUGAUGAAAGUGGAUUUGGAUAGGUCAUGACUUUAUUUAUUGAUGAAUCCACUAUUUCGGAAUAGGUUCCAAUUGAUUAUGAGAACUAAGUUGCUAUCUAUGAUGAUUAUUGUGAUGACUUGUAUGCUAUUAAGAAUAAUGGUAACCAUGAAACUUGUAUCAUUAUUUUAGUUUUCAAUUGGAUUAUGCUUCACAUGAUAAUUAUUUUGUUGAGUUUGCUCCCACUACUAUUCCUGAGAAGAAGUUUGCUUAUGUGGAGAGUAGUAAAAUUUAUAUGCUUGUGCAUCAUGAAAAUAAUGCUUUAGGUGCUGGUUAUAUGGUUGAAUUCAUUCAUGAUGCUACUGAAAAUUAUUAUGAGAGAUGAUCAUAUGCUUCUACAUAUUGCAAUAAUAUCAAGUUUCCUCUCUAUGUGUUGAAAAUCUUGAAGAUUUGCUUGUUUUACCAUCCUAUGUUAGUUGAUUAUUGUUCCCAUAAGUUGUUUGAUCACAAAAUCCCUAUGUAUAGGAAGUGGGUUAGACUUAAAUAUGCUAGUCAUAUUCUUCAUGAUGCUCUCUUUAUGUUUCAAUUCUUAUCUUUUAUGUGAGCAUCAUUGAAAUCAUCAUGCCUAGCUAGGGGCAUUAAAUGAUAGCGCUUGUUGCGAGGCAACCCAAUUUUAUUUUUGUUCCUUGCUUUUUGUUCCUGUUUAGUAAUAAACAAUUCAUCUAGCCUCUGGUUAGAUGUGGUUUUAUGUUUUAAUUAGUGUUUGUGCCAAGUAGAACCUUUGGAAAGACUUGGGUGAAAUCUUUGUGAUCUUGCUAUAAAAACAGAAACUUUAGCACUCACGAGAUUAGCUGCCAUUUUUUACUGCAGAGUGAUUUUAGGUUGAUUAUUUUUGAAGAUGAUUAAUAGACAAAUUCCUCAGGUCCUCCAAUUUAUUUCAGAAUUGUUGGAGUUACAGAAGUAUUCGAAUGAUACAGAUUACUACAGACUGUUCUGUUUUUGACAGAUUCUGUUUUCUAUGUGUUGUUUGCUUAUUUUGAUGAAUCUAUGAGUAGUAUCGGAGGGUAUGAACCAUAGAUAAGUUGGAAUACAGUAUAUAUUACACAAAUAUGAAUUCAUAAUGAGUUCAUAACAGUAAAUAAGUGGUGAUUUAUUUUCUUAUACUAACGGAGUUCAUGAGAUUUUCUGUUGAGUCUUGUGUUGUGAAGUUUUCAAGUUUUCAGUAAAGAUUCGAUGGACUAUGGAAUAAGGAGUGGAAAAAGCCUAAGAUUGGGGAUUCCCAAGGCACCCCAAGUUAAUAUUCAAGGAUAAACAAGAGCCUAAGCUUAGGGAUGCCCCGGAAGGCAUCCCCUCUUUCGUCUUCGUUCAUCGAUAACUUUACUUGGAGCUAUAUUUUUAUUCACCACAUGAUAUGUGUUUUGCUUGAAGCAUCAUUUUAUUUUGUUAGUGUUUGCUUGCUGUUAUUUAGAAUAAUGUUUUGCAUCUUUAUUUUUAAUAAAAAUGUCAAGGAUAGCCUUUACCAUGCUUAUUUUGCAAGUAUACAUGUUACUGUUUCAAAACAGAAAGUUUACCACUGUUGCAAAAAUUCCCUAGAAAAUUCAGAGAAUGAUAUAAUAUUGAAACUUUUUUCGUAUUGAGCUCUGAUAAAUCUUCUACAGUGUAGUAUUUUUCUCAUAAUUUUUGGAGUUAUGGAAGUAUGAUGGAUCUUGCAUUCUUUACAGACUAUACUGUUUUAGCAGAUUGCUGUUAUGUUUGCAUUGUUUGCAUAUGUUUGCUUGUUUAAUGAUUCUAUUUGAGGAUAGGAGUAUUAAAUAUGCAGAGACAUUUAGUAUGCAAUGUUGAAUAAUAAUUUUAGUGAUUUGUUACAGUAAAAAAUGAUAAGGUUUUUGCAUUGGUUUAUACUAACUUAUCUCACGAGUUCUUGUUGAGUUAUAUUAUUAUUGUUGAGAGAAAUUGCACUAGUGAAAGUAUGAACCCUAUGCCUUGUUUUUUAGCAUUGCAAUAUCGUUUACGCUCACUUUUAUCAUUAUUUACCUUGCUGUUUUUAUAAUUUCAGAUUACAAAAACCUAUAUCUACCUUCCAUGCUGCACUUGUAUCACCAUCUCUUUGCCGAACUAGUGCACCUAUACAAUUCACCAUUGUAUUGGGUGUGUUGGGGACACAAGAGACUCUUUGUUAUUUGGUUGCAGGGUUGCUUGAGAGAGACCAUCUUCAUCCUACGCCUCCCAUGGAUUGAUAAACCUUAGGUCAUCCACUUGAGGGAAAUUUGCUACUGUCCUACAAACCUCUACACUUGGAGUCCCAACAACGUCUACAAGAAGAAGGUUGUGUAGUAGACAUCAGUAACUCCAUUGUUUUCCCCUCUUUGCCCCCAACAUUCUUCCCCAGAGCCCAUCCCCUUCCCCUCACCGACCCCCCCCCCACCAUGGCAAGCCGUCGAAUCUACUCCUCCGUCGUAGCGGUGGACCCACACCCUGCCGGAUCUACCUUCCGUACCUUGGAACCCCCAACUGCCAACUCACCACUUCACCGGAGCCGCUUCAGCGGAUGGCUUGUCGACCGCUCCAGAUCUCCUUGACGCCAUCAUGGUCCACCGCACUGGAUCUGCUUAACCGGCGCCUUCGUCCACCACAGUGUAGGCCCUUCACUGAGUCCCUCGUCCGCCCCAUCGCUGUCCCUUCAUACAAGCCCUCGUCCGCCGCAACAGAUCCGUCUCACCGAAAGCACUGUACAAUGCGCCCGCUGAAGCCUUCGUCCACUGCACCGGACCUGCUCCAUGGACGCCAUAUUCAACUCCACCGACCCUGCUUUACCGACGCCGCAGCCUCAUCAGGUUAUGUCGAUUUGUACUCCUUCGGUUUUUUUCUUUAUCGUGCAACUAUUCACUUACCACAGAUGAGCUUUCUUGUAUGUCGACAGGCGCCGCAACCGUAGCACUGGAGCCGCUUUAGCGACAGCGACAGCCGGCCCAAACUCUACCGCAAUACGAGCACCAUCGAUGAUUCUUAGCUAUCAAGUAUGACAACGAUACCCAUACGCUGCCAAGAAUUAGGUACUAUUAUCCAACGGCCGGUGCCUACGUUCACUUUCUUAGCAUAAGCACCACAACUUUGAAUUUCUUCAAGGCAUCAUUCAAUUUUUCAUGAGACGCGUUAUUCUGCUUGCAUAUGUAGGGCCAUACUUCUGGCAGUGAACAUGUUACAUGUGCUAAAUUACAUACCAAUGCACAUAUAGUUAAUAUGCUUUAGUUUUGUCCUAAGUAUUAUUGUACUUCCUAGAUAUCACUGCCUACUAUUUUACUUCUUGCAUGCUAUAUCUACCAUUCUUAAGAAGUUGCUCCCCACUUCUUCCUAUUCUCUUAACAUGCACGCCGUCCACAUCAGAUUUAUGCCACCUCAGCGUUAACUUUGCAAAGAGCAGCCAAUCAGUCUAAUUGAUUAGCCAGUGCAGCCACGCAGUCCUGAUUUGCACAAAUGAGAAGUGCAUGCAUGCGCGCCUGCGACCAGAGAGUUACUAUGUGCGAACGACACAAAUCAAUGCAAGCACGCAACUUCUCAUGGACUAAACCCAUGCAUGGCAUCCAAGAUAACUCGGUGCAGUUAAUUCCAAAAAUAGACCACCGAAGCAAUCCAAGCGCAUGCAUGUUGUCACUUAAUUCAGUGUAGUUAAUUACCAUUGCCUAAAGCCCAUGGAUGCAGUUAAUCAUGGCUGAAUUUACAGAGGAUUUUAUUCCAUUCCAAUUCCCUGUCGUAGCAUUUAGUUCUGGGCCUGGGCGCGUUAUCAUCUUCACCAUACUCCUUUUCUUUCAUCUGUCUCCUGCGGUUCCCUUUCUCUUCGUCUUCUACAUCCGGUUCCACUCGCACAAAUAAAUCAACUUCUUGGUCUUAUGUUUGGAUUAAGAUUACGUAACAAUCUUCCUUCAAGAGCGAUGUUGGCGUUGACAGCGAGGUGCUGCUUCUUCCAAUCCUUCGUGAGUUGACGCUGCCGGAGACAGCCGCGCGCUGCUGCCAACCCAGACCCAUGUAAUCUUCGCAGUUGAACCGAGCCCUGCACCCGUUGCCGAUGAAUCGAGCCCUGUAGGCUACGCUGCCUGAAGGCAUGCACCCCGGUGUCGACCAGAGCUCCCGGUGGGCAACACGUGCCUGUGCCACCGUCGGCAUCCUCAUCCAACAUCAACUGAAUCAAAGGUGGGGGAUCUCCUUCUUCUCUAUAUCCUUAGAUUUGAGCGAAUUUUUCAAGUUAGCUUGAGUUGAAAGCUCUGUUUGUGUGUGGUACUAGGAAUCCUAUUUUUAGAAAAUGAAGCUUUGUUCCAUCACCAGACACCUUAUCCACGUCAGCAACUCCGGUCUGUCAAUCGCACCUACAUUCUCGAGAUACGAUGGGUCAUGUUCAACUAUCUGAUCUGAUUGGAUUUGAUUAGAAGCACUAGAUGGUGAAAAAACUUUUUAGUUUUUGUAUUCUUAUUGAAGGAAUAAACAAAUGAAACUUACCGUGUACUACCUGCAACUACAAUCUUGCAUCUCCCACACAGACGAAUUAAUAUGAAUCAUAUUGGUAUUUUUGUUGCUUUCCUAUGAUUUGUAGAAUCAGUGUGUAUGACAUACUGCACUUCAUCUUCAAUGUUUUCUUUCAUGGAAGUAUUAUUCCACAGUGAUCUCAGAUCGAUCUAAUACCUUAGAGGUACGAUUGUCAUUCUUCUAUGCAGGUAUUCAAAACAGAAGGUUUUGUUUAAUCGUUGCUUGGUAUCCGGAGGCACAUGCAGUUCAUCCAAAAGGAGGCAAGGAGCUCUAAUUUUAUUUUAUUUGAUGAUGUGUUUUUCGUUCAGAGAUAGAUGCUGGAAUAGUAAUUGAUGUUCAGUUUCAAGCAUGCAUGUAUAAUUACAAUUAAUUAUAUUCUAUAACGCUAAUCACUUGGUAUAUUAUGUGUUCAAACCUAUAGCAUCUCUUGAUAAAUGUAAGAAUAAUUCUUUUAUGUGGUUACAAUAUCAUUAUAUGAUUGUUUUGGUUUGAUGACACUCAUAGCCUAAAAGGUACAUCCUUGCUGAGAGGAUCAAGCAUGGUCUGUUCCAACCAUCAUUUGGUUUAAUUGUUCUAUGCUGGCUGAAAGCCUAUUAAACCAAAUGAUUAUUGUACUUGCAUGUUGUGUCAUGUCUCUGAAUGGAUUAUGUUGUAAGAGCCCCUAUGUUGUCCAUGUGUUGUAAAUAUCCAAAAUUUUUAGGCGAGGUAAUCCUCAGUACUUGUAUGAUUGACAUAAGGUGAACUGCUUUUAGUGUGAGCAUAUUGUAUUGGAUGAAAUAACUGUUUGACUCAAAGUGUAUCCAACCUACUGAAUUCGAAGAUCACGACAUUUCUAAAUCAUAAUCAUAUAUAAAGGUGGAAUAAAUCUUUGUUGUGGUUUUGAAGAAAUAAAUAACAAAACGUAGAAUUAUCUGUGGAUAUUCGUAAUCGAAUACAAAUUGGAUUUGAAUUUAGUUUGUCAGGGCCCAGGGCAAACGUGAAUGCUAAUUCUCCCAAGUUUUGAACGAAGCGGCUAAACACCCACUAUAAUUUGUGGGCUGCCCGAAGCAAGUGUUUAUGAGAUGGAAAUUACUGUCUACCCCUGACACUUGACAUCCUUAUUGACUGGAUUUACACUGCUGUCAAUAGGGGUAGACUAGUAAUUUCAAUUAGACGUGACACGAUGACCUCUGAGCCCAUUCAGACACGGUGGGCGCCAAACGUGGGCGGCAAAACACAUUUAAUUCAAGCUCGUCCGAAAGACAUGUGUCUCUCUCUCCAUUUCCCCAUUCAUAAACGAUGGGCGGAUAAACAAACUCUCAUCGUCCGAAAUUGAUGUAGGCCAAUAUUUUAAAUAGGAGCAGAUGUGUAACUUCCCUCAGACGUGACACAACCGCCCUACCUGUCAGGCCCGUUCAUACACCGUGGGCGCCAACCGUGGGCGGCAAAACACCCUCUCCUCGCCCGAAAUAGUUACCGGCAAAUAUUCGGGAGAUGCGAGAUUACCGUCCUAUCCCCAACCGACGUGAUGUCUGAAAUUUUAAACGGGGGAUAAGUUCGUAACUUUCCCACAUUUCAGAGAAGCGCAUUCCAAAGUUUGAGAUCCCCCCUCCCCUCCAUUUACCCAUUCAUACACCAUCGGUGCCACGACAACCUCCCCACUGCGGCCAGCCUCCUCCGUCCGCCACCCCAUCCUCCACCUUGCUGGAGCCGCUACCCCUACCCCGUCGUCCAGUGCAAGAGAUGGACGUCUCUCAUCCACGGCGCUGGACCAGGAUCCUUUCAUCGCGUCCUCUCGCUUCACCAGUGUUGUUGUUCACCUUGCCGUUGCCGCUCCUACAACCGCCUCGUCCAUGGCAACAUGAUUUAUCCCCUGACCCGGCCGUCUGCCAUCUAAAGUCUUCUUCCCCGCCACUGACAUCCAUCACACCCGCAACACCCUCAAUGUAUCAGUAGAGGCCUACACGGCGUCGCAAGAGAGGUGGUACUCUUCCAUAUGUGCUUAAGUUAUUGAUCUCACCCGGAAAAUAGAUCGUAAUUUGUUUAUUGUACUUUUCUUGUCCGUACCAAAUCGUAGUGGCUAGUUGAAAGCAAACAUUGGUUGCGAAGUAGCUUUGUCCGGUUUGCACCUUCAGAUCCGCCAUGGCACGGGCACUAUACUCAUAAAGCUUAUGGUUUCCCCCCUUUAUAUUCACUACCAUCAUCGUAGGUGCUUCGUGUCGUGCUAGCACUGCUCCUCAAGACCUCAACCCAAAGCUUACGUGUUGAAAUACGAAUUUGAUAUGAUGCUUAUAUCACUAAAACAGAGAACGUUUAAUUGUUCACCUAAUGUUCCUAUAUUCGUUUCGAAAAGCAUGUGUGCCACCCACUGGUCCAGCUAGUUCCACUUUCCUGAUUUUACUCUUGAUGCUUAGGGUUUUCCCCUUUUAUCUACUCUACUAUGAUCUGCGUAGGUGCUUUAUGUAGUACUAGCAUUACUCCACCCUUCAAGCUAAACAACACAACACUCAAAAUUCCAAAGCUUAGUUGUUCAAAUAUGAUUGUGAUAUGAUACUGAUAUUAGUUAACUGACACAUUUAAUUGGUUAGCUAAAGGUCCCACUUGAGUUUCCACUUCAAUCCACUUGUUGAUUGUACUUUCCUGUCCAUACCAAAUCUUAGUUGUUAUUUCAAAGCGAACAUCGGUUGGUAACUACCCUUUGCGCGGUUUGCAGCUUCAGAUCUGCCAUCCCACUGCCACGGUCAACACUAUACGCAUCAUGCUUACGAUCUCCCCAUUUUAUGAUGACCACGAUCAGCCUACGUGGUUCGUGUCAUAAUAGCACUGCUCCACCCAUCGAGCUAAACAAGCUUAGUUGUACAAAUUCAUAUAUGAUAUUAUGCUGAUAUUAGUAAAACUGAGAGAUGUUUGAUUAGUCAGCUAAAUAUUCCUACUUUAGUUUCAAAAUGCAUGUGAGCCACAUAUGGAGAGACCGAAAAGAAUAGUAUUUCUCUGUGCGCUCUGGUUCAUUAUGGGUGGCCAACCGACAUUGUAUUGAAAGACUUGUAAUAUCUCCAAUCUGCUUGCUCUUCUGCUCUUCUUUAAGAUGACCCUCUUCUCUUGCGGUCGAUUGGUCAGGUUGAGUUGUUCUCCCUUAGUAUAUUUUGAAUCUGUCAGGUCAGGUCGACUCGUUCUUCUUUACUAUAUGUUGAAGCUAUCAUCUACGAUGUGUCAUCACUUCUGGAGCUCUCAUAUUUUGAGUAGUAGGCCACAUUAUAUUAAUGCACACACCAAAUUACAGCAUGCAGAACAUCUCUUAAAAGAAUUGCAGAGAUAGCACAAAGGGGUUUACAGGGAGGCGGUAUUGGAUUAGAAUCACUUCUGCAUUACAAAGAUAAUCUCACUUGUUUUUAUGUUUUCAUGCAUGUCAGAUAUUGAACAUUAUCAAAAUGAACAUGAGAAUGGGCGCACGAGAGGAAUAUUGUGGAACAAUCCACUGGCUAACAAACUUGGCAUGGUGGAGGAUGGUCUAUCUUAUUCACCCAUCAAGGUGCUUGCUCUAACUUGGCAAGGUUGUAUUGGUCGCACAUAUUUUGCAUCUGACCUCUUGCAUUACUUCUACUUUGUUACACCAUCGGCUUAGUUUAAGCAUCAUAUAUGAGUAUAUGCCAUACCUAUCCAUUUUCUGUACCUAUUCCAUGUGUCGUCAUACUAUGUUUUUCCAGUCAAAUGUUGUUCUUUCGUAAUAGAUGUCCAAAAGGAAGAGGGUGAGUGCAGAUCCUCAAGGAGUACAAACUAGGUAUUUGGAAAAGGUAGUGAUACUUGUUAAAUCAGAUAGAUCAGCAGCCACAGAAAACACAGGCCCAACUGUACCACACUUUACCCCUACUCCAGUGGCCAAACCCCUAUUAGAACUGCUGAGAGCCCAGCGUCAGGUAUUGUCUAUGAUAUCAAUUCAAAAUUUGAACUCCUAAAUUUUUGCAUGUGCCUUACCUUCUCUCUUGUAUGAAAACUAAUUUCAGAUGAAUCUCCUUGCUCAAAGGAUCAUACGAUCUCACAACAAUACUGGGCUCUGCAUUGCUCUUGUUAGUACCUCUCUCCCUUUUGCCUUGUAACACUAUACUUAAUUAAUUGCUAUUUGAUUAUGUAUCAUUAGUCUGCACCUAAGCUUCAUUAUCCUCUGAUUCUUCCAAUAUUAUUUGAUCUAUAUUUACUCUUUACAAGAUGUAGAAUAAUGACAACACUUAUAAAGAAUUUUCUUUGGGGAAUUUAUUGAAUUAUCCUUCCAUCAACAUGGAGAAGGGCUUUGUCCAACCCGUCUUAACAUGUAAUGUAAGUUCAUCCUUCUCAAGCCUUCAAACUUUGUUCUAGUAUAGAUUUGGAUAGGCAUCAUUUCCUCCACUGUUGUUUACUUUGUUGUUUACAUCUGAUUGGAUGUUUGCAACAACUACCAGUUUCAAAUUGUAGUUGUAAAAACAUGUUCCUUAUGCAGAACAAAUCCAUUUAUUUGCUUAUAUAAUUGUGAAACUUGUUACGUGUCUCCUUGCUUCUCUUUCAAAGUCGUAUCUCUUAUGCCAGGCAGAACUUUAGAGUAGAUAAUGAGCCAAACCAUCCUGAGGACAUCGAGAUGACCCAAAUGUCUUGUCUUGAUGAAGACAGUGAGUUGAAGCUACUCACCAGCAUGUGUGAGACAACCUCUGUGCAGUCGCUGCCUCAAUUAGUUCGACUUCUUCAGUCUCAACUUAAAGCGGAAAGACUUGCUUCAGCUCAGCUCUGACUUGAAGUCAAAGAUGUAAUGAAGAUGUCAGACGACUGCCUUGCGCACUAUCGUGCCAUACAGGUAGGGGUGAAGCAUCUAUUGUUGACACAACUGAGGUUAAUCAGCUUCUUCGGCUGUUUGGGGGGGCCGACCUGGCCAGGCCUAGUGCCUUCUGAUGUGCUCUCAGUUUUGUAUUUUCUUUUGUCAGCGCGUUUAUUUGCACUGGUGGCGAACUUUGAUUCUCAGUGGAUGUAAUAUGUGUAAUAGCCGUGAUAGCCUAGCGUGAAUUGCUUGCUUAUUUAUUUCCUUGUUGCCUUGUUUAUUUGUUUGCUUGUAGUCAGUGCAGUCUUUUUUCGCAGUUUGCUAGUGGCCGCAAUAACCUAUUUUUUAAAACUAGGCCACAGUAACCAUGGGCUACAUAUUUACUAUAGUGACACUGGGCCUCCUACGGGCAGUAGAAACAAUGGGCCUUCUACGCGCCGUAGAAACAAUGGGCCUUCUACGCGCCGUAGAAACAAUGGACCUUCUACGGGUCGUAUCAUCGAUGGGCCUUAUACGGUCUGUAUGAUCGAUUGGCCAAACAUGGGCCAAUAACAGACUGCAUUAUGGUCGUAAACGGGCUAGAGUUGGAAUCGUCCGUUCAUGAACCGACCAUAAUAGGCCAUCGUUAAUAGGCCGUAUUUGAUGACGCUAUGAAAACGGCCCAACGUAUUAACGGGCCACAAAUGGGCCGACUGUAACCACGGGCUAAAUUUGGCCCACAAGCAGAAAAUGACAAUAACGUGCUGUAAGUAACCGAAUGCUGGAAAUGAGCCCAAGAAUAAAUGGGCCCUGAGAAGGCCGAAAGAUAACAUGGGCUGCAAACGACCCAAUAGAUUAAUGGGCCAUUAAUGGGUAUAAAGUGAUACACUGUUCAUUAUGGUCCAAUUUCUGCCCAUUUUUUCCACCACCAUGCAUCCUGAGUUGAAAGCUUACCUUGACGAGUUCGAGGCGAAGGCUCAGGAACGCCACGAUGCCAGUGCCAGGCUGUUCGACACGUUGUUCUCCAAGCUCAUCACGGGAGCUUCGCCCCCUCAGCCGGCGCGCUCCGCGGUCAUGGCCUCAGAUGGCGGCCUCAUCCACAAUACCCUUGUUCUCGCGGUCGUCCCCGGUGUCUUCUCCGCCCCCCUUCCACCAGCAAAGCCCAUGAGGUCCUCGAGCUCAUCACCGAUGCGUCCCCCGCGUGCAUCGCGAGGGCGCCCGUCACAUGUUCGACAGAUUGCUUGAACCAAGUCCUCGCGGGCGUCCCGACUCCACAGCCAGUGCAUCCCAUGGGCACGGUAGCCGAUGGCGGCCUUACCGACAACGCAAGAUCCCCCACGGUCAUCCCCGGCGCCUUCUCCUCCACCACCAAUUCCCAGGGGGUCAUGGCGUCCCCCCAUGGUGCAUUUUAGGACUCCAUCAACCCGAUGCCCAUGACCUGUUCGACGAUUGGCUCGACCCAGGUCGAUGUCGUCGCCAACAUCGAUGAGACCCAAGACGCCGCAACCACUGUCCACCCCGAGCACGCGGACAUCGUCAACUACACGGAGGUCACGCAGCUCAUACCGGUGCAGGCAACGCUCUCCCUCAACAUCACCACCUGCUCUGCCGAGGCCAUUUCCUCAACGGCAACCACCACCGACACCAUCCCCAUGGAAACCAAGCCAGAUCCGACCAAGUGGGCCACAAUCACGACCAUAGCAGCCCAUGGGCUGGGCCUGGCUGAGUGCCACACUAAGGGAGGCCUGACUACAAGUAUCAACGUAGAGCGCAAUGAAGAUUCAUCCGGGCUUGGAUCAGAACGGCAACGACGACUUCCUCUUCCCCUACCUCCUGUACUUCCUCCUUCCCCAAUCUCUCUAUCUGAGCUUAAUCUUCCUGUAAUGGAGUAAUUUGAGUGAUUCAUGAGUGGGUUCUUAGAGCAACUCCAAUGGGCCGACCCAAACGGACGUCACAUUUGUCCGCUUAUUGUCUGUUUGGGUCGGCCGCCCGCCCGGUGUCCGCCCAGUUUUGCAUUUGGGUCGGCAGUGCGCCCAACGCGCCGACCCAUUUCAUGUCCGCAUUCAAAUUUAAAAAAAGGCCCGCGGGCGAUCAUGCCAACGGCCAUGUCUCAUGCCGGCACCAUGCCAGCGCCGACAUACAAUGUUGGCUUCAGAAAAUAUCACCAUAGUUCAUGCUGGCGCACUCGCCAGCCGGCCGGCACACAUGCCAGCACACAAUAAAAGGGUGGGACUUGAGUUCGACCACGCCAUCGCGGCUCCCGUGGUCAUGCCGGCACACCUGCCAACAUACAAAAAAGAUGGUGCUCGCCGCCAUAGAUCACUCAUCGUCGAACUUGAGCAUGUCGGCCUGCAUCUUCUCAAACCACAACCUCUUCCUUGGCGACACGGUGUUGAUAUCCACCUUCAUGAUCUCCACCCCGGUCAUCAUGCUCGCAGGAGCCACUUCUUUCGCCUUGGUCUUGGUGUUGGCGGCCUCGAUCUCUAGCAUCUUGGCUUGCUUCUUCGCCUCUAACUCGAACAUCUUGGCUUGCUUCUCGGCGUCCAGCUCAAGCCUUCUCCUUUGGAUCUCCAUGAAAGCAUCCAUUUUCUCUGCCUUGAAACGUCGGCGCUCCUCCUCCCUUAAGUCCUUAUUAUUCAUCAUGUCGUCCACGCUUGCGAUCAAAGUGUUGGUGGCCGCAUCUCGCUUGUCCUCCUUCUUGGAGUUGGUCUUCCCCCGCGGCCGUGCCGUCUCGCCCUCCCCAACAUCCUUCACGGCUUUCUUCCCCCCACGCGACUUGAGUGUGGCAUAUUGCGCCUUGAACUUCUCCUCGUCCUUGAUGACCCGAUAGCAAUGGGAGAGGUUGAAGCACUUGCCAUUGUGUUGAACCUUGAAUGCCUCCAAAGCUUGAAAUGCCUAAAAAAUGUUUCCAUGCAAGCAUAUGGGCAAGUGAUAUGCAAAUGAACAUGCAAAGGAUGAACUUGAUGACACAAAAGAGGGCGGCGAGCUAGCAUACCAUGUCUUUCAUGCAGAUGCCGCUCACGGGGCGGGCCUUGACGCUCUCAAGAGUGGCGCAAAACUUGUUGCACUCUUGUUGGAUCACCCUCCACCGCUUGGAAAUGGAGACCCAUCCGCGUGUGCUCACAAAUUGGUAAGGUGGAAACUUCUUGCGCUCAUGAAACUCUCGGUGGAAACGAAUCCAAAAGGUUGAAUGCUUUUGCUCGGCACCCGUCUUGGGGUCUUGCCCAAUGUCUCGCCAACACUCGCAAAGAAGCUUGUCCUUGGCCGCCGUGUACGCCUUCGUGCGCUUGCUCUUGCGCUUCGGCUUAUGACCGGCGGCUUGGUUGGCGAGCUCGUCCUCGAACAAAGGCUCCACUUCCAUGUCGCACUCGUCCUCUUCCUCUAGCCCGUAGUCGUCCGGGAACUCGUGGUCGAGGGGGAAGCCGUCCAGGUCGAUGCCGACCUGAUCACACAUGAAGGCCUCCUCGUCGGAAUCAUAGCCAGCGGCCGGCGUGAACGCCCCGCGGCCGUCCUGGCUUUGCGUCUCGUCGGGAUCGUAGCCAGCGGCCGGCGCACCGCCCUCGAAGAUGAGGUUCUGCAUGUAGUCCUCGUCGACGGCGGACGACAUUUCCUCGAACAGGUUGCGGGCGUCCGGGAGCACGCCGGCCAGCGUCUGCCACACGCAUUUCCUCGCGCCGCCGGAUGAUGAGCCACCGGCCACCGGGAUGGCGUUGAGGUCGAUGGCGAGCGCUCCCCGGAGAGGCGGGAGGCCUGCGGGUAGACAUGGAAGUCGGAGAUCGGGUUGCAAGCCGACGCGCGGGGCGAGUCAGGCAGCACCAUCCGAGGAAACGCCGACGAGCCGGUGCUGGCCGCGGCGACGACGGCUUGGACGAGGCUGUGUUGGCUAGUGUUUAACCCUAGCAUGUAGAGCGCCUCCCUCGUUGCCGCCGCGACGCGGGCGCUGGUGACCUCCUACUGCGCGGCGGAGACGACUGCGGCCUGCGCGGCGGCCUCAUCCCUCGCGUCCGCGGCAUGCCUCCAGCCCUUCCUCUUGGCCGACUCGCAUGCCCGUUGUUCGGGCGUCAGCGCCUUAUUUGGCUUCCUCGGGGCUGCGGCGGCUGUCUUGCGCGGGGCACGAGGCUUGCUUUUCCCGGCGGGGGCGGCGGCGCCGGACGAGGCGGACGAGGCGAGGCCGGCGGUGGCGUCCAUGGCUGGUUGUGGCGGGAGCGAGCACGCGCGGGGCGGGAGUAUUUUUGGAGAAAAUGGGGGAAAUGCUGGUGACUGCCACCGACCAGCGGGCCCGGGGAGAGGAGUAGGCGCGCACGCGUCUGUGUCGUGUCCGCGCCGACGCAAAUCCGGCUCAAAAAUGGAUCGGAAAUGGGUCGCCAUGCGGACGCCAAAAGGACACGCGUUCGUUUGGGUCGACACGUUGGGCCGCUUUUUCUGUCCGCGCCGACCUAAACGGACGACCGCAGACAAAAUGGGUCAUCCCGUUGAAGUUGAUCUUAACACAUGGUUGGCUCUUCCUCAGCUGAGAUGCAGAUGGAUGGAAAACAAUCUGACCGAAAAUCCCGGUCACGAAGAGAGUUUGAUCUAUCCGCCCAACUUUCGCCAGGUCAUCGAUCCGCGCCGAAGCCACCAGGGCCGUCCAUCAUAAACAGCAACGAGCGGCUGAUAUCCGUCGAUCCACCACCCGACGUCACCGAUCCGCGGCACCAACCCGUCCUCCAAUCAGAGCGCACCUCCUCCUCUCCAUAAAUAAAGCCGCCGCACCCUCCCCUUAUCGUCACCAAAAAGCAAUCCAAUUCCCCACCAGCCCCCUCGCACCUUCCGGCGAAUCACCGCACCUCUCCCCGGCGAAGCAGCAGCGUCCGAUGGCCCCCAAGGCGGAGAAGAAGCCGGCUGCCGCGGAGAAGACUCCGGCGGCCGAGAAGACCACCGCGGGCA
This 185922-nucleotide long non-coding RNA is filed under the name Triticum aestivum (bread wheat). Its description in RNAcentral is "long non-coding RNA (TAES_LNC016907)". The stretch from base 159812 to 159898 matches the Rfam family "MIR1120/MIR1122 microRNA precursor family". The record is from RNAcentral. Lineage: Eukaryota; Viridiplantae; Streptophyta; Magnoliopsida; Poales; Poaceae.